This 259691-nucleotide long non-coding RNA is filed under the name Coffea arabica (coffee). Its description in RNAcentral is "long non-coding RNA (CARA_LNC002019)". The record is from RNAcentral. Lineage: Eukaryota; Viridiplantae; Streptophyta; Magnoliopsida; Gentianales; Rubiaceae.
AAGUCCAUAACAUCAUAUAAUCAUAUUAAAUGUAAUAUGGCACUAGAGUUCUUUUCCUGGUUUCUCUGGUUCCCAACAGCAUAAUCCGUUGUACAGAGCAAAAGUUAGAUGGAUUAAAAGGGGCCAAUCAUAAAAUCAUCAUCCAAUUGUUUCAAACGAGGCAGGGUACAAAAAUGGAAACCAGCUUUAUUCACAUCGCAGAAGUUAAAACAACAGAAAUGUCUAAAGGAAAUUAGCCAAGCAAAUCAAACACAGACUAACUCAGGACUAUGAAUUCUUGUCCUCUUUGACUAUACACAUUUCAUUGGGAUCUUGUUAGACCUACAAGAUCACGUGAACAGCUAUGCUGCAGGCUGAUUAGCAACUGCGAGUUCGACAGAUAUGAUAAAAGUCGAUCGCCCCGCCUCCCUUAGGUACUGAACAUCUCCAUUCAUAAGCUUCACCAGUUUUCUGCUGAUAAGAAGACUUAUUCCCUCAUCAGAUGCUUCUCCAUUGGUACCGAACAUUUGGUUCAGCAAUUCUUCUGGAACCCGAAUGUGUCAUCCUGCACCCAAAAGAAAUCACAGUAGCUCAUGACUCUGUAUCCCGUAGAUGGCUUAAAAAUAAAGAUACUGCAGUCAUAAAUUGGCGUAUGGUCCCAAAACAAAUGUUUGUCGAAGUAUAUUUUCAAUGGAUUGAUCCUGAUCUGUGAUCUGAAAUCUUCAUUAUCUGCCAUGCAUAAUCUAAGUACCAUAUACCUAAACCAGUUUGUAGGGUACUAAAGUACCGCUAUAUUUGCGAUGAGGAGGAUACCUCAUUUAAGUGUAUUCCCUUCUACAUAGGAUUAAACCCAAAUAUUUACUUCUAAUGAAUUCCUUCUCUUCAAAAAGAAAUAUUAAAAGGAAGAUCCACCAAGCAUUGGAAAUCUAUGCAGUAGUUCUGAGGACUUUACAAGGAAUAUUAAAAUAAAAAAGAAACUAACAUGUUAUGCCAUAAGUAAUCAGUCCAUUCUCAAAAUCUGGUUGUAGCGGUCAAUUGAGGUAAAAAAAUACACAAUAGAAGAAAUUAAGAAGAGACAAGGAUCUCAAUACUACAUUGGGAAGCUUAGCCACAAGCUACACAGGGAGGGGGUCCAUCAUAACAUUCAAACAUGCAAUUGAACAAGUCUUUUCUCAGAAAUGGCAGGCAGAAAAGAAAAGAUAGAAAUGAUACACCUCCACUGUAUGUAUAAUCGCCAAUAAAAUGUGUACUCCACCUAUCAUCUUGAACACAAAACCUUUUUCAACAAUCAAGUAAUGUAAGCCAGGAAAAGAAAAAUAAAAAUCUACACUGAUCAGGAGGAGCGCCAUAUGCACCAGUACAAGUUGCAGGGAAAUUCUCAUACCUUAAUUCCAAAUGGGCAAGCUGAACUGACUCCCCUAAUCGGUCUUUAGUCAACUUUCCUCCAAGACCCAGCUGGCCUCCAUUUGGUGUAAAAUUCACCGAUGUCAACAGGAAAUCAGCUAGAACUUGCUGAAGCCUCAGUCCAUCACCAUAUAGAGUUUCAUUCAUAAGACUUUCAGCCAAAUUAUUCACUAUCACAACACCCUUUGCACUGCUUUUGAUCAUGACUUGACUAAUGGAAGCAACCAGUACUUCAUGUAGCUUGAAUUCCACCAUUUCCAGAUCCAAAUACCUGCAAAGAAAAGGCAAAGGAUAUCCUAAGAAUAUAGCAUAUGAACGCCAGAACAAAUUAAAAAGAUAUGAAGCUCAAAAUGAAGCAAAGCCACACACAAAAUCCACACAAUAGGACCAAAAAGUGUAGACCAUAAGUACCUGAACAGAUGAAAGCCAAAGAACAUCCUAGGUGCAGUACGCUUGAAAAUGGGAUCUUAUUACCUUUAACUUCUAUAUGACCUAAACCCAAAUUAUGAUUGAUUGAUCAACAAUCUCAAGAAGCAUCAAACAUAACUAAAUCACAUAAAUCCCAAAGAUUCAGAGAAACUUUGCAAACAAUUAUUGUUAAUCAAUUGCGAAACAUGUACAUGAAGGUUAGACAUCCUAAUGUAAUGACGAUUUUCACACAAUUUAACCAGAAAGCUCCGACAUAAUGUUGUUAGUGAACCUCUGCUGAAUCUCGUAACUAGUAGCUAGAUGCUGCUAGCAAAAAAUUCAAGUGCAAACAGAACACUUCAAUCAAAUGAAGCUUUAAUUAUGCAAUAGUCAGACAUCAAGGAUAAGGAAAUAAAAAACUUUUGAAGAAUAUCGUAAACAUAAAACCAAACCAAAAUACAGCGAGCAAAUACCAAUGAUUUUAUCAUACCCAUCAAUUAUGCUGUCAAGAUCAGUGUCAUCAAGAAUCUUGUUAAGCUGACGCUGACACUGGGCACUGGUUUGUAGCAGAUUCUUCUGAUCCUCUCCCAACUCAGUGUCCUCCAACAUCUUCCUUGAAAAAAUAAUUCCAGACAGUGGAUUUCUUAUCUGCAUCCUUAUGUAAGCCAAUACCUUCAACCUUUUCAAUGCAGUUUCCUCAGAUAGUCUUUGAAUAUGAAGUGCCUGCUGCAACUCGUAACUUGCCAGCUGCAGAAAGCAAAAUACCCCAGUGACUGCACCCUCUCUAUCCAGCUUUUUGCUCACACAGAGCAGGCACUCUAUGUACUUCCCAUUCCGUGCAAAGAAACCAAAGGUAUCUUUUCAGAUGCUUGACCACUUAUGGCAUUGUUUAGUAAAAUACCAAGAUUCACAAAAGCUUCCUGAUUCCUGAGCCUGCAACAGGCUGUAUGAAUUCCAAAAACCUCUCCUAAAAGCAUCUUAUCCAUAACCUGCUCUCUACGCCAUCCAGAUACUUUUGUCAUGGCAGAAUUCCACUCAGAGCACCAGCCAAAUUCAUCCGUUCCAAAUAUUGGAGGAAUCAACGGGUUGGGAUUUUGUACAAUAGCUCUGUAAUCACCUUCAAUUCUAGUAAACUUGUCCAUGAUAGCCUUCUGACCAGUUAUAUCCUGGGCAACAAAACAUACACCCACAACAGUCCCUCUAACAUCCCUGCUUGCACAGGCAUUCACAAUCAAGCUAACUGGGCCGCAUCAGCUUUUGAUCCAUGUGUUUUAAUCUCAAAUUGCACAUUUUGUUCUUCUUUGCCUGAUAAAAACAAAGAAAGAUUAAAAGCUGUACACAAAACAUUUGGGUGUGAAUUGACAUCAUGACUUAAAAAAUAAAAUAAAAUAAAAUACAAAGAUAAACAAAAAUGAAAAGGGAAGAACAUCAAUGAUUCAAAUCCACCCAAAAAAGGCUUGCAUUUAUGCAACUAUAAAAGCAAAUGAAACAUCAGUGUUUCACUCAAACACAUACCCAGCAAUGCCAAUUCCAGCAUCUUAUUCACUGUUUCAGCCGAUGAAUCUUCAACAAGGGUAAGCAAUUUCCUCCCAAUUGCUUCAUCAACAGCAAGACCAGUUAAAUCGGAAAUCUUUGUAUUCCACCCAUUAACCACCCCAUCAAUAUCAACCGCCAAGAUUGGAACUGAUGCUGUCUCAAUCAGCCGAACCAUUUCAGAUGUCACCGCUUCCAAUUCCUGCAAUCCGUCGAUCCGGAGGUCAUUAAGUUUUGAAUGGAUUUCCUGAGUGUCUGACUUGGUUCCCUCAUCUUCCUUGGAAGAAUUUCUCAGUAUAAGCUGCAAAGAAUGGAUUGCAUCCAUCUCAUAAUCCUUCCAAGUUAAACUUCUGGUCUUAACAACUUCAAGAAAUGCUUUGAAUGAAGACCUCGGAUGCAUCUUCCUACCAUCAUCCUUCUCCCCAGGUUCAUGCUUUGCACCACCCCAUCGAAUCUCUGCAGCAGUGUGUGAUCUGAACCAGAAAAGCCAGUCCUUAUCUGAUAUCCGAACAGCUGCCAUCCCACAAACUACAUCACCAAGAGCAAGAGCCCCAGGGAACCCAGCAUCAUAUAAACUGUCUGUGCUCAAACCCGUUGAAUCCAUGUGAUACUCAGAAAGCCAGGAUAUUAUAUCACGCAGCUGAAAGUCAGUUGGAGUUAAUCCCAUUCUAUGUAUUUCGUUCUUGUACAUUAAGACCGCCCCAUCACAUUUCACAAGAUCCAUUAUGUUUGGACUCUGUGAAACAAUGCCCAAGGGUGCAUCACUCAACAGCAUAUCACACAAGAGAGUCUGUGUUUUCAGAAUGUUCUUCUCAACAAUCUGAUUUUCUAAUUCCAACUCCUUGCUGACAUGGAUAGCAAACACUUGAGUGAGGAACUCACAGGCAUACCGAAGAGGGAAAGGAACAAAUCUCGGUGUUGUGUUAUGACACACAACCAAUCCCCAAAGCCUUUUCCUUUUUUGAGGGUCUGCAGGCUCAGAACUAUCCCCCUCAUCAUCCCCAUCAUUGAUUAUGACAGCCAUCACCAGAGAUGCAAUUGAAGUCAUGUUUUCCAUAUAUUGCAAAUGGCACGUAUGAGGGGCCCUGAGUGUGGAGCCACAUAAAGUAAGAUCAAAAGGAAGCUUCUCAUCUUGAAUCACCUUCAUAUGUUUUGCUCGGCAGUCGCAUAUCAUGCGAACUUUGUUUUUCAUGAAUAAAAAGCGUGCAGCCUGAGGGAUAUCUGUAGCUGGGUAAUGCAGACCCACAUAGGGCUCUAGGCCUGGCUUCGUGACUUCGCUUAUCACCUCUCCAUGAUCAUCAUCGUGAAAUUUAUAUGUCAUCACCCUGUCAUAACCUGUCAGUUCAAAAACCUCUUGAACCAUUGUAUCACAAAGUCUAUCCAAGCUCCCACUGGGUAGGGACUGCAGGCGUGUAAUGGCUUUGGCAGCAAGCUUAUAGGACUGCAAAGCACCAGCAGCAGUCAUGGGGACUUCAUAAGGCUUCACAGGCUCAAAAUCAAUGAUUAAGCUACCUGUCACCCUGUGAACAAUGGCAUAAAACGGCUUCCCAGAAGUUUUACAGUGGACCAAUAUAGGAUUCAGCAGAGAAACCUCUCCAAAUCCUAAGGCCUUAUACAAUGCUGCUGCACUAGGAUUAGUAAAAAUAGUUCUGAUAUCAGUUCCAAUGUCAAUAACCGGAUGAUCACCAACACUCGGAACAGCGUGACUGACCAUGGUCAGCAUUUCAGGAGCAUUUUCACUAUAAGCAAUGACUUUGAAAGUUUUCUCAUCCAGAGCUAAAAGACAUCCAAAUGGCUGGAUAAAUUUUCCUUUCUGAAUCUGAUGAAGGUAAGCUGUGGUUAUCCUAUCAGAUCUAGGUCUGUGCUCUCCAGGAGGUGUGACACGCACUGAGCUCGAAUAGUCAAAGGAACUACCUGACUCCUCAAAAUCAGCAUUGAGCUUUGCAUCUAUGGAGGUCUGUGCAAUUAUCCGAGCACUGUGCUUUGAUCUUGCUGAACUGCUGGAAGACUGACUAGGUCUUGAAGCUGACAUUUUUAGCUCAAACCUGCAUAAUACAUAAGAGUAAAGUUGAGAAAAAGGCAUCAAAAUUGAAUCUUUACACGAUCAAAGAAAUAAAUGACACCCAAGCUAAACCGAAGAAAAGAAAUUUGUAUCUUCAAAAUCCCGUAAUGAUUUCAGAUAUUCAUAAGUACACAAACCAUUAAUAUCCGAGACUCUUUCUACCAAAACCAACUCUCAUAAAUGGCAUUCUAGCCGACCACCGAACAAGAAAGAAGGUCCUAAUUUUCUUCCCUACUCUGAAAGAAGACAAUAUAGCACAAAGCUUGCAAAAUUAUGACAGCCGAAAAUAAAAUGAACGUCUCCAAGAUCAGGCCCACCAACUGUGGAGACAUCAUUUGACAACCCCACCCCACCCCCCACAAAAAAAAAAAAAAAACUACGCUGAGAAAUGUACGAAUGAAGUAUAAUGCACCAAGUGCACUUUAGGCCAAUAUUUUCUACAGCUUUGUAACCACAGCAGAAGUAUCAGAGUUAAAUGGAAGAGAUAAUAGAUUUAAUGAUAUCUUACAAUGCAACGCAAUCUAAACAUAUCUCACAGGUUGCUCUCAGACUCCUGGCUAGCAGUAAAUCAGAACUAAACUAAGUUGCCUGUUUAUCUCAAUACAAAUCUUUAACAGGAAAGCAAACAGAUAUUGCCGACUAAACAACAUAUGACAACAUCCUUCAUCAUUUAGAAGUCAUAAUUAGCUAUCCUGCCGGCCAACACUUCCAAGAAUUAUAAGUUCAGACUUAAAAGGGACAAGGGAAGAUGAUUCGAAAAAAGUCGUGAACUUUUACCAAUUAAGAUCAACAACAACAACUAAGAUGAAUCCGCAAAGUUGGUAUAAAAAGAAGCACAAUCCACAAAAUUGAGCAAGCUUCUACCUCUCAUCCUCUCCCCAGCAGAGAUGGUAGUAAUACUAACCCUUUUAACAACUUGGUUGCAGAGGCUAAAAGCAGAGUAGUAGCAAGUAGCAGUAGACUCCAAAUGAAAUCUUGAAAUAUUGAAACUUAGAACAGCUUCAAGAAUGAGCAACACCAGUUUGGUAAAUUGGAAAAACCCAUCAAAGCCCUCGGGAAUCCUAUAAGACUGCAAAGUUCAGCUGUUUCCAAACCUCCCUCCCAAGAUCUUGAUCACCGCCUCUUCUGAUUCUUUCAAGGGCAAAACCGGACCACAUCACCACCUCCUCUAACCACCAACCUGAAUACACCUUAUACUUGCUCACUCACUGAGGCCUAUCCCACUUAGCAUUAAUUUACUUAUUAACCAUACUUCCACACAUUUCCCCAGCAUACAUGACCAGAUACAUGUGACUGUACAUCAGCAAAUGAAAUUUUAUAUAUACUAAUGGUACAAAUCAUGUACAAUAUUUUAUGUCUAUAAAUAGUAAGAGGUGACAAGUUUACUGGAAGAAUGUGAACUCUGUUGGUAGUUUUGUUUCUAAACAUGUUAAAAGCAGCAGCUGAUCCACCAGGAAAAUCUAAAAAAAAAAAUCAAUUUUUAAAAGCUAAUAUAGCAUGGAUUAAUCUUAUUCAAAAUAAGAUUAGGUAACAUGCUGUUAGUGUAUACAUUGCGGUUGUAUGUAUACAAGAUUAAUUUCUAUAUAUUAUGAUAUUAAAGAAUACUAAAAUAAACAAAUGCCAAAAAGGAUAAGGCUAGAAAGUGAGUACCUAAAGCGGCGUAUUAAAAAGGGGAAGUGUCAAAUGGCGUGAAAAGUGCCUUUGUGAAAAGGGGUGAAAAUGGUCUUUAAGGUCUUGUGAGCUGUGAGGAUUAGUGCAACAAGUUAGGGCAACCCAUGUUUGGGGAAAUGGAAUUGAUGGGUAGAGAACAAAACUCGAACGGGAAGGUACCCACCAGCUACAAGGCCAAAAGGUUAUGCCGGUCACCCCAGGAACAGAAAAAGAAGGAGGCAGGGGGUGUUGGUGUCAGAAUUUUGGGUUAGAAGGUAUGGGGAGGAGGAAGGAUGACGGUGUGCCCAAUUAGUUUGGUUUGGCAGGUUUCCAGAUUUGCCUGCACUAUCAAACAGUUAGCUGCCCAUCCCAUCCCCAUCCCCAUCCCAUGCAUUUGCUUUCUUUGGACAUUUCAAAGCUUGACCACCAUCCACUGCAGCUGGGAGUGGUCAUAGUGGUAAUUUGGAAGUGCAAGUGUUGUUUAGCAAGUGGAAUUGCAGUCAAAUGAUGAUGAUUUUACUACUGUAAUUUAGUGCUAGUAACAGUGCAGCACCUCAUUUUUUUUUUACUUUCUUGUUUCUUGAUUGGAUGACUUCAGGUGAGAAAGUCGGAUCCUAAGAUGUAAAACGUGUAAGAAGGCGGCCCCACUUUGUCGGAAGAAAUGAUCUUUUAACGUUGUGUAGAUUGAGCAAUUUGGUACUUGGCAUGGCAUCUCAUUAGCACUCGGAUGUUUCUAGGACAGGAGGAGAUAGGUGCUAAGGUUACUAAGGUGUACGACUGCGUGUAUCAGUUUGGCUGUUUUGAGGAUUACAGCUUCACCAUUUCGGACAUUUCAGGUCAAAUAAUCUGUGAACAAAAGCAAAAGAAUUAUCGGAUAUGUGCACUACAAAGUAGGAGUAGUAACUAAUAAGGAAAGGUUUUUUCUACUAUGUACUAUAAAUUAAUUCACAAAAGAAAUAUUGCUGAAUUGCACACUCAUAUCUGCAUGUCUUCAACACUAGUAUAGAUAAAGGCAGGGAUAACAUUGAAAAAAAGAUUAAAAAAAUAAAUUUAACUUUAAUGAAAUGACAAAUAUUUUGGGACAUUUCAGUGUGGUAAUUUUUUUUUAAAAAAAAGGGAAAAAAAGAUUGAGAAGGUAAAGACGGUUGGUAAUAAUUUGUAAUGAGAAAGUUGAAGUUCAUUGUCCCACAUUGAAAGAGGAUAGAGUGCUCAUUAUAUAUAUAUAUAUCCUUGUCUUGUUUCCUUAACAAACUUGUUUUAUCUUAGAGGUAAUUUGUCUAAUAUAGAGGUAAAUAACACCUUAAGAAAAGUAUUUUUCACAUCUUAAAGUCUCUACAUUUGUCUAGUUUAGAUUAGUUAUUUACUGUAUUUCCAACAAAGACCUCAAGAAAGCUGCACUCUUGGGAAAGGUCUCCUGCAGCUGCGGAUAUUUUUGGCUAUUUUUGGACAUGGCAGGUAUCUGUCUAUAUACCUCGAAAUCAGGUAUUUUGGGGCAGAAAACACGACGAUUAGAUUCGACAAGUGCCGAUUGACAAAAUAUAUAUAUACGAUUCCCAUUUUGUAACUUUUGUUGCUUUGAGGGAAUCGUACAAGAAUUGGAGUUUACACUUUCUUUCUCCCCCAGUUGCUGAUAAAUUUUACAAUUUUGGUUUGGAAACGUAUAUUAUCAGCACAAAUUUUACAAUUUUGGCGCAGACCGUGGCCGUGGGGACUGGGCAGCUGGGCCUGGCUUGCACCCAUUGUCGAUGGAAAAACAGGCUUAAACAGCAAAUAAACACUUGAGAACCCAUUUGUCUGUUUCCAGUUUUUUUCAAGUACCAUUACCAAUAAUUUGAGGGAUUUUUUGUCUGGGAUUUUGUUUGCAACCUAAAAAAACUCCAAAAGAUGGUCAGUUAAGAUUCGGCCAUCCUAUGAAUUAUUCUGAUACUAGCAUCUUAGACAGUCACAUUCAAUUAUGUAAACGACUCUUCUAGGUUCUUCUGGCGAAAUCCAAAAAACAGUAAGCAACUCCUCUAGUUUUUUGUUAUAUACACCCUAACAAGGAAAGGGUGGAAUUUAAGGGAAAAAAAAAAAAGGAAAGGAACAAGGAGAAUUAAAAUUCAGAAUCUCUAACUUUUGGAAUUUGAAUUUUAGCCACUGGACCAAGACAACCUCAAUGAUAUUUGUGUCUCCAGAAAGUGAUAUUUGUGACACCAAAUUUGAGAACACCGGGAGCUGCGGCCUUGUUUGGAUUGCGAUUUUUCGUCGGAAAAUUACAUCGUUUUCCGUGAUCACAUUUCCCUAUUACCUUUUUCCCUCACAUAUAUCAAAUCGCUACAGUAAUUUUUCCAUGAAAAAUCAUGAAAAAUGCAAUCCAAACACAAAGGUACCGAAAAAUUUGUAGCUGUAUUCUCUAAUGUUUAGUAUAGGGUGGACACAGAUUGGGUAUCUGCUCAUCCACUAUUUGGCUGACCUAACUCGCACCUUGUGGGUCAGUUAUUUUCUAAUCCUUACCCGCAUCGCAUAUCAAUGAGUAUCCGAUUAUAGGGUAUCCGUUGAGAUCAAUAGAUACCCGACCCCGCCUCACUUAUCAUUUAAUUUUUUUAAAAAAAAUAAUUUAUACUAAUUUAAUUUUAUAUUUUACACAUUCAUCUAAGAUUUAAUAAAGAAUUUUUUAAAAAAGUCUCCCAUCAAGAAACAAGUAUGUGAAGAGAUUGCAAGAUAAAGAAAAUUUUUUUAAAAAUUCAAAGUCAAUAAAAGUUUGAAAUAAGUAGCACUUUUUUUUAAAUAUAUGGUCCACAUUAAUUAAACUCUUUUUUUUUUUAUAAAACAUAAAAUCAUGAUCUCUACAAAUAAAUCUUGUAAAUAAAAUAUAGCCUCUCAUAUUUGCAAUGCAAUUUGUUCAAUGAAAUUACUUAUUUAGCUCUAAAUUAUUAUUUUAUAAUAUGUAUAUAAAAAUAAAAAAUAAAUAUAUAUGCAAGUUAGAUCGAGUACCCACGAAUUUUUAAUUAUGUAACUCUAACCCGCCCCGCAUCUUAAUGGGUACUCGACCCUUUUUUGACCCAAUCAAUAAUACAAAUCCUGUAUCCUAAUUUUCGGAUCGAAUUCGAAUAUGACGGAUUUUCAGGUUAAUGGAAAAUUUUGCCCACCCCUAAUUUAGUUACCAUGCAGUUUUAGUUCUUAAACUUUAGAUAAACAUAAAUUUGAUCCGAAAUGUUUAGUGGAUACUGGCAUAUUCAAUCACAGCAGAUUUAGGACAAUUAAAUUUUUUUUUUCAAAUUGCGGAUAAAAUUUAGUUAUGUACAAUCAGCGGCUAAUUUUAAGCAAGGGACUAAUAGCACAUGAGUAAAAAUUAAUCAAUAAAAAAAAUUGAUAAACUACAAAAUUUAAACCGGUUGGAACAUCUAGUUCUUUGAUCCACCAUUCACUCUCCUAAUUAACAUUUGAUUUUUGUGCCAUCCCGUGAGUUAUUUUUAUUGUUUAAAAUUUAGCCGCCGUUCUGUUUCUUUUUUUUUUUUAACAAAAUUAAUUUAGCAAACACGUGACUAACGUGAUUAGGUUUCAUAAAUAAUUGGGAUGACCUGUCAAUUGUCUUGAAUUUGCUUCAAAUUGGAAAUAUUGGGAACCAAAUGUUGUUAUGCCAAACCUUUAGGAACUAAAAUAUCAGAGGCGCCAUACACUGGGGAUUCAAAUUUAUUUAUUUUUUCAAUCAAAUCUUUAGAGACUAAAAUCGCUCAGGUACCAAAUAUUAGAUAUUUUUUCCCCUUGUAAACCUAGAUAUGUCUAAACAAGAACCAUUUAUAAAUAAAGACCAUUGGAUUUGAAACCUACUCAGGAAAUUGCCCUGCCAAAUGGAAUGAUGACCAGCUUUCAGCUUCACUAAUUAAUUUUGGUAAAUUCUGUAAAUCAUCAAUUUUCACAAUAAGCUAAUGAAAGAAAUCAUAGAAAUAUAUACAGUCGCAGGCCCACAGGGAACUCGUUAAGAUAUAUUUCAGGUUAGGAAAAGUAAAUAAAUACAAGAAAUGAUAUGCAAGAUUAAAUAAGAAAAGUAUAUAAAUGCAAGAGAGGAUAAUAAUUGUUAGUGCGUGUCUAUAUUUGAUAGGUUAGAUGAACGAUAACGAGUGUCCUAAGGCACCCGUUAAAAAUUCAAAAAUAUAUAUUCUCUUCCAGGUUCAAAGUACCACCAAGUGUCCCCUACCUUGUCUUGGUGCCUUGAAAAGGGACAAAAAUGGACAUGCCCGAUUAUAAUAUAUCUAUAGAUAGAUAGAAUGCAAAGAAGCCAAAUCCAGCAAGGCAUGUAGUUCAAUCAGAUCUCCACAGGAUUUUUUUUCAAAAAAAAAAAACUUCAUCUUGCACGUCUCUAUCUCGAUCCAGCACACAAGGAUGCCCAAAAUAUCAUGACAAAAUACAGCAGAAGUGCAUUUACAUUCUUUCAGACUUCCACAGAGUUAGCUUAUUUUACCUUUGAGCAACUUUCAGCAAUGAGAUGGAACGAGAUAAUGACCAAGUGAUGGUGGAAACGAAGACUAUCAUAAUUCUUAUUCUUGAGAACCCAUAUUAGUAUAUAUGACAAAAUGGAAAAAUUAAGAGCUAACACCUUCAUCUAGCAUCACCAAUUGCCAGUGUUUACUACUUCACAGAAUGGUAGGUUUCCCUGUUGUCCAACGAGCAAAAAUGCAAAGUACGUAUUGUGCAUGAACACACAAACAAUUAAAAGAUCAUAACUACAAGGGAACAGAAGAAACUAGUCUUGAUGAGCAGAAGGAACAAGAUACCAAAAACUCCUGGUGGGUAAACUGCAAAUCCCUCUCGCUUAAAAUGCAGAAAGAAAAGGUUCAUCUCAUUUCCUGAUUUCAAAAAGCGGAGAUAUUUUGCCAUGCUUUAGGAUAUUCUGGUGCUUUUCACUUGAUGAAUGUGGGGCAAGUAGACCAAAUUGUUCAUAGGCGUUAUCAAAGGCAACCAACUGAACAUGAAUGCAAAAACUUUUAAUCCCAAACCAAGAAAGAGUUCAAAGGUAAAUCUUGUUUACCUAACCAUAAAUGUGGCUACAUUUUCUACUCUUUUCCCAGUCACAAUUCUAUAUCCAGACUAAAAUAUGUUCCAGGCAUCGCCUAUGUUUAAACUAUAAUCAAGAUGAGUCCUCCUGUUCAACACAUCUUGAUCACUUCUAUAACCAAGCUGUGAAAACACUCAAAUUAAGCAUAAGCACACCGUAUCUUGUUAUCAGAGUCCCAGAAUGCACAAUGUCUGGGUAAUUUGGAACUAAAAUUACGUUCUUACACCCAGUGAUCCAACAAAGGUCCAUCUGAUGUGUGACAGAUUUAAUCUCCCUUUCUCAGAUUUACCUCCAAUAGUACCCUUUGGUGAAGUCAAAAAUGCCCGAUCAAGGAACCGGUAAAGCCUUAUCAUUAUCACCAUCUUGCAGUGAAAUGGAAAGUUGCCAGUGUAACAUGUCUUUCCAUUUCCUUUGAACUAUGUUGUUCUUUUUCUUAAUAUACAACAGUUCAGUCAGAUACUAGCAAGUUCCAGAUCUAAAGGAGAUCUAUAAGGCUUCUAAUGACAGCCUAAUGUAUGAGGUACCAUAGCAGCAUAAUUUCAAAGCUAAGGAGGGCCAAAAUGAGUACAGCUACGAAGAAAAGAAAGACUGCUUUUGCCAUUCGGCUAGGAAUAAGUAUCAAAUAGCAAGCAAAACAGAUCAAGAACCCUAAAGAAACUCCUUUUUCCUCUCCUUGUACACCUGAAAUGUUCAGAAGCUAGACAAAUGUGGCAAGAGCUUCGGUGGAGAAAAACUGUUAAAAUUACAAAUCGAAAAAGUGGAAUCCCAAUAGUCCAACUCUAAUGGUAGCUCAAGAAAUAGCAUAUUCACUUUCCUUAGAGAACUUAGGUAUUGGAAAAGCAAUCUUCUUCAUAUAUUUGCACAAGUUAAAGACUGGUUGAAACAUUAUUCCAGUUUAACAAAAUCACGUAGGACAAUAUUUACAUGGACUUGGUUGAAAGCACAAGAACUGAGGAAACUAAUAAGAUGAGUGGCUAUUCAUCAGAAUGCAGAGCAAGAAAAGUAUCAUAUCCAGUGAUUUCUCCAUCACGAUAGAUAGAUCGGACAGAUAUGAAUCAAGCAACAGGCAUCAAAGGAAAAUUGAACUCAAGAGAGAUUUCACUAAUUAAGAAUAUACAUAAAACGUGUACAAAAUCCCCAAACUGAGGAUAAGAAGCAGUUUCACGCAAGGCUGAUAGUGCCUUAUUAAUUUCAGUUCCGGUGCUAUGGGAUCCAAUGGAGGGUCUGCCUAAUAUCAAAUUCCAAGACACUUUAGACAAUACAAAAGAUCUUGCUUUUUCAUCAAUAGAAAUUUAGUCACUAGAUGUUAUGUAAGGCUUCUUCUUCAUUACUUGAGCAUUUUAAAGCUCUAUAACUGAUUCUUCAACAAGUAGUUCAGAUAUUCCCAUUGGUGCUGUGUUUCAACUUUCAAAAGUACCAAAAAGCAAAGGUGCCAUAAAUAUGCUUUUCACCAUGAAACUUACCCAGAUUAAGACAAUCUAAAAGCAGAGGUAAAAAGCAAUAAAGGACAGAAAUAAGACGUUCAGAAGUGAGCUACCUAGAGUGCUGAUUCUAAGCUGAAACUAGCCCCAAAUCAUUAAUAAUGAAAGCAGCUUGUUGCUCAUGCUAACAAUUUCACAUGGUCGUGCUCAAAUACAGCAAAGAUACUCACACAAAGUUAAGCACAGUGACCACAGAAACAAGAAUUAAAGUCAGACACAGACUGUAGACUCAGAAUUUGGAUUCAUAACUCCUCUCUUCCUGCCAUCAUCACCCCCCAGUUAGCAACUCAGUAAUAACAUAAAAAUAUUUAGCAGAUGGAUGAACUCAAAUGGCUUCAUCUUUCACCAGUUUCAGAAUUACAGAUUCUACAGAUCAAAAUUCUUCGCACUUUUCAAAGUAACUUUUGAAAUGGCAGUUAUCAAGCUGUGUCAUCUAAAUGACAAUUGUGCCCCAAUCUUACAGCAUCUUCUGAAGUUUAUAAGCAUGCAGUGAUGGAGAUUCUCCAACCAUUUGGUACUUAUCAACUAUUUACAGUCUGGGGAACACUAGACUUCUAUCAAAUGUAAUCAAACAAUUAAAAAGAAGAAGAACAAGAACUUGAAGAUUUUGAGGCAAAAUACAAAUAUACAACUGAGAGAAACUCAACCAUUUCCUGACACGCACUACAAUAUAUGACCUUGAGUGAAAAAUCCUCUUGCAGCGCUUCAGAGAUACAGAUGAGCUAUGGCAACAACAAAAUUGCAAUCAAUCUAAAUUAACAAGCUCCAGCUUAUUGUAAAAAUGAGAUGAGAUGACAAUUUGAUUCACCACCUAAAUAGUUAAGAAAAUUCAAUUCACCAGGAGGCAGGAAACAUAUCUAUGAACCAAUUCCAGGAUGUAGCACAUCCAUAUAACUGAGUUUCCUUCAAAAUAGCACACCAGGAAUUUCCCUUAGCCUUCUGUGGUCCAUAUCCAGACCACAUGCAACACAUAGAAGAGCUUUGCUACAAAUAUUAGAGAAGUUUCUGAGAUGACUUGUGCAAAAAAUUUUUUUGCAUUCCUGCUAAGAUGAGUAUUGAUAAAUGAUUGCACAGAUUUCACUUUUAAAAACCUGGAUGAAACAGAGAACCCACUUCUAGCUCAAAAAGUUUUAACAACUCAAGUAACCGAUUUGAGACCAUUCUCUUCUACGCACUAUUUUCUCAUUCUCUUUCCAUUUCUUAUCUUCUAUUUAGUAUCCCUUUCUUCUUUUCCUCUGGGUAAUACAUAUACUGUACCUCAGAUGUAUGAUCAUGUGAAAACUUUCAUGAACAGACCUAUGCAAAAACAAUGCAUUAAUAAUAGUAGCAGCAAAGAUCGCAUUCUCAAAGGCCAAACUUUUCUGAGCUUUCCACAACACCGAAAUCCUGAUAAUGCUACUUCAUGUGGUCUCAAAGAACAUGAAGACAACAAUUCCUCCACAACUCAUGCUACUUCAUCGAAUAUCAUAAACUGACAUACUUCCCCAGUAUUUUGAUCUUUAUUCAUAAACCGACAUGCAUCGAAUAUUCAAGAAAGUAUACAGAUAUCAAAUUUGAUCUUUAUAUCCCUACAGUUCCUACACCUUUGAAAUCAUUCACCUCGAAUUUUGCAUUUUGAUUUAUGUUCCCCACAAAAGCCUCUGCCAGGUAAUCGAAUAUCAAAUACUCAAAAUUUUUACAAAAAAAAAAAAGAAAAAAAUCAUCUUUUUGAAUCUUUUUUACGAGGAAUGAGUGGAGGAUCCAAUUGAAAAUUAAAACAACCAAGCAAUUCCCUUGAAAAUUUCUCCUUUCACUUCUAAUCAUCUUAUACAAAAUUUAACUGGAAUCCAAAUGUGGAUUACAAUCUGCAGCAUAAAAAUCAUUCUUUUCAAUAAAAACUUUCAACAUGUCAUAAGUAAACUCCUUACUAUUAGGAUCACUGGUGGGUGGCGACUCACCUGAGGAAUCCACUGCCUGCGGUUGCUUUGUGCACAAGCAACAACAACCCUCUACCACCCCACCUUCCCCUCCACCUCUCCCAAAACACCCCCUGAAUUUAUGAAACCAGCCUUCCUCCUCCUCCUCCUCCUCCUAUUACUCUGCAACAGCUUCAGCUUUUUCUUGGCCUUCCCAAAUCGAAAUAUAGACACCUUUUGGGUUCUUUAUUACCCCCUUGUCCAGUUUCCUUCUUUAGACCAUCCCUUUUUGCUGGGCUACUAGUAACUUGUUCUUGUUCUUGUUCUUCUUCUUCAUCAUCAUACCCACCACCACCACCACUGGAGGAUGGAUCUUUUAUAUCAGAGCCAGACAUAUAAAAAAAGAAUUUGAAUUAAUAAUUUGUAAGUUUAUGAGAUGAAAAAAUCAUGUGCACAUACUUUGGACCACAUAGCAGCAGUAGUAUAUCAAAUACAAGUUGUAAACUAGGCAAUGUGUCAGUUGUAUUAUUGUUAGUAUGUUGUACAAUAACAAGACAAAGUCGAUGCAGUAUUGGAGAAACUGUGGGAUUUUUCUAGAGAUUGGACACAGAAGAAUGGAGAACUAACUUGGAUUAGAAAGAAAGAGAGGAUGCAAGAGAGAGGAUGAUGGAGACAGGGGGAAGGGGUCCGAAGGCGAGAAAGGGACUGGGAAUUGUCGUCUUUUACGCGCAGAGUUUCGGAACACGAGUCAUAAAUUUCGACAGGAAAGGUUGCAGUUUUUCUUUUAGUUUUCCUCCUUGGAUGAGUUUGUGGUUAACCCUAAGUUUGGAAAAAAUUGCUCUUAUGUAUAAUUAAUGUGAAAAUUUAGUCUCUUGAAAUGAAAACGAUUUUAGUUCCUUGCAUUUAAGAUGUCGACUCCCUUUCAAAUCAAUUUUAGACCAAUGACAAAUAUCAUGGACAAGCACUCGUCACGCCAUUAAUUUAGACUUAAAAACCAAACCAUCUACAAAAUUCUGAUUUCCUAAUUUUAGCUUUUUUUUUUUGGGGUAAGGUAAACUAAAAGGAGGGCUGAAAAACUGAAAACACCUCAAAUCCUAUGAACAAAACCAAGAAUCUCUCUCUACAGAGGAAAGACAACGUGUGGGUUUAGGAAGCGGAAUAUGAGAUAUGGGAGGCGGGAGAGAUCUUCCCAUUUUCCAAGUGCUUGUUUUUUUCACUUGGUAUGGUUGGCUUCCUGGCGGUGACAGACACCCGUUGCCAAGUAGAAAGUUCGGGCGAAAAGCGGCACGAAUCUAGACAAGCUUAUUUAACUUUUGUUCUUGAAGAAUCUUUAAUAGAAGAUGCAAUGAGGCGAAUUAGAAUCAAAGCGUCCUUACAAUUUAGGAUUUGGAGGAGACAGGGUCCUAAUGAAAAUGCUUCCAAAAUUCUUAUUAAAGAUAAGGACCAACUUUUGACUUUUAACAUUAAAUUCGCAAGGGUGAUGUAGCAAAUUUUGCGCCACGCAACAUAAGUGAAGGAACUUAAAUCGAGUCUACCCAAGUGUUGAUCCGAAUUAACCACUACGCCAAUGGCUCAGUGGCCACCAGAGAGGACUUAAGUCCCUCAUUGGCCUGUUGUUGAUGAGGGUUCAAAUCUCAUCUGCCAGCAAAAAAAAUCUAAAGGUGUGCCAUAGCACUCCCUUGAUCUAGUUGGGUCUGUAUACCCACUAGCCUCUAUCAUAACCUCCUUAGCGCUCUCACUCCCCCUAGAUUAGGAUAGAAACAAAAAAAAAAGUGUUGGUCCAAAAUUUUAUGUGCUUUGAUUGAAUCAAUUCCAAAAUUUUAAGUGCUUUGAUUGAAUAAAUGAGUUUAGGCAAUAAGUAUUUUGUCAAAAACUUAAAGCACGUGGUUUAUGCAUUAAGCACGUGGUGGGUCCGUUGCUCAUUUUGGUCAAAAAUAGCUUGAAAAGGUGUUAAGAGAACAAAAAACGAGCAUAAUUUAUAUGUUAGGGACUAAAAUGGCUUGUUCUCGUUUCGGGAGACUAAUUUUCACAUUAGUGAUAUGUAAGUGAUAAUUGGUGCAAUUUUUCCUCAGAAUUUAACUUCAGUGACACUUUAUCCUCUGAAGAUUUUUUUCCUUUUCCACCAAUGGACCUAAAUUAAUAAAUUAUGAUCUUUUUGGACAAAAGUUCCUCCAAAAACUUUAAAAUAUCUCCAUUGUUCAUUUAGAUAUUAUAUAUAUAAUAUUUUAAUUUUUAAAUAAUUUUUAUUUAUGACGUCAUCCGGUUCGACCCCCUAUCGACCCCCGGUCGAACCCAUUGACCCCUGACCCCUGACCUCGGCCGAGUCGCUAUCCGGUCCGGUUCUGAAAACAUAGCCUUUACCAUUACAUAUUGCCAAUAUUAUCAAGCAACUUAACUACAACUCAUUUUCACCCAAACCAUCCAAAAACAUUAGUGUAACCACCAAAUUAUAGUUCUUAUAUUGUUAGUUGAGUAAGAGAUAGGGCUUCCAGCACCUAUGUUUCCUAGAAUCUGGUAGUGUUAAGAGAAUGAAUUAGGCUUGUAAAUUAGAAAUAUGGGCUUUAGAUAAAGACAAAAAAGAACAGCAAGGGUCGAUAAUCUGCGUCUAUAUAAUUAAACAUACAAGAUAUGAUUAGUCUAGGGGAUAUCUUAUGGCUAUUUUCUGAAAUUCAUGCUGCUCCUGCAGAUUGCUUGUCAUCUGCAGCUCGCUCUAUCUGACUUUUCUUGUCUGUUUAUAUCCCUGUUACCCUCUUUUAUUAUGUUCUGAUGCAAAACUAAUAUAUGCUAUCUGAAGCUGAAGAGAUCUGCCAUCCCAUACCUGUCCUGAAAGAGAGAAAGAGAGAGGGAAGCAUAAGAAUAACAGAAACUACACUAAUAUGAACUCCUACUUAUUGUGACUGCUUCGCCAUGCGAUUUAAAUGUAGCAAUAUACCUAGCACCUUUAAUUCAUCUUCGGCAUAUUGUAAUCAAGUUUCAACAUAAUCAUAAAUCCUUAAUCCUUAAGUUAUUGGAUAAAGAUCCAUUUCUACAUGCUUCAUGAGCCUAUAGUGAAUAGAUUUACCCAAUGAACAUAUUUUUUUGUUCUGCAAUUUAUGUUUGAGUUGAUGCAAAAUUUGUUUAAAGCACGAAAGGUCUUGGUUAUAGACUUCCGAUAGUUGAUAUCCAUCGUGGGAGAAUGAGAUAAUUCAGUUAAAUCUGAGGAUUAGUUUUCCAUUUUCACCACCUAAACAUUUUAUAUCUUUGGAAGUACUUUGGUCAUCCUUUCAAUGCAUAACUACUUUUAAAUUACUGUCUGUAAGUUGUCUUGAUAAGGAAAUUUUCCAGUUGAGACGUCAGUUUAGAUUGAGACCAUGAUCCAUGAUCAGAUCUCAAGAUAUGAGUCUACUGUCUUGAGUUUCUAGUACACACGUAUUGCUAAAUACAAAAAUUCUCACGUCACCUAAUCACAAAAAACUAAUGCCUAUAGCAUGAGCAUUCAUCUUUAACCAGUGUUUUAGUUUUAAAGGUUCGAGCUUUAACUUCCGUAGCAGCAAAAGAUUGAGGUAGUAAUUGUUUCUACCUAAAGUAAGAGCACCAGAUGAAUGUAAAAUGGACGACCUGUCAUAUCCAUAAUCUGCUUUGCAUUUUGAUGCAAAUUGCUGCUUUCUGCAGGAGUAGUUAAGUUGGAUCAAGCUACCACUCACAGUUGAAGAAAGUUGAACUGCAUGAUAACCAUCAGAUACUAUUUAAAUAUGUAUAUAUUCAUAGACGUUCUGCAAUGGGACAUCUGCAUCUAUACAUGUGUAGCCCAACUGUUCAUGAAAAGAAUAUGGCCAGUCUUUUGAGGACCAUCUGGUCUGCGACUGAGAUCUUAUGUAUCGUUGGCUUAUUAUUGCUGCACCUUGUCAAAUAACAUCUAUAUUUCUGUCCUUCAUCCAAUAAUCACUUCGGAAGCAGUCUUGCUUGCAUUUUUGAUGAUUGCAGAAUCGAGCAUGCCACUAAGGUCUGCACAUCAUUGAACCAAUUCUUUUGGCUCAAAUCUGCAACUAGUUGAUUGCAAAGUUAGGUUAACUUAUAGACAUAUCUGAUAUACCGGGGUCAUCUUGCUUGCUAUUUAGGGACAGAUGUCAAGAAAGGUUAGAUUAUAUACAGUUUUAGAAGAUUAAUCAAUAUAAAGGCCCACUGGCUGGUUUUGUCACCACUAGGAAGUCUGCCGAUAGAAGCAAAGAGAAACGUUAUCUUGUCUAAGCAUUAUUGCAGAUGGUGGUAGUGCUGUCAUUUGAACCUGAAUACUUUUAACUUCUUUGCAAGAUCCUUAUGGUUUUACUGGUAAGAACUUGGGAAAUAUGCCGUUCCGCUUCCUAAAAUGUCGGCGUACUAUAAGACGUUCAAUUUUCUGCCCAAGUAUUUGCAGGAAAAUUGCCCCACAAAUAAUUUUCCAAGUCAUGAUAUAUAGUUAUAUUGAUCCUAAACUGCGGUCUUAUCAGUGCUUUCUGGAUUUUCUUUUAUAAAACUUUUUCCUAAUGUAUUUGUUUGCCUUGAUUGCUGAUAGACUGGAAUGAAGAACUACAAUGAAGGUUGUCAUACCCCUUGUCCUUUGGAUAUUAAAUAGAUGGAGCGCAAACAUGCAGUUAAAGUCAAGAUGUUAUAUCAGUUUAUUCUUCCACUUAUUUCUCCAGUUUAUUGUUAUGUUGGCAUGGGAAGGGAGAAGUUUUUAGCUUGAUUACUAUUUUUUUUAACUGUCUUUUUUUUUCAAUAUCAGAGUUACUUCACAUGGAUGGUUGCACUGCAUUCCUUGCACUUGGGGACCAAAUUCAUUUUUCUUGUUAUCAUUACCAGAAUAUAUUGCAAAUCCUCAGAGCAUUGCAUUUAGAAUGGUGGCUUUGCAAUUACGAGACGUUUCUUUCUUCAGCCACUCAAUCUCUGAUUUUUACUUUGUUGAUUAAAGUAGUUUUGUUUGUGGUUCUAGCUAGCCUUCAAUCUAAUAGAUAGCCUUGGAAAAUAGUACGUACUCCUUUCAAUCUAACCACGAGUUUAGAAUGCUUUUCAAACAAAAAUGUAGCAAAAACCUCAGGAAACUUGUAAACAUGAUAGGUAAGAACAUGAGCAAACUACAAUUUUGUUCUUAGAGAUCAAAAAAAUUUUGAUCAUCGCCACAACUAUUCAGAUUUUUAGCAUACAUUACAGAGGUCUCAUAGGCAUACAUGCCGGAGAAUUUUCGUGACGCUUUCAGGAAUAGAGCCUGUUAUGUCGUAUUUCUGGGAAAGCAUUUGCGGAGUCACGAUGCUUGGUAUCUGGACAACUGUCUCAGCAGACUUGAUGCUUCAGCCGAGUUAAUUUUGUUAUCCAACAAUUGAUUCAGAGUUAAUACAAUUGAUUCAGGCGGGGACCUUUCGGAGUGCAGUAAGUUUCUUUCAGAAUCACUCCGAGUCAUCACGAGUCAACUCGAAUUUUCAUUAUUUUUACUAAUUUUUUAAUUAUUUUUAAUUAUUAUAUUUUUUACAAUUUUUAGAAUAUUAAAAAUUUCAAGAAUUCGCGUCUCGUCGAAACCGCGACCGAUAUGCCCAAGACCAAUGUGAAAUGGUCCAGGCCGCGACCGCAACUUUGAACCAUGAUUACAAUGCUAUAUCAUGUAUGCAAAUGUAUUGGCGUGAGAUGGUAAAAGCCGGCUUCAGGGUGAUUAUAUACCGUGCAAAAGCCAUUGCUGGUACGUUUGAAUGGUGGAUUAGGAUUAGAAUGCGGUCGAUAAAAAUGUCUUGUCAAGUUAGGAUGUUUCUUGUGGUCAUGUGCAGAUUGCAGGGACGCCAGAGACAACGAGAUGCAGUUACUCUGUUAGCAGUAAAGAUAGCAGCACUAUUGACUCAUGCUUGGUGCAGUUAACAAGGCUUCGCAGCCAAGCCAAGAUGAAAUUAAUAAACGUAACGUCGACAGUCCCACCUCUGGCAAGCUGGUGGGGGCUCACCAUAUUUAUCUACAAUAUCCUCUGUCUUUCCUUCCCAUAUCCCUGCAGCAGUCCUCCUAUUAUAUUCUUUCAAUGGGUUUAUUCUUGUCAAUACCACCUUGUUUUGCCAGAACUGUAGCGAAAACCGCCAGCACGUGAAAUUAUUUUUAGAGAUGGCCUGCAGUUUCCAAAGCACUACUAACGAUAUGUUCCCUCUUCUCCAUGUUUUCAGGUUGUUGAUUGUUCUUUACAAGAUUUUCUCUUGAAUGAGUUUUGCACCACCUGUAACCACCAGCUCUUGGGCUGGUGACCACCACCAAGCCCUUAAGGCUUUGGUGUGGUGGAACCCUUGCCUCCCACCAAAAUGCCACUCUUGUGGCUCUGCUUCAAAUUCAGACGAGUGUGUAGUGUACCCAUCUGGUCCGGUGAUGGUUCUGUCCCCAUAGGCUCAAUUGAGCCUCCCUCGUAGAUAGAGUAGGAGUAGGAGUAGGAAUGACAAUUGACAAAAAAAAAAAAAAGAGUUUUGCACCACCUGUCAUCUGAAAUCAGGACUGAGCAACAUUGGUUGUGUAGGCAUCAAAUUCAGUUAAAGAAACCCACAAAUUUUAAGCAGAUUGGCAGGUUUAGCUAUGGCCUGUGUUCUUUUGGUAUGGCAUUUUUCGGACUAGUUGGCUCCUGUAGACCUCACGGGGGUAUUUCUCUUCUAAUAACAUAGAAGCUGCAGAAUAUUAUGCAGAUGACUGCGCUAAAGGUUGGGUCUUAUGCUUAGGUAGGAAUUUAGUUGGGGGUAAAAUUAGAGGAGGACUGAGCCAAUAUAUACAUGGCCACCCAAUCUUCAACUUUCCUGCCAAAAAGCAACAGAAAAAUCCCAAUUUUAAAGAGGAAAAAUUUGGAAAAUAGAAACAGCCUCGUGGAGGGGAGCAAAAGAGCAAAGACAAGUAGAAGCAGCAAGAUACCUUAAGACAACUUAAUUUAGGUCGGCCCUUUAUUGCUUUUUUUCUUUUUCUUUCUUUACAGUAGUUCUUUUACUUAAUGUGGAAGUACACUGCUUUUCUUUCUUUUAUAAGGACAAACUGGAAUUUUAAUACUCACUUAGUUCUAGAUAGUCCUUUUACUUUCUCCAUAUAUGAUAUAUCCCUUGAAAACGAAGGGGGAAGAAAAGUAAAAACAAAAUCUCUGGCUUGACUUUUCCUCCUCCGUGCAUGGCUGGUUUCCAACUUUCAUGGAUUGCCAAACAACCAACCAAACUAAGCAGGUAGGAAUAGCCAGGAUACUAUAUGUGCAGGCAUAAGUCAAAACAAAUGUAUGAAUUCUCAUCGAUCAGUACGAAGAGAAUCCAGAAAGAAGUACAGAUAUUCAUUUGACGAAGCCCAAGCUCAAACAAAGGGGUCAUGAUGCAUGGUGGUGAUAGACAAGGGACUGAACGAGACACAGAAGCAAAGAAGCCACGGGGAUUGCCCAGUUGCACGUGAAAUCCCACACCUGACCUCUUCACUUUAGCCAAUCUUUUUCCCCACAUCCAGAUUGUUUGAUCUUGAUAUUGAUGUAAAAGUCAAAAGAACCCUGAAACAUUUUCCAGGGAUUUUGGGAUGAGGACGAGGAAAUGGAGCCAAAUUAAGGGCCACCUCCGGCUUGCGCUGCAAACAGCUGCUCCACAUGAUGCAUGGACCGGAGAGUGGGGAGGGGUCCUCUUAGAUUCCACCAAAUCACUUGCUUGCUCAAGGCAGGGUCCAGGUGGACAUCUCCAAUUCCAUUGGAUACGUAGCUUCAGUUUUUUUGAGUCGUGUCCGACCAUUAUUUGCUAGAACUAAAAGCCCAGUGACAUCAAUCUCAUUCCAGUACAAUACAUGAGUGGAGCCAAGAGCGAGUAAUUCCAGUUCCCGGCCAGCUUGUCAAGUAUAUCCUGUAUCUAUUAUGACAGGGGUUGAACAGAAUAUUGAGGCCUCGAAGAAGGAUCGACUGAACAUGUUCGAAAGAGUACUCGUAGACAGUAGGCAUGCAGCUACUGUUUAUUUUAAAUCUCGAGAGUUUGAAGGUCGAAUAAAAAAUUUUAGACUCGUCUCGUCAACGUUAUUGGUAAUUAAGUCGAACUUUUGCGUCUUUCAUCCUUUUAGAAGAGAGAAGAGUGAGGAGUAAUUUCUCUAUCUCUCCCCUUAAUUAGUAAAGCAAUAAUCAGUUGAUUAAGAAGUUGUUUAGGAAAGUUCCAACUCAAGGGGGGCAAGUAGCAAGACCUAAGAGAUAAAUAAUGGAGUUCAAACAAGUGAGCUUGAUCGAUCAAUGGUCCAAAAUUUUGAUAAGUAUUCCUUUUUCAUGCAUGAACAAGAAAUUUAUAGUAACUCGAGCCUUGUUUUUCACUAAUUUUUUGGACCUACUUUUAGCUUCUGAUUUUAGAAAAUUAAUUAUGAGAUAUUUUAAAUUACUUUUUCUUUCAAUUUUCAGCUUUUUCUAGAUCUAAAAUCAGAAGUUACACAACACUUGCUUUUCAAAUUCUGAUUUUGGCUUUUUAAAAAAAUCAAAAUCAGUUGAGUGCAGGCCAGCCAGCAAAAGUUCACAUCUAGGUUCUGAAUUGGUCUCUUCAUUAGAAAUGGUGGUUUUGUUAUAAUAUUAAAAAGGGAAGAAUUAGGAGAAGACAAAUCCUCUUUGUUAGCUUCUUGUGCCAACUAUAAAAACGACGGAGGAAGAUCUAGCUAGGCACUUUAAUUAUGAAUCUCUAAACUGUCCAAAUCUAUAGCCAUAAUCAAACUAAUGACUUGUACAGUUCUUAAUUAGUAUUAGGUAUCUCAUAGCAUUUGAAAAUUAGUCUGUCAAAUACUAUACAUUAUCCACAUCAAUUAAGUAAUUAGAUGACUUCUUUGGGCCCUACGAACAUCUAAGAAAGCAAAAGGCAGUGAUAUUAUUUGUCCCUAAUCACUUUUAAAUGAAUAAUGCUGUCUAUUAAAAGCCGCUUAUGGCUCGUUUAAGGAUGUUUUGCUAAGACAAAGAGCAGUUAUGACGGUUUAGUCAGCUUAAUUAAAGUUGUUCUUGACUCUUUUUUUUUUUUUUUUUCUUUCCUUUAAUAUGAUUGUGUGGGUUUAUAUGGUAACAAUUUGUCGAAAAUGAUUGCAUCUUUCGUUACUUGUUUCCUUCUCCAACACAAAAUUAUAAAAGUCACUAGAAACAAAUACUUUUAGGCACCGGCUGACUGGAUCUUGGAAAUCUGCUAAUGGAACAUGUGUAAAGGGUCGUGAAAUUUAAAAGUUUGUGCUCCAUACUUCUAAAUCUUGUUUUAGACUAAUACGAGAUUAACUAAUGUUUGGAGAAGUAUUAGUGACACACACAGUCUGUAAUUAAUUUUGCAUAUAUAAACUGUUAUAUAUAUAUAUAUAUAUAUAUACACACACACACUAGUGUUAAUGUGUGUACAAUCAGGGAAUUUUUAUAAGGAUAAAAUUUAAAAGAUGAGAAAAAAAUAUUCAUACCAAUAUUUCUAUUGUUCGGACAUUAUAUAUUGAUGAAUGGUGCUCAAAUAGAGUAGUGUGUCCAAUAUCUGAGGGAAAGAAGAAUCAUAAAAACCCAUCAUGAGCAAAUCAAUGACUAGACUUGUCCCACAAAAACCUAAUCUUUUUUUGGUUAAAAGCUUAAUUUAAUACAAGAGAGGAGAUCAAAGAGGAUAAGAACAUGUAGUCCCACGUAUAAUUAAAGAGAUAUUGGCACAAUAUUUCCAGAUGUCAUAAUGGUGCCAAAUGUGGAUCAAAGAUCUGGGAUAAGAUAUACUAAAUUCUUUGAAUAACAACAAAGAAAAAAAAGAGGAAAAAAAAAAUAAAAGUAGUUAAACAAUGGAGGAGGUGACGAAAUUUUCAAAAUACAGAGAACACAGACACAUUACAUUGCACCUUACCAAAAAUGUAAUACUAUUAUUAUGUCGUACGUAGUAGAAGACUACAGACUCGUUCCUAAAAACAUUAUUAUUGCUUUCUAUUUCUAAUCCAAGCCGUCAUAAUCAAUUUUAUAGUAGUAGUAGUAUUUCUUUUCUUAUCCGAGUUUAGGGCUCAAGUUGUAAAGCUAAAGGACCAUAAAUUAGAAGCUACACAAUCCAUUAAAACCUUCGACUAAAUGAACUAGAAUUUCUUCUUCUUCUUUUUCUUUUUAAAUUAUUAUUUUCCGUUUAUCUAAGAGAUACUUUAAGGUCAGGCUUGAUAAUCCAAUUCAAUAUUUACAUUUAAUGGAUUCAGAUAUUAGCAUAUUCGUGUUUGAUAACAAAAAAUAGUACAUUAAUUAAUUAAUUAAGUAGGUCUGAAUUGUGUAGGCAAUGCUUAUUUUUAAAAAAAAAAAUGAUAAACUGUUCACUUAUCACUUAAUGCAAAUGUAGAAUGCACUCAAAUGUUAACAUUUCAGUAUUUAUAAUUCAAUAGUUUAAUGAAUUCAGAUUUCAAAUUUUAAUUUUAAGAAAAUAAAAGUCAUGAGCGCAGUCGAGCCAAGAGUGUCUCAACCAAUUCCCUAUCAAUCAAAAACAAACUUGGAGUAAUACAAUUGAAAUAUUUUUGUAAGGGCAAUAUUUUCAAGUGUUCAACUGCUCGCUAGUGGUUAGAAAAUCAAAUCACCAUCAUCUUCUCAACCGAUGCAACCUGAAAUCUUUUGUUUUUACCACCAUAUUAUGUGAUAUCUCCACAAAGAAAGAGUAGUGUCAGAUGAUUAAUGUCACAUAAAACCGGACAAUCAGCUAAUUAUGUCAAGUUUUCAUUGAAUCCCAAAUUAUGUCAUUUCUUGACAGAACUACAAAAGCUGGGCAGGGCAUCCAAAAAUUGACACGAAUAUGGCCAUGUCAUAUUUCCACAAAACCAAUAUUGAUGGUCCAGAAACGUUGAUUUGAAACCAUUCUGAAACUACGGGUUCUCGAUUAAACAUGAAUGAAAAGGCCAACCAGAACUAACAAAACAAAUAAAAAAAAAGGUGGUUUGCUCUUUUAGAGAAAGGAUAAUGAAGAUUGAGAAGUCAUAAUCACCCAUUAAGCCUAAACAUAUAUGUUUGUGGUGCCCGCAUUGACCUAUACAAAAUUUAGCUCAUGUACGACGACAUAAAGCACUAUAGUACUUUUAUUAAAUGAUUUCUUUUCUUUCUUGCUUGGGAAACAGAAAGCACUCCAGUGCAAAAUGGCUAUCAGGCACCUCGAUUGGAAGAUAUUAUACAGUUACUUUGAGUUACCUUUUGAAAAGAUUGUAAGCAAUUCUUUAAAAAUAAUACGUACAAUUUUGUAACAAAUGCAUAAUAUCGUGUUAUUGCUAACAUGGAUUUAUACAUACGAGCUAAGUCGAGAACUACGUGCGUGAUGAAAAUAUUACAUUCAAAUAUUUACGCAUCUAUAGAUGAUUUUCUACUGAUUGAUUUGGCUAUUAAUUUAUGGACGAUACGCGUAUAUGAAUUUAUAGAUGCGAGUUAUGUCGAGAAUCACAUGUUAAAAAUAUUACAUUCAAAUAUUUACAUAUCUAUAAAUGAUUUUCUAUUGAUUGAUUUGGCUAUUUAACUUAUGAAUGAUAUCCACGUCCUUAGUUGAGAAUUAUAAGGCGUGUGACGGAUAUUGAAAGGUCAAAAAAAUCAAAAUUUACGAGAUUGCUAUUAAAUUUAGGAAGCAAUUUAGUUGGAGAUUCCACAAGAGCUAUGAGAGUUGAGUAGGUAACAAAAUCAAAUUUAAGAAAUGCAACCAGGCACAAGUUCAAAGAGUUGUGAGCUUAACCAAGUUGGGAGGUGAUUAGUUUUGAGAUUAUCAAGACAUAGCCAAUAACAAAGCCAAAAAAAAAAAAGGAAAAAAACUUGAUAAGGAACUUUUAACAACGGUUGAGUUUUCAAGGUGCUUUUACUAACUAUGGUUAAAAAAUGACCAACUCAUUGUUUUGUAGAGCAGGAAAAAUAUAGAAAAGGCCAAGCCUUGAGCUGUUUCUUCAUUCGUACUGUUACUGUUAGUCUGUUUCUACUCUUUACUUGCAUUUUUGUGUUGCUUCUUCCUUCGGCCAGCGUCAAAAUACCCAUGCCUUUCGCCGACUUCUACGAGCCCUCUGAAUCCUCUGUUUCUCUUUCUGUAUCAAUCUCCGCUUAAUGUAGUAUAUAACAUAUUAUUUUAGGCUUUGUUUGGAUUGCCAGUUUUCGUCGAAAAAUUACAUCAUUUUCCGUGAUCACAUUUCCCUAUCAUCUUUUUCCCUCACAUACAUCAAAUCGCUACAGUAAUUUUUCCAUGAAAAAUAACGAAAAAUACAAUCCAAACACAACCUUAGUAUUCAGCAAGUACGUUUCUUUUGUCCUUGGAGCUCAAAACCAAGUGGGGCGUGUAAAGACUGUACUUUUUGGGAAGCUAUUUGAAGGCAUGUGGAUUACAAAAUAUUGGUGGGUUCAAGAGAAUUAUCACAGCUCAUUAGUGGAUGUGAUAAUCUUUCGAGAUUUUUAAGACUUUGUUUAAUAAUAAAGUUGAAAUCUCGUUAAUGAUUUUGAUUGGACUAAUGGGUUCUGAAAAUCCUCCCCUUCUUGGAGAUUGGUGAGGUGAGUGAGGCUUGGACUUGGAGUUCAUUUUUAAGAGGUGGGUUUUUUCUUCUUUCUUCUUUUUUCUUUAAGAUUAGUGCUACUUGGUUCCCUUUAACUGAUAAAGAAUUGAGGGUUGUUAAUUAAUUUAGCAAUCUCGUGUGGUUUUAUCUUCUAAUGAUUGAGUUUCAAUUAAAAGAUUGAAUUUUUUAUGGUAAAGAAGCUCAAAUAGUUGGUUAUCAAGUAGCUUAUGCUUCCAUUAAAGAAUUGGUUUGACUGGUUAAUAUAUUUUUAAUGCUGUUUCUGGAUUUUUAUGUACUUUUAUUGAUCGAGACAUUAGUAUAAACCACAUGUAAUUUAUGUAAGCUUGUGAUUUUUUCUGGUGUAUUAAGCACUCGUAUCUGUAUCUUGUAUAUUGGAUUUAUCUGCUUAUAUGCAACUAAAAUUGUCUUGUAGUAGUGGGGUAACGUCAUUUGUUGAUGUCGUGCUAUUUGGAUUUAUGUGUUCCAUUUUAAUGUCGGUUGAACUUUGCUGAAGUGCUUUAUGUUCACACUUUUUGUGUUUCAAAAGGGGUUCUUUUGUUCUGGGGAUUUUAGUUCUCUGACAAGAUCAAGGGUGUGCAGGUGUUCCAGUUUGUCCAAGUUAAUGAAUUUCUUGCAUUUCUGAGUGGGAGUUGUGUUGUUUUUUCACCAUGCCCCUCUCUGAGUUCCUGAGAAUGGCCAGAGGAAAGCUUGAAUCUGCCCAACCGAAAACUGCAUCUUCUACCGAUCUAUCUCCAGCGUAAGCAGACUUUCAUUUUAUUUAGGAAAAUGAUCCACUAUUACAUCUUAUUGUUUUUAUUUCUAGGUUGCAUACUUUUGUGUUUGAAACAAAUUGAUGAUUUCUUUCCCUUUUUUCUGUGUAUUGUUUGUUACAUGUUGUAUGAUAUUGGUGUAUAUGGUUGCAGAACUGAAAAUGAUCUUGUUGAGCUACUGUGGGAAAAUGGUCAGAUUUUGAUGCAGGGUCAGUCUAACAGGGUUAAGAAGAGCCCUAAUUUGAAUGAUUUUCCAUCACAGGAGCCUGGAAUUCGAGAUAGGUUCACUGGAAAUGUCAGCACUUCAAAAGUUGGGAAGUUUAUUGAGAUUGGGUCUACCUUGAAUGAUGCUAUGCCAUCAGUGCGAUCAGGAGAGACUUAUUUGAAUCAAGAAGAUGAGAUGGGGCCGUGGUUGAAUUAUCCUGUAGAUGAUGGUUUUAGAUCAGAUUUUUGCUCUGAAAUCUUACCAGAAAUAUCUGGUGUAACUGGUAAUGAGACAUCCGCCCUUAACAGCUUCGGAUUAGUGGUCAAGGGAAGCUGCAAUCAAAUGCCCCAGCAUUCGUAUGCAGUUCCGGUGCAUAAUGGUUUAGAUAUAGAGGCAAGGAAUGCAUCAAAGGUUUCUUCUUCAAGGACGGGUUUGUUGAGUCCAUACUCAUCGCAGCAAUGCCAAUUAUCUGUUGCACCUGCAGGAUCGGGAGUUUCAAGUGUAGUUAUGAAUACCACAAGCAACAAUCCAGUUACAUUUUUUGGAGAUACAGGUCAAGGUCAAGCUUCCCCAGGUGGUUUGGUUAGCAUGAAGAUGCAGAAUCAAAAAGUGGGGGCAUCCAAUUUUUUGAAUUUUACCCAUUUUUCAAGACCAGCUGCUCUUGUUAGAGCUAAUCUUGAGAAAACUGAUGGCGUAGCUGCUUCCUGUUCAUCAGGUAUUGAAAAGGUCUCUGCGGUGAGUAGUAGUAGUCCUGUCAAAUCUACACAUAAGCCAUCUAGUAACUCCCAGAAGGAUAUUUGCGUCCAUAACCAACCUAAAUUGGUCUCGACCAAGGUAGAUUCCAGACCAUCAGUUGAUAAGCCACCUGAGGAGUCAUGCAGUGCUCAUCGACCUGAUAAUUUGCACUGGGAUGAUUCAAUUAAGAAUGAUAAGUCCUCGAGCCCGAUAAUUGGUUCUAGCAUCACUAAAGAAGUGAAAGACAGUGAGAAUCCUGUUGAACCUGUUGUUGCUGCUUCCUCUGUGUGCUCUGCAAAUAGUGGCGAGGGAGCUUCAAACGAUCAGAUGCAUACACUGAAGAGAAAACAUUGUGAUAACGAGGAGUCUGAAUCACGAAGUGAAGUAAGACAUAACACUGACCAACCAAUUUGUAAACGCUUACUGAUUUACUCCCUAGUGAUAGGUAUAGUGAAAUUAAACACCUGACAUGCAGGAAAUUGAAGAAGAAUCUGUGGGUAUAAAAAAAGUAGCUCAUGCAAGGGGUGUUUCUGGUUCAAAGAGAAGCCGAGCUGCGGAAGUGCAUAAUCUGUCUGAGAGGGUGAGGAAAACAAAUUUCUGACAAUAAUGACUUCAUGUUGGUGUGUCUCACUUAUUGAUCCCUUUAUUGAUAAUUGCAAACAGAGACGAAGAGAUAGGAUUAAUGAGAAGAUGCGUGCAUUGCAAGAACUUAUACCCAACUGCAAUAAGGUAAUUAUAGAUAUAAACUCUUGCUUAUAUGCUCACUAUCUGUCUGAUGCUGCUAACAGCUCAGUACAUAAUCACUUGCAGAUAAGAACCAACAGAGAUAAAUUUUGAUUCAAUGUGUAAAGAGAACUGUAUUCUUAUUUUAAAAAACUUUGUGUGCAUCUGUAAUGUGUAUACCUCUUUUUGAAAAUAUAUAUAUGUAUGGAGUAUAUGAUGAUAUAUGAAUAAGAUCUACAUUACCCAACAUUCUGUCCUAUGACUCGAAGUAUGUCGUCAAGAAAUGUUUUUACUUGAUUUAGCAUACUGUGUAUACUUCGCAUCUAUAAAAAAAUAGAAGCUUUAAUGUGAGCCUUAGUAUAUUAUGAGCUCACUUAAUGCUUUUCUGAUUGCAAGAUGUUAGUUUCCUUUUCCAGUCUCACCAUGUUGCUAUUGAACCGAAACUGGUUUGCAAAUCUUAGUGAUUUAGAUUAGAACUCCAAGUUUCAAUUAAAUAAGAAUUUUCUGUUCUUUGUUUCUUGUGUAUAAUUUUUUUGGGAUGCCUAUCUUCAUUUUCUAGGCUGACAAAGCUUCGAUGCUUGAUGAAGCCAUUGAGUACUUAAAGACUCUUCAACUUCAAGUACAGGUAAGGUGAAAUAGGGUCCUUUAUGACUUUAUUUCUACUAUUAUUUCGGUGGUUUAUUUUCUGUUGUGUUCUACAUUUAUCCCUCCGGCAUAGAAGUCUAAAGUGUAUAAUAGACCUUGCAUAACUAAAAAUUGCUGUUGCUAGUUUAUUCUAAUUGUCUAUGUUUCUAGGCUAGCUUAUUUAUUUCACUUUAUUUUCUUGGAGAAGUUUUGUGUGGGAGAAGGCUAAAGGAAGCUGCAUGAUGAAAUUGAAGAUACACCUGGUUGGUCCUACCGUGUAUGGGUUCAUGAAAGGAUAUAUAGGUGCUAAACCUUUGGAACUAUAUGCACAAGCUGGCUCUUUUUCUUUUUGUUUUCCUUCCCGAAAAAGUACUUUUUAGUGUUAUUCCGGGUGGCAUUGAUGCAAGGAGUCAUGUCCAUACAAAGGCUAAACUCUAUGAAACCUGGCCGUUUCAGUGGUGAAGAUGCUGGAUGAAUUGUUUUGUUGUUUCUUCUUUUUGAAUUUCUAAUAAUGUCCUUGAAAUAAUUAUAGUGCUUGCUUUUCUCUUCUUUAUCCAGGUGAUGUCAAUGGGAGCUGGAUUGUGCAUGCCUCCAAUGAUGUUUCCAACCGGAUUACAACACAUGCACGCUGCUCAUGUGCCACAUUUUCCUCCCAUGGCUGGUGGAAUGGGCAUGGGAAUGGGUUAUGGGAUGGGAAUGCUAGACUUGAAUUCUGGAUCUCCACGAUUUCCGAUAUUUCCUCUACCGCCCAUGCAAGGAGCACAUUUCCCUUCUCCAACUAUUUCUGGAUCUUCUGGUUUCCAAGGCUUAGCUGGAUCAAACCUUCAGGUGUUUGGGCAUCCUGGUCAAGGAGUUCCUAUGUCAAUCCCAAGGGCUCCCUUAGUUCCUUUGGUGGGGCAAGCUCCCAUAAGUUCAGCUGUGGGUGUGGAUACCUCAAGAAUGGGAAUUCAUGUUGAAGCUUCAAAUGCAUCUCCAACUUUAAAUUCUGUUGUUGAAGUGCAGAAUAAAAAUUCACAGCUAAAUCAUAAAACUGAUACUGGCAGCUCAAUAAGCCAGACAUCUAGUCAGGUUUGUGGUUUAUGCAUGAGUUAGCUUAUUGCACUCGUAAUCAAAGGAGAGAUUCUUUCUUAUAAAUUUGCCUCACCAAUCCGUGUAGUAACUGCAGCUUCAAAGUCUUUGAGCAAAGAUAGCAAUUUACUGCUUUCGCUCUCAUUGCUUUCCUUGCAAGUUCUUUUCCUUUUUCUUUCCUGGUGAAUUUACAUUUUGCUAGGUAGUUGUGGGGGAUUUAUUUAUCAAUAUUUAUGAUUUCAUUAGACUAAUACUCCACCUCCUAUUGCUAUAAUCAUUCUUUUGUUUUUGGGAUUUCCCAUUAGAGGUGGUAUCCUUGUUUUCAACAUAGAUUUCAUUUGAAGGAGAACAAGUGUUGUUCCUUUUACAUUCUUGUGGUGAAAUAUAACCUCAAUUCCUCUUUGAAAAGUAUGGAAUCAUUUCAGAACUUGCCUCGUUGACUAAAUGGGCCAACCUGUUAAUGCCUUGUCUGAAUUCUAGAUGCAUUUCUUAGGAGCUAAAACAAGUCAGACAUAGAGCUAGUAGCUCUUCUCUAGAGGCAAUAAUGGAAAGUUUGCUGUGUAUGUUGGUACAACUUUGCUGCUCAUAAAGAGUUGAAAUCACAGAUUGACUCUAACUACAGGGUGAGGCGGAAGUAAUUGGGUGCAGAUCAAUUGUUAUCGUUCCUCUGUACUCUGUUUUCUUUAGUGCCCUUUUUAAUUACUGUCCUGCCUUCUCAUAUGUGCGAGUUACAAUUUUUCUUUGAUUAAAUUUCAUCCAGCCGAUUGGUAGGGUAAAUGUUGAUCUCUGAGUUCAGACUUUGAAGUCAUUGCCCAAGUUUAUACUUGGUUAUAAGCUAUGGAGCUACAUUUGCAACUUCUGGUUUCAUGCUGUCUGUUGCACUUGAAUAUGAGAAGAUAAUCUCAGUCAGAUGGUAUCCAGCUUUUAGUUCAUUAUACCAGAUUUAAGGCAAGAAUAGCAUAUUAUCCAAGAAUAUUCUGGUUAUUGUUGGUUGGUUCCUGUAAAUCUCCGAUAAUCCUUAAAGACUGAGAAUUACUUUUCCAAAAUUAAAAAUUUUUUUGACUAAUAAACAAUUCUAGUCAAGCACAUCAAGGGGGAAAAGAUGAACGCUGGUGGUUAUUCUUAGUUUGAUGUACUGUGACAAGCUGGGCAUCUAAGAUCAAUAUGGAAGACAAGCUUAUGUGUUUCAUUUUUUGUUCUUCUGUGCCCUUGAGAGAGGAAAGAGGUAGUCUGGUUUUGGGACACUUGACCGUAGACCUGAAUCUGAUGACUUGGUUCUUGUCAAUAAUGUGAUUGAAAACUUGUAUUUAGCUUGAUAUUUGCAAUAUGAUUUCUUUCUUUGUCCUUGGCAAGACAUCUGAUGUAUCUAUCAUGUGUGGUUUUUCUAUUCCUUUUAUCUGGUCAUUAAGUAUCAAUUAGAUAUAACGAAGGGUAGACUUCAGGAAGUUAUAUUCUUUUUGCUCUUAUAAAUUAUGAAGGACUGAAUCUUGAUAUACCUCAGAACAAGAUUGCAUUUUGAUGUGUACAUGAUUGUUUGCUUCCUCAUCAAGCAGAAAUGUAGAUCCAUCUAGCUUUAUGCUAUUAUUAGAGGAAUGGGUGAGAUUUUGUCCGCUUGAUAGUUGCAGAGUAUAACUAGGACGACAAUUCCCGAUCCAUGUAUUCAUCGAUUUCUAGAUUUCUUUUCUAUUCCCCCCUUUUGUCCUUCGUAAAUUUAUUUGUUUGUGCUUGAUUUUCUUCUUUCUUUUUUCUUGGCAAUUUCAGAGGCAAACUUCAUACUUCUUGUUAAUUUCUUUUCGAAGCAAAACCGAUCUUUUCAUUUUUCAAAUAAAUAUUCACUCUUAACUCUCAUUCAUUCCUUCUGCUUUGUUCUUCCUUGUCUCUUUCAGUCAGAACUUCUGAUUUGAGUUUUUUUUUUUUUCCAAAAAAGAAAAAAAAGGGUUCAAGUUCUAUGUUUGUUCAGAAUCUGGAUAGACUGUUGAUCAGCUUUCUAGCUGAUUUGAUUAGCAUCCGUUGCGCCUAUUCAUCAACUCUCUUAUCUCGUCAGCUGCAGGCAACAAAUAAGGAAUUUGAUCAGUCUGCCAUGACUUCAAAGGAUGAUCAGGCACCUGAUGUUUGUGCUGCGGCCUCCAUUAACAUGGCGAGUACAACUGAUCUCGUAUGUGACAAAGAAAAAGGUGAGUAUAUCAUUUUCUUAUGACUUAACAACUGGUAUUCUGGAUACAGAUGCCCCCCUGCCUCUCAUCUCUUUCUUUCCUCCAGAUGUUUACGCGACAAGUCAUGUCUGUGAACUGAAGUUCUUCGCUAAAAUCAUUGGAUAGUGAGGCUAAAAACACCCCGUUUCAUGUGCAGGGAGUAAUGGGAUGUGCAAGGGGUGAUUAACAGUGAUGACUAAGGUUCCAGCAGCCACAUGGAAUUCUUCCAGUUAGUGCCAUUUCUGUCCUGAGAAAGAGUCAUCGGUGACUUAUAUGAAGACGAGGGUUUUGCCGAGUUGUAGACACCAAAGAAUCGUUUUACGUUAUUGACUUGUCUGAUUUUUAAUAUUAGGACUGUAUAUUACAAGCUGCACAGGUUUUUGUUUUGAAGAGAACUUUUUGCUUCAUAUGUACACUUUUUUUUAACGUAAACUCUGCUGCAAGAGCAGCUGGUUUUGAUCUUGAGAAAUGCAAUGAAAAUGGUUAUUGGACAUGUUACCCGUACAUUCCCAAAAAAAAAGAAAAAAAGAAAGAAGUUCGCCAAAAAUUUAUGAGAGAUAAACUUCAAAAAAUUCAAUAUAUAUGUAGAGGCAAUUUACAAACACACAUACAAAUAUGCAUUGUAGGAGAAGAAUGAUACCAACAAUAAUAUAAUAAUUACUCACCAUAAUAAUAAAGCUAUCAAAUAUCUCUCUUUUCGACUGACAGCAAUAAUAAAAUUUCCUAUUUAUAGAUUAGAUGACUUGGUAAAUAAAUUUUACAAUCAUAAGAAAUUUUCUAGAAGUAAAACACUGAUUUCCUAAUAAUAAAACUAUCAUAAUUUGAUUCAGAUAGAAUUGCUAAAAUUUUAACUUAAUUAAAAUACUGCUAAAUAAUAAUACGAAAAUUUCUACUUUUGAGCGAUGAUUUAAUAUGCUAACAUUACCAAUUUUUGUCGAAUCAAGCUUUAUUGUUGUCUGUACAUUUCAACGCUAAAUGUGCGUUUCAGAAAUUUUCACUCUGUGUAACUUUUGAGCAUAAAUUACAGAUCCAAAAUGUUUUAGUCAAGUUCUUACUAGCCGACCAGGGGCAAUGCAUUUUGCACACCGUGUAAUUCUGUUUACACAUGGUGUAACUUACUUUUCACAACGUAUAAUUUAAAAAUAAAGUUUUAUGAGUCCCAUACAUGUUGUUAAAAAAUGAGAUAUAAUAUGAAAUUUGAACCGUAUAAUUUUUUUUGACCAAAUCUUGAUCGUGAAUUGUGAGGAUGCAACCGUUCCUGCCCCUCUUCCGCCCAUCACCCAAAGUAUCAAUCAACGAGUACUUUCUACUACAAUUUUUUUUGAUGUGGCAUGAUGCGUGAGUCUACGGUUAUGUGGCAUUAUACUUGGGUAAAACUGAAAACUUGGCAAGCCACGUAAGUAAAAAAGGAGCAACAGCUGUGGAGUCUGGGAACUUCUUCUCUUGAUGGCCGGCAAUUCAUCGCUCUCUUCUUGAUUUGACAUGAAUCUGAAUUGCUAGUGCCUGUAAUCCUCCUCGUAUAUGAUGACCUUUUGACAAAAAAAAAAAAAAGAUAAAAAAAGUAAUCCUCCUCGUGUGAUGUCGAUAGUAAAUAGUUUAUUUGUUUUAACUUGGUAGUCGGAAUUAUCCCUUUGAGGUAUGGAAAUGUAUCCAAGAAUUUGUUGAACUACAAUUAAUCAAUCACCUUUAGUUAAAAAAAAAAAAAAAAAUUGAAGCCACAAGCCUUGAAUCACUUUCACAUUACAUUAAACGUGGAUCAGAUUUGCAAAAAAUAUAGGAUUUAUAAAGGCCUAGACAUAAAAGUUUGAGAUGUUUACAUAUACUUUUUUUAAAAAUUUUAAAAAAAUGAUGGUAAGUCUUACAAGGAAGAAGGAGAAGAAGAACACUACUUAAGGAGUCAAACUUGGAUCUCAGGGUCGGCUAAUCAAUGUCCCUACUAGCCAAAUUGAAUCUUGGAGAUGGUUGUAGUUUUUGUUAAAGAUCAUAAAUCAAUCCGUGACAUCUCUAUUUGGGAUUCUCAAUCCAACAAAUGAGUAUCUCAGUGUUAAAGAAAAUAAAAGAACAAAGCGAAAAAUUUAAAGAUAAAAACUCGUUUGAUAAAACUUAAAUCUGAAAUAUAAAGAUUUAGCGUUGAAAGUGUUAAGUAGCUAAAUUGAUAAUUAUAAUUUUAUACCUAAAAAGCGUCUGUAUUUGUGUGUUUGGAGAGAAAGAAAAAAUACGCAUACGGGAGAGGGAGUAAAUAAUGAAAUAUCCGAGAGAUAGUGUUGAAUUGUAUAUAUUUGUGUGUGUGGGAGUACGUGUAGAAUAAAAAGAGAGCAAAUGUGUAUUUUGUGUGAGAGUAUAUUUGAGAGCGCGUUAUGUGUGCGAGAGAUGUAGUAUGCGUUGUCAAUUCAAUCAAAAAUUUUCACUUAAAAUUAUGCAUACAAAUUAAACGGUGCUUAAUAUAUUAAGUGAUAAGCCAUUUUCAUUAUCAAACAUGUUGAAUUCAAAAAGUUCUACAUGAAUUAAUUUCCAACAUUAAAUAAAAAUCUCAACCACGUAUUUAGAUGUAUGCACCCUAAGUGGCUUCUCUAGAAUCCUCAUCUUUUAGCAAUUGUUGCAAACAAUCUUGAUUACCCCCACAGAGGUAGAAAGGUCAGUGUAAUUUUUCCAAACCUUGGAGGUUCAUGAAUAAUUUUGCCCAGCUUUAGAGAAGAAUAAUAAUAAUGCCUCUUGCUUUGAAAAGAUUCCUGGGUGAUAAUGAUGUAUAUCAUCUGUCAUUGUUAUGUAAUGGAGUAAUAUGGCAUCAGUCAUUUGUCCCUACUACUUUUGGACCGUUUCUGUGUAUCCUCCAUACGGAGCUGCCCAGCUCCGCUUUUCUGAAAGUAAAGGAAUACAAUUGCUAUGCAAACAGCUAGUCUUGUGAAAUAUCUGCUUGGCCUGUGGCCACAUCUUGGCUAAGGCCAAAGAACCCUAGCUUAAAAGCAACAAGUGCCUUGUCAAACUGGUAUUUCUAGAUGGACAAAUCUUGCAUGUUUUGGCAUGCACAAAUAUCAUCAACUGCUGCAGAAAGUCUAGAAUCAUGUAAUGUUAAGCAUAUAGGCCUACUACUAGCCAAUGUUCUCUGUAUAAAACACCAUGGAGCAGGAAUUCCUACCUUUUUAUUUCCGGUUAGCAAGUCUUGGCAAACCUGAUGAUAUUGACAGGAGCAACAAAGAGCUAUUUGAUUAAAUCUUAAGAGCCAAGAAGGAUGUGGACUACUUCAGGCAGUUACUGAAGCAGAUAAAAUUUCCCUGUCAGCCAAUACAUGACAAUAGGUAGCAACAAAGCUCCUCAAGCAAAAUAACAUAUUCUGGUUUCUUGAAACAAGAAGCAGAUAAACACUAAAAAACACUAAUGACAGCUUUGAUGAGUAAAAUAAUAUUCACAAUGUAACAAAUCUAUACGCUCCCUCAACAAACUGAAUACAAUCAAAUUCACCCACAAUUAAGCAAAUACACACAACUCAAUGAACAGGUAGGAAAAGAGAAGAAAAGCAAAAAAAACCAAAAAUACAAUCUUCCUACUAUUUGGUAUGUAGCAAAGCGGGGUAUCAUACCACGGUAGCAAAAAAAUCCACUAAUGCAGGCAAACCAAUCUGGAAAACAAAAUAUAUCACACCCUCAAUAAAAUUACCCCUUCCUUGGUCUCUAUAUUGUUUCUUUAACUUGAUCUCUAUAGUAGCCAGGACAUUACUCAGCUUUUAACCUCCUCUUUUGUUUCAGGGGGUGGUGCUGCUGGUGUUUUUGCUGGUGAUUUUCCAAUGAUUGCUUUCUUUGCCUUAACAAGAGAAUGCUUCACCUUAGAAAGUAUGUUAGUUGAUUUUUGGGUUGCCUUCCCUGGAACCACUUCUUUAGGAGCUUCUUGUGUUGUUUUCAAGUCACCAACUUCUUUGGACUCUUCAACUGCAACAUCAGUUUUUUCAGUCUCUUUAACAGCCUCUGCGGCUUCCUCUGCUUUUGUUUCUGUCUCAGCCUCAGCCUUCUCCGGUUCUUUUUCGACAUCCACAUUUUUGUCUACUACUGCAUCCUUUUCGGUUUCAGCUGAAGCCACGGUUUCUUCUAUUUUGGUCCCAAUUUCAGCAGGAAGUUCAAUAUCUCUAGGCAUUUGUUCUACAGAUUUACUAGAAUCUUCAGGAGGAGGAAUAGAACUGGUAACAGCAUCAACUUCCUUCGCUUCCAGCUGAGAUGAUUCCUCAGAGAAACCGCUUUUCUCUUCCUUUUCUUCAGUUUUCAAAUCCUUGGUUUCAGUUUCCUUCUCAACCUUUUCCAGCAAUUCUUCCAAUGUCACUUGCUUUUGAGGUUUGGCAGUCAAUUCUUUUUCUUUGUCCUCAGCCUUUUCUGCAACUUCAGUUGGAGGAACUUCUACAUUUUCUGUUUCAACUUGAGCUGCCACAGGGGUUGAAGCAAUCAGUUCUGAACUCUCAGUGGCAGUAGAUUCUACUCCCUCUGCCAACUUAGUUUCAUCAAUCUCAUCAGUUGAAAUUUCUCUGUCUUUUAUUGUUUCCACCUCUAUUUUCUCUUCAGGCUCAGCCGUUGCAGCUUCUUUCCCAGUUUGUUCUGUAGCUACAGGUUUUUCUUCUGGUCUGUCCUCUGCUACCGGUUCUGGAAUCGAAAUUUCUUCUUUCCCGGGCUCUGCUGCUGAAACUUCCACGACAUCAGCCGCAGCUGCCUCUUCUACUUGCUCCACUUUCGUCUCAAUAGCCCCAUUUACUGGCUCUGAAAUAUCAAUUUUCUUUGGUAACUCCUCUACUUGCUCCACUUUAGUCUCAACACCCUCCUUUACUGCUUCAAGAACAUCAAUUUUCUCAGGUGACUCUUUCACUUCCUCCUCUUUAGUCUCAAUAGCCUCAGUGGCUGCUUGAGGUAUAUCAAUUUUCUCUGGCAACUCCGUCACUUCCUCAGCUAUUGUUUUAGUAGCGCCACUCACUGAUUCAGGAAUAUCAAUAUCUUUUGGUAUCUCUUCAACUUUCUCCGCUUGUGCCUCCACAGCUUCAACCACUGAUGCAGGAAUAUCAAUUUCCUUUGACUCCUCUACCAGCUUCUCCUCCUCGGAUCCUUUUGGGGGUUCUUCUUGUGGCGUUUCCAAAUUUUUUAUCCCUGAGUGCCCUUCUGGUUCACGUUUUAGAAUGUUAUCCACUACUCCUGCAACAUUAACAGUUUCUUCUUUGGGAACAUAUUCUUUUGCUAAUUCCGGAUUAUCUUUGGAAGAAAUAUCCAGAGCAGGGAUAUCAUCAGGUUUCUUAAUCUCUUCAAUUGCAGGAGGCUCAAUGUGCUUAUCCUCAAUCUUUUCUUCCGGUUCAGCUGAUGUAAUAGGCAAACUUGGGGGCUCCUCAGCUUUUGGCUUCUCUUCCACCUCAGCUUUCACGACCUCUUCAACUACAAGUGGUUCACUUUGUUUCUCCUCCAUCUUUUUCUCUGUUUCAGCCAAUGGUACUGCUGUUUCACCAGGGGUGUUCUCAUCUUUUGGCUUUUCUUCAUUUUCCUUGGGUGGAGAAGUACCGUCUUCUGCAAUUUUCUCUACCUCUUCUUUUACUUCCUUCUCAACUUGCUGCAAUUUAAGUAAAAGCAAUUAAAAAAUGCAGAGAAAGCGUAGGAAAUCAUUUGCAUUCCGAAAAGGGGAGCAUCUUAUCCUAAACGAACCUAAUUAGUAAAGUUAAAGGAACUGCAAAAGUGAGUAGGAAAUCUGGAAGCAAAGUAUCUUCAGAAAGAUUUAGUCCGAUUACGUGAUGAAGGUUGGAAAUUUUCAACUGAAAUCGACAUGGUGAACCUGCUGAAAAAUUUAUUGGACAGGACAUCGGUAGCAGGAAUGGAGAAACGAGAAUCUGAAACAAGAGUUACUGAUGACCAGAACUCUCUCUGAUCAUGGUUCAUUCUUAGUCCUGACGAAAACUGGAAUUCCCAAAAUAUUGCAGAAGGAUCUUUAAAGUUUCACAGGCUCAUCACAAGUUGCUUUUUUUUUUUUCCUUGUCUUCCUUUGUUGAUCACAACAUAAAUCUAGAGUAAAUGAUUUUACUUGAUUUUUCAUAACACCAUGCCUGGACCUUGCUCAUGUGAUAUCAUAAGAAGUGCUGGAACCAUGAUGAUGUCAAAGAUUUUAUCAAUCCUAGUGAAAAGCUAGAUGAAACACUAGAAGAUUUUAUUGUUGGAAAUAAAAUCUUAGAACAUAUAUACUGCAUAACAAGAAAACAACGAAGAAGCACACAAAAAUCCCAUGAAAUCCCAGAGCACAAAAAGAUUGAAACAAGCAUGCCCAAAAAAAAAAACCAAACUUGAAGGUAAAGUAACAUGGAAUAUUAAACUUGCGUACAGAGUAUAAACUAUGAAGUUAGUGAAAAUUACCUCAAGGGCUGGUGUAGAAUGAUCUGAUGAAACAGUUUCAGUAGCCAUGGAUGAUUCCUGAUGAUGAAGUGAUAAAAAUUCAAGAAUCAGGAAUGAAACUGCUAGAGUGAAUUCAGUAGUCAGAGUAUAGUUGUAGACUUGUAGUAGUAGUAGUAUAGAAUAAAGAAGUGGACAAGAAAGGAAAGGAAUGAUGUGGUUGGCUGUUGGCAACAACCUAAAAGGGCUCCAAAGCAAACUCAACAAAGUAGAAAGUAGAAACCACAACUAGCCAGUCACAUUAUACAUUUCCUUUCUAUAAUAAAAUAGUCUUUGAGAAAAUAAAAAUACCAAUAAUGUGUGUGUGUGAGGGACUAAUCUUCACAUGGAUGAUGAUCUGUAAAUAGCUAGUGGGAACCCUUUAUCAAAAAAAAAAAUUUUAAUUAAAGAAUUGAAAUUGAUAAAAGGAAAGAAAUUAAAAUUUAAAAUUUUUGAAAGUCAUAGAAAAUCAUGAGAUGGCAUUGUCCAUUUCAAAAGGUGACAGGCUUUAAUAUGGGGACCAGGGGGUGUAUUAACGGCCUAAUUCAUUUUGAAAACAGUUGUCUAAUUUGUCGGAUUGUUUUAAAGGAAUAAAUCUGAUGUGAAUCAGAAAUUAAUGAAUGCCCUGCCCAAUAGGAGAUUCGGAAAAUUAAUGGAACCCAUUUUCUAUUACUGACAUUAAUUAGUAAUUAAUUAAUCAUCAGUAUCCUUUUCAUCCCUUUCAUAACUCACAGUUUUUUGUAUGAGUGUUUCGAUAAAUGAACUCUGCGAAGACACUUCAAAAGCCGGCAACUUUUGAAGUGCUCCGCAGCACUUAACUACUAAACCCCCCAAACCCCCCCAAGCGAUGUGGGAACUUAACCCCACAGGGUGCCCCGCUGCUAAGAGAUAAAGACCCCCCAGACUCCCCGAGACAGGUUUUUCCCUUUCAUAACUCACAGUUUUUUGUAUGAGUGUUUCGAUAAAUGGACUCUGCGAAGACACUUCAAAAGCCGGCAACUUUUGAAGUGCUCCGCAGCACUUAACUACUAAACCCCCCAAACCCCCCCAAGCGAUGUGGGAACUUAACCCCACAGGGCAUCAGUAUCCUUUUCAUCGACACCGCCUUUGAUGCAUAAUAAAUAGUGUAGCAGAGUUGUUGUUUUGUCUUUGUUUUUGGGGUUUCUUUCUUUGUUGUUUUUUGAGUGGACAGGGAGGUGCAUCGUUGUGACGGCCCGAGUGCUUUACAGCUUACCUUUUACAUUUACUUCAGAUUUUUAUGAAUUAAAUUUUGUAUUAACUGAAAGUUUAUAUAAAAAUAUAUAUUUAAAACGUCGAUCACAUUUCGAUGAAUUUUCUCUCGUUCUUUACUUUUAAAAUUAUAAUUUUACGUCUCUUAUAAAAUCAAGUUGAUAAAAUUGAGUCCUAACUUAGAUUUUUAAUCACUUUUUACUUUAAAUCCAUCACGUGACCCAUGUAUAGUCUUUUUUUAGGGGUAAAAAUGUUAUAUCUCAUUUACAAUUAAACAAAUAACCCGAUCUAUAUUCAUUUUUGCUCAUAAAAAAGUAAGUUCUGGUUAAAACUAUAUUCAGUUUUUUUUUCCUAAAAAAUUAGUUUGGACCCAAUUUUUAUUUAUUUUUACCGUUAAAGUAGUGGAAUCUAACCUUUUUUGUAUAUAAAAAGAUGAUUGCAUUUGGGUCACAUGACUAAAAAGUGAUAAAAAAAAAAACUUAGGUUAGAAUCAAAUAUUGCUAACUUGAAUUUGUAAGGGACGUAAAUUUGAUAUUUUAAAAGUGAAUGAUAAAAAAAUUCAUUUAAUAAAAUGUGAGGGACGUUUUCAAUAAUUUUUUUAAAAAAAUUUAUAUAAUGAAAUCAAGGAUUUUUUUUUUUUACUGAUUUAAAAUAUUUUUCCAAUUUCUUACGAAGCAAAAUUCCUCGUAUUCUAGAUGAAAAGGGCCUCCAACCCAAAAAAACAAAAAUGGAUCAUGAAAAAAAAUGCUUCGGUUGAGUCUAAAGUAAGAAGCGGUAAAGGCAACAGGGUCUUCAAAAUGGGAAUCUUGGGCUAGGUCUUGCUCUUGGCCAACCUUUUGAUUCCUUCAUUAUAAUUUAUAAUUAUUGAGAAGACAAUCAAUAUUACGUACACAUUCACCGACUAAAUUAACGAGGAAAACCUUUUUUUUUUGGAUGAUUAUGUAAUUGGUUAGUCGGUUCACUAAUUGUACUUAAUUAUUGAAUCUCGUCGACACAGAAUACAUUAUCUAGUGGAGGAAGCAUAAUUAAUUAUCUUUAACUAAUAAGCGAGUGGAUUAGAUUAGAGACCCUUUUUUUUUUUUAAACAUCCAUCUAUAUGUUUAGUAAAUCACAUUAGAUAGUAUCCAAAUUUAUGUAGCGUUUCUUGAAAAUUCUAUCAACUAUUGCGUGGCAAAUUCUAGAAACAACCGUAAGAGAUAAUUGGAAUAUUUUGGACUAUUAAUAUGCGGAAUCUAAUUCAUACAUACGUAGCCUUGAACCCAAAGAAAGAAAGGAAAGGAAAAAAAAAAACUCUCCAUAGCUUUGGAAAUGAAUAUAUUUCUUUAUCGUUAUGUUUCCAACUUAGUUUCUCAAUUGUAAUGUUAGUGUAGUCAAUAGUUUUAAAGAUUUUCUAGUGAGUGUCAAGAGAAAAGUCGUUAGCAUACAAAAUUUGCUAUUUAAACAUAAACAUUUUUGUAAGUGGGAGGUCAAGAAUUCACAAUUUUCUACUUAUAAUCCCUCCCAUCUUAUCACUCAACCCAACUCUAGGGUUGUAAUUGAAUCGAGCUGCUCGCAAGUUUGGUCAAAAACUUGACUCAGACUUGAGUUGACCGAGUUUCAAUCGAUUUUGAGUAGCUCGAUAGGCCUAUCAAGUUGAGUUUGAGCAUUCAACAGCAAAGUUCAAAGGUUCGUUGAACCUUAUCGAAUUUUUUAAUUUUAAUUCUUUAAUAUAUUAUUAUUAUGAAAUUAUCCUUGUGCCUAUGAGAGUGGUUGAAUUUACUAAAUGUUUCAGGUCGUAUGAAAUUUUUUGAAAGGCAAUAAUAUCUUUUUGCUAAAAAUUUGUCAAGAAAAAUGGAAUCUCCAAAUCUUCCUGACUCAAGCUCGGUGAAGCUCACAUUGACUCGAGCCCCGUAUGAGUCAAGUUCAAGUUCUGUGAGAAAUGCAUCGAGAUCGAACUCAAGUAUCUUUCCAGCAUGUCAAGUUGAACUCGAGUAUGGAUUCGAAUAGAUUACAUUCCUGCCUAAUCCUCCUCCUAAACAUAGGCAUUUGUAUCUAUUACUCUCUUUAAUUUUAUCACCUUCUUGAUUUAAUUUUCCUUUUCAGAAUAUUUGUUUCUCCCACUUCAAUUUGCCCUAGUUUUUUUAAAAAUAAAAUCAUCAUCUUAGAAGAGAAUAAUCUCUCAUUAGAAAACUUAAAAGAAACUUUAUUACAAACAGAAAAACAAAGAAGAAAAAAGAUAUGGGAGUGAGGAGACUUGGUCUUCCUCCCAGGGAAAAGGCAUUUUGUUUGCGAGGGAAGAAAAACGCUAGAGAGAAGGAAGAGAGUUUAGGUUUACGUCUACUGCAAUUGGUGUUUCAUCUUCUUAUCUGCCCUAGUUAAAUGUGAAAAGGGUAUAAGUUAGUAAUUAAAAGGUGAUCAGGGAACAUAUAUAGAUGAAAUAGAUCUUACAAGUUGUAUUGUAUCAUAAAAAUUGUAACUUGGGACAUGGCUGGGAGAUUAAUAGCGUGUAGAAAAGUGAAUAAACGGAUUUGAAAUAGUUAGAUCCAAUGACUAUUUUGUAAAAUGAUUGCCAGAUCGAUCACUUUACAGUACUAAAAUGCUCUACCUUUUUUCAUUCUUUUGUUUUCUUAUUAUCUUUUUCCCCACCCAAAGGCCUCAAUAUGAGAAGACACCAUACUAAUACAUCAAAUGCAUAUGCAUAUGUGGAAUUGGAAUCAUCAAUUGAACCAAUAUGGCUAUCAGUAAAACCAACUACUCUAGGUGUAGUUGGUCACCAAAAAAAUUUUAAGAACUCUAUUUGGAUGUAAAUUAAGGGAUCGAAUCUUUUGACUUGUAUUUUCUUGGAAAUUUCGUCAACAGGCGCGUAGACACCUGUUUGGCUGAUGGUGAUUCAGUUUGCUCCGAACAUCACUUUACGGUCUACUUUUGCAAAAUAAAUUUAGAUAAGGUGAUGUCUUGAAUCAGUUUGUAAGUCCCUCAAGUAAAUGGCAUUUUCAGCUACAAAAUGCUGCCCCGGUUCACCAUAAAUAAGAGAAACAAAUCAUGAAUAUUGCAAACCUCAAUGUAUUCAAAUAUUUGUCUUUUGCUUACGAGGCAUUGAUUUAGUGGUUAAAGUUAAGAUCUCAGAUAUUAGAACUUUUGGGAUCAAAUUUCACUACUCCUUCUAGUUUCUUAAGUCUCGCUCCUCUUCUAUUGGAAAAAAAAAAGAAAAUUUUUUUAAAAUUUUUUCCCGCAAUCAUGGAAUUGCAAGUUUAAAAACAGCCAUGUAAAUAAGGCUAUACAAAAACUAAUGCACAACUAUGAAAUUUGAAUCCAUGAAUUUUUUACUUCUAAUUCUUUACAUUAUUUUCUCCCUUUAAAUUUGAUUGUUGCUGCAACUAGACCAAAUCAUCAUUAUGUCAAUUCAAUUAACUGAGUGAUUCCUUCCUCUGUGCUUCCGUCGCCUGACUUCGUCGCUAUAUAAAUGGAGCCAUCGCUUAUCACUUCUCACAAGGGACCCCCAACCACAACACCCUCCCUCCCCCAACACACAAAAAAAAAAAAAACACUCCCCAUUUAAAAAGUGAUUUUUGAAAAGAUACAAAGAUAAUUAAAAAAUUUUUAUAAUGAAUUAAUUUUUUUUACUUUUUAUUUUUGUAAAUAAGGGCGAAUCAGUAUUAAAAGUACAAAAUUAUAGGUCCCAUUUCGAUCGUUAUUAUUAGGAGUUUUUAUAGAACAAUGUACUGUAACAACUUGACGUAGGUGAGAUAACAAAGUCACUAAGAAAUAUGUUCACCAAAAAUAUAAAAAUCUUUUGCAAAAAAUCACAAUCCACCUAUAUAUUCAAAAUUUUCAAAUGGGGAGAAACCACCAAUUCGUGUGAUUAUUGUGGUUGCACGUGAUUAUAUUACACAGCAUUGUGGAUAAGGCAUAGAAUUUCCACUUGUUAACCAUUAAGCCAGCUUUGUACAAGUGAUAAUUUGAAAUUGCAGCUGGAGCUGGACUAGUGAUUAUUUCGCCACAGGGGCAAGUGUAUAGGCCAGGAGGAGCCUAGGAGUCUUAAUUCUUCGAUCUCCUCACAAUUUUCUUUUUUUUUUUUUUUUUGAAGGACCUCAUCAAUAUUUUGGGCGCAAUAAUUACCGGAGCCGGUUGAAUGGGCAUAGAGCGGCCCACAUCUAUAUAUCGGAACUAUUUUUUUUUUAAGCGGCCCACAUCAUAUCGGCACUAAUUUGCCCUAACGCAUAAUCUUUUAUUUUCUUGAUCAUCAUCUUGUUUCAAUAUCCAGAUGUUAAUUCACGGGUUAGAGGACGAGAAUUAUUCACUUAAAGUGUAAAUCCCUAUUAUGGUCAUCGACCGCAUUCUCUACGAGACACAGUUGUUUGGAUAAAAUAUUAUUUGAAAUAAUUAUUGUAACAUACUUUGUGAUGUGAUAUUUGUAAGAAAAAAGUUGAUUGAAAAUAUAAAAAGAUGAAUUAAAAAAUUGUUUAUGAUGAACCCAAAAUAUUAUCUUAAAAAACUUAGCUAUCCAAACACACCUGCAACCGAAAUAUUAAUACUCUAUGUGGUAUUUUCACAUGAAUUAAAUUACGUCCUCUGUCCCAAAAUGUUGAUCAUGCUCUUUAUUUUGAUAUAUCCUAAAAUAUUUAUCACUAGUCUAAAAACUCGUAAUAUGCACGGCUAUAAAGAAUGUUAUGAAAAAAAUAAAUAUAUAGUUAUGGGAAUAUGUAACACAUAAAAAUUUAAUAAACAAUAGUUUAACCUAGAAAUGUCAAACAAUUUUUAGCUACCCCUUCCCACUUCUACCUUUUAUAAAUCCCAUCCUUUUCCUUGCUGAAAUUUUUUUUUUUUUUUUUUAAAAAAACAAGUUUUAGCUGCCGUCUACCUAGUACAAACAUGCAUUACAAAAAAGAAAAAAUGGUAUUAAAACUUAAAACAUGUCAUAUCAAAUUUUAAUAGAUCUAAAACCAAAUUAUGUUUGCUAAAUGCCAAUUCAUUUCUCAACCAUCAUGUCCAACAUUCAGAAAAUUCAAAAAGUAUUUUGCCAAAAUGUUAAUUUCAUUUCUUAAUCAUCAUAUCCAUUACCUUUGGCAUAAAAUUCAUACAAUAUCGAAUUUAUUUCAAGAAGUUAAUUUUUAAAUUUCAAAAUUUUUGUUUAUUUAUUUGGCGUAAAAAUAUUCGAUAGUCCAUGAUUUUACAAUUUUCAAUCUGGCCUCAUAUUUGUAAACCAAUAAUGUAAUGCUUUAAAUGUGUGUAACUUAAGUAAUAGAACAUUGGUGAAUAGAGGUGAGUAAACUUCUUAAUCAAGAUAUAGAGUAUGACAAAUAGAAGCAUGCACAGUAAAUAGCAAAAAAAAUGUGUCAUCAAUGCACUAUAAUGUAUAAAAAUUAAAUUUAUCACAAACCUAUUUUUUUUACUCUCCCCACCCCUUCCCACACCCUUCCCAUCCCCUAAAUUUUUCAAGACUAAUUACAUAUAUAAACUUCAAGAUUGCCACAAAAUUCUUAAGGGAAAAAAUACUAUUUAUAAUCUUGUAUUGGUAUUUCACUUGACAUAAGAAUAAGAAUUAAGUUUUUCUUUUAGUGAAAAACUUUUUUUUUGUUUACUAUUCUCUAUCACAAAUAACCUUCUUAGAUAAAAAUGGUUAAAGGCUCUAUCUAUAUUUUGUGCAACCAAAUUUAGACCAUUGGUUGACUACAUUUUAUAUUUUUAUUUUGAAUGGGAAUUGAAUUUCCUUCCCAUAGCAAAAUAAAAAAAAUGUACAUUUGUUGUUUCAUUUACUAAAUUUACUAGUCAUUUUUAGCCUAAUAAUUGGAUAAGUUGCUUUCCAUCAUAAUAGUUUAAAAUGUUGUUUCAUUUUUAAUUUUUAUUAUUUCACGUAUUUUUAUUUUAGUGUAAGUGAAAGGUUUGAAACCCGAUAUCUCUAUUGGUCUAAAAUGCACAGAGAUAGAAAUGUAAUAUGUAAAAUCCAGCAUUUGUCUAAAUAAUCUCAUAAUCGGAAAACACAAAUAAUAAAUAUAGAAAACAAAGUAGAUCUUGGAGAUAAAGAAAAAAGGAGUAAGCAAAUUUUUACUGUAAGUUAUUUGAGAUAUUUUUACUGUAGCACUUUUUGUGAUGUGAUGUAUGUGAGAUAAAAAGGUAAUUGAGAAGAUUAAAAGGUGUAUUGAAAAUUGUAAUAAUGAUGUAAGCAAAUAGAUUUGGGGAAAUAAUCAGCUGUCCAAACAAUAGUAAUUUAGAUUACUAUAAUACAUACCCAAAAAUAUAUGUGGAUUGAAAAACUCUUUUUUUUCUCUCAAAUGUUAAAGUCAUGUGUAUCAUCAAGGUGUUAGGAUUUGAAAUAAUUUAAAUUUAGAAAUGAUGAGAAUAUAUAUAGUCUACAAUCAAGAUUUUGAAAUCAACUCAUUACAUUUUAGGAAUUAAAAUAAAUAAUAAAUCUACAAAAAGGAAUUGAGAGCUUGGGAAGAAUUUAAAUUUUGAAAUAAUCAGAAUAUAGUCUACAAUCAAGAUUUUGAAAUUAAUUCAUUACAUUUUAGGAAUUAAAAUAAAUAGACAAUCUACAAAAAAGGAAUUGAGAGUUUGAAAAUAAUUUAAGUUUUGAAAUAAUGAGAACAUAGACUACAAUCAAGAUUUUGAAAUUAACUCAUUAAAUUUUUGGAAUUAAAAUAAAAAGAAAAUCUACAUAAAAGGAAUUGAGAUUUUGGAAAUAAUUUAAAUUUUGAAAUGAGAAUAUAGCCUACAAUCAAGAUUUUGAAAUCAACUCAUUACAUAUUAGGAAUUUAGACAAAUAGAAAAUCUACAAAAAAGGAAUUGAGAGUUUAAAGGUCUAGGAUGGCUUUUAACCAAAAACCCUUCCGUAAUUUAUAUAGAUAUAGAUGUUUACUACCUGUAUCCCAAAAUGUUUAUCAUGCUUUUUCAUUUUAGAAUGCUUCGAAAUGUUUAUCAUAUUAUCAAAAUCAAAGUUAUUUUUUUAUCUCUUUUUUCAAUACUAUCCCUAUCUUUACAUAUAUUUUAUGUUAGAUUAAGAUUUGAAUUUUGAAUUUUUGAAGAUAAAGUUCGAAACAAAAAUACUAACAUUACAAUCAUGACACUAUUAAUGUGUGUAUUGAUAGUGUGUAUUGAUGCAUCAUUAUCCAGGCCUAAAUCCAAAGGAAAAGUUCACACUGCACAGGAAGGAAAUUAGUUUUUAAACAUGUACUGCUAGCUUCCACUGGUCUUUACCGCUAUAAAGUAAAUGCACUACAAUGCAUUGUUGGUACUCCUCCUUUGUUUUCUUUGUGGAAAAUCGAGAUGAACCCAUCAGCAGUUUCCCAUUGACAAUAGCUAACUUCUACUAAGAAAGGGUUCCCAUGUCUCAAAUCAAUCAAAUCCCUUUUCUCCUUACUUUAUGGCAAUUAACCUAUCUAAAUUCCCUCCAACUUUUGCUUUUGAUUAAAUCAGCUUCUGAAGCUUUACAGGAGACGGUCAGAAUAAAGAAGAAAAGACUGCCAAAUUGUUUUAAACUGUUUAUUCCAAUCUUAACAGCAUCCAAUAAAGCGAACGAGUUUUAAGGUUAAUUACAAAGUAAAUUACUAAGUCAUCUCUGCUCAUAAAGUCAUAGUCCCACUUUCCAAAAAGCCAAUUUUGACUGGAAUCUUGAAAAGUAACGCGUUCCCAGAAGCUACUACUAGGUUGAAUUUACUCGUCUCCUGUCUCAUUAUUCAACACACAAAUUCUUUAACCUUACACAAGAUUUUUUUUUUUUUUUUAAAAGAAAAAAUGAACCACCAUCCACAAAAACACAGCUCAUGAAUUAAUCAAGGGUAACGGUAAGAUCACUGGGCCAAAAAGCCUUGAUACAGAAACGCAAUAUCAGAUCGAGGUGCAGAAGACAAAUGGAGUAUAGUAGUAUUAAAUGGCAAUCAAAGGAUUUACCAUGAACUGAUCAAAUGCAUAGAGCAGGCGAGAAUGUAAUCAGGAAGAUGCACCGUGGCCUUCUGACCAUACCAAUAGCUAAAUCCAGCAACCGAUUGAAAACCAAGUUGAUUGAACUUGAAGAGUCCUAAAUAGAUGGGUAUACCCCUACCUAUGUGGACAUCAAGAUUUCGGGCUCGCAGUUGCUUAGAGGGACAAAGCUAGGAGUAUGAGCAUACAUGGAAGCAUUGGUUCUAUACUCAAGUUUUCUGUCAAAUAUCCUCACUGUACCAUUCUCCAAAUUCAGGCCAAAUAGCCCCCUGUUUGGCCAUUCCAGUAGUAAUUCUUUGCCUACGAUCACAACAGGUUGGACGUUAUGAUUCGAUCUCGAGGUGGUAAAUGGAAAGCGGUCUACAUCCAAGUCAAUGCCAACCCUGUGCCAUCUGAUCCAAGAUGGUCUAGUGCUGUUUCCGUCAUCUUGGUGCCUCAAGAUCCAGAUGUUGAUCGACUCUUCGAACAAGGAGGAUUCACACAAGCAGAGGAAACCGCGAUCAUCCAUUUCUACCAAAUGCAUCCUGCUGUGCUCAGGAUCGUCCUUGCAGUAUUGAUUUUGCGGACCUGGAUGAGGCAUCACGGAGAAUUUCUCUGUUUUCGUGUCCAAUUUCAUGAUUGAUUCUGCACAACGAGGAGCCAACCUAGUCCUCGGAAGGGGCGAGGGCGAACUCUGCCUUGCAAUUGCAUAUCGAUUUCCAACCAUCCAGUAAAGAACGUUGUCUACGAUUACCGGAGGAGUUUGAGCCCUGGGUUGGUAUGAAAACGGAGCAUCAUCAUCCUCGUACAGCUCUCUCCAGCAGCAAGAUGUUUGUGAUUCAUCAGAUUGUUCUGAUUCCGAGUUCGACCCGCCACCCAAAACAACUAUUCUGAACGGCAUGCUCCCGUUUUCGCGUUGGAAUCUUCCUCCCCAGAGCAAACAGUGCUGAUCUUUGGCAAAAGGGUUGGAAAAGAUUCCGUAAAUCAGACCUUUAGGGGUGAUUAAUCUCACCUUCUGCCGCGUAAGGGGAUUCAGGAGGACGUAGUGCUCCAACCCGGCGGUUGAUCUCCGGAACUCCUCCCGGAAAAUGACCAAGCCAUUGGAAGAAUACGAGAAUUCUUGGCGAUCGGAUUUGGAAACCGGCCUGACAGAGUUAACGCUGAUUCUACAACGAUUGCUCUGCGGGGUUGCUGUUUCUUCUGUGGAUUCACAUGUGUCGACCAAAUAUAUUUCCUUCUGCUCCCCAUCAGCUUCCCUCUGCCGGACAACAAUAACCACUGGAACGCUGUGGGGGAAAUGCAACUGCGCAAAUUCCUGAGUGGAGGUCAAGGCCUUCCAUCUCCGACAGACGCAUCGACAUCUUAGGACAGAUUUAGCCGGGAGUUUGCUGAGAAUUUGCAGGAGGACUUCGUCGGGAAUGUGUCUGUACGGCCUUCCUAGGAUCUCUCCUAGUCCUAGUACUGCUAAUUUGUUCCACAAGGCUGGAAUCCAGGACAAGCAUGCCGAGGUUAUGGAUGUCAUGAUUAUUUUCAGAAGACGAAAGGGAUUUAUAGGGUUUUUCUUGAGAGUUUUGCCCAUCCAAAUCCCUCAGGGAACUAAAACUGAAGAGAUCUGAUCAUGUUUUUGCAAGAAAAAAGAUGAAGAAAAGGGAGGAGGAAAUAGGAAGAAAUGUCCAUCUCUUCACUGCUAGGAAGUCACCAAAAUUAUGGUCUCUAACUUUUGUCUGAUAUUACCGUCACUAGUACAAUUAUUACGAGGAAACAUCAAUAUGGUCCCCCCCCCUCCCCCCCCCCCAAGAGAUGCUGUGAACGUGGUCCUAACGCGAAAUAACUCUCACUAUCUAGUACUCUUUGCUUCACUGAUUUUCCUACUUGUAUUCGUUGCUAUGUACGGCUAAUUUUGACUAACGCAUUUUUCUUCCUUCAGGUUUUCAGGGCAAAAAUGAAAGAGUCCCAACUUCCAACAUCCAAAGCAAACUCCAAGAAAGUAGGCUCAUGUCUCCUAAUCCUCACUCGCUAGAGUCUUGAGAAAAAGGGGUUGGCAAUCCAAUUAUCAGUAAGCGUUUGGUUCGGUUCACGCUUUAGGAUCGGAUUCGAAUUUGAGAUCAAUCAUUCAGAGUUUAGAAUGAAAUUAUUCAUUUUAAUAUAUCUGUUUGAUUCAAUAUGAGAAAUGUUUAUCAUUACUAUAGUUGAUAUUUGAUUUAUUAGUUUUUUCGAGAUGAAAUAUAAAAAAUUUUCAAUUCUAACCUAACCUGUAUAAAAUUAAAACAUGGACAAUUGAAGAUAAACCUGCUGUAAGCCAUCACAAGAAAAUGCAUAAACUUUGUCAAUAAUCUUGUUGUCUAAUUACAAGUUAUCAUUUAACAUAAAAUGUAAUAUGCCAAUAAUUACUUAGAAGUAAUCUUGUGACAUAAAUAAUGUUUUAUCAUCUUCAUCUGGCCAAAAGGAAAAGAUACUACACAAAAUUACCAAAUUCCAAUUUUACAAAAUCAUUCUAGCCCAAGUGGAUAUAAUCCCCACCAAAAACCACUAUAUUUCUGUCAUAUCUCAAAAGAACUAUCUUAUCUAAUGUUUCAAGAUAGACAACAAUUUAUCACCAUAUUAACUAGUAGCAUUCAAUUUUCCAAAAAUUCAUAACAAGCAGCCAUGCUUUAGAAAUUCAUUAUGUUAUUCUUAUUAUUGUGCUCUUGUUUCUUUGUGAUUUGUGAAGCACGAAAUAUGCAUUGCAUUGGCAGAGUUUUAGCCAAAGACUGUGCAUUGAACUUCCACAUACGGUAACAGUCAUGAACAGAUCAUGAAAACAAGCGAUGUACUUGCAUUUAGGGAUAGCAACGGGGCGGGGUUGGGGCGGGGGACCCCUCCCCCACCCCCGCCCCGUUGCCUAUUAAUUCCCCCGGACCCCUGCCCCGUCCCCCGCCCCCGCCCCGCCCAGCUUCCCCCGCGGGAUUAAUAAAAUUGCCCUCGCGGGGUUAAUAAAAUUUUAUUAUAAUUAAAUUUUAAUAAAUAAUCAAGUACUAAAAUAUCAACACAUCAUCAAGUUAUUAUUCAUUGUAAUUUUACAAUUGAAACUCAUAAAAACAAUCAAACAAAAGUUAUUUAAAUACAAUCCAACAUGAUGAAAUAAAUACAACUAAAAUAGUCAAGUUUUCACUUUUGGUACAAAUACAAUCACUAAUUCAUUAUUGUGUUUGUGCUUUUUUUUGAAAAAAAAGUGUUAUUCUAUUAAGUGUAAUUAGAAAUUUAGUAUAAAUGUAUUAGUAAAUUUAGUAUAACUAAUUAAUAAAUUCUAUUAGUAGACAUGUCUAAUUAUUCAUAUAAUUGAUAAUAUCAAUUAUAUUACAUACACUAAUAUACAUUAUAUAAUACAUCUAACUAAUAAUAUCAUUAUCAUAAGUUUAAAACUAAUUAAAUUACAUAUUAUAUAUAUUUAUUUAUAUAUAUAUACUUUUUUUUUUUGCGGGUGGCGGUUCUAAACGGGGGGAAAAAAUUCCCCCCCGCCCCCGCCCUGAGAGCCCCUCGCGCGGGCAACCGCCCCCAUUGCCAUCCCUACUUGCAUUAUUGAGGAGAUCACUCCGACUGAACUCUAGGGGUAUUAAUAAUUGUCUUGUGGAGAAAUUUGCAAACCUUGAAUGAAUGAUGAGUUACUGUUCAAAUUCCUAGGAAAUUAGGUAGUACGUCCUUGCCAUGUUCCAAAAUGCUUCCUUUCUGCUCUAGUUACCGACUUUACCGUACCAUGUUUUGGUUCUAAUUUGCAGUAUUUAGCCACUUAGAAUUGUUUCAGGAACAAUAAUGAAAUUAGCAGCAUUAUGGAUCUAUACACUAUAAAAAAUUUUUAAAAAAAUAACGUAAAAGCCAUUAAAGAUACAGACAACAUAUAAAGCUAAUAAUGAAGAGAUCUAGAAUAUUUUUACUCUUAAUAACCGAUUUGUUGAUUUCCUUUUUCUGCUGCAAAGAUGUAAACCCAAUCUUCUUAAAUCCGCUUCUUCGUUAUGUAUUCCCAAAAGAAGAAAACCUUACAUUAAAGAAAAUGGAAAAAAAAGGUGUGCGAUAAGAUUUGUUGAUACUCCAUUGGUAGAGAUUCUAGGAGAGAAGAGGCAUCAGAAGAGCGUCGGCUGCUGAUAGGGAUAAAAGAGUGUGCUUGUUUUCAAUAAAUUGGAUAGGAAUCAGAUUUGGGUUUUGUUCAAAACCUUUCAGGUUACUAGGGAGUUGGCUAACUCCAAAUUUGUAAAUAUAAUUCCAAAACUCCAAUUCCUAUAGUAAUAAUCCAAAUAACAAUUAUGGGAUUUAUUCCAAUUUUUCAUUCCGAAACCCUCUUAUCAAUCGCCACCUUAGAUACGCCAAGAAAAUUUAAAUCUAAAGUUUUUUUUUUUUUUUUAGAAAAUGAUAACAAUUGUAUAACUUAUUUUAUCCUAAAUUAUAGGGGAAGGGGAGUCUAAAAAGACUUAUAUUAGGAGUUAGUAGAUAUACAAAUAUUAUUAGAUUAAAGAUGUGCUUUGACACCAACUUGAUUUUUUCCGAGUUUGAAAGGGUGCAAUAUUAAUUAUGAGGUGCUGAUCACAGUGUUAUGCUCAUGCAUUUGCCUUCUCUGAGUGCUGGGUAAACUUUUCUGACUCCACCAUUGACCAAGACUUAUGCUCAAGUCAAGUUCCAAUGUGAACCCCAAUUCCCAAAUGCAAACCAAACCCCCCCCCCCCCCCCCUCUGCUCUCUCUCUCUGUCUCCUAACACCAGCUCUGUGGGGUUCUCAUCGGAUUGACAAUGCCGCCCUUUUUACCAUUGGCUGGGCCUUUUGGAGUUUCUAAGGUGCUAAUGUGUGUUAAUUGGCUGGCUCUUCACCCAACCCUCACCUUAGAACCAGAACAAGGGCAAGCGCUGCUUCUUUUUAAUCCUUUUCUUCAUUUUACAGCACGGGUAACACAAAAACAAGCGCAUAUCAGACCAGUGACGGAGCCAGGAUUUUUUUUUUGGGGGGGCCAAAAUUGAAAUUCCAUUCAAAGAUGACUAAUUCAUAUAUAUAUAUAUAUAUAUAUAUAUAUAUAUAUAUAUAUAUAUCAACUCUCAUAAUAUAAACUAAAAUUGAAAAAAUUUAGGGGGGGCCAAUUUUAUUUUACACACAUAUUUACAUAUUAUGAAUUAAAAUUCUCAAAACUUAGGGGGGGCCAUGGCCCCCCUCUGCCCCCCUUGGCUCCGUCAUUGUAUCAGACAUAUUAUUGGAAAAAAAACGUUAGUCCAUAUCAACGAACGUUUGCAUGAUGCUGAAGCCGUUUGCGGCCCUGAAAAAACAGAACCGAAAGCUUUUAUUAGCUGCAGUGGUUUCACGUCUCUCAGUUUCUCUUGUUGCUUCAUCUUGGUGGUGCAUUUGUACGACUUACUGAUCACCAAAUUUCACUUAACAUAUUUCAUUAGUGGAACAUUUCAAUUCAAUCUGCCAUCUAAGUCCAACCAUUCAGUUUUCCUUUACGUUUAGCAUCAAUGUGGUUCCCAGGGUGUCUGCUGAUUUUUUGUUUCCACAUGGUCAAGGUGAUAGUCAAAAAGUAUAAGCUCAUAUUCCUCAGGGGAGGACCGGAAGAGACAUGCAAGUCGUCUCACUUACCUACCAUACCGUGUCUUCUUUACUUUCAGUGUAUGUGCAUCUGAUAAAGGAAUUGUUUUAUGCAUCCUUAGUUGAAAAUUCACAUUAAAAAUGUAGGUAGGAUUGUAAUUUAUUCAUAAAUUUUUGUUUAAUUGCACAAUCAAUAGAUUAUUUAACAACAUUUUUAUCUCAUAUACAUCACAUUAAAAAAGUGUUAUAAUAUAUUUUUUUUGAAAAAUUAUCCCAAAUAAUUUACUAUCCAAACACAGUAAUAUAAGCAUAAGCAAACUUAUCUCUUUCAAUUGCCUUUCCAUGUGAUAACUAUUCUUUAUUUUUUUCCUAGUAAAAGGAUAUAUAUAUAUAUAUAGAAAGCAUCAUUAAUUAUUUCUUGCUUACAUUGAGAUAGGGAGGGAAUAUUGUUCUUCAUGUAAUAUACUAUAGAAGAGCGACAAUAUUUCCAUUUUUUUGGCUAAAUUACUUAUAACCUCUUGUAGUUUUGCAUAAUGCUAGAUGGCCCACUUAAGGUUUCAAAAUAGCCAUAUGAAAAACCCUUCUGUGAUUUUGUAUUAAUUACGUGAAAAAUGGACGGAAUGCAUAACCAGUUACGGCGAUUAUACAAGACAUACUCCAAAAGUGCAUGUGAUGAAAUCAUACUAUAUACUUAACCCUAUGAUUUACAUAAAUAUUCACUUUAUUUCUUUGUGAUUUUUGCACUUAUCGACGUAAUCCCCUUAUAGUUUUACAUAAAAUGAUUAAGCCAUUGUAUGAUUUUUCAUUUAAGUAAGGGCAUUAUUGAUAUUUUAACUAAUGACAUUGGAUAUGUUAUUUUUGGUCAAAUUUUCACUUUACAUAAAAUUAUAGGAGAAUGAAAUGAAUAUUUUAAAAUAUUAGAGAAUCGUGUGACAAUAAAUGAAACUAUAAGGAGAUUAUUUGUAAUUUUUUUUUGGUCUGAUAGGAAAUAGUUUAGGAGAUGUGAGGACCCACUUCCUUUUAUGGUCAAGGCAGUACCACUAGAGCACACAUCUUUUGCUAACUCAUGUACAACUGGUUGCCACCAACAAUGGACACUUUUGGAAGGUUCUCCAACCAUGCAGUUCUUCAAAAGUCAAAAGGGGCUUCUUUUUGUAAUUUUUAUUUUUAUUUUACUUUUGUAAAUUGUAUGUGUUAAAUUCAAAAUUUUUUAUUUAUAAUCUCUCUUAUUUUACCAUUCAAUUAAACCCUUUUCCAGUAUUUACAGACUCCGAAGCACUAAUUCAUCUACAGGACUGGUCCGACAUCAUUUCUUGUCAGCAGAUCCAAAACUCCUUGGGCUCAGCCCAGUAUCGUUUUAUUGGGCUCAGGGUCAGCUGUCAAUGGGUAAUCACUCAUCAGCCAUGUUAAGUAGGCCAAACAUAAGCCAGUCACCGUUGUUGGGCUUUCCCACUAAUCCUGUCCUGGAUGUCGAAAUGAGUUUUUGUGACCUUCUUUUGAUAGGUCUAGUUUCCCUAAUUUUCAUUACAUUGACAGCAUAUAUAAUAUUUUAUGUUAUAUGUACAAAACUUGAACUCUAAAUUCAAAUUAAAUAUAAUUAUCAUGUAUCCAUACCUAAUAAUGUAUAAGUCGUCAAUGCAUAAAAUUGUCUUUCUUGAAAUUUGUAAAAUUACACAAACCUCCCUUGAAGUUUGCAAAAUUACACAAACCUCCCCUAAGAUUAAAGUUUUGAUAACAAAAUUAGUUCAAUUAGAAAAAGUAAUAUUAAAAUAGUACUUUAAGGAGAGAGAUGAAACUUUUAUUCCAUAAAUAUCCGUUAUGCAUAUAUAUAAGUUGUAUUUGUAAAAGAAAAAAAAUAAUUAAAAGUUAGAAAUAAUUAAUACACACAUUUUACCGUUCAAAAAAGUUCACAUUUAAUAAAUUCGACAACACAAAUAAGUAACAAAAUUAUGCUAAUGAUCACAAGAUUCGGCAAAAUAAACUAAUCAUCUCUUUUAACAUGAUGUUUGCUAUUAUUCUUAUGAUUUUAAACAGAAAAAUUUUCGAAUUCAUACUGAUAUGUAACUAUGAGAUGGUUACCAGGGCGUGGUGCAUCCAUUGAUCGGCUGUAAUAUGGAGACUAGGCCACUAUCAUUUCCUCCUUUGGGUGAGUUAACUUCUAAUGGCCAAAUGACAAGUGUUAAUUUGUCGAUCAGUAUAGUGAACUCGUCCACUUUAGCUUAAAUGUUUUACUACCUUCUUCUUCAGACUUGACCUUUCACCAAGGUCUUUUUCUCAUCUUCAGGUCCAACAUCAGUUAAAUUGAUCCAUUAAAGCAAUUAGUCCUCCUUCUGCCAGGUACUUAAUUCUUUCCUCACGUAUGAGAUUGACUAUGCUGGCUUUUCCAUGCUCAUUGGCCGGGCCGUAAUUCCGAGUUGCUGUAUGUUUAAGGCAUUACUGCAUAUAAUGCUUCUUUUACUUGCUCUCCUUGUUAACUUACAUAAUCACACUUGGUGUUUCUGGAAUAUCCAGGUCACUAGUGUGUUGCUGAAUGUACAAGUCCUGUAAAGAUAGAAAACGAUAAGUUUUUGGUUGUCAAUUUAUUAAUAUUCUCUAGGAACGAUAUGGUGAUAAUAAUCCGACAAAUUUUGUUCUGAACAUUGCAGUAGUAGCUACCAUCUAAAGUCCCAAACUCAGUAUUCUUUAUGUGGAGAAUCUGUAUAGCGUAGAUGUUGGGAAAAUUCUUAAAUUGUUAUGAAAAAAAAAAGUUAUUCUACAAAGGAGGUAAUUUGUGGAGCUGAUUCCAGACUUGUGAUCUUCGCAUUUGUGAAAUGCGAGUUCAGGUACCUCGCAUUUCACAAAUGCGAGGUAAGUGUUUCCAGAAAAAAAGAAAAAGAAGCUCGCAUUCUGCAAAUGCGAGCUUACUCAGCUCGCAUUAGGAGAAUGCGAGAUUAAGUACCUCGCAUUUCAUGAAUGCGAGGUACUCAAUCUGAAAUCAAUCAGACUUCCCACUUUCGCAUUUCUCUUCAGUUCGUCACUCCCUUCACUCUCUCCGUGCAGCCUCCUCACUCUCAAAAUUAUCUUGGAAAUCAGAUUCACAGCUUUGUCGUCGGAAGCUGUCGGAAUUCUCCUCGGAAGCUCUGCAAUUUUGUCAGCCCGUGCGGCGUUUCUCCUCAGGCGAAACCAGAAAGGUGGCAUUUCUUCUCGUCCGAAGCCGUCAUCGGAAGCAUCGGAAGCUCUCGGCCAUUGCAGAGCUUCCCCUUUGGGAACCCAUCUCUGGUAGCUAGCUCCAUUCAAGUCCGGCAUCCGUCUUUCUCCAUUUGCCAUUCCUUUCAGCAGAAACAGCAUAAGAGGUAAGAUAUUUUUUUUUCUGAGUCUUAAUUUUUUUCUGGGAUUUUUUGUUUUUACGAAUUGAAGUGGCUUUUAUGAUUUGGCAAUUUAUUGGACAUUGUUGUUGUUUCGGUUGGUCUCUUAUUUGGACAUUGUACAUUGCUUGUUAUCGGAGCUAAGUUUCUUCUUGUGGUUGAUUACAAGAAUGGUCUGUCCUAAGUUUCGGUUGGUUUAAUGAUAAAUGUCGACAAUAAAGAAGAUAGCUUGUCAGAUACCUUAAAGAUCAAUCAUGCUAUGGAAAUUCAUAACGGACAGGAAUAUUUUUACGUGCACACAAUGCGCAGGAGUGCUUGUAUAUCCUUAUAUAAUAAAUUUUUUUUGAUCUAGCAAUUAAAGAUCUAGCAAGUAAAUCUGAUAUAACUUUUAAGAUCAUGCUAUCCUUUGAAUUGUUUCCCCUGUUGCUGUCUGUACUUUGAAAAAUAAAUGGAGUAAGAAUUUGUUUAUGCACUUACAAAAAAUUAAAAUUAAAAUAAUUUAUUUACACACUUUCGAAUUUAUCCAUUAAUUCUUUGUCUAUCCUUUUCAUUUUUCAUUUUUGCAUUUGAAGCAUGUUAAUUACUUCACUCAGCCUCCACCUCACACUGAACCACAAGAGCAAGCUCAAGAGACGGAGGCACAGCAGACCCUUCCUCCUCCCAUUCCACGACCACCACCUCCGCCGCGAUCCAAGUUGCAAGAGAUCCUCAAUGCCAUCUGCUGCAUGGAGACACGUGUCAUGGAGCGCAUUGACCAGACCGAGCGGAUGAUGACUAAGCAACUAGACAGGUAGGAUCGUCGUCUUCGAGCGAUGGAAGAUCAUUUCCACAUUCACCGCUCACCUACUCCUAACCCUCAUCAAGAGGAGGGGCCUAGUGGUACAUCUCAGGGAGCUGAGGAGGCAAUAGACCCUCGUUCUGAGCAGUCAUGAAGACCUUUCGAGGAUUUCAUCUUUUAUUGCUUUAUUUUUCUUUUAUUGUGUUCGGUUCAAACUUCGUAGUUUUCUUAUUAGAUUUUCUUGUACUACUUAUAUUGUUUAGUACCCUUGAUGUUUCAAGCAUGACAGAAUUUGGAUGGUCGUGCGGAUUAAGGGCUUCAAACUGCAUCACCACACUUACCAAGUGGGAAGUUUCGUUUUCUUUUACCUUCCUCUACAAUGAGGACAUUGUAGAUUUUAAGUGUGAGGGAGGGAUUACUUUAUUUUAUGGGUGAUUGUGUCUUGAAAUGCAUGAAUUUGAUUGUCUAUGGCUUAAACUUUUAUUUGGAAAUAUUGUCUUGAGGUUGUUGGCGGGGAGUUUUGUCCAUUUUUAUGGGGAACUCUGUCAAAAUUUUUCUAAAAAUAUUUUCCAAUAUUAAUGGCCAAAAUGUUCAAAUUUUAAGUGCUCAAACUCUUCCAUUGGAUAGAAUGCUAUAUGUAUUUUGGAAGGUUUAGUCCUUAUUUUGUUUGGAAAGAAUUAUUAUGCUUAGAAAGUAUAUUCGGUUAAAUAAGAAAAAUUAUGCUUACAAAUUUGCAAGAUUAAUGAUAUUUCUCAUUUUGACUUAAUUUUAUAAGUAAGUGAUUGAUAUAGUCAAAACAAGACCAAAUUCUUCCUUUAAUGAUGUUAGACGGAAAAGAAAUCAUAUCAAAAAAAAAAAAAAAGAGAGAGAAAAAAUAUAUAUAUUAAUCUUCUACUCCAAUCAUUCACAUACCGAGUAACCGGGGGUUGGCAUCUACAAAUGUCGACAUUUGCGUAAAAAGGUAUCGGAAUUAAGAGUAUGCUUAGCAAUUUGAAUAAGUUAAAUGUUGAGUAACCGGGAAUCUUCACCUAAAAGUGUCGAUUUUCAAGUAAAAAGGCGUUUUCACUAUUAAAAUAAAAUGGAAUAUAAAUAAAUCCCUCUCAUUAGUUAAGUUUUGAUGGUAUAAAUGCAUAAAUGUAUAUAAAUAUUUAAACAAUAAAAAUUAUAAAUUAUAAAUAAUAUUAAUUAUACAUUUAUACAUAAUAUUAUAAAUAUAUUUAUAAAUUAUAAUUUAUACAUUUACAUAAUAUUCAUUUAUAAUUUAUACAUUUAUAUUAAUUAUACAUUUAUAAAUAUAGUUAUAUUAUGUAUUAUAUGUAAUAUAAUACAUUUAUACAUUUACAUAUUCUUAUAUAAAUAUAUAAAUAUAUUUAUUUAUAAAUAUUCAUAAAUGUAUUAUAAAUGGAUAAAUGUAUAUAAAUAUAAAAAUUAUAAAUUAUAGAAAUACGCAAAAAUAUGUUUCAGAAAUACGUGAACAAAAUAAUCCAAAAAACAUCUACAGCAAAUUUUUUUAUAUAGUUUUUCAAAAACAACCCCAAAAACAAUUAAUCCAAACGGACUUGUAUUUGAAAAACAAAAUGCUACAGUGCUACUUUUUGAAAAACAACCCCGAAAACAGCUAAUCCAACGGGGGCCAAUGUCAUUUAAGAAAUUUAACUUUUCCAAUAUAUAAUAGCAAAUUUGAGAAAUUGAUUAAUCAAUUAUUAGUAGUAUCAAUAACAAAAAAAUAAAAUACUAUUCUUGUUCAUUCUUAUUUUUAAUUUCACUGCAAAUAAUAAUUGCUAACUUUUCUUUUUUAUGUGGUAUAUAAAAUGUUACUUUUAAUAUAAGUAAUUGAGUAGCUACGAAUUCUCAAUUAGUUUAUAGAUACUUAAAUUAUUGAAUUACUAGAUUAAUACACUUUACAAAAAUUGUUGACUUACUACAUUAAUACACUUUACAACAUCAGCUACAUAUAUUUUUUAAUAACAAAGAGUUUAUGAUAAAUUAUUAAGAAUGAAUUUAACAAAUAAACAAAUUUAAAAAGUAAUUUAAAAAAUAUUGAAAUUUUUUGAUGCAAUUUUCUAGGAAUUCGUAUUUAUCGGAUGCAAGAUACAGUCCAACCAAAAAGCUUGCUAGUUUGGUUACGAUUUAUUGCCCCAAAUUAUUAUCAACUAUUGAUGUCAAUAUUAAGGGAUCUUUUUUUUCCCAGUUGUGAUGAAUUUAGAGCCUUAAGUAGUAAAAUUUGUAGAAAUUUGCAUUGCAAAUUGUAAAUCAUUUUAUAAUUUGCAGUGAAAUCAUAAAGCAAGGGAAAAUGGCAUUACAAUUGAAGCAAAAACAAAAAUUUUUUAGGCAAAAUCUAGAAGCCAAUGUUGGAAAGAACCUUAAGAUGGUACAUAAUGAAUACUUGUUCACUAGUUUUAUCACUCGCAUGAUGAAGCACGCACGGCUUGUUACUUAUGAUUAUUGUUUGAGCAAUAAUCAUAAGUGUAAAAUUGCAGCUUGCUCGCUCACUGGACAAGGAAGCUUCUUUGGUCAUUGCUGGGCGGUUACUUACCUCGCAUUUCACAAAUGCGAGGUCUGCUUUUGUUUUUUUUUUUUUUUUUGAAUUUCGGUGGUAGAAUAAUUUAGGGAGACUUCGCAUUUAGCAAAUGCGAGCUCAAAGAACUCGCAUUUGCUGAAUGUGAAGACCUCAAAAACAGACAACCAUACACAAAAUACCCCCUUUAUAGAAGUUUUUUAAAAAUCAUCAUAAUUUUAGAAAUUUCUCCGUAGAUGUUGUUCCCAGAGCAUCGGUCUUUUGUAUUACUAAUUGAUUUUGUUGAAGGUGUUUGUCCGGGAGCAAUAUCUUGAAACAUAUAUAACUGACUUUGCUGAUGAGGGGAAGGGAAAAGCAAAUUAUCUUACUUGAUUACUCAGGACUACAAAGUUGACAGCAUGAGCAUCUUCCACCAAUUAUUUGGUUCGUCUUCAGUUGAAAGAUCAAAUUGAAAAACAAAAAAUAAGAUAAAAAUAAAGCAAUUAUCUCUUACAAUCGCCUCUUCAUGCGACAAUAUAUUUUUUUUUUUAUUAUUAUUGUUCUUAGAGAGUCUUCAAUAGUAGAUAUUUAAUCUGGCCCCAGACUGGCAAGCAAUGGGGGUGGUGGAAAAUUAUCUCACCAUACCACUCUAUUCUCUAAAUUUAAAUCUGAGUUAGCAAGCAAACGAGUUGGGAGAUUCCUACUUCUAGAAACAUGAACCAGGAAUCCUUCGAUUAGGUGCCUGACUUUUUCCACUAAACAUGAAUCACGAAUCCUUCAAUCAGGUGCCUGAAGAAUCGGUUCUGAUUCUUCUAACCAUAUAUGUUGAUUGAGUCACUUUUCAUCUCGAAAGCUUCUAUUACAACGUCAUGCAACCCUAUACUUAUUGUAAGUUCGACCGCUAAUCUCUUUUCAAUUCCUUCAGCAAUUGCCGCCAUAAUCUGUCAACCAUUAUUCUAUGAAAUUGGGCCUAAAAAUUUUUGUUCGAAGGAUGAAAAAGAGUGUCAUCAUGAUGGUGUUCCAACUGCCGCCCCGCUUGAUUCAAACAUUUUUUUUUUCGGUUUUUUGGGUCAGAUCUCAGAUUCUCAGCCGUUCUUCUUUUCUUUGUCCUGUGCUACUCGGCAAUUUUGUAUUCUGAAGAGCUGUCCAGAAUUUAACAAACUCAAAAAAUCAAAAUGCAUAAAAAAUGAGAUUUUUUUUAUGAAUUUUCUGCUGUAUUUUUUAAUUUUCUAUUAUAUAUUACUUUUUUGAAACUGUUGUAUUUAUUUUUUACUUAAUUAAUAGUUAUUGGAUCUUAAGGAAACAAAAAAAAAAUAAAGACAUGAUAUUUAUGUAGGAGAAAUAACAAUAUAAUAAAAAGUGGGACAGGAUGAGGGACAGAAGAUCCGUUGCGGUUUAGCACCGGCCACGGUCACCGCCGUUGGGCUUUUUCCGCUACUAGUGUCGUGGAAGUAGAAAUGAAGUCUUGUUGCCUUCUCUUUUGUCCGGUCGAGCUUAUGGAACCACUCAUCAACUCCUUCGUGGCCUUGAGCAACCCCAUGAACGUCCAUCGGUCCGUCUAAGCCUACCAGGAGUAAGCAAAGCAUGACAGCUUGAAUUUGCUUCUGCAUUUUAAAUCAAUCACAUAUGCUCUCGUUCUCUUUUGAUUAUGGUCUGCACUACUAUCUGUUGUUUGUGAUACUAUCGGAAUAAUUGGGAAGACAGAACUGGGGAAAGAAGGGUCCUCUGCAUAAUAGCGGUGGCAAUUUUUGGCAUGACGAGACAGCACGACAAGACAACACGACACGAUCCGAAAUUAGGCAUGUUUUAGUAUGACCGAACUUUAAUGGAUCAUUAUUUUUUUUUUUUUUUUUUGGUUUGGUAGGAGGGCUUUAGACCCAUUACAUGCCAACUAAUCUAGGAGUUGCAACGCCUAGGACAUCAUAUGCCAACCACUUCCUCACCUCCUCUGGUGGCGAAGCCAACUCUUGGACCCUCUCCUCCAGACUCAAUCCACUCUUAGCUAACCAAUCCGCACUCAUAUUGCCUUCCCUCCAUUGAUGUAUUACCUCACAUUGCCAUUGUCUCUUCCUUAAGUUCCGGAUUUGGCUGAUAGUCACCAUAAGGGGGCUCUCCGUUGCCGCUUUGUCAAUGAGCUCUAAACUCAUUUUAGAGUCAGUUUCAAUGAUCACUUUCGUGUACCCCUUUUCCCAUGCUGUCUGCAUUCCAAACCAGAUCGCCCAAAGUUCAGCUUCAGUUAUGGUCCGUUGUCCUAGGUUUGCCCGAAAUCCGCUGAUCCACACCCCAUUCUCAUCGCGUAAUAGCCCUCCAGCCCCUGCAAUACCACUCCUGGUGCUAAGCGCCCCAUCUACAUUAACUUUUAUCCAACCACUCUCCGGCUUAUCCCACCCUAUGUUCCUAAUUUGCCUUUUCUUACUCCCGGGUUCCCUCUCUAGUACUCUUUGAUUAGCUUCCAACACUGCAGCGACCGUCCUCUCUAAACUGUCGACUGUACUGCUAUCCCCAUUGACGUUAAAACGAUUCCUGCCUUCCCAUAUUAAGUAUACCACCUGUUGGAACACGGCCUGCCAGUCCAAAUGAUCCCACCUGCCAAUAUUCCUCUUCUUUAGGUUCCAGUCUAUCCAAUCCUCAACACUCUUGCCGUUAAACUCCUCCCAAUAUCUUGGGUGAACUAGGCUGAACCAUAUCUUCCUAGCCCAAGGACAGUCUCGUAAAGCAUGUAUCUGCAUUUCCGGAUCCUGCCCACAUAACUUGCAGUAACUAGCCUCCUGGAUGUGCCUCCGCUUCUUUUCUGCAUUGGUUAACAGUCGCUGGUGCCUAGCUAACCACAAUAUAAACUGCCAACGACCCGGUCCUCUUUGCUUCGAAAUGCGAGCCCAACCAUGAUGAUCAGCAAGUACUGCUCCAUUGCACUCCAACUGAUAUGCAGUUCUUGUUGAAAACACUCCCCUGGGGUCCGGGGUCCACACUGGCAUAUCCAUGUCGGAGUCUUCCUCUGCUAACUGGACUUCCGACAGCCUACUUAAUAUUUGGAUGGGCAGUAAAAGUUCCAAAGUAUCCAUUUUCCAUCCCUCCCCAACCACCCAGUAGUCCCUGACCUUCUUAUGCAGCUCUCCUGUCGAAACAUCCCCUCCACUCAAGUCCACUAACGGCUUUUCUAAUAACCAAACGUCCUUCCAAAAACUAACGUCCGCUCCAUUGACCACUUUCCAUUUCACUCCUUUCCUCACCACUCUCUGUCCCUCCUCUAUACUCCUCCAAACGAAGGAUUUUCUUCCAGCCCCCCCUGAUUCCUUAUAUUUAUUGCUAAGAACUCGUACCCACAGUGACUCCCUCUGGUGCAUAGCACUCCAACUCAACUUCGCAAGUAUUGCUCUAUUGGUCUCCCUCAUUUUUCGUAUCCCAAGCCCUCCUUCCGUUUUAUCCCUUGUCACCGUGUCCCAGCUUACAUGAUGAAUUUUCCUACGCUCUGCUGAAUCUCCCCAUAAAAACUCCCUUGCACACCGCUCUACUUCAUCUAGCACUGAGCAGGGUAGCAUAGCCGUCUGCAUUGUAUACAAUGGAAUUGCAGUAAGCACUGACUGUACUAGUGUUGCCCUCCCCGCAAAUGAUAGCACCUUCUUUUGCCAGCCUGCUAAUCUUUUUUUGACUUGGUCCACCACUGGCUGAAAGGUGCUCUUUGUCACUCUCCCAUGCAGAAGAGGCACUCCCAAAUAUUUUCCCAAAUCAUCUGUAACCUCUAUUCCAAAUCUUCCUUUUAUCAACAUUCGCCUACUCCAAGGUACAUUUCUUGAGAAGACCAUCUUUGUUUUGCUUACAUUUACUUUUUGCCCCGACACUUUGCAAAAGGUCCCCAAAAUAUUCCCCACCACCUCUGCUUGUUCCAUACUUGCCUCUGCGAAUAACAUUAAAUCAUCCGCAAAACUUAAAUACGCUACACCUGGGCCACUCCGAGUAACUUUAAUUGGUCUCCAGUCCUUCACAACCACUGCCUCUUUAAUCAUAUGACCCAACCUCUCUAUACACAAAACAAACAAAUACGGUGAUAAUGGGUCCCCUUGCCGAAUCCCUCUAGUUGGCUUAAAAGGUUCUAAUUUUCCUCCAUUCCAUAGGAUUUGCAUGGCACUGGCCUGCACACAGUUCAUAAUGAGCUCAUUGAGUUUUUCUGGGAACCCUGCCAACCUGAGAGUCUGAUGUAUAAAGCUCCAUCUUAGUCUGUCAUAAGCCUUCUCCAAAUCUACUUUUAUCGCCAUUCCUCCUUUCUUUCCCCUCCACUUACUCAUAGUGUGUAAAACCUCCUGUGCUAUAAUUAUAUUAUCAGCGGCUUGUCUACCCGGGAUAAAACUGCACUGAUUCUGCUCAAUUAACUCAGAAAUCAACGGUCGAAUCCUGUCCACUAUAAUCUUUGUCACCACCUUAUAAGGCACAUUACACAACGAGAUGGGUCUGAAUUGUGAUACCAUUUCUGGAAAUUCCACUUUUGGUAUUAAAGCUAUGAGUGUGGUGUUGACAUGACCCGGCAUUGCCCUCGCCUCAAACACCUCCUUGACAAAGUGCACCAUUUGGGUUUUCACUAACGCCCAAUGUUGUUGAUAAAAUCCCGCAUUCACUCCAUCCGACCCUGGUGCCUUGUUUGGAUUCAUGUUAAAAAUCGCUUGCUCGAUCUCAUACUCAUACACCUGUCUCCCUAGCGCUUCCAGCCUCCUAUUCGCCAAUUUUGGAAACAUACCGAUUAUGGUAGUACCUCCAGCUUCUUCCACCCCCUCCUCUCGGUAUAGCUUGCAGAAAAAAUCUCGCACCAUACCCUUAAGUACCUCUGGAUCAUCAUGCCAUAGAUCAUCAUCACCCCGUAAGCUCGCAAUUUGGUUCCUUCUCCGUCUAACUAUGGUCGACAUAUGGAAGUAUUUUGUAUUCCUGUCGCCCCCCUGCAGCCAUUCUAUUCUAGACCUUUGCCGCCAGUACAACUCCUCCUGCUCUAGUAUUUGGUUAUACUCAUCCAGCAGCUUCACCUCUAGUUUUUCCAACUUACGCGAAUACCGAUUGCACAAUAUCCUUUGAACGCCUUCCAACCUCGCUUUACAUCUCCUUUUCCUUUUAAAAACAUUCCCAAAUACUAAUACAUUCCAUUCCUUUAGCCUCAUACUGAGCGCCUGUAGUUUCCCUUCUAACGUCUCCUCAGCGCCGUUCCAAACCUCUGUAACCACCUUCUCAUAUCCUGGAUGCGUGGACCAGGCUUGCUCUAGCCUGAACGGUUUCUCCCCAUUAAUUCCCCAUGGAAUCCCCUCCAAACAGAUCUGCAACGGGUGAUGGUCGGAGUGAGUGCGGACCAAAUGUUUGAUCACCGCUCCCUGAAAUUGCUCUCUCCACAGCCUAUUACAUAGCGCCCUGUCCAGACGCUUCCUGACACUCCUGAUCCCUUUCCUACAGUUGCUCCAGGUAAGCGGGGGACCACUACAAUCCAUAUCCAUUAACCCACCCUGUAAGAGUAACUCCGCAAGACUUGAUUGACUUGCUCUUCCUAGCGGUCGACCUCCCUUUUUCUCUUCUGAGUUAACCACUUCAUUCAGAUCCCCCACUAACAGCCAAGGAAAAUUAAUAGCUUUAUCUAUACUGGAAAAAUAUUCCCACAAAUAUCUCCGUGUAGAUGAAUCUGGUGACGCAUAUACUGCUGAUAACAUCCACUCCUCUCCCCUCACUCCUUUGACCACCAUAUUAAUAACCUGUCGGUUUGUAGAGAUUGGUUCCACCUCCCAUUUAUGCUUGUUCCAUAACACCCAAAUACCUCCUGAAAACCCACAAGCCUCAACACAGAUUUUAUCUGUAAGUUGCGUGCUCUGGACGAUCCAAUCUGCUUUCCCACUAUCUGUCCUCGUUUCCACUAGUAUAAGAAUCCCAGGGUCAUAUUCCUUUAGAAUUUCCUUUAAAUUCCUUCUAAAUUUUGCAUUUGCCGCACCGCGGCAGUUCCAACUGAUAAUAUUCAUAAAUUUAAUAAGGUGAUUGAAAUUUGGGAUCCAAUCCCUCCUGCUCCUUAUGCAUAUCCUGCUCCUGUGAUUCCAUGACAUCUGAUACGUCAGUCAUAUCCCCAAGCCCCAUCCCCGCAUUAUUCUGGAUCUGCGCAGGGUCCCCUGGGUCAUCAAUCAUCACAUUCCCCCUACCUUCCAGAUCCUGUUCCUGUCCCCAUUCCACAACCCGGACACCCUUAUCCUGCCUUUCCACUCUUUUCCCCAAGAAUGUAACGUCUUGCUCAUUUGUACUCUCAAACGUGAACUCUCCUGAUCUCCCUUCCUUAUGAUGCUCUCGCCUCAAUGGCCCCAUUAUGUUCUCCACCUUGUCCAAACUCCCCCCUUUCUGAAUCCUCGAGCAUUCACCCUGAAUCCUCCCCCCAGUCUUCUUCAAACCCCCUCUUUGUAAUUGAACUACAGCCCCAGCCUUUUUCUUUGCGACAUCAAAUCCAUUCUUUGGCCCGCCAGGCUUCUUUUUACCAUUAAGCUCAACCCCAACUUGGAGGGGACCAGGAAUCGAGCUAAUCUUCUGCUUUAGCACAGCACGCGUAUCUCUCUCCACUGGGGAUUGGGCGUCAUCCUCCUCCCUUAGAACCUCAAAUCUUGACCCUGAAACUUCCUCCAUCAAUCCCUUACUUCCAAAUCUGAAUACAUUUUCCUGAACCUUAGCAUUCUGAUUCUCUCUCCUGUCACCGACCUGAAUCCAUUGAUGAAUUCCCGGAUCAUCUUUUUGUCCAGUACCCGCCAUCCCUACCCCCUAGAUUCCCCAUGCUGGUCCACUAUAUGACCAGUCCCUUUCCCCUUCGACGCUGCCUCCCAACCUCUUGAUCUAGCCACUGGACCCGAUACUUGCCUUCUAGCCUUCCUUGAAUCCGCAAUCAUCCAUGGACCAAAGGGGUUAGCCUCUACUUCUUUAACCUCCUCCCCCUUGCUUGACCCCUGUUCCCCUCUUGCUGCAACACCUUGUUGAUGAGUCGGGCAAUCAAUCACCCCAUGCCCGUACCUUCCACAAUGGAAACAAAUGAGAUGAAGCCCUUCAUACUCUAUUGCUUGGAGUUCAUCAUUAAUCCAGACAAACGGAACCAACGGAGAUAAAGAGCUUACUUUAUGAUAAUAAUCAAACACUAUAGAUGGCAUUUUGACUAUUUAGUAAAAACUAACAACGAUAAAAUAUGGUUUGAAGAUUUCAAUUACAAGUUUUAAAAAUUCACAUGUUUUAUAUCUUAUAUGAAACUAUCUGAUCGUGUUUUUAAAAGAUUGAUUGGAUCUCAUUUUCUAGAGAAUUUCUAAAAAAAAAAAAUUACUUUAGUAGUUUUUAAGAUGUGAUAUACAGUAAAAUCUCGAUAAGUUAAUACUCGGUAAAUUAAUAACCUUUAUUAAAUGAUAAUUUUUCUCAGCCCUAACUUUGGCUAAUGAGUUAAACUAAUAAUUUUGAUGAAAUAAUAAGAUUAUAAUAUUUUUUUUCAAAAACCUUACAUAAUCUUUGAUCCCAUUCAUAUCAUAAAUUAAUAAUUUACUGAAAUUAAGUAGCAUAUUUUCAUAAAAUAUGAGUUGUUGAUUUAUGAACAUCUUUUAAAUGGGAAACCAUAAUUUAAUAAUGAGAAAUGUAAGAAAACUUUGUGUUUAUUUAUUAUAAGAAUGAUCUUUUUGUCAUUUAUAUACAUAAUGUUAAUCUGAAUCAUUGUAUACAUUCAAUGAAAUAGAAGCGGAAUCUAUCAUUUAAUAUUUUCAAGUGCUUUUUACCUCUUCAUAAUAUCAGUUACAUGUGUACAUUGAAAACAUUACUAGAAUUAAAUUAUACUUGCAAAUCAAAAUAGAUAUGAAUUGGUUUAUAGUUCUUAGACUUUUAGUCUCUUUUUAUUAAUAGAAUAACUCAAAUUUUUUAUAAAGUAAAAUAAAUUUUAAGCUAAUUAAAUGAGUGUUUCUUUGAAUUAUAAGUACAUUCAAUAAAUUAAUAAGUUAUUGAUUUAUCGAUUAAUUAAUACCUCUUUAAAUUAAUAGAAUUUGGAUGGCCCCAAAGCUAUUAAUUUAUAGAGGUUUUAUUGUAUGUGAAAUAAAAGAUGAUUGAAAAAUGUGUAGAAGGAAUAUUCAUAGAAAAUGGAGAAAUUUUUCAAAAAAAAAAUCAAUCCAAACAAGGCUGACUUUAUAACUUAUAUUAUAUAUUUGAAAGCUUUAUCAUCUAUUUUUUUAAUGUUUUGAAAAUUUCAAAUUUUGUGUUGACUAUAUAUUACAAAAAAUUUAUUGUGUGUUUUAACAACAACAACGUUGAAUCAAUUACAUGAUCAAAUGGGUUAAAUGAGUGAUUCAAAUGCUAUAGUGUUUCUAACAUGGGUCAAUAGGUUGAUUUGACAAAAUAAUACAUCAUAUUAAAACUAUUUUAGUCGUAUAGAGUAUUUAACGGGUUACACUGGUUGAAUUGGGUUAACUCGUUAACAAAUAAGUUACGACAUGAUUCACCACAAAAGUCUAGUGGAUUGGGUUAGGAUUGAGGUUUUUUUGAUACGGACAUGCAUGAUAAUACAUGAUUUGACACAUUGCCUCACCAGUUGGUCCAAGUACUGUACUAAUCAAUCCUGCAAGGAACGGAGCGAAGUACAGACCGAUAAUACUCAAUUCUGUGAUUUCGUACCCUUUUUUUAGGUGAAGAUUCCAUUCUUUUUUGGAUCUUCAGCCGUAAUCGUCCAAGGCUUUUGCCAUCGUUCUCCUCAACUUACCACUGCUAAACAAUGUAAUCACGUUGGUUUUUGUAAGAUAUUGGCUUGCAGAAUCACCACUGCCAUAAGUAGUAAUGAAUCUACGGAUAAUUUCAGAACCGCCCCUGAGAUUUCUGAUAAUCUCACUUUCCCUCCCUGAGGUUUUCAAAAUAUCAGGGACCUCCACCAGUAAAAUAUUGGGUCCCACUUCUUACAUUAUCAUGGAUAAAAUGACUUAAAUACCCAUACAACUUAUCAGAUAUUUCACAAUCAUUUGGACAAAUUUACUUAAAAUAGUUAUAAAUAUGAUUAACUGAAUUAACGAUAAUUUACAAGUGCAAAUAAUAUCUAAAAUACCAUGAAAAAAGGGCACUAAAUUCAGGCACUCUACUCUGGUUGAUGUAUGACAUAGAAAAUUGCAAGAGUAAGAAGUCACUUCAAUUAGAGUAAGAGAAGCAGAUUAUAAGCCAUAUGUGAAGAUUUUCACCUUGAUUAUAGAGGAUUCAAGAGUUCUUUAACCCACAUCUUCAUAUUAGUCUCUAUGAAUUUUGUACUAAAAAAUUUUUAUUCUUUGGCAGUUUAUGUUGAUAUAGUUGUUGUUUGUGUAUGGUAGAUUAUGCUUAACUGAUUUUCUGUUUCAGAAACCUCUCCAAAAAUUUCAUUUUUGUUAAGUUGCUUAGGCGCCGUUCAUUUGAAAUUAUCUCGCUAAUGCAAGGUUUGAGAGCAUUUGUGGUAUUAGGUUGUUUUCUCUCUCCAACUCCCAAUUUUUUAUUGUUUAUCUUUUUGAAUUGGGUUGGAUUUAAUACUAACGACUUACAUUUAGAGGAGGUUUCUGAUAUUUUAAAAAUCUUUAGAGGAGGGGGGUGAGAUUGUGAGAAACCUCAAGGGAGGUUUCUGAAAUUAUCCCAUGAAUCUAUUAACAUAAGAUAUUCCCUUGGCUACGUACCCAUUUUGUUUCUUCUUUUUUGGUUUUAAACGGAGACAGAACAACAGAUUAUGGAUCUAAAUGCAGAGACCAUAUAAUAAUGCUAACUGAGAUGAAGAGCAACUGGAGGAUAGAGGCAUUCAUGUGCAUGCAUCUCGAGAAAUCAUCGCAGAUCCUCGCAGAUAUGCAUUCAGGUAUGUUCCAAAAUAAUUAGAGAGAGGGAGAGAGAAUAAAGGAAUAAUUUCAAAAAUCUCCCCUGAGGUUUCUUAUAAUAUCAAUCAACUCCUUUGAGUUUUGUAAAAUCUCACUUACUUCUCCUGUUAGUUUGACAAAACUAAAUAUUUUUAUCAAAUGUUAUAAAUUGACAAUAAUACCCUUGCUCUUAAUAACUAUUUAACCAAAAAGUCAAAACAAAAUAAAGUUGUUAAACCAAAAAACGUAGAUUAAAACGAAAAAUAAAUUGUUAUCUGAUAAUGGUUUAUAUUUCUCUAUAUCGAAAUCAUGGUGGGACAGCAAAAGACGUGGAUAAAUUAAAUCUAGUUAAAAUCAACCAUGUAGAAGGAAUUUGGUGAGUAAUUAAUACCUAGAAAACUUUCAUAGACAGUUAUAUGAAAGUCAAGAAUUUUUUUUUUUUAGAAAUACAUUUUAAUACAUGAUGGGGUUUAAGUUAUAUUGAAAAUUAAAAUAAUCUCUUUAUAUGUAUGAAUUUUUCAAGGUGUAAAUUUUGCUUUGUUCCAAAACAAAUAAAAUAACUAGUUUGAUUCAAGAAAUUUACAACUUAUAAAAAAUUAACGUUAUUUUAUUUUAUUUUUGUUGUAAACUUUAUAAGUAGGAUAACAUAAGGGUAUUAUUGAAAUAAAAGUUUUAUUUUUCUUGCAUUUUCUUCAAAAGGGCUAAAAUGUUACAAUGAAUGUCAAUCCAAUCCAAGGAAGAUAAGUGAGAUUUUAAAAAUCUCAAGUGAGGUUUCUGAAAUUAUCCCGAGAAUAAAAGUAAGAAAAAAUUGUAUUUUAUUCCCGGCUAGUUUGUUCUGAUCUUGCCUCGCUUGCGUACAUGUAUAGAUGCAUGGAAAGAAAAGGAAGGUACUGGCAAUAUUUUAGCUUUUCUGCGGACUGACCCCACUUUAAGGAAGUGUGCCGAGCCUUGCAGAUAUACAGUAGUAGGAAUCCUCUGCGUGACCUGAUGGAGAUCAUCCAUCAUAUUCUUAUGUACAUUUUUUCUUUUUCACUUGGAGGCCAAACCCUAGUUGCAUGGAUAACAUCCUAGAUGGUGAAAUUCACUAAAUCUUACAUAUAUAAAGCGUCGAUAGCCUUUGUGAACAGUGCAGGAUAAGCCGGUUAUCGCGUGAUUCUCGUGACUUUGAGGGGCGUUUUGGUCCUUUAAUCAUUCGGUGGUAGCAGCUGUGCUGGAAUUUCCCGUGUGUCUGCGUGGCUCUCAUUCCUUUCUUCUCAUCCGCGUGGCUCUCAUGCUUUUGUUCUCAUUCUUGGCCUGUGGUCCUUUAAUCAUUCGGUGGUAACAGCUGUGCUGGAAUUUCCCGUGUGUCUGCGUGGCUUUCAUUCCUUUCUUCUCAUUCGCGUGGCUCUCAUGCUUUUGUUCUCAUUCUUGGCCUGUUAUUGGUUUUGGGAGCACCGCUUCAGGAGUACAGCUUUAGUUCCUCGUUCUUCUUCUUAGAGCUAACUCUCUCAUUCUUUACUUUGUUUACCUUAGACGGUGAGCUGAGUCUCUUUUUAGCUUUUAUUCUUUCGCCUACCUAAUGUUCUGAGUAAGCUUAUCUUGUAAAGUCUUAACUUCAGAUGUGUGUUUGGUUUCCACUUUGGUGGUGUAUGAUUUCCAGGUUCUCUGCUUAAUUGGCUUUGCUGAAAAUUUUGUUUUCCAGUUACUUCAGCGCUUUGUGGUUUUGCAAGGUGAAAUCUUUAUUCUUUCACCUAGCUAAUGUUCUCAGUAAGCUUAUCUUCUGAAGUCUUCACUCUUUGCUUUAUUUGUGCCUCUUGAUGGUUUGCUGCAGAUUAAUUCUUUAAGAAUGGGUCGGAAUAGAGUAUAUGGAAGUUUGGAGGAGGCUCGUGCUGCGAAAAAUCGAAGGAGCCGCGAGCGGCGUGCUGCUGUUCAUCGUGGAAUGAUGCGCCAUUAGGAGUGUGUACAUUAGCUGUCAUGGCUUUUAAUAUACGUGAUCCAAAUGCUAUGAAUCAACCAAAUAUGGGAGCCACUGAAUCAUCAUUGGCGUCGGACUCAAUGUUUGCAUCUGCAGAGAGUAAUGCAGAGCAAUUUGCGACUGUAUGUCUGUGUUUAUUUUGAGCAUACCUCGUGGAAUGUAAACUAUUGUUUAAAUCCUUUGGAAUAAAUGUUAGAUUAUUUAUGUCAGCAAUGGUUUCGUCCAAGCAUGUACUUUGGUAUGGCUAACCAGUUGAUCAGAUGUUAGCUUUUAUCUAUUACAGAUCAGAUUGACUUAUUUAGGCACACCGAACUCAUAAUCUUUACCUAUGCUUUGGUUGUUUUGUAGGAAAAUCAACGAGAUGUAUCUAGGCCUAUUGCUGAUGGUGUUAACAAGGUUACACCAUUGCUGAUGGUGUAUCUAUACUGUGAUUUUUGUGAGCUUGAGGGGUGUUUUGGUCUUUUGGCAUUGGAUGGCAAUGGUUUUGCUGGAAAUUCACUUCUGUCCGCGUGGGGCUCUUGAAUGGGAACAUUUUCGCCGUCAGCAAUUUUCUCUCAUUCUGUUCUUGGUUCUGUUCUAGGUUUUCUUUACCUCAGCUGUCCAGGCAAUUUAGGCGGUGAGUUGAGCUGAACCCAGUGCGCACCGCUUCAAGGUUUUGGGAGCUGCUACUUUUUCUUAUUCUUUUGUCGGUCUUGUUUCCUCUCGUUCUUUUCUUGGCCUUCUUUACCAGGUGUGUUUUUCCCAUUCCUCAUUCUUUUUCUUAGCUUUCUCUGGCCAGUGCUUUUUCCUUCCCUUGUUUUCCUAUUGAAUUUUCUGAGGACGGCGAUGAUUCCUGAUAGAUAGUCUUGCUGUAGUUAUGCCUUAUGUUACUGCUACUUCUUUGUUUUAAUGCAGCUGCUGCUUGGCUUAGGUAUAGCUAUGGUGGAUAUUACUCAGUGUAACCUUGCGAUAUCUUUAUUUGUUCUUCUUUGGCUGGAAUUGGAGAACAAUUGCUCUUUUUCUUGUUAAUGGAAUGCGUCGAUAUAGCUGUAAUAGUUAUUAUUCAAUUAAAUGUUAAGUUGUGUUUUUCGUUCCUUUUCUUUGUGCUGUAGAUUAAUGCUUUGAGAAUGGGUCGGAAUAGAGUAUACGGAAGCUUGGAAGAGGCAAUUAAACCAGAAUUAACUAUAAAACAGGUCUUUGCAUAAUUAAUGCUUUUACAAAUAUCUUGAAAUAAUAUUUCUUACUCCAUUAAAACUUUUCCUAUCAGAAAUUAGCAGUGAGAAUCCGGGUUCUGAUAUGAGUUCAGUGUUGCAUGGAUUGGACAAGAUGAGUUUGGGGUACGGGGCUAAAGCAGACGAGAAACAGGGGAAUCUGUAAACCAUUUGGCCUGACUUCUCAAUGUGUUAAUUCGUUUUUUUAAUGAAGCUGUUUAGACUUCACUAAGAGACAUGAAAACUUACUGAGUGUUGUUUUGAUCGGUUAAGUGAAUUGUUAUCGCAAUACAAAGGUGAAUCUUUUUUCCAGAUUUAUUUUCUUUAGAAUUCAUCAAAUGCUAAUUUCCAUUUCAGAUUUAUUUUGUUUAUGCUUUCCCACUACUUUCUUUAUGAGACUGGGGAUUGCCAAGUUUGUCGCAUGAAUCAGGAAUAUAUUUUAUACUAAAGGCAAAACGAAGGGCUCUAGGAAAUGUCUGGUGUUUUGGCCGAGCAUCAUCCAGCGCUAGCCAAUGCCCUGAUCGUAUGAUUGUUGGGUAACGUGUUUGAUGGUGUGAGUGCAGCAAAGGGUGUAUGUUCCAGGAAGGGAAAAGGAGAAGCAAACUGUUGAGCUGAAGGUCUACAAUCAGGGAAUGUUCAAAACUGAGUUGUGUAACAAAUGGCAAGAAACCGGGGAAUGUCCCUAUGCAGAGAACUGCCAAUUUGCUCAUGGAAUUAAGGAGCUACGCCCUGUAUUUCGCCACCCAAGGUACAAGACUGAGGUAUGCCGUAUGGUGUUGAACGGUGAUCACUGCCCUUAUGGACACUGAUGCCACAUCUGCCACACCCUCACUGAUGCGGAGAAGCUUAUCAAGUCUAUGAACAUCAGGCCCCUAAAGCCACUCAAUCGUUAGGUCCAUGAUUAUAACUCCCCUAAAUGAUGUUAGACAACUGCAAAAGUCUUGGCUGGUAUGCAACGAUGCUUUUGUUCUUCAAAGUAAGCAAUUGAUUAAUAGGCAAUAAGGCUAAGGUCUACUGAUGUGAUAAUACUGACUGCUUGAUUAAAAAAAAAACUGUAUGAUCCGUAGUCAAGGAGAUUAAAAGUAACAUUUCUCGGCAGUGCACCUUUGAUGAGUUACUGUGCAUUGUUUGCAAACAAACACCUGGCUAACACCAAUGCAAACCACCGCCACGGCCUAACCUUUCCCUGCUGGCUUUUCCUGUCGGUUGAAUAAUUCUCUUUGCCCUCCAAUUUUUCAAACUCAUGCUCAUUAUAAUAAAAUACCAGGUUCUAGCUACCUGACGCAUAGCGUCAGGGCAGAAUACCUAGUCCUUACAGAAAGCCGGCCUUACGGAAUCUGGUGGUCACCGAAGCAAAAAAGGUGGCUGAACUGAAGAUGAGUCCUACAUAUAUGGACACUGUUGCAUUGACGAGGAGUCACUGUAACUCACAAAAUGAGUGGCUAACGUGGUGCCAAAUAUAGGGUUUAAUCCAUUGUUACAGGUUUUACUAGGGAUAAAAUUGUGAUGUUGAAUUUAAUACAACCAAUACUAAGUUUUUCUAUAAAAUAAAUGAGUUUCAUAAUUUAUGUAAUUUACUCUUUAAAUAAAAUAACACUUUUUUUUUUUGCUCUUUCUUGAAACCUUUUUCUCUCUUUGUGUUUUUCUUUUCCCUCUAAAUUCUCUUUCUAUUUUUUUUGUUGCUAUUUUCUUAUAAUUUUCCAUUGUUGAAUUCAAAUCUAUGAGGAGUGUUAGUUUAAGAAAUCAAUUAGUGUUGGAUUCGCUAAGAUAGUUGAGGAAAAUUAAAAAAAAGCGUAGCACAACCAAAAAGUGAAGAAAAAUCUUGUUUUUACAUGUUUUACUGAUUUCUGGUGAACUAUGAUUUUUCUCCGUAUUUGAUAGGCUUUUUGCUAUGUGGAUCUUUAAGUAAAUUCAAAUUGGAUAUAUAACUACUCGGUUUUCGGUUGAACUAAUAUAAUCAACCAAUUCAAUUUGAAUUUAAAGUAUUGGUUUUAACGGAUAUUCAAGCUUUACUUGGCUCGAUAUCACCCCUAUUCGUAACCUUAUGGAGAUCAUCCAUCACGAUUAGGAUUACAGAUGUACUUUUUCGUUUCUUUUUUCUCUUGGAGGCCAAACCCUAGUUGCAUGGAUAACAUCUUAAAUGGGUGAAAUCCACUAAAGCUCAUCUUACCGAAUCCGAUGGUCAUUGAAAAAGAGGGCCGAAGCUGAGUCCCAUACAUAAAUACACACACAUAUAUAUAAGAGUAAAUGUUAUAUAUAUUGACGAUAUAUACACUAUUACCAUUUGUAUAUUGUCAUUCACACUAUCACUACAUGCAAAAUUAAUUCUAUAAAUAAUAAUAUUGUGUAGUAUAUGUAAUUCUAAUAUAUACAAAAUUGGGAAUUCAGACGGAGACACUAUUUGUCUAUUUCUUCCCCUUCAAUUCCUUUCCUUUAUUAGGUCUUAGUAGGUGUAAAGUUGUGAACUUUAGGCCUUGAAUGAUUGCGUAUUUUUGUCAUUUUGCCGCAUAUUGAUAACAAUGUGUGUGUGUGUGUAUGUUUUUUUUUUUUUAAAUUUGUGGUGCGGUUGAACGGAACUAGUUGUAUCACUCUGAAUGGUGCUUGUGUUUAUCUUUCCCUCUCAUUCUUAACUGGACCUUCAUUUCCUUAGUUUUUCCUUGUCCUCCCCUUCUUAUUUUCUCUAUCCUUCCGAAUUGACAUAAGGUCUUAAGUGAAAUCAUUUCAUAGUGGUGAUGAAUUGGAAAUUGUAGUUAUUAAAUCUGGCCGGAGAAGAACUUGACCAAAGAAUUGGAUCAACGUGUUACUGGUCCAAUAAUUUGUGUUACAUCUUUUUGUUUCAUGAGUAUCAAUAAUUUUCACCUUUUAUAUUAGUCAUGUCUUACCAAAAAGCAUGUUUAGACAGGAAAUAGUUUUUCUAUUGUUUUAUAGAAUCAAAUUAUGUAUAAAUAUUCGGUCUCAUUUGGAUUGCUAUUUUUUGAAAUUUUUGUAAAAGAAGAAAAAUGUAUUAUAACAAUUUGAUGUAUGUGAGAUAAAAAAAUAAUUUAAAAAUAUGAUCAUGAAAAACAUACUAUUUUUUUUGAAAAAUUUGUAUGAGAUUUCAUUUGAUGAAAAACAUAAUUGCUUAUGCACAAGAGGACCCGUGUUCUGGCCUCUUCCAUGAAAUUGAAUUUUCUCCCAAACACCACCCAUCAACCCACCGGGUUGCUGCAAAUCCUGCCCGUGUUGUAUAAAAAGAAAUACUGGAAAAGUUACGGGCAUGGAUGUAUAAUUCCAUUCUUCUAUUCCCCUUUUUGAACAACUCUGCAGACGUUCUCUUUUACUGUCAUCGCCGUCCUGAUUCUUCCGCCAGCAAAUCAAUUCUUUUAUCUUCCUAUUUCCAUGUUUUUAUCUUUUGCUUUCUUCCUCUAUCCUACAAAGUCGCAAACAAAAAAAAUUUUAACUCUUUGUCUUAAAACAAGAAUAGGCCUUUUAGUCUACAGUUUUUUUGGUUUUUCCAUGAAACCUCUUUCUCUCUUAGUGUUUUUCAUUUCCCGUUAGAUUGUCCUUCUUUUGCUAAUAUUUUUGCAGAUAUACCAUUAUGUUAGUUUGAGAAAUCAAUUAGCGUUGGAUUUUGCAAAGAGAUUUGAUAACAAAUUUUGGCUUUCAUCUCAAAACUAAUUAUGAGUGAAGUGGUCCAAAAUCUCAACGCUCCCCCUCAUAUUCAUUUAGGUAUGUUCCAAAAUAAUAAAAACAAAAAAAAAAAGAGAAAAUAAAAGAACAAAAUUAGAGUCAGUCCUGGCUAUUGUGUUCUGACUUUGCUUUGCUGGCGUAGAUGUUUAGAGCUACUACCUGCUGAUUAUUAGGUAGAUGCAUGGAGAGAAAAGGCAAGUGGGAAUAUUUUAGUUUAAGUUUCUGCGGACUAAUUCCACUGUAAUGGACGUGCCGAGCCUUGAAGAUAUGCACUAGAAAUCUGUCCCCGUGACCUUACCGAGAUCAUCCAUCAUGUUUUCCUUUUCACUUGUAGUUGGAUGGAUAACAUCCUAGAUGGGUGAAAAUGUGAAAUCCACUGAAUCUUCUUAUAAAGCUGACCUUACUGAGUCUGGCGAUCAUUGAGAAAAGGGGCUGAAGAUCAAUUUAAUAUGUUUUUAUAGUAGAUACUAUUGAGAAGAUGAAUACAUGUCUUUUAGCAAUAAAAGAAAAAUAACAGUAAGUUAUAUAUGGUCUCAUAAGUCAUAAAUAUUUAAGGCAUAAUGUCACUACCCUCACUUUUUUUUUUAUAACAUUUCUAACUCUAACUAGGGUAAAGUACAUAUUUUUAUACUUGAAGAUAAUAAAGUGUGUCUACCCCUAAAACUUUAGGGACUAAGUGUGAAUAACCCGCAUUUUUUUAAGCGCCAAUUGUCCUUAUUGCUAUCAUUUUCCUCAACCUGCCACUACCAGCCAAUAAAAAUUAUGUAGGUUUUUGUAGAACUUGAAAUCCGGAAUAAUUCCCUUAUCAUGAAACAGCUGUAGAACAUACGCACCAAAAAAGACACUUUAUGGAUCCGUUGGAUUAUUGAGUAUUUGUUGAUGGGCGCUCCUUUUUGGCCUGCUAAGAUUUCUACAAAUGCUUCAUGGAGCUGAAGGAAAAUUUUGCAACUAAGAAGUUGGAUGAAAAAUUGUUUUGUGUAAAAAGUAGGUGAUGGAUCCAGUAUCUUGGCACCCCCUGGGAGCUUUGCUAGAUCAUUUUCCUCAAUCUAUUAUUUCUAACUUUAAGAGCCAUAGUAUGGCUCAAAUAGCUACUAUUAUCAGGAAUGGGCAGAGGUAUUGGCCAACCAGUGGAAGGUUUGACAUACAAACACUUACUUUAUUGCAAAAGGUACCUUCUGAAAAAAUAUAAUGGAAGCUGAUCAGGUUGUAUGGAAAUAUGCAAAAAAAUGGUUUGUUUACAAAGACCAUGAAAGCAGUUCAACAACAUUGAGCUAAAGUUGAGUGGUCCAAUGUGGUGUGGAAGAAACCUUUUAUCCCUUGAUUUGCCUUUAUUCUUUGGUUACUUUACAGUGGCAAACUCAACACUAGAAGCAGACUGAAGAAAUGGGGAGUGGUAAAUGAUGAGUCCUGUGCAUAUUGCUGCAAUGACAAAGAAACAUGUGAUCAUCUUUUCUUUGCCUAUCCAGUUACUUUCCAAAUAUGGAAGCAGAUUCAGAGCUUACUUGUUGUUUACAGAGGUUCCUCUCCAUAGGUUAGUGAGAUGCAUUGGCAUUGUUUGCACUCCACUAGAAGCUAAUGAGAUUAUCAUUGGCCACUACGGUAUACUAUAUUUGGUGGGCUAGAUAUCAAAAGAUAUUCAAUAGUAUGCAUCAGAAUUGUGAAAAAGAUUGUCUCACAGAUCCAAACUGUGGCCAUGAACUAGAGAGGUGUAAGGAAAAACAAGGAGAACUGGGAACUCAGCUUAGCCUGAAGUUUUGACCAGUGCAUUUUUCUCUAUUUUUAUAUCUUCUUCUGAUUUUGUUUAUAUAGAGAAUUCUAGUUUACUGAUUGUAUAGUUUGUUAUGGUUGCACUACAGGGAGUGGUAACUCAAUGAAUUCCUGGUGUAUGUGCUUAUUGCUAUGUCAAUAAAAUUUUCUUUUAUUAAAAAAAUUCUACUAUAAUUAAAUAACAAUAAUUGGCUAGAAUAAAGGUACGAUAUCAUUUAACAAAAUAACUUAUUUAGUACUAAUGAUAGACUCUUUGUUGUUAUAAAGAAUUUAUAUCUUAUUGAAACACUUCAUAAAUUAGGAUAUUGCAUAUUACAUGAUGACCAAAAAAAAAAACACAUAUGCUAAUAUACCACUUUAAUUAAGGGCAAAUUAAGUGGAUUAAAAAAAAGUAAGAAACAUCACUAUGUAAAUCAUCCAACACACUUUUAUAUGGAGUAUAGAUAAUACCAAGAUAGAACAACAGAUUAUGGAUCUAGUUGUUAGAAACUCAGCAAUAAUGCUAACUCAUGAAAUUCAAAAAAAAAAAAAAAACACCAGGAGCCUAGAGGUAAACAUGUGCAUACAUGUGGAGAACGCAUCGUAAAUUCUCGCAUAUACUCCUUCCAUCUCACUAAAAAUGUGAUACUUUCUAUUUUGAAAUAUCUCAAAAUUUUUGUCAUAUUAAAAAAGUCAAAAUAGUUUUUAGUUUCUUCUUCCAACAUGGGAGGAAGUUUAUUGAAUUUUAACCAAGAAUUGUAUACAUUUGAGAUUGAAAGAAGCCAUAGUGUAUACGGUAGAGCUUGAUGCUUUUAACAAUCGUAAUUGACUAAAUUGUAUUCUUUACUAAACUUAAUAAUGGGUUAUUGUAUCCUUUCUUCCUUUGUGUUGAUAUAGAAUUUGAUAUAUGAUAUGAUAUUUAUCAAAAGAUCAUUGUAGGAGAAUAGGACAUGAAGGUUAGUUAAAAUAAUUUCCGCCAUCAAUAUUAUUUAACUAUGGCUUUCAAAUAAGUAAAAUAUACUAAAAUAAUUACUAUAAAUACUUAGCAUGGCAAAUAUAUAAAAAGAAAAAGGGCACAAACAAGCAACUCAUAUAUCAUUGAGCACAACAUCAAGAAAACAAUUACAGUGCAAACUUUUACCGAUACAUUGUAAUACUUGCUCUUUAAGAUCUAAGACUUCUUGAAUUGGGGUACAAAGGAAACACAGUCACACAGGCUUGAAAGAAAAGGAAAAAGCUGAAAGCACGUAAUUGUACUAGUUAAAUCACUCCCAGCAUUCAUGCAACUUAAUAUCCACUCGUAGCCGGAAGUAAUAAUUUCCCUCGUAUGCAUCAGUCGUCAAAAUGGCAAUGCCUCUAGCCAUGAAGAAGUCACCAGUUCCGCUUGUUAUCGAAACAAUCCUAGUCUGGUUUAGAAUAGGAUCAGGACCAGCAAAGUUAAGCGAACCCUUGUGUUGUGUGGAAUUGAAGACGAAGGAGAAGGAAAGCCAAGCAGAAAAUGCAUUUAGCUGAUCGUAUACGUACAUGCCCUGUGCUCUUCCCACUGGAGUCGAAUGCAGAUUGUUGUCUAAAGUGAUGGGGUCGUCGAAAACCACCAGGUCUCCAAAGUCGAAAGGUCUUGCAAAUUCUGUUCUGUUACCCCAGUCGGGCGCCCCUACUAUGGCUGAAGUUGCAUUGUCCUUAUUAUGGCCCUUGUAUAGGAUAUCGUGGAAGUAAAAUGAGAGCUCUUUGCAGGGCCGUCCACGACGAUGAGUUUUGUAGCCGUGACUGGUGGUGAAAAUAGAUAAAAGGAGGCAAAGAAAGAGAGCCAGGAUGAGGGGUCUUACCGCCAUUGCUGUUCACCUUUUGCUUGAGCUUCUGACGAACGACUGACUGAUGAAGAUCUAUCACCAUUUCCUCUCCUUUUUAUAGUGCAAGUGUUACUUUGAUUACUAAAACUCUUUUUUUAAAGGCAAUAAACAACAUUUCAUUAAAUUUGCACAAAUGGCAGAAAUUACAUAAAUUAUGCAUACAGAUACAAGCAAAUCUGAAAAACAAAUACUAGAUACUACAUAUUUGAAAAUUUUAUAGAAUAUUACACUUUGAAAUUUCAAAAAUAUCAAAAGAUAAAUUGAGUUAAUAACACUUUGCUUCCUGAAUUCUGGAAGUAGUCACACUUUGCUACCUCAACUUUAACAAAUACACUUCACCUCCCCCAGAACUAGUAAACCUUCAUAAUCUGAACGCUAUGAAAAAAAGUGAGCAUUAUGACAAGAUUGCCAUUUUGUUGCUGAAAUGAUUUGUAGCAACUAUUAUUGCCUUUCUCUUGCCCAAAAUAGAGAAACUUUUAAUUUAACCUCUUUUUUUCCUCUAAAUUUAAAAAGUAAGGCAUAUUGCACUUUUUAACAAUUUUAGUUAAGAAUUUAAUAUUUGACAAACCAAAAAUAAAAAGACUACUAUUUUAAUAGUUUAAAUAAACUAAUAUAAUAAAAUUUAUUUUUCAAGAAUAACAAGUUUAGUAGUAUUUUAUUUUUUUCAAAAACUUUCUAACUCUAUUUAUUGGUAUUACUGUGCUAUUUAUCCUUAUUGUUGGUUUCAAAGUCCAAUAAAUUGAACAUAGUAUAUAUAAAAGUGAAGAUUAUUACAAUAGGAAAAAUUUUAAGGAUAAUAAACUAAAUGUAAACUUUUUUCAACUUUUAUCAAUUUGAUAUUGUUGUAUAGGAGAUACCGUUGACAAGAUGCAUGUCUUUUAGCAAUAAAAGAAAAAUAAUAGCAAGUUUUAUAUGGUCUCAUAAAUAUUUAGAGCAAUAAUGCCAUUACACUCACUUUUUUUCCCAUUUCUACUUUAACUAGGGUAAAUUGUAUAUUUUUAUAGUUAAGGGUAAUAAAAUGUGACUAUCUCCAAAGUUUAAUGGGUUUAAGUGUGAAUAGCCUGUCUUUUACAAAAGCGCCAAUCGUCCAUAGUGCUAUCAUUUUCCUCAACCUACCACUACCAGCAAAUAAAAAUUAAUUUUUUUUUUUUUUUUGCAAAAUAAUACGGUAGAUAGAACAACAGAUUAUGGAUCGAAUUGCAGAGACUCAACAAUAAUGCUAGCUGAAAUUAAAAAUAAAAACUUCUGGAGUCUAGAGGUAAACGUGCAUGUGCAUAUGCAUGUGGAGAACGCAAGUCGCAGAUCCUUGCAUAUAUGCAUUUAGGUAUGUUACAAAAGAAUAAAACAAAAAAGAGAGAAAAAAAAUAAUGUAUUUAGUCCUGGCUAUUUUGUUCUGAUUUCGCUUUGCUUGUCUACAUGUAACAUGUUUAGGAAGAUGCAUGGAAAGAAGGGUAUGCAUUUAGCUAUAUUCCAAAAGAAUAAAACAAAAAAGAGAGAGAAAAAAAAAAGGACAAAAAAUAAUGCAUUUAGCCCUGUCUAUUUUGUUCUGAUUUUGCUUUGCUUGUCUGCAUCUAACAUGUUUAGGUAGAUGCAUGGAAAGAAGGAUAGUGGCAAUACUUUAGUUUUAAGUUUCUACGAACCAAUUCCGUUUUAAUGAAUUUGCCAAGCCUUACAGAUAAACUUGCACUAGAAAUCUGUCCCCGCGUCGUUACGGACGAGAUCAUUAUUAGGAUUACAGAUGUACUACAUUUUGUUUUUCACUUCUAGUUGGAUGGAUAACAUCCCAGAAUCAGAUGGGUGAAAAUGUGAAAUCCACAAGAUCGUCAUACAAAGCUAUUCUUACUGAAUCUGGCGGUCAUGGCGAAAGGGGCUGAAGUCUUCAAAUUUUUGGUGGCUCUUUUUCUCCUAAUAUUUUGUCAAUGUCAGACUUUGCAUUUUUUGUUUUCUUUUGGUUUUAACUUUAAGGGAAGAACUGCGAAUAUCUGCUUUAGCAUUUAAGAAGUGGGAGUGGGAGCUAGAUUAUCUUUUUGAUUUGCAUGGUUUAAAUUUUUAAAACCCUUUAUCAUCUUCCCUUGCCUGGCUUAAUUUCAUGGAGAAAUAUGUAUAUCCCAAGAUUCAUGCUAGAAAGCUGUUACCCUCUUUGCUUUCCUGUACUUUUUCCACACUUUCUGAUGCUCGUAGAGUGUGUGCUAGCCAGUUUGAUUAAAAAAAAAAAAAGAACGAUAAUGCAAGAAAACGAAAGCUGGUUGGCUAAUUUGUUUUCGAUCCCUUGUCAUUCAUCUCUUAAAAUAAGGCAAACAAUGUAAGGAAAAAAGUAUACGUCUUGUCUAUUAUCGUUUUGUAAAAACAAGGGAUAAUCUCUUGACCUGACAUUGACAGUGUUGGUGGCCGAAUCUUAAGAAUAGUUGUUUACUGAUAGCUAUCCGCGUCCCCAUUCCCCAUUGCGUUGGUGAACUUUGCAUUUCGAUUUGGGAUAAUUUAGAAACCCAAGGGAGGUUUCUGACAUUCCCACUAUCAUCUACCAAAGUUUUCAAAAUAUCAAAAACUUCUCCUAAAAUAUCAAUAUAGCAAAAUAUUGUGUGACAUUGGAUUAGGGGACGACCAAUUAGCGAGAAAAAAUUGCUCUGUACGGUUGGCCUAAAUAGCUAGCAAACAAGGAAAGAUUAAAUUACAUGCAGACUGUACAAUCCGUCCUGUCAUUUACUACCCAAUUUUUAGGUGAAGAUUCCAUGGAUUUUUUUUAAGCCGUAAUCGGCCAAGGCUCCUACUCUCGUUCUCCUCUACCUACCACUACCAGCCAAUUACAUUGCCUUAGAAAGUCACCGCGGCCAUCUUAUUUUAUAGAUUCCUUUUCUGCUGCAUACCGUUGAUUUUGUCUUUAUAUCCAACAUCAAAAAUUUUAUAAAAAAAUCUCUUCUCUUAGUGGUUAUAGAUAUGGUGGACUUAAAUGAAUUUAAAUAUACUAAAUGCACUAGUCCAAAUACCGUAUGUAUUGGUCCAAGAGAGUUUUAGAAGGUUUAUGCCUCAAUUUAAGAGAGGUUUUGAUAAACAUCGAACCAAAAAAGUAAGUUAUGGACUUUUUGGUUAUUAAGCAUUUUGUGCUAUUUAAUCUAUUUUGUGUUUUCUGUUUUAGGUGCUUUUUGGUCUAGGAAUUAUUUCCUAGAUUUUUUGUACUCUUUCUUUUAUACUCUCUUUUUGUUAUAAUAAAUUUGCUACUCCUUCACCCGUGAACAUAGGUCAAUUUGUCUGAAUCAUGAAAAUUCUUCAUCCUUUUAUUUAUUUUAUUUGAUUUGUUAUUAUUUUUAUUGGGUUGUUAAGAACCAUAUUUUCUUGUUGGUCAAUUUUUUGGAACUAGACCUAACAAAUUGAUAUCAGAAUUUCAGAUUUUGAGUUCUUGAUGAUAAUAAUAGACUAUCGAUAUCAAUUAUGGGAUAUUGAUUUAGUGCUACAGAGAGUGAAAAAAAAUUUUCCAUUGGAGUUCAGUUGGAUUUUUGAAGAAGAAUUAUUUGGCUUGUUGGAACUCGUUGAGGGUUUUAAGAAAAAGGUGGAAUAAGAUUACUAUGUUCAUAUUUUUUAGCCUGUUGGGAUCUAUUGAAUCUUUUGUGAGUUUUGACUCGUUGGGACCUAUUAAACCUUUUGCAUCUUGGUUCGUUGGUGGCUCGUUGGGAUCUCGUUGGGAUCUGUUGAAACUUUGAUAAUUCGUUGAGAUCCGUUGAAAUUUUUAUAAAGAAGGUGGAGCUUGUUUGCUAUUUGUCUACUAUUUAUCAAUGUUAGAUACACGCUAAGGUGGAUAUUUGUUGAAUGUGUUUUUGUAUCUCACAUUGAAAAUUUUACAAAGAAAUCUCUUCUCUUGAUAGUUAUAAAUAUGGUGGAUUUAAAUGAAUUUAAGUGUGUUAAGAACAUCAACCCAAAUGCCGUAUGUACCAAACCAAGAGAGUUUUAGGGGCCACACCCUAAUCUAAGAGAGGUUUUAGUUAGGCAUCAAUCCAAUUUGUUUAUAAGUUAAGAUGGAGUUCGUCAAAAACUCAUUUUCAUGAGGGAAGAGAAAGUGAGGAGUUUCACUUGAUUCCUAGCAUACUUCAUAAUCGCAGUGCAUGAGCAUGCUCUUAGGAAAUGUUUAUUUGUCCUUAGCAGAAAGAUAAACUAUAAGGGAAAAAAAAAAGUAAAAAGCAAAAUUGGCUUGAGCAACUUAGCAGAAACUGAAAAAAUAAAACUUAACAGAAACUGCGAGUGAUAAAUUCAUUCACUUUCUUUUUCUUAUUACAUUGUUCUUGAUUCAAAGAGAAAUCAACGGCAUUUCAAUCUGGAGAGUAGUACACGAUGUCUCACUGUCUCCAUUGUUUUAGACGAUCAAUAGUGAAGAACUACAACGUUGUACUCUGUAAUGAUAUCCAUGGUGGUCUCAUUAUAAAAAUAAGUCUUGGUGGUAACAAGUCCGCGCGCCAAUCGGAAAACCCCGGUGCCGCCAACGAUGGAGAAUUCGUCGACGUUAUACAAUUCAACAUCUCUUCCGAGCAUGUUCAGAGUGCUUCCUUUGUACUCUCCCGCUGUGAAGCAGAAAUUCAUGUACAGGAUUAGUCCUAUUUCACUCAGGUCAGCGCAGGCAUAAAUGCCUUGGGCUCGACCAACUAUCGUCGAAUUCGGCUCAGGACCAACUGUCAGGGGAUCAUCAGCUACGUUAACUAGUCCGAACAGUGUGGGGGAUGUCGAAGUCGUGUUGGCGCGGGCCACGGUGACCGCCGUUGGGUUUUUCCCACUAACCGAGUCAUGGAUAUAGAAAUGGAGCUUUGUCACCUUCUCUUUUGCCUGGCCCAGCUUACUGAACCACUCAUCAACUGCUUCAGGGCCUUCUGCAAUGCCAUGAGUCGUUGCCACGGCUACGCCUGUCAGGAGGAGGAGGAGGAAGCAAUGCAUGACAGCAUGAGCAAUUGGCUUUGCCAUUUCUUCUGUCUAGUAACCCGCUGCUUUUCUUUAUUACUUUGAUCUCCCUCUACAUGCAAAGAGGUGAUAGUAUUUGUUCCUCUGGGGGGUGUGAAUUAGGGAAAGAGGUUUCUCUAUAUAUAGUUGUUCCAAAUUACCAACUCAACAAGGAGGGGCACAUAUUACAUGUAGAGAAUACACAAGGGAUCCUGUCAUCUGGUGCCCAAAGUUUGGAUGAAGAUUCAUGAAUAAUUUCUCUGAGCGGUAGCUGGCAAAAUGCGUUUGCACCCAGUGGCGGAGCUAGAAUUAACUUGGGGGGCGAGUCUAUAGCAAUGAAAGUAAAAUAUAUUUACAAAAAAAUAAUGUGAACAUAUAUACCACAAGAUUAGAAACAACCUUAUAUAGAAUGAAAAUUACUUAUACGCUUCACAUAUACAAAAAUAUCAUCAUAUUUACAAAUCUAUUUGAUUGUGUGGGAUAUAUGAAAUUGUGCACAACGACUUUUAAUUUUAUCAAAGUCAUCAAUGAUUGAAUUUAUAUCAAAAGUUCUAGCAAUUUCUUUCUCAAUAUACAUUAUCAUAGAGUUAGCAAGAAAGUCUUCCUCCAUCCUAGAACGUAAACAAGUCUUGAUGAUUUUCAUAGCAGAAAAUGCACGCUCUGUUGUAGCUGUUGAAACAGGAAGAGUCAAAAUAAGACGAAUCAAUCUAUCAAUAAGAGUAUACCACAUUGACUUUCUUGUCUUUGCUAACACUUGGCACAACUUCUGAAGUGAUGACAAAUUUUGAAGCCGAGAAUUACAGGAAAACUCAAUCUGGAAAAGCUCUAAUUGAGUUCUUAAGUGUAACUUCUCUUGAUAUGUGAAGUCAGCUAAAUAAAACUUGCUUGCAAGUUGACAAAUUUGUUCAAUAUUGAAAGCCUGAAAAUUAUCUUUGGGUUGCAAUGCUGAACUAAGAAUAAGCAAUUCUAUUACAUCUUCCUUAAACCUAUUCUUCAUUUCAAGUAUUUGAGAAUCAACCGUUGCCAAAAACACAUCAAUCCUGUAGUGAUGCUCCAUGGUAAUUGAAUCAUUUUGUUUCGAAUUCUUCCUCGACCUGCUUUAUAAAUGACAUUCAUAUCAGGCAUCUCUAUAUUUCGUGCAUCACAAAAUGUCUUUACAUUGGUGAACAAUUCAUUCCAUCCAUUAUCUCUGUAAUUUUGAAGUCGAUCCAUUAUCUCCGUACCUCAUCCCUUUGAUACUCUAGAUAUUUCCAAAUGGAUUUUCGCUUUCCAGGAUCACAUUUUAUGGAUGAAAUAUCAAACUCUAUUGAUUCAGCUCUACAAAAUUUCUUUGUUUGAUGCUUAGGAGAAGAAUCAUGAAGAGGAUAAGAAGUUUCACCACUUCCACUUGGUUCUAGAUGUCUUUUCUUGAAAAAUGAAUCAAUUGUCCUGUUGGCCAUUACCACUAUAUUUGCAACAAAACAACAACCUGUAAUUGAAAUAAAAUUGAUUGAGAAAUGCUGGUUAUGGCCUAUAGAAAUGGGAAUUCGACCAAUGCAAAAGACUGGUUUCCCUAAUUCCCUUACAAAUUUUGGCCAUUCAGCCUGACUGAAAAGCUCGGCCAUCACCCAAGGAAGCCAACAGGAUCCUCAAAAUAAAAUUAGUAUAAAAAUUGGAAAAGGAAACCAGUCUCAGAAUCAACUAAAAUAAAUGCUUAUCACCUGAAUUUAAAAGGCCAAGUACGAAAAACAAUACAAGUCCCUCUCGAGCAAUUCAUCAAAAACAACUGGCAGGCGAACUUUUUACAGCCACAUUUCACUAAAUAAAUGCAAUAUCAAACUAACCUAGUAAAUGAUAAUAGCUUGAAAUUUCAGAGCUUUUGGUACAUCCAGUUUCAAAGCCACGCGUUUCAACUUUUGCAGAAAAAUUCGGGUGAGAACUGAGGAGUUACAAUUCUCUGCCAUAGAGUAUUAGCUUGUAUUUUGAAAUGAAAAAAAAAAAAAAUUGGAGAUCGAAGAGGAAUUGAAGUUGGGACUUGAGAGUUGAGGCUUUUCUGUAAGAAGGAAAUAAGAGGUGAAUUGGUGAAAAAGGGCAAUUGUGAAGUUCAGAAAAUAGUAGGUAAGUUAUUUGGACCAAGUCUGUUAUUCUCCGUUAAGAAAAUAGUGGCAAUUCUCUGUUAUUUGGACCAAGUCCAAAUAACUUUCAAACAUUAUUGUUUGGGCCCUUGGGGGGCAAAGUGAAUUUUUUGAUCAAUUUUUGGGGAGGCAAAACAUAAUAAUAAAAAUUUUUUUACUUAGAAAUUUUUUUUUUAACAACCGUCCCCCUUCCCUCCGCCCCUGUUUGCACCAUUCUCCACUGCCUAGCGCCUACCACUACCGGCAACGUAAUCUGAAGAAUCACUCCCUAUCUUGUUUAUCUUCUAUCCAUGAUCUGUGCAAUCCUAUUCGUCUAUUUCUUUCUCACACUUUUUUGCCUUUUCCGUCGGCAAUCCUUUUUUUCUGUUUUUUUUUUUUGUCAUCGUCAAUUUAUCUGUCACAAUCCUAUUUAACUGUUUAUCUCCUUCUCUCUAUCCCUCUCUUUUUCUGUCACCUUGGUGGUCAACCUGGCGGCUACUACGAGGAAGGAAGAGCAAUUCUAUUCAGCUAUAAUAUAGUGAAAGUAUAUCAUGUAUCUAAUUGUGAUAAUAUUAAUAUAUAUAUAUAUAUAUAUAUAUAUAUAUAUAUAUAUAUAUAUAUAUAUAUAUAGUGUCAUUGUAUAUAACAUUAGCUCUUUUCUCCAAAGUAAAUAUGUUGACAAAAGUUAGAGGAGGCAAACUUGUGAUUAUACCAAAUAUUUACGACAUUUUAUACCAUAUUAAGUGGACAUUUUUCAAGAGAGAGGAGGCGAUGGCUCCCGCUGCUCCUGUUUCCCCGCCACUAUAUGAACUUAAAACAAAUUAGUGAUCAUAAGAAAAGAUGAAAGCUGAUAGAAGUUACUAUGAUAGUUGAUGGCUAAGGUCUUGUUUGAUAACCUAAUUCAUCAUUUAAAUUUAAUGGAUUCAGAUCUUAACAUAUUCAACCGUUUGAUAACAAAAAAUUGAAUAUCUGAAUUAAUUAAGUGGCACUGAAUUUUUUAGAUAAAACUUGUUCCCAAAAUUAAGUGAUAAACUAUUCACUUAUCACUGAAUGUGAUAUGCACUCAAAUGUAUCAGAUUUAAUACUCAACAAUUCAAUAAUUUGAUGGAUUCAAACUUCAUAUUUUAGAUUUUAAACUUCAAUUUUUCAAUUUUCAGUUUUAUCAAAUGCACCUUAACUCUAGAAACGGCAAAAUGGAUUCAUAUUCGCUUAUCCAUCCCACACAAACCAGGAUUUGGAUGACUGCAAUAAACUUACCGAGUUUAAAUGGAUAAUUCAUCUAAAUCCAAUUAUGUUGAUAAAUUUAAAUGGAUUAUUCAUAUCACCCAUAUAUAUCCACUUGUUACAAAAAUAGGUGCAAAUGUUAUAUUUCAGUCAAGUGAAAACCGAACCUUAUGGGACCACUUGCUGUUCCUUUUCAGAUUUCCCCCUGGUCCGUUUCCAUUUUAGUAAAAUUUUAUCUUAGUCUAAUUAUUAAUGCAUUAUUUUAAAAUUUAUCUUAGUCUUUACGCCUUCUUGCUAUGUUUUCCUUCUCUCUUUCAUAUAUGCUCUCAUAGAAAUUGCCGGUUGAUGGCACAUUCGCAGGAAUUAAGAAGAGAGUAUAUUAUCGUACAAUAUAAACCUAAUUUUUCAUUUGUCAUUUUUAUUAUUUUAUUUUGGAACAGUGGUUUCUAUUGUUUGUCUUGGUAUCUAGAGAGGGGAUUAUAGAUGGCUAAAUCUAGACCCUUACAAUCUAAUCCACACUCCUAAUACAUUAAUAACUAAUACCAUGAGCAUUGUUAACUUGUACCAUUACUGUUAAAAGUUGUACCAGGUUUGAAUUUAAUGGAGGGUAGAAUUUUUACUAAUAAAUCUUUUACACCAUAGAAAUGAAAACAAUCACAAUAAUUUCUUAAUCUAAUUGGUAGAAGGUUGGGAUAAAUUAUGAGUAUUGAGAAUUAGAAAAUUUUCAUAACAUUCUUUUUAGUAAUACAUUCUAAUCAAUUUUCAUGAAUUCUUAAUUUAAUUAAUAGGAAAAAAAUACAGUAGAAAUGAGGUGUGAAAAAAAAUUUCAAACUGUCAAGCAUUAUUAGAAAAUUAUGAAAAUGACUAAAAAAAUAUUCAUUUUGCCGCUUAUAGCUAAUUCUUUGGUAGGAUUUUUACUAAAAUAAAACACUUAGUGAGACCAAAAAUAAAACUUUACAGAGUAAUGUAAAAGUUAUCAACGUAAAAAACAAAAAAACCCGUAAAAGUUAACAACAGAAAAACGCCUUACUCUUGCUUUUUGCAUACUCCAUAUCUACUACUAUAGACUGAGUAUGGAUAAGGUGAAUAAUGAAAUGUUUUUCAAUUAGAAUCAUAUUUUUGUGUUUGGAACUGCACCCUGCUAUUCUCACAUGGAAUUUGAAACUUUUUCUGAUCAUUAGUACAAAACACUGGAAACUGAAUACAAUUUUUUUAUCCCUUUCACCAAACAAUUGAGAUCACCAUGAGGGGCACUUUUUUUAUUUCUUCACAAUAUUCUCUCGGGACUAGCAAAGGAUUAUCAAAUUGUAGCAGGUUGCAGGCAUAUACCUGCCCUUACUAGUCUAAUCAUAGUCAGGGGACAAGUUGUCUCUAUUCUCCACGUUACUUUUGUAUACAUCGAGACGGACUCAAUUUACCAAAUAAGCUAACCCAAAAUGAUUAAUUCAGCACAUGAAAGCCUGCAUUUUACUUAAGGAUAAGGGUAGGGACGGUCAUCAAAGGGGGUCAUCAAAAGGACCGUUCUGCAUAGUUUAUGGUCAGAAUUUGGUUAUAAAAAAUUGUAUAGUCCAAAUCACGUUUUGUAUCUUGAUUUUCAUAAUAUGUGUGGGACUUAUAAAAUUUUGUUCUAAUGUUACACGUUGUGCAAAUAAAAUUACAUCAUGUACAAAUAAAAUUACACGGUAUGUAAAAUGCACAAAACCGCCAGUUGCAACCGUUCCUGCCCGUGGUCCCUUACUUAGAACUUUUUUUCUUUUUCUUUUUUUUACGUCAGCCACUUGCACUAAUAUUGGAUAAAUGGGUACUAACCGAAAGUUAGAACAAUACAAGAGGAUGGUUUAAACCGAUGCUUUUUAAACUCUGGCAAGUUGAUUGUGUGAUUUCGGUUUUUUUUUUUGGUUCAACCAGCCAAUAUGUUGGUUCACCGAUUUAUUAGUUUUUAUAAGAAAAAAAUGAAAAAUAUUACUAUUUAUUAACUGCAUAUUCAUUUAAUUAGUUUUAGCCUAAUUCCCGAUCAAACAGGACAAAUAUUUAUUUAAUUAGUCCCUAUGGGUUAGGACCUUCGAUUUUAUAAACACAUUUUGAUCAAGAUGAAUGAGUCUCCUCAGAAAGUACUUGGAGGAUGUCUAGUGGCAGUUCUUUCGCUUCUCCAAUUAUGAAGAGGCAAGUAAAAAUGAAUAUGUCGAAUAAUAUCAUCAUUAAAGACUAUGUUAUAAGCUUUUCCCUGAACAUUUGAGCAGUAGACCAAUUCUGUUACCAUAAAAGUCUCGAAUAUCUAGCUAAUAUUCCUGUUUCAACAGGUUAGAAGGCAAAGUUGCUGUGAUUACGGGCGGUGCAAGUGGCAUUGGCGAAUGCACUGCGAGGCUGUUUGCCGAGCAUGGUGCUAAGGUCAUCAUUGCUGAUGUCCAAGAUGAUCUUGGCCACUCCAUAUGCAAAGAAAUCGAUUCCAUAGAAUCCUUUUCUUAUCUCCACUGCGAUGUAACAAAUGAAUCUGAUGUCAAAAACGUGGUGGACACCGCGAUUUCCAAACAUGGAAAGCUUGAUAUAAUGUUCGGUAAUGCGGGGAUUGCAGGAAAUGCUGAUCCAUCAAUCAUGGGUGGAGCUGAUUAUGACAACUUUAGAAAAGUCAUUGACGUUAAUGUGUUUGGCGCAUUUCUAUGUGCCAAACAUGCUUCUAGGGUAAUGGUCCCUGCCAAGAGAGGAAGCAUUCUUUUUACUUCUAGUAUUUGUUCGGUCACAUCUGGCGAUGCCUCUCAUGCUUAUACUGCGUCUAAGCAUGCGGUGAUAGGGCUGACCAAGAACUUGUGCGUCGAGUUGGGGCAGUAUGGGAUCAGAGUGAACUGUAUUUCUCCAUUUAUGGUCGCCACUCCGGCGCUGCUGAAUACUAUGGGAAUGAAGGAGAAGAAGGAAGCAGAGGAAUUCAUGUGUGGUAUUGCCAACUUGAAAGAGACCACCUUGGAGGCGGAUGAUAUUGCAGAAGCUGCAUUGUACCUUGCCUGUGAUGAAUCCAAGUAUGUUAGUGGGCUAAACCUUGUAGUUGAUGGUGGAUACAGCACAACCAACACUGCUAUGAAGGAAGGCAUCAAGAAACUCAUUGUUUCUUGAAUUGAAUUUUAGUGCCAUUUUGUUGUUGCCCCAGUUCUUCCUUUUGAAUUUCCAAUAAUAAAUCAAAUUAAGUGUUAAGAUGGAGUUCAGGCAUUUUAUUUUUGAAAAAGGAAAAUAAAAUCAGGUAUUAAACAAAGUACCACUUUGUUGUUGCCCUGUUUUUCCGUUUGUUUUAGGAUUAUUUAUGUUAAUUCAUGAAAAAUGCAUUGUAUCACUCACCACAUAUAUAUAUUUUUUGUGUUUUGCCUUGUUUUUUUUUAUCUACCUUUUAUUGCAAUUGGUUCCGCAAUAUUUUUUCCUCAUUCUUCUUUAUGUAUAUGUAAAUCAUAGAAUGAACGUUAAAUGAAUUGACACAAAUACCCCAUUAAACUAAUAAAAAUAAAUAAAUUUGACAGCAAAUUUUGAUGGAAUAACUAUUAAUAUACCACUUCUGUCAGUUGGGUACAUAAUUUGAAACUAAAAAUUGUUUAGUGACCAAAAGUAUAUUGAUCACGGAAAAAAAAAAAGAGUAUACUAUCGCUCAAUUUCUUAUGAGUUGUUUUGCUGCGUGACAAUGCAGCUUAAUCUCACCUACCAACAUUCUUGAAAAAAAAAUUAUUGAUGAUUCACAUUCCAUCAAGCAAAAUAUCCCCUAAAAAAUUACCCCGCUCUGUUCUCUAUAGCCCCUUUUUUUCUUAACCUAGAAUUUCUGUUUAUUUGCUAGAGUUGGAACUUUUGACAAUUAGUUUGAGUCGCGAGAUGUCUUUUUUCGUGUUUGGUUCUUCAUGCUUUGGUGCAUUCAUGUUCCUCUGAUAUUCUAUUAAAGCCAUUUUUUCUUCAUUUUGCAUAGCUUAUAGUUGCAGAAAUAGCAUCAAGAUGGGCAUUAGUUCUUGUAUUGAAGAGCUUGCCAAAAGGCAGUUGCAACUAUUUGUACAGCUCGAGGACCCAAACAGCACCCACACUACAUUGAAAUUUAAUGCCUUCAAAUCCAGCUGCGAUAGCCAAGGCCCGAACAUCAAUUUCUGAUCGCUCUUUUCCUCUAGGGGUUUGAAUCAUCAUGAACAAAUCAGUCUGAAAAAUGUCUUUUACCAAGGCACUAUUAUCAGGUUUCACAGGCAGGAUCAGAUCAACAACAAUUACUUUUCCAUGAUCUGGUAGAGCUUUGAAGCAGUUCUUCAGUAGUUGUAUGCAGAGAUCAUCGCUCCAAUUAUGGAGUAUCAUCUAUGACAAACAUCACCUUAUUCAGAUUGCAAAAUAUAUUAACAUGUAGCACCAUCUUGAAGCCUAAGUGUAACCCCUCUUGAGAAAAGUCAAUUUUAGUCAUUAGACGUAUAAACUAUCCAUUUCUGCUCUAAAAACGUUUUUAAUGAUCCCUGGUACGCAUAUAAAUAGGAGGUAAACAAAAUCCAGGUGUGACUCUCCGGUCUGAUUUGCAAGGUUUUCAUAUUGCAAUGGUAGGUGAUUGCAUAAAAAUUUACACGCACGAGUAAUCAAUAGAAUCAGCUUUUAUAAGGCUACUUCCUAUCUCACCGAAUCUAUCAAGUGUCUGUUCUUUUAGACAAAAGCGUGGAGUUCCAGAAGCAUUAAGGUUACCUUCAGAAAAAUGGCAUCUCCUUUUGGAACACUUUCAAACAUAUCUCCACCAAUGUGUUCCACUCCUGCACCAUAUUUUUUUUUUUUAUGAAAAAUGUAAAUCUAUGUGACUAACAAUAUUAAUCUGGAAACAGAUUCAUAUCUACCAUUAUAUUGCCACACAUCUCUAUCAUUAGUACAUAGGACUAGUACGUAGCUAUUUCAUUUAACAUAAUAAGAACGAGGGCAUCAGUAUAAAUGCCUAAGCUUUUCGGUAAAUCCUACCAUAGCGAGUCAGUCUGGGCAAUAUGCAUUCUGUGUCAAGGUCCUGCACAAGCUUUUACUGUUAAUUUGCUUUUGAUAAACGAAACUUUUUAUCCAGUCAAAUAAAGUUUUUGAAAUAAGAAAAGGCAAAGAUAUUCAUAUCAAUCUCUAUUUUUAUUCCUCAGGCAACGCAUACACAUGUAAAACUUCGUUAGCAUUAAGGAACAGUUAGUAAUUAAUAUCUCUGCAUCGUAUUAAGCUGAACAAAGGCUUAUUUAGUUCUUAAGCGAAUGUGCAGUCCUCAUGAUUAGCAUUUAUAGUUCAUAGAGAUGUCCUGUAUGCCAAACUUGUUUAUUUAUUCCUCGAUACAAUAACAUGACAUAUAAAAAAAAUUAUGUGUGACAGUGCACUUGCCCAUGGUACAUAUUGCAGAAUAUAAAUCAAAUUAGAAUUCCUCUGCAGUAAGCCACGCUGAAAUUAAUGAGAUUCUAUAUAUUAAAAUUGCUACUUUAUUUGAUAUAAGGAAUAUUGAUUUCAUUUGAAGAAUGAAGAUAUCGGUUCAGAAAAAAUAUUACUCCAAUUAUGUGAAAUUUCUUGAAUCAAAAUCAAUUGCUAGUGUGGACUUAAAUGGUAAACAAGCAAAAUAUAUGAAGACUACUAGCUAUGUUUUAACAGUGCAAAUUACCUGGAUAGGAUGGCGCAUUUUCAAUGACAUUUGGCAGGUCAAAAUUGAUCCCCCUUAUAGAAGGGUACUUUGACACAAUCUUGUGGAGGGACAUUCCAAGCCCACCACCAACAUCAACUAAUGUCUGAAGGUUCUCAAAACCUUUAUAUUGAUGAAGCAGUUCUUUCAUUGUUAUGACUGUAGGACCAACCAUGCCCUUAUUGAAUAGAUCAGUAAACCUGGGAUCCCUGCUACAAUAGUCAAAUACAUGUGUACCAUGGACUCUACUGAAUGGAAUUCCUCCUUCAAGCACAGCAUUCCCCAGUUCAUACCUAGAAUGAAAGCUGAAUGUGAGGAACCAACAAAUUGCAACCGUAUGAAUUUUCACAUAUCAGAUUGGAUUUUGCUAGAAAAGUUUAUUGAUGCAGCUUGUUACUCCUUCUGUCUCAUUCAAAAUAUUAUACUUUCUUGCGAGUCUAUCCCAACACUUCACAUACCUUAAACGGUAAACAAAUUUUUCUUCCUUCAAUAUGUGUAAUCUUUAGCACAAGUCUAAUUGUAAUUUAUGGGUCUGAUGAAUCUAGGUUACUUAUCCUGCAACAAAUGUUCUACCUGUUUGGUGUUCCUUUCCAAAAGAUUAAUAACACAUUUAGAUGUUUAACAGUCUGAGGAGUGAGGAUAUCUGACUCAACUCAACCACCACAGUCCACAGUCCACACGUAUAGACUUCAGAAAGAAGAUUGGAGAUAUGGAAUGGAGGGAGUUAGCCUCCUUUUGGAUAGUGUGAUUAAUAGACAGGAGUUUUUUGCAAAAACAUUAAUGUAUCACUUCUGGAUGGGCGUGUAAGGUGAUAUAUCAAAGGUGUUUCAAAAUCUUGUUUGGGGAAAACGUGUUUUCGAAAUGUCCAAACUCCAAAACAAGCUUACCUGAAACGUUUUAUGGAGCCUUGUUUAUUCAGGGGAAGAGGGGCUCCUACAGGCAUCAAUCACAAUUUGUUUUUCAUAUUGUUGUAUCAGUGUUUAUAAUACAUGUGUUACUGUUUACAUCCUAUCAUGCAAUUGGGACGGAUGAUUUUAGAAGCUCGAAUCCUAUCAGGUUUGUUAUGGUUUAAAGAUAUCAGGUUUUAAUAGUACUACUACUUUGUCUCAUCUAAGUAUGCGAUCAAUUUACUGAAAGAUUCCGCAUUCAAUACUCCAAAAUCCAGAACCAACAGACCUGGGAAUACUCAUUGGAAAAAAAAACUCAAAUUUAUUUACAGAAACACUACCAAGCAUUUAGGUCUUACCAGCAGUCCAUCAGGACUUUAUCUUGAACAAGCUCCAGGGUCGGCGCAAGUGAGUUUCCCUCCUCAUCGGGUACAAAAUAUUCGCCGACUGGAGACAACCCGUAAACUCUUUCAUAUCCAACAUCAUUUUUGCCACCAGCACCGCCGUCUGCAACCUCGACAACGUCGCAACUGAGCAGCGAGUGGCUACUCAACAACCGAAGCAUCCUGUCAAGCAUGGAAGAUGCAUCAGGAUUUUUGGUCUUGAGCAACACGGAUGCGAUUUUUGAAGGUGACAGUUUUGCUCCUGGGCCGGCUUUGGCUAUUAUUUCAAACAACUUUAGCUUGACUGCGGUGUAUAAAACCAUGCUGAGUGAUGCUGAGGUGAUCAGGUGCAUGGCAUAGGAGAAAUGGUCCGGCUGCUUUCCUUCUUUCACAUUUCCAUAGGCUAAUGGUGACAAUGAUGAUUUCAGUUGGGUUUUUUCUGAAUUCUCCAUUUUAACUGAUUUUGGAUUUCUACUAGCUUUCGACUUUAUAUAUGGAAGCACUCCAUAGACUAUGCCACUAUGGGUUAUCUCCCCCUCCAUAUCCAAUUUUUCUUUUCCUCUCUAUUACCAUAGCGAGAUGGUCUGAACAUUUGAUGUAUAUUUUACUUGGAGACAAGAAUCAUUGCUUCUGGAUUAACGGUCGGAAUAUAGGAAGUCGACAAAUUUGUUCCACGUUUCCUGAACAGUUGUAUGCUGUGUAGCUUUCUAUAUUGCAAGUUGAAGUCUGAGUUAACCUUGGAUGGUUUCAGAUCAUUCAAGUUUAAUAAUGUUAUCUAUAAUGUCCACCUCAUAAGCAUGCAAUUAUGUUAGAUAGGUUUUUGGUUCUUUCUAAGUGGUAUCAUGCUAAUUUUCAGAGUGAAAUAUGACAACUAAUACGGUAGUGUAUGUUGAUGGACCUGAGCAGAAUCAAGUCUUUAAUAGCAAAGAUUUUUUUGUGUGUGUAAUAUAGGCAUAGACUCUGUGUGUGUGUAUGUAAAUGGUACCAACUACUUAGUUUACAACUAAUUAAUUGACAACGAAUCUCUUCGGCACCAACUGCCUAAUGGCUUUCGAUCAUGCAGCGAAUUGAAGUUCAAGUUGAUUUUGUAAAUUUAUGUAUUUUUCAAAUUCUAAAUUAGGUGACUUAAGGCUUGCUCUAAAUUCAACCUCCAAAACAUGCAAGCAUCUUAGUCAUGAUUUUUUUUUUUUUUUUUGGUCUUUUUAAAAUGAACUUAUGCGGAUUUUGGAGAAUGAUGUUGUAUAACAGACAUCUUUGUUAGUCAAAUGGAAAAGACUUUGACAAUGGUCUUAGAGGGCUCAAGCACAGUAAACACAUCAAAGUAUCCAUGAUACCAGAGGCUUAAGCAGUAUUACACUAAUUUGGAGAGUGAAAUUGAACAAAUAAAAAGUAAUUUCUUUAAGGGCCCGACUGCUAUAAUUUUAUAUCUGGGAGGGCUUAAUUGAGAUUCACAUACUAAAAUUUUCAUACAUUUCAUAUCUGGGUGCUGGAUGCUCCUCUUUUCUUCCUAAAUUGACAUUUUCAUUUUCUUAAAGUAUAGUUGCCAGCUCAUGCUUGCUGUUCAAUUCCCUCAAUGUUUUUAUAAAUCGUCAACCAAGUUGGCAGUUGGUGGUGUGAUCUUGUCGUUACUUCAUUUGGUAGGGAGUGGGGAAACUAAUAUUACAACAAAUGGUAGGCGAUUAUAUAUGGUGGUAUCCCCUCUUAAGAAUUAAAUAUUUUUCUUCAUGAUUAAUUUAGUUCAUCCACCAUAUUAAGUGGAGUAGUUGUGGAAUUCUUAGUCCUGUUUGGAACUGUAAUACUGAAUUUGGCCUACACACAAAGGCUAUAGCGAUAUAAUAAGAAGCAUGAUAAUGCAUGUGAGGCACGGUAUAUCGUACAUGAAUCGUAGAAAUCAAGCCCUAACCAAAUUUAUGACUCUCUUACAGGGUUUGAGUUUCGGCAAUAUUUGUGUAACAUCCAAUCCAUUGACAUAUCUACUUACACCUUAUCAAAUUAAAAUAGAAAUGGUUGAGUUUCUCUGUGUCAAAAAACUACACAUGCAUAGCAUUCUAGCUGGCCAUAUUUCAUUUGAUAUUUAGUGUCAAAAACUUCAAAGAUUUCAUUUGAUACACUCGGGUAUCAAAUAUUCCUCUUACUCGAUCUAUGAAAUAAGGAUCAUAGCAAAGAUUAAUUAGGUGAAGUACUUGCUGAACCAUAUGGGCGGCAUGAUCUGACUUUUUUGCCCCCGUCUAAUGGAAUAACGAGUGAUCAUUUCAACUAAGAGCAUUGUUACUUUUUAUUUCCCAAUAGAAAUCCACUACAGAAAAGAAAAGCACUAAGGUUGAUGAAUUUUUGUAAAUGAAAACAUUAAUUGUACCCUCUAAACUUUGAGAUAUGCCCUCUUUAAUUUUUCCACAAUUUGCCAUAAAUAGUUUUCUAAUCGUAUUGGUUCAUUCAUCUAAAAAUUAAAAGUGAUCCAACUAGGAGAAAAACUUUUAGCUUCCGUUUGGAUUGAUGGGUUUGAAUUUUAUGAUGAAUUUGAUGCAAUAUGUUUGAAAUGACUGUAUUUGAAAUCCACAUUAACUAUAAAUAACUUGUUUGGAUAAGAAUUUAUGCAAGGCAAAGGAUUUCUAAAUUAAUAAGACAAUUGGGGUAGAAAUCAAAAUACUUAAAAGUUAAGGGGCUAACAUAAAAUUUUAGUUUUUUGGUUCAUCCUCAGGCAUGUGAUCCUCAAAACCCUAAAUCGAAGCUUUGAGCUUUCAGAAUCGCAUACUUGCUUCCAUGGCAGCAGCACCUUCACAAUCUUUUCAUGCACCGUCUUUUUUCUUAUUCCUUUUCUAUUCUAUCUUUUCUUUUUUCACAUAAUUUUUAGGGAAAAAAAGACAAAAAAAAAAAAAAAAGAAACUUUAAAGAGAACUAGCAAGGAGCAACCAUGCCGCCACGGAAGCAGCAGUAGGCUAGCACAGGCGAUGCCACAGCAGUGACACUCAUAGAACCGGUUAUAGUGUUGAUCAUUUUCUUUUCUUCGAACCAUGACAGAAACAGUUUAUAGACUAAAGAACAAAGAGAUGUGAAGAGAUGGAUUUCAAUUGACGUGUUUUGGGUCAAUUUCAGAUACUCCCAAUUUUUAGUACUUGAAGGACUGAUGGAUUUCAAAUCCAAAUCGAUUCUUAGUUAUCCAAACAACUUGAGGGAUUUGGGAAGAGGAUUUGAAAUCAAAUCCGCUUCCCAAAUCUCUCCAAUUUCAAAUCCUCUUCCCAAAUCUCUCCAAUUUCAAAUCCUCUUCCCAAAUCUCUCCAUCCAAAAACACCCUUUAUGACCCAUUAUGAUUUUGUAAAUCCAAAUGCGUUGCACAUGCAUGUUUGCGUGCUUUUUUUUUUUUUUUUUUUUUGCUUGAUUUAAAGUUUUUAUCUCCUGCUCCUCUUCUUCUCCUUCUCGUUAUUCUUCCUUCUUGUGGAGAGUAAGAUUAGCUAUAUGCUUAACAAGAUCAUUCCCCCCCCCCCUCCCAUCCUUGGUUCUUCAAAUUUUUUGAUGCGCCAUGUUCUUCUAACAUUUAGUCAACGUCAGACUUUGCAAUUUUGUUUUCUGUUUGGACCUGUUUGGUAAACAAGUUUUUGGUCAAGUUUAUUUUUUAUCAAUUUUUUAACAACUUUAGUUAAAGUUAUUUCAAAAAAUUUCUCAAAAUUUUUAAAUUACAUACAUCAAAAUACUCAAAACAGACAAAAAAAAAUUAUUUUUCCCUUCCUCUUUUCUUUUUCUUCCUUCCCCACUUCAACCCACCACCACCACCAACUGGCACCUCCUCCAGCGCCGGUAGAGAGAAGCUUUUUUUUUUCCCUUUUCUGCCUUCCCCUUUCCCUCCUCCUUUCCCCUCCCCUCCACUCUCCCCCGCCACCUCUCUUCCUCCCUCCCUCUCCCCAGCCACCUCUAUUCCUCCCUCUCUCACGAAUGAGAGAGGGAGGAAUAGAGGUGUAAUAGAGGUGGCUGGGGAGAGGGGAGGGAAGGGGAGAGGAGCAAAGGAAGAGGGAGAGGGAGAAGAGAAAGAGAGAGAAGAAAACAAGAAAAAAAAAUGGAGUUGCUGCCGGCGUUGACCUCAGUUCCGAUGCCAGCAGCCGGCAAGUGGUGAGGUGAGGGAGAAGAAGAGGAGAGGAAGAAAAGAAAAAGAAAAAGAAAAGAAAAAAUUUUUAUAUUUUAAAAAUUUUUUACAAUUUCUGCAGAAAGUUAUAAUAAAAUUUUAAACAAAUAUCUAAAAAACUCAUUUGCCAAACAGGACUUUUGUUAGGAAAAACUACGACAUCUGCUUUGAGAAGUGGGACCUUGGUCAUCUUUUUCUUAUUUGCAUGGGUCAAAUUCAAAAAUCCUUUUUCAGCUUCCUUUGCUUGGCUUAAUGCAUGGAGAAAUAUUUUCAAUAAUAAAAAAAAAAAAGAAAUGCAUGGAGAAAUAUGUCCAUCUGAUUCAUGCUAGAAAACUGUUUCCCUUAUGCUUUCCUAUACUUUUACCACAAAACCAAAAAAAUGAAUAAAUAAAUAAAAUGGUUGUUUGGCUAAUUCGUCUUUUCUUGUCAUUCAUCUCUUAAAUUAAGGCAAACAAUAUAAGAGAAAUUGCACAGCACGGCUUUCUCUCUGAAAACACAGAGAAAUUGUCUAUUAUGUUUUUGUAAAAGGAGGAUUAUGUUUUUGUAAAAGGAGGAUUAAAAAAGAAAGAAAACAAAAACGACAAUGCAAAAACGCAAAAGUUGUUUGACUAAUUUGUCUUCUCUUGUCACAUUCAUCUCUUAAAUUAAGGAAAACAACCUAAUUAGCAAACUUGUACACCACAGCCUUCACCUGAAAAUCUCUGGUAUUCUCAAUUCAAACAAGGAUUAAUCACUUCACAAACUCAGGAAAAAGGGUUCAAAAGAGAAGUUCAUCACUUAACAUAGGACCAACAUAGAACUAAAAGAGACAAAAGGGAAAAAAAAUGAAAUUUCCAAAGACGUGAAUAUCAAUAAUGUACAACCACAAGGUUGUACUCAACAAUAGCAUCAAAGUUGGCAGAAUUUUGAAAAUAAGUUUUUGCAGUAGCAAUUCCCCGUGCCAACCGGAAAACACCAGUACCCCCAACGAUGGACAUUUCCCUAGUUUUCUGGUCGACGGCAUUUCUUCCGACGAGGGUCAGAGUGCUUCCCUUAUGCUCUCCGGUCGUGAAGUGGUAAUUCACGUACAUGGCCAGUCCGAGUUCGUUUUGGUCAGUGGAGGCAUAAAAGCCUUGGGCUUUACCCAACACCGUUGAAGUAAUCUCAGGACCGGCCGUCAAUGGGUCAUCGAACAUCACAACCAGGCCGAAAUAUGUCAGCGAUGACGUGAAAGUUGUGUUGGCACUGGCCACCCUUACUGCCGUUGGGCUCUUGCCACCAACCGUGUCGUGGAAGUAAAAAUGAAGUUUUGUCACCUUCUCUUUUGCCCUGCCCAGCUUAUGGAACCACUCAUCAACUGAUUCUUCUGGGCCGCCUUGGGCAGUAGUGCCAUCAACCACGGCCACGGCUACGGCUAUUAUCAGGAUCAAGCAAAUGAGCAAGAAGGCUUGAAUUUGCUUCGCCAUUCUCAAUCGAUUCAAUCCCUUCUCUUUGUCCUAAUCUUCUCUACUUUUUGAUUGGGAUGAGUAAACUGGAGAGAAAAGGGUGCUAUAUAUAGUUGGUCUAAGUUACUACCCAGCUUGGAAAUUGACAAAACACAAAUUGGAGAAUACACAAUGCAUCCUGUCAUUUAGUACCCAAGUUUUAGGUGAAGAUUCCGUUCUUCUUCUUCUUCUUCUUUUACUUUUUUUUUUAAGGUGUACAGGCUAUAGUUUCUUUAGACGUUUGUGCCAGCAGUUCUGGCAAGCCCGUGAAUAUCAAUCAGUUUCACUUCAAGUUUAUUUCCAGCCGUCCUCCGCCAAGAAAUCCGUCAUCAACUAAUCACCCAAAGUUUUUGCUAUAUUGUUUUCCUCUACCUACUAUUGUUCUCCUCUACCUACCACUGCCCCUACUAUUACAAAGUUACCUACAACCAUGGCCAUCCAACAUAACUAGGUUAGGGCAAAAAACAUCAACGGUAACUGAAUUAUUGGUCGGAUCAAGUUUUAACCAUUAAAUAAUUUUUCAUCACAAAUUAACUACUAAACUAACUAAUUGAUACGCUCGUGAUCAUUGCGUUGAUUAAUUCUCUUAAUCUAUUAAAUAAGUAGAACACAUGGUAAAGUGCAGGGACAAUUUUGUCCACCACUUGCGUGAUUAAGAGCAAAACUAUGUCACGUGUUCUACUUAUUAUAUAGAUUAAGAGUAUUAAUUGAUGCAAUGAUUAUGGGUGUACUGGUUAGUUAAUUUAAUGGCCAACUUGUGACGAAAAUUUGUUUGAUAAUCAAAACUUGACCCAAUCAAUAGUUUAGUGGCCAUCGAGUUUCUUUUUUCCCCUAUGGUUACUAUGCAGGUUUUUCUUUUUUUCUUUUUUUUUAACCUUUGCUAAAUACUGCAUUGGGGAAUCAGGCGGCCAUUUCGUUUCAUAAUAUUCUGUGGAUAAGAGUCUUUUUUUGAACGGCAUACAAUUUUGCUAAUUUUUGUUUAAAAAGGUAUCCCAACACAGAGAUAGGAAAACAGAAUACGCAUCUAAUUAGAGAGGCUAACGCAUAAUGUUCCCCAAAAUGAAGAACACGUGGAGAAAGCAUCCUAGAUAAGAAUGUGAUUGUAAGGUCUGGUCAAAAGAAAAAAAAAGCCACAAAAGUAGUUUCUCCUGGCAAUUUUUCUCGUCAUGCAUGCGCUGCAUGCUUGCUUAGAAACUGCUCUUGCUCGGCCAUUGUUAUUAUUGAUGCAUGGACCAAAAAAGGCAAACCAACUAUUAGAUGCUCCAGAUAAGAAUGUAGAGUUCAUUAAAUUCAUAAGCUCUCCAAAUUAGAUUGUGGGAUCCUUAUUUGAUCAAUUGGCAAUAUCAAGUCAAAGACCAAUUGUUAUGUAAUGGCCCGACUUCCCGUUUGAAUUGCUAUUUUUAAAAGUUUUUGUAGAAAAAUGUACUGUAACGAUUUGAUAUAUGUGAGUUAAAAAGGUAAUUGAAAAAUAUGUUCAUGAAAAAUGUAAAAAAUUUUCUGCACAAAAUCAUAAUCCAAACAUGGCUGGACAAGAAAUGUUGACUUCUUGUGUCAUUAAUUUCUGUGGAACUAAGUGCAGUUUGCAACUUUGGUUAUGUAUUCAAUCAUUUCUAAUACACACCCAAUUAUAUGUGUCUGGAUGGGAGAUUAUUUAAAAUAUUAUUUGGAAUGAAAACUGUCACAAGAUGUAUUUGCAAUACACACCCAAUUAUAUGUAUUUGUAAUGUAGUGUAUAUGAAAUAAAAAGAUGAUUGAAAAAAUAAAAAACGUAUGCUGAAAAAUAUGUUUGUGAUGCAAGUAAAUUAUUUUUCGCCAAAUAAUUGCUACCCAAAUAUUGUUCUUUUUUAUGGACAAUUCGUAUGCUAAAGUUACCAAAUAUUGCUAUAUUGCACCUUAACUUUUUGAUAGAAAACAGCUUGGCUGGUAAAGAUACCAAUUUAUUUCGGAUCGUACACUGUAGCGCAACAUCAUUGAAAGUAUCGAAUAAUAUAUAUGUGCUUUUACUCAAAGGCGUUCUUAAUUCCUUCUCAAUAUUGGGAAUUGGUAUCAACAAUUUAAAAUGAUCAAGGACACAUAAUUUUGUUUGUUUGUCUGUUUUCAUUCACAAUAUGAGUGGUUAAUUGGUUGUGAUUUGAGAUAUUAUCAAAACUUUAGAGCACAAAAUGUUCCAAGCGAAAGUUAAUGGUGUAAAAUGUCACAAACGUGUAUCCCUAAACAAAUGUCAACAUUUACCCGACGAUUUACAAUUGUCCAUGGCUAUGUCAUAUGCAUAAGCUGAAGUGACAUUUUUCUUUAACAUCCUGCAGUUUUCUCCAGCACCAUGUUUCAUCCUCCAAUACAAGAAUUUUGUCAAUAAUGCUCAUGCAUCCAGGUUAAAUACAAUUUUUUUUAAAAAAAUAAUAAUCUUUACCACAUCCAAAGUUGAAAUUAGGAAAAAAAAAAAAAAAUUUCCUCGCAGCAACCGGGACAUAGAUAAAAAAAUUUUUUAUCCAAAACAUCGUGACACAUAAUUUAAAAAAAUAAAAAUAAUAUUUCAUGGUUGCCGCAUUUGACAUAUGUGACAACCCUAGGUGAGGAAGUGAUUCCCAUGAAACACCAAAAAAUGUGAUGUUUUUUGAAUUCGGCAUUAUCGAUAGAAAUUAGCCGAGUUUUCUUGGACCUUUCUGUACUUAACUAUCAUUUUUAAUCUAUGAAAUGCUUGAUUAUUUAAAGUCAUUUCGGGCAUAGCAUAUUGGUUGGUUCGUUUAUUUAUUCAGUAAAAGGUUUCAUCCUACAAGCUAGGCUACAGCCAAAGGGAUUGAUAUAUAAACUACUCGUUUCAGUUUCAAUUGUAGUUUACGUCUUUUGUUGUUAACUGCAUCAAUCUUGUUUUUAAUCAAUGGAAUCUUUAAUGAUUUCAAGAUUUGUGAGCCCUUUUGUAGCUAACUUUGUCUGUUCAGCAUGUGCUACUGAUUGUUAGCCUAUUUAAUUCAAUGAAACGAGUGAACAUUGAGUUUAUUUAGUGCAUGGUUGGCCUUUAAAUUAUGUGCAUAUCAGAGUUGGACUUUUAAUAUUUUAUUCUUUAAUGAUUCUUUAUUAUUUAUUCUAUUUACUGAUAGUAGUAUUUUUGUGAAAAUACAUACAUCCUAUCAUUGGGACAUGAAUUAGAAUCAUCGAUCAUCUUACGGCUAAGCUCAUGUUUUCAAUUGCACCUGCUGUAUUUCUACUGAUAUUAUUGUUUCUGUUCUAUUAACUCUUUUUAUCAUUUUAACUACUAUGGACUCUUUUCUUAUUAACUUCCAUUAUUAAGCAUUGUUGUUUAUUUGGCUGUUCAUUUGUUUAUUGGAAUAAUUGAAGAUUGAGUUUGUGCAGAUUUAAGUUCAACCGAUCGAGUUGAUCUCCGAAAUUAGUAAACUCAAAUAUCAGCUGCUCUUAGAUUAUGGUUUGAUAUAGAUUUUGGUAUAACUUAUCUAUUUUUUGUAUUUUCAUUUAUUUUACAACAUUGGUUGCUUCUGAUUGGAUACAGGUUCUGGUUUAACCUAUCUAUUUUUUGUUUCUUGUUUUAAUUUAGAAUGUUGUCCCCUUUUUCCUUGUGUGGUGCUGUGACACAAUCAGCUAGCCUAUGUAACAGUUUAAUAUAUCUCUGUAAAUAUAUGUAGCUUAUUAAUAUCCAGAUAUGACAGCUUUUACUAUUCAUUCAUCUUGUUAGCUGAAGAAAUUUCUAUAUAUACGUAUAUGCAGAUUACAGGUUUUGCUAUUCUUUUUUUUUUUUAGGUGGACACUUUCACCAUGCACUAAACCGACCACCCCAAAUUCUUCAAAAUGUAAUAGUUAGCCAUUGCUUCUAACUAGUAUUCCUUUUAUGGAUAGGAUUAUUUAUUCAACUUCUCUCUUGAAUUGUAUGGGCCCAAUCACCGACCAGCGUGUUGUAGCCUUGGCCGUGACCAACUGAGCUGCCCAUGAGAGGCUCCACAUUGCCGUACUUGGGCUUCACAAUUUAUUGGGUGACUAAUCAAUUCAACCCAAUUUUUACUUUGACUUCGACGUAUUGCAACUUUGUAUUUAGGGAUGUCAAUGGGUUGAGUUCGGGUCGAAAUUAAAAAUUCCAGACCUGAACCCAUUUUAUAUAAGAGAGUCAGACUCGACCCGUAUAUCGGAUGGGUCUUGAUCUUAGAAACCCGGAAUUGGGUCCGAUGGGUCUGGGUCGGAUCCGGAUCUACCUGGAAAGAAAAUGUCCAAACUUAAACAUUUUAAAAUUAAAUCCAAACCAACUACAAAUCCAAUCUCCAAAUUUAAACAAAUCAAAUUAUUUAACUAAAUCACAAAUAACUCGCAUUAGUCAAUCCAAAAUUAAUCACAAAUCAAUCUACAAAGUCAUUACUAAAUUAUUAAUUUAGUAUUGUAAAAGAAUAUAUUUAGAAAUAUUUAUAUUUUAUAAUUAUUAAUAUAUUGUUCAGGUCCGAGUCGGAUACGAGUCAAAAUCCUAUAUUCCGUAUCUAAUCCAUUUUUUGUUAGAAUAAAUGGGUCCGGGUCCGGAUCCGGGUAUCGAAAUUAUUUUUCAAUCCAAAUCCGUAAAAUUUUAUUGAAUUCGGGUCGGUUCCGGAUCCAAGCCCGACCUGUUGACACCCCUAUUUGUACCGUACCUUUCUUCUUGGAUGAUUACCGGAAAUCUGCAGUGGUCGGAGCAAUAGACAAAUAAAUUACAAUCAACAAUAUCACAAACUGACCCACAAUAUCACGAUGCUCCUUUCUUGGGCUUAAAAAUUCAGUGGCUACUUAAUUAACUUCAAAACUGAAUUCACUUUUCAUUUUGAAAUUAAGUGGUAGUUAUUUUAAGCAAAUACAUCUCUUUAUAUCAGAUUGUUAAAGUGCUUCUUCAAUUGUUAGGUGCCUUUUCAACCAUUACGUGCCUCCUACUUCUCUAUGAAUACAAAUCAUCUUCCGAAUAGUGAAUUUUAUUCAAUUGGAUUAUUCUUCGAACUUUGCUUUAGCCUGGAGGUAAUUUAGCAAAUUUUGUUGUUUAUUAAAGUGAAAACCCUCCAAAGUCUACACAAGUAGUUUAUUAUUUUAUAGCUUUUGUUAUCAAACAAAUAUUAGAUACACUCCCUCCUGUGGUUAAACACUUUUUAAGAUACCCCUUACAUUUGAAAAAUGUCCAUUUACAUCCCUUGUGCUUUGAAUUUUAGUGAGAAACAGAUGAUGAGUACAUACUCAAUUGGUGGAGAUUUCACUAUAUGCACUCUGAUAGUACGAUUAUUUAUUCAGUUUAGUGAUACGAGGACUUAAUAACAGUUUUCUUUCAAUAGUGCCCCUAAAUGAACAUUUGCAAUCUAUAAAAAUGUUUGCAAACGCUUCUCUAGUAACCUAUUUUGAGUCAUUUUCAUAGAUUGCAAACCUUCAUUUGGAGGCAUUUUUCAAAGAAAAACAUUACUAGGACCUCAUCAUAUCACCAGAAUCAAAUAAGAAUAAAUCUUAUAUACACUGAAGGAUUCAUGACAUGUGUGCAAAAGUUGAAUUUCAAAUUCAAAUUUUACAUAGUUGCCAUUCAUCUAACGCUGACAGUGUAUACAUUGUCAGUGUAGGAAAGAUUAAUCCAUCAAAUAACCAGUCACACCAUUGAAACUUGUACAAUAAAAUCUCAGUUAGUGAAGUGUGCUGCUGUCUAUUUUUCACUUAAAUACAAAGUACAAGAGGUCUAUGCAGACAUUUCAGAGUACAAGGAAGGUACCCUAAAAGGUGCUUAACCAAAAGGAUAUAUGAGAAAUUUGCCAUUAUCUUUAUCAACAUGAGACAAUCCUCGUUCAAACACUAAUCUAACUUGAAUUCUAGGUUAGAGGUCUCUGAUGUCUUUUGGUUAGUAGACGUUGCAUUAGGGUAGCACAUACUUUGCCCAUUAAGACUACGAUGAUUUCUAGUAAUGCGUAAUGGUGGAGUGAGGCAUCGGACGUUGUAUUGUCAUUACAAUAUGCAUCUAAUUAAUAAAUUGGAUUGAACUAUUAUGUACCUGCACCUCAGGAAACUCUUGUACAGUGCAGGGGAAAAAAUCAACAAAUUGUUGUGAUAAUAUUGUAUAAUGAUAUCUACAACUAGCCCCCAAGGGUCAGCUCGAAUGGUCCGCUCCUCCUCUUUAGGGUAUGGUGGACCUUCCUGGGCAACCAGAGUUCGAGCCCCCUUGUCACCGUGCUCGAGUGGAGUGGGGCCUCCUCUCCGGGCCGGAGUGGGAUUAGUCGGAGCCCCGUAAGGAUUGACCUGGAUACCCACUCCGUCAGAAAAAAAAAAAAAAAAAAAAAAAAAAAGAUAUCUACAACUGAUCUUUGUGCUCUUUGAUUCAUUCUCCUUUUUGAGUCACUUGAUUAAAUAAAUAAAACGAGGCCGCCUUCUUAAUGGGGGUUUCUAUUCUAUAUGGUAUGAAAACUAAUCAAUUUCCAGGCCAGACUCUGCACAUGCUCUCACAGAAAAGCCCAAGGGGCCUUUGGUGAUUAACAUGGACCGUUGUUCACUUUAACUUAAGAAGCCUGUCAUCUCGUUUGACUUUGAUCAAGAAUCAAGACAGGCUUUUCUUUUCUUUAGAUUCUCUUUUAUUCCAACGGGGGAGAAGGCCCAUAAUGAUUAAGGCCGAAAAAAACAUUUAUUAGUUCACAAUGGCGGAAAUUUGGGAAACCACAAAGAAUUCUUAACUUGCUAAAAAAUUAGAAUAAAUCUUAUAUACAUUAACAGUGUAGACACUUUUAACGUUGAAUCUAUGAUAUACGUGUAAAAGUUAAAUUUUAAAUUUAAAUUUUGUGUAAUUGUCAGUCAUCCAAAACAAGAUUGACAGAAUAUACACUGUCAGUAUAUAAAAGAUUAACUUUUCUUGAUAAUUUUUGUUAAAAGAGAUUUUCUUGUAAGGUUUAGGGUUCUAUUUGAACUGUCUAUGAGAAAUUUUAUUGUGAAUACCUUCUCAACUCUAGUGAUUAAAAUUGAUCACUUUACGGCACACAAAAUGCGUUCUUGUAUCAUUUUACCGCACGAGACGCAUACAAAAUGUAUUCUUGUAUCAUAUUAUGAUGAAGUACUAAAAGGAUCAAAGGAACGCCUAUAUUCCUAACUAUUCUUGAAAUGUGUAAUUAUCUUUAUAACAAAAUAAAAAAACACUCUUAGAAAUUUUUUAAAAAGAAAUUGAUCUUAUGAUACACACAGCACUGACAAUUCACCCAAACAACCACAUGUUGGGAUUUUUGUGAACAGUUGAUGGCCUCGUCGAGACUCUAGAAAGUAGAAACCAAGAACAGCUUGCUUUAGCCUGCAUAAUUCCGAGAAUGGUUCUAAUUAAGAACUGUAUAUGAUGGAAUGUCAAAUGGGCUUUGGCAAGAUAGAUUUAACUUGGAGUGUUUUUCUUCUUCUUUUUUUUUUUUUUGCUUUGAACUGAAAUAAAGGAGAAGGAUGGGGGGAAAAGGAAAAAGAAAAAGAGAGAAAAACAGUGAAUGGAAAAGAAACAGCAAUAGAUGGGGUGGUUGAGACACAUGGAAGAAUGAAAUUAUAGAGGAUAUCCUUCUAAUUGAACUGACAGGAAAUGGAUUAGAUGUUAAGUGUCUCUAAUAAUGUCCCUCGAACUCUCUCCUCCUCUAAUAAAAAAUUAUCAUCAUGACACACUGGCCCAAUGAGAACUUGACGAAUUUUAUAGCAUUGCACUGAUUGACAAGACUCAACUCGACUCAACAGUCGUCCCUCAUUAAGAAUCUCAAACAGUCAUUUUAGGGCAUAAGCACACCCCCCCAAAAAUUUGUAAAAGGGUUAUCAUUUAAAUGUAGAGAAGAAAGUUCUGCAUCAUUUGCCACUACAAAGCGAAAAAGCAAACUGUAAUUAUGCAAAGUUGGGAGACAAAGGUUGCAUUUCAACGACAUAACUUUUGGUAAUUGAUGUACUUAAGUUAAAGGCCUCCUAAGCUUUUGAUAGGAGAGUAGAUGAAAGUCGUCUUAACCAAGACCCUUAUUAUUAUAAUGCAUGUUUCCUUCUUCUUAAAGUCAAUCCCCAUCAUAUAUAUUCUGUUCUUACUAUUCCAAGUGAGGAUGUAACGGUAAGCCCACAAAAACAAUUAAGCAAUGAGAUGUGAUUAACAGCUAUAGAUUGCAGUGUUUUAACUGCUAAUGAUUGUUUCUAGAUUUUUUUUUAAAGUUUCUAUAUAUAGUAAGCAAGGUCAAGUGAAGCUAAUGUGUUUAUAUCGUCAUCACUCACAUUUGACAAGACAGAAGAUAAUUAAGUUUAGUUGUGGUAUAACCAACACUUACAUGAUAUCCAUGUGGUUAUGUUUCCUGCAAGUGUUAAUGGUCCAGAUUAAUAGAUGUAUUAAGGUCAUCUCAGAUGGACCCUGCCCUAAAGUCUUUCAAUUUCAAUGUUCCCCACGAGCAAUGUGGUGUGUUUCCACAAUUCUCCUCUUUUUAUUUUUGCAUGCUCUAUUUCUAGGUUAAUUAGACAUGCAGCAAGACAGGAGUUUUUCACCUUAAUCUUUUUCUUCUCUUAAAAAAAUUAUCACAAAGAAUAUACUAUUUCAACCAUGUAAGCUAAGUAAAAGGACUAAUUUAUCUUACCUUUGCAUUUGAUGUGUUUAUUUUCUUAAAGCUCUGUUUUACCUUUUAGGGGUGAUUAAUUGAAGGAGAUCGAGCAUCGUGGAUGGCCUAAAAUCCACUGCUUCAAUGUCAUUAUAAGAGCAAUUCAAGUAAAAAAGUACUCAAAAUCUUUUGCGAAGCAAUCAAGUAUGCUAAUAAAGACUAAGCAUAAAGUGUAAUCCCAUUGUUUGAGAUAUUGUUGCUCUUUCUUGUCAAUUGGUUGUCCUGUGCACUUAAAGAGUGUUGAGAUUAGAUGGGCAUUGAGAAUAACGAAAAGUGGCACUUCCACUUAUUCAAUGACACUUAGAUUAUGUUCCCUCCAUUUCAAAUCACUAAUCGAGUAUGAAAUUUUCAGUCUCUAUUUUUACCUUCUUGAUAUUCCAUGGAACCAACAAAAAUAUCACAUCAUCGUCUCUAUGUCUCUCUUUUGCUUUGUAAAUUUGUUUUACUUUUUUUUUUCCUACUUUUGUGAUCUCAUCAUCAUAGAACUUACUCAUUAAGUGUGUCAUAAAUGAUAUUGUGGCCUGUCCUAGAUAUUUAUUGUUGUCUAAUGGUCACCAUCUAGCUUUCAGUGUCUUAAGAUCAGUUGGGAAAUGCAAAAGAAUAAUCUAAGCAAAAAAAAAUUUUUUUUACACAAAACUAAUCUAAGCAAUUAAGGAUGGGUGUUUCUUGGUUACAAGGCGAUGGCUUAUUCAACCCUUUAUUCACAUAUUCAGUACCAUUUCGUCACAAGCAAAGGAGACGAGAGCAUUGCAACCACUUGAUUAUGGAAAUCUGUGUACUGCAUCAUCACAAAUUAGAUGAACGAUUAUAUCCUCCAGUUUCCAUCUCCUUGUAUAACUUGUAGAGAAAAAGGCAGUUUAAGCUUAUUUUAUUAGACAUAUUAAGAAUUACAAAAUCUUGAAAUUUAGACAAUAAAACUUAUGUUAAAAGUAAAAACUAGCAUAAAUCUUUAAUACAUAAUUGAGAUGGAUGGCUCGUGCCUGAAUUUUGCAAUACUUUCAGUGGUAUCUUACUUUGUGAUGAAAUGAAAUAACUAAUCCUAGAUUUUUUUUUUUUUUUGGAACUUCGAAAAGAGAGAAAGUGUUCAGAUGAGUGUACAUCAAAGUACAUCAUAUCAUAGAUCCUAGGAUAUACAAGGACUCCAAAGUUGACAUUUGUUUCCCUUUUCUCCCCGUUCAAAUUGAAAAGGAAAGUCGCAUGUUGAAUACAAAGUGAACACCAUAAAAACAGGCAGCAGCUACCCUUUUCGCCGUUUAUUAUUUUGUCUUUCUUUCCUUUUUUUUUUUUUAAUCGACAGGCAGGAUAUAGGUUAUUUUGUUGAAUAUUAGAUCUUAUUCUGCAUGCAGUUCACGUAGAACAAUAAUAGACCUGAAGAAAGGGUUUGGUUCUUGCAUUAUUUUGACAUAAACAUAUAAUGUACAGAACGGACGCCCCAAAGCUUUUUGUAUACAUAGUUUUUCUGGAAAAAUCAUAAUUCCCAGCACAGAAGUUUUGGUAAUAAAACCAGGAGUUUGCAUUUUAUAGGUCAUCAAGGUUAAAUAUCUUUAAACAAUACCCUUUAGACAAAGGAUAAUCAGCAAGGUUUGGUAGAAGGCAAAUACUAAGGAAGGUUGAUUAAAAUUUUUAUAUGUUGUAAAGGAAAAUUGUCACCAUAAGAUAUUUUUCUGCACUAACAACUGUUUGGAUGGCCUGUUGUUGGCCUAUUUUAGAAAAAAAAAAUUUGUUUAAAAACGUUAUUCGCAAUAACACUCUGAAACACCACAAGUUUUAAAAAAUAAAUAAAUAAAAGUACAUUAAAUCGGCCACCAAAGGUGGUGGAUGGCGGAGGUUGUUGAUGGUGGGUGACAAGGGAGGAUGAAGGUAAUUUUUUAGGCAAUAGAGGAUACUUUGAGUAUUUUGGACAAACAAAUUGUAUUUUGGAUGAGCACCAAUAUUUUUAUUAAAAAAAAAUAGUAAGUCACACUCUAUUUUUAGAUAAACACUAAAAAAAUACAACAUCCAAAUAAACUCUCACUAUGAAUCUUUAAUUCUAAAUCAUGACUGCUUUUACUAUCCUAGGUCAUAAACAAUUUAUGAAAGGAUUCGUCUAACGUGUGUUCAGUGAACACUCGUUAAGAUAGAAUUCAGAUGUUACUCUUUUGAAAAGUAAAGUUAAAUUGUAAUGGUAUAUAAUUAUACGAGAGGGUAAUAAUUUUUAUUAUGUCUAUUCACAAAGUACGUUAAGUUUAAUUUAGGUAUAUUAAGGAGCGUCACUACGUACUCACUAUAAUAAGGAGUGCCACUACGUACUCACUAUAAUAAUCCUUUACAAAAAUAUUGACUUAAUUUUACUAGGUUUGGCUAACAAGUGUUGGGUGAGCACUCCUUAAGAGAGGGCUCGCGUAUUAAUUUUUUUUUAAAAAGUAAAGUUAAUGUAGAAAAGCAUCUAAAUGUAGAAAUAUAAUAAAUAUGAAUGAAGUGCAUUCAAAUAAUAUAAGUGUAUUAUUAUUUGAAUAGGUGUCAUAAAAAAAGUUAUAUUAUUAUCAUCAACACAUUUUAUGACAGAAAUUCAUAAACUUCAGUAUACAUCAUGUUAAAUUAACAUACUAUAUUAAAUUUUAAACUCUGGUAGAGUCAUAGUACCUGUAUGAUAGAAAUUCAACAUUUUUAUGAAGGGUUGUGUAAAGAGUUGGAUUAAAGUUAUAUUUUACUAGAAUAUAAAGUUAAGGUACAUUGGGUAUCGAAUUUUUAGAAUUCUCAUACCAAACCCUAACGCAUUAACAAGCAAUCAUCUAAUCAAAUUAACCAUUGAGUCGAGUACCAACGGGUAUCGAGUUUUAUCCUAUCCGCUGUCAUCCCUAAAAUGAACAAAUUAAGAAUAUAUAUUCGCUUUUGGGUUGGUCUCGUAAAAAAUUUACGCUUAACAGUUUCAACUGUUUCCAAGGUUUAUUGGUGGAGAUAUGAUUAUACUCCUAAGCCAGCAAUCUGAAAAAGGUUUGUCUGAGAUUUUGCUAUGCAAAAAUAUAUAUUUAUUAGGGCGUGUACAAAUUCUUUGUUUCAAAUGUAUAACCAACUCCACCAGCACAAAAAUCAUCUGGCUCCAUUUGCUAGCUUCAUUUUUUCUGAAGACUUGAUACAUAUCUCUUUUGCUAGUGGGAAAAGCAAACCAACAAAAAUAAUGAAUUCGGCUUCUGAAUUCACAAUUAUGUGCCGAUUGUAUAUAACUUAUUUCUAAUUAAACAUUGUUUUAAGCAUUUCUUAGUAAAGCUAUUGUAAUGCCUGUGGAAAAGUUGGAUUGGAUGGUAAGAUAAGAGAGAUUAUAAGUACGAAAUCCUAAAUUCAAAACCUCUCACUUAUACCAAAAAAAAAAAAAAAAAAAAAAAAAAGGAGGCUAUCAUAAUGCUUUUAAGUUGUAGACUCUAUGGGAGAAGGGUAAAAAUAGUUAUUAGUACAAUCAUUCUUGAACAGUGCUGCUUUGGUUGAACACAACAUAAUGUUCACGACAAGCUGCUUAUAUAAUUCUGUAACGUAGGUGUUAUAUUGAGUUACUGCUUGUGUGAGCCUGUAUAUGUUAAUCUUGAGUUAUUGCUUAUGUGAGUUUGUGUAUGUCAAUCGCAUCUGAGUUACGUAACUUUCUCCAAUCAUUAUUAUAUUUAUAGCUUGUGUCUUCUUGACACAUUUUGGACCUUGAAUAAUUAGGGACGGUUGUACGUCCAUGCCCUUAAUCCAGACCUUAUAGGCCAAAACUGUCCAAAGCUUGCUAAUUGGGAAGAUACGAGAAUCAAGUUCGAGUACCACAUGAGAUGAACCGAAUCAAAGGUGGUACUGCAAUCCAGUUUUGUCCGUCUUCUCUUGCCUAAAAAUAAUGGCAUGAAUGAUCGACUAUAGACCUUGCAAUAUUGGCCACAUGAUUCAAAGUUUCAAUCUCGAGACGAGAGUUUAGAUGAGCCAAAACUGUUGCACUGAGGCCUCGUUUUGUGGAUAAGAAUGCAUCAUCGAUGGAACCGUUUCUAUUCUCGUACAUAGUACAGCUAUACUUCGGUCAUCGCAGAAAGAUUGACUUCUUGAUUGUGGGUUGCUUUUAUGGCCAGUUGGAAGUUCAUCAAUAAUUUUCGUGGCCACAACAUGAAAGGACAUGUUCGCUGGGUAUAAUGAUUAUUUCCUCAAAAUAAAGUUCCAAACCAAUCGCUAUAAACCCAUUGCUUUUAAGAUUUUUCUUCUGAGUAAAAGGGUACAAUGUUAGGCAAAAACAAGUCUUACGGAUUGAUUCUGUACAAUGUCUGACACCAUAUAUUCAAGAAGCUGUGUAAAAUCGCGAAAUUCAAGAGACAAAAGGAUUUUCUGAAUUGGGAUUUUUACCCUAGCUACAAAAGCUGCUGAUUGUAGUAUAUUCAAAGGUUCCUCUAUACAAAGAAGAAGCAUUUGUGUGGUUGAAAUUAAAUGUUAUGAAUGACAAGUCCCAAAAAAAAAUUGCUGCAAAUCUGAGCAAACAAUACUUAAUUUCAAGCUUCUCAAGAUGUAUAUAUGCUUGUAUUGAAGAUGGAAAAUACUUGUCCAAUUAUAGGUGCGAACCAUAUCUGAUACUAUCAGAAGUACCCCUUAGGAGACCAUAAACCUAAAAGAACAGGCAACCCCAUAUCUCUUCAGAAGUGGCUCUCUCCUUAAAUGGCUUCUUCUUGUUUCUAUCAUAAGUUAACUUAGAGAUGGCACCGACAUGAAGCAGUACCACAUGUUCUUGUACAAAGCCUCAGAAAGUCACACACCCUUUUCUCUUUCUUUCUUUCUUUUUUCUUUUUUUUUUUUUGUGGGUUUUCUAUGCAGUCUUCAUUAAUUGUGAGGAUAAAUUUGAGAUCCUGUUCUCUGGCUGCAGAUAAGCAUAGGGACCACAGGCCUAAUAGCAUUUAGUCUCCUGUGAUAACAUGCAUCCAACCCUAAAGAAAUCCCAGCUCAGCAACUUGCAUUAGAAAUAAUGCACACAUUAGCUAACAAUACAAAUUAGUUCUUGGAUUGGACCAUUCCCAGAAGCAUCCUGUUGCCACCAAUUAAUGUCUUUAAGACCUUCUGAUUAGUAGUAUAAUGUUGCCGGUGUUGAAAGCAACUGCACAGUGAUGAGCAAUUCUAAUCGUAAGCAAGCUUCUUUUGGAGCAUUCACACGCAGAUCAAAUUUGCUAAAGUUUGUUACUCAGUGCGCUUGUGAUCAUAUACAUAAAUUUACAGGUUUUAAUCAGGAGGGUUUAUCGGAUAUUCUAUUGGAUGGAGUUUGUGUAGAUGAGUCAAAAAUUAACAAAAAUCUUAACACCUAAACACAUUAUGCGACUUUGAAGUUUGAGAUGAGAACAAAUUAAGAGGUUUUCAAGAGUUGAGGUUAAUUAGGAUUGACAAACGUGGAUGGAUGAAUCAUUUUCUUGGACAUAAUUCAAUGUUACUUUGCCACUAAAACAAUAAAAAUGAAGGCAUGCCUUCCCCUCAAGAACGGAUUAGGAGGUCCCUUUCCUUCAAUUCCUUGUACUUGGGCAUGUGUCAGUAUCAAGAAUAUAUAUGGUGCAAUUCCUUUUAACAAAAGUUUUGAGUCAUAAUCAAGUUUAUUUCAAGUCUCGGACAGUAUGAUUGAAAAGCAGAAAGACAUUCACUGCCAGAAAUUCUGGCAUGACAGUAUCUUAACCAUACAAAAAUGUCUUCCUAAAUGUUGUUGCAAUUCAAUUAACUAUGUAUUGUAAGAAUCCUCCUUUGAUUGUUAACUUGGCUUCCAAUCAACAAAAACAUACUGGAAUGUUCUUCUAAUGAUAAAUGUCUGUACAAACACAUAUACUAUACGAUACAGAAACUGAGGUACAAUAUCACAGCAGAGCAAAUCAUGGCAGUAUUUUACCUUGUGGAAGUAAAUAAAAUAAAUAAAAAAAGAAUCAUAUAAAAUCAUGCAUGUAUUGGUAUCCAUAGUUGACUUGAAGAAACAGCUCAUACAUCUCCUAUGGAGAUAGACUCACGAGUUCAUGAUGAGGUGUGGAGAUUACAUGUAUCUCCUUAUGGGGUCACAGAAAUUAAUAUUCGUUUCUUUUUGAUGGGAUGUUCUAAUUAGGACAUGGCUAAGGUCAAGCCUCCAUGAACCUUCAUAAUUUUGUAGCAAGGAGACAAGCCUAGCCUAAACAGAAAGAUUCAAUAAACAAGGAAUCACUUAUGAUUAUUUAUUUGUAUUGAUUGGAACCAAGAAUAUCAACAAGGGCUGUAUUCAAACUUAAGAAUCAAGCUCCAUGUCUGACCAAAAGAAAACAAAUAAUUUAGAUCCUUGACAAUAGGAGCAAAAAAGAAAAAAGAAAUACUUACUAGAGAUUCUUUGAUAAACCCUUUAGAGACGUAACUUCCGCAUAGGCGACCGAGGAACAUAAACAAGAAAAAAGAAACAAUACAAAGUUUCCAUGAAUUGCUUGUAGCCUAUAAAAUGAAGGCAUACAAUCAAUAAAGAUUAAGCGUCAUUAAAAUUGGUAACGACAAAUCAAGAUCAAGAUGUAUCGACAAGUCUAACCAUUAGCUAGUAGCUAAGACUCACAACCCGAAAAUUAUUGUUGGUCAAUUUCAGCUGUUUGAUCGCCUGUUAGUGUCUGCCCUAGAGCCCACUUGAGUUUAUAUUCAAAAUUAGGGAAGUCAAUAAUUAUUUAAACCAGUAAUUAGCUGCUAAACAUCGAACAGGCCAGGUUCGAUAAGUUUUUGCCCAGAAGUUUUCUACUUCAUUUACACAUUUAAUAUGAUUUUUGCACUUUUAUUUUGUUUUAGUAAUUACGUAAAAUUUGGCUCUAAACCAAGUGGCUAAUAAAAGAUGGCCCGCCAGUGGGCAACAUGGCUGACUAUAACUUGAAACUCUUGCCUAAGGGAUUUGAUGCUAGCCUGGGCCAUGAAAAUCAAACUACAUUUUCGAGCAAGAUUUGCUACUAAGAUAGGCAGUAAGUCUAACACGUAGACCACAAAAAAGGUAAACUAAAAGAUUGGGAAAAAGGUAAAAGUAAAAAAAAUGAAAGGAGGUAAGGUAAGUUCUAAUUGAAAAACUAAUGAACAAAUUAAGCGAGAUUGUCAACUCAAGGAUGUAAAAGUAACUUUCGUUAGCCAAAAAUGGAUGGGGGCCAUACAUUGGAUUUGAUAAACAAUUAUAGUGAAACAUUAUGCAAAUUAAGAUACUAAAAACUAUGGACAAAGCUUUUCAAAAUGAGAAAGAUUUCUAGACACCGUCGAUGUACGAAUUUUUUUUUAUAUACUAAUAGAUUUAGAUCAUAGUACAUAACAUGAAUUUAAAUUUGAAAUUCAAAACAUACAUAUAUAUAUGCCAUACAUUCAUAAUUAUUAGUGUAAAAAAAUCAUUACAACAUUUGUAUAUAAAAAGUUAAUCCUUUCAAAAGAGGAAACCACCGACUGGUUCCUUAGUUUGUUUCUUUUUCUUUUGUCAAGUAACUGGCCCCGAAAUUUCACCGUGGCUUAUUCCAAAGACUAAUAAAACUAUAAAACUAGAAUGUUUUUGUGUCAAACAGUUUUAGCUUCUUUUUUUUUUGGGACCCUUAUGCUGCAUUUUUUUUAAUUGGUUAAUAAUUGAUAAAUUUGACUAGGACAAAAUUCCAAAGCCAAACUACAGAACAAUUGAGAAAGAGGCUGCCUUUUUCUACUAGUGCUGACCCCAAAUAUGAGAGAUGGUCCCAUAGUCGGCAGAGAUUAGAACCACUGUAUGCGUAUUCCUUCACAGUUCAGUUUACAAGCUACAUCUGAGGGAAAAUGAUACUUAUUACUGCCUAUAAAGGUAAUGAUAUUGGGGUCACCACAUGCAUACCUGCAUUUACAGCGUAUGAUUUGUAUACCUAUGCAACCCGAACUUCACAACAAGAAGAAUUUCCCAUUAAUAGUUACAAGAAAUUUGGUUUAUACAGAUGUACCAACAAUCUUUCACACUUGUAUCAAAACCAAUCUUUUAUGUACAAUUGAGACUAAAAUUUAGUAUCAUAUCUCUUUUGGAACAAGAAGAUUUUAAUUAGUGAACGAAUCAACUACUAUUAUUCAUGUUUUCCACCAAAGAUGAACUAAAUGUGCGAGACUUCUUUGUCUAUGUGCCCCUAAAGUUGCUAACCAAAUCUCUAGAGCAUUUGAAGAACUCGCAAAGACACAUAUCUUUCAAAAAUUUUAAAGAAGCCCACACAUGAAUUGAAGCUAAAAUCCGUAUUGAGAUUUGAGCUUUUUACCUAGUUUAGAUGCAAAUUAUUCAAUGCUUAUUCAGAAAUAUUCCGAUGAAACUAGAAAUGAUUUCCUGUAACAAUUAAAUAGCUCCCACGAUAAUUACUCAAUGAACCACAUUGCCUAGAAGAAGAAAGAUACUAGUCUAUCGAUUCAUUUUUCCACCAAAAUAAGAGAGGUAAGAGAGGGUGUAUCCAAUUUAUUUCUGCCCUUCUGAUUCAUAAUUUUCUGAGAAAACGCACUUUUGGAAUAUAACCCAAUUAUCCUCUCAAUUAAAGGGAGGUUUUUUAUUUUUUUGGGGGCGGGGGGGGGGGGUGUGGGCGCCGGUUCUUGAAAUAUAGUAUUAACUUUAUUUUGUCUGUAUUCUAAGGUUCGAGUAAUAUAUUCUCUCUACUCAAAAGAAGACAGAACUACAUUAUUGAGAUUGUCGGCUGUGCUUAUACGUGUAAAUUAAUUAGUCUACACAUGAUUAGUGACAGAGAAGAAAAUUUUCCUCAUUGCCAAAAAAAAUAAUCCUUCCCAAUUAAAAAAAUUCCAUAAUCAAUCAUGGAUUGCAGAGUUGUUUCUUAUUAAUCUAUAAUCCCUUUGAUUCUUUCUAAGCAGAUAAAAUGAUUUAGGGAGUUGGUAGACUUAAGAGCAUUUUUCAAGAACACAAGAUACCUUCUCCACCUCUAUAUUUAAGGGUAUAAACUAAGUAGUCGUUCUGGUUUCUUUUUUUAUUUUGAAACAAAAAAAUUACACUUUUCCGGCCGUUAUAGUCAUGGGAGACAUAUAGGGGCAGCGAAAGGCACUUGCUCUUCAAGAUUUUGAAACUUUUACAUCUUUGGUCAGAAAAAGAAGAUAUUCGCAUGCACUCCUAAGAAAAAUGUUGUGGUCAUCCUCUAAAAAGAUUUUCGAAAUGUAUUCCAAGCAUCUGUUUUUUUUCAUAUCCCAAUUCUUACUUCGCGAGGGCAAUAUUUGUGUUUCACUAAAAUUACUGACUCUAGAUAAUCAAGAGAAGGGAAAAUUGGUGUAAAUUUCAAAAGCCAACUGGCGUAGAAAUUGUUAAAGAAAAGGAAACAGAAGUAUCAAUUGUUUUUCUUUGUGGAUUGUCAAACAUGAAAGACAAGAGAAUAUCUUCUGUGGAAGGCAUUUGAGAUCAUUAACGUGUUGCAGAUUACCAUAAUAGAAAGCUUUAACUAAUCUUGGGGUUUUCUUAUCUCCAUGAACAUACAACCCUUUCAAUGCUUUGUGACUUCUUUUGUCAGUCAGAAUCUUGGCAAAAAUUUGGUUGAAAAGAGUGGUUACUUGAAAGAUGAAACAAACUCAAAAGGGUUCUCAUUGUAUACUAUAAAAAGUCAGAUGUGUCAAUAUGACAGCUUGUUUCAAAUAUGUGAACUUGUACCAUCAAAUACUUUUAAUUACUGAUUAGGCAUCUGUUUAGUCAAUUAAUUACACAAGUUUAUAUCAUGAAUUCAUUCUUUUCCACCCAAUAAAUAUCUGUCUAUACCCCACAAGUGCUGUCAAAGUCAUUAAUUUUGCAAACCAAAGUGAUGAGACAUAUGCAAGUCACAUAUAUUGGAGCUCCAUUUCACGUUUGUAGAAAAUUAAGCCAAAAUGAAUUUUUUAAAAUCAAUAUACUGUAAUCUUAAAAUUUGCUUCUGAAAGCCUGAAUGUGACCCCCUUUUUAAGGCUCCUCCCUUUCAAUUUGAUUCCCGACCAGGCUACCAUUUCGUUUUCUAGGCCUCUUUUUUUUUUUCAUCAUCCAAAACAAACAACUCCCUCCAACCCCUUCCCCCCUUCUCCCUCCAGCAAUAUUACUGCUAAAGUUACACUAAAUAUGGGAAGGCAUUCUUGUUGCUAUAAGCAGAAGCUAAGGAAAGGCCUGUGGUCUCCUGAAGAAGAUGAAAAACUCAUAAAACACAUAACCAAAUACGGCCAUGGCUGUUGGAGCUCAGUUCCUAAACUUGCAGGUAUGGGCGGUCGUCUCCCACCGGAUUUCAUUUGUACAAAUGCAAAAGAGAAAUGCACUGUUUGCUGAUUUUUUUUAAAAAAAUCUCUUUUUGGGGAUAACUUUGCAGGACUUCAAAGAUGUGGGAAGAGCUGCAGGUUAAGGUGGAUCAACUACUUGAGGCCUGAUUUGAAAAGAGGGACAUUUUCUUUAGAGGAGGAGAAUUUGAUAAUUGAAUUGCAUGCAGUUCUUGGCAACAGGUAAUUUUAUUUGUCUUCUGCAUUAUUACCAUGCAUUGGUCUGAGGACUAUAUUCCCACUUUAUUAUAUUCAAUGGCCUUUUUUGUGCUUUGUUCAGAUGGUCCCAGAUAGCGGCGAAGUUACCUGGAAGAACUGAUAAUGAAAUCAAGAAUCUUUGGAAUUCUUCAAUCAAGAAAAAGCUUAGGCAAAGAGGUAUUGACCCCAACACUCACCAGCCGAUCCCUGAGGCUGAAAAUGAAGAGAAAGGAUCAGCAACAAGCAAAAAUAAUGAGAAAACAUCCGAAGGAUCAAAUGAUCAACUGAAUUAUGGUGAAGCUGCUGCUGAGAGUUCUGAACAGAAAAUGGCCGUAGAAAAGCCAAAGCCAUCUUCAGCUGUGACUGUGGACCGCUAUCCGUUAAUAGAAAGCAACUGUAAUAAUAUGACAACAACACCCCCACCGACCCAUGAGUUCUUCUUGAAUAGGUUUCUUACAAGUCAUGAAAGCUCCAACUCCAGUUCCAAGCCUCCUGACUUGCAGGACUAUUUCUCUUUUCAACAGUUGAAUUACGGAUCAUCGACGAACAUUGGGCUUUCCAUGAAUCCAAAUGCUCCUUCCUUCUUCAAUUUAACAACCUCCAGGUCUGCUGAAAUGGUUUCUGAUCAGUUCAAUUCUGCCAUGUCAAAUUCGAUUAUGAGCGCGCCUUCGGCACGUAUGAAGCCAUCCAUUAGCCUUCCAUCAGAAAAUAAUUCACUGGGGAAUUUUAAUGUGAACAAAUUCCCGAGCUGGGAUGCUUGCGCAAUCAGUGCUAACAAUGGUAGCACCAGCAAUGCAAGCAGCAGUAGUAUUGAAUUGCAAAGCAACUGUUCAUUCUUCGACAACAAUGGCUUUUCCUGGGGAGCGGCUGAUUGUGGAAAAGCUGAGAAAGAUAUAGUCCAUAUCCACUCAUCGGUAGGCGACACGGAAGAUAUUAAGUGGACUGAAUAUCUUCAGGCCCCAUUUUUACUCAGUAAUAGUGCUGCUGCAACAAUUCAAAAUCAAACGGCGCAAGAUAUUUACAGUGCCGAGACAAAAUCAGGGAUAAGUUUUACAGCGCCCGAAGGAUCAGUGAGUACUACGACAAGUUGGCUUCAGAACCACCACCAUCAGCAGCAACCGACAAUUCAGGCUGUUGCUGAACUAUAUAAUAAGCAUUUCCAAAGACUUCCUGCUGCUUUUGGUCAAUUUUCUUAGCUUCCCAAUUCAAUUUUGGAGGAGCUACUAAUUAAAACAGGUGUGCGCUAUAGAGUCCAGUCCUCUCUAUUCUUAUUCUGUAAAUAGGUCUAUACAAUCAUAGGAAAAGCAAAUUUAUGCCUGUUCAUCUUCAUCUUCUGUGUUAUGAGUUCUUGAUUCUAGAACAAGUCUUCUUCUCUUUUUUUUUUUUUGUUAAUUAUUUUUAAUUACCCUCUUAUUCCGUGCUUUAUUAUUUUAAUUUGGAAUUACAGGUUGUAAUUUUGUCUGUCAAACAAUAAUUAUUCUGUCUGUUAAAACAACAAUCAAUGGCUUUCCUAUUUCUUUUCAGUUUUAACCGUUGUAACCACUUCUUGUUAAUUCUCCUAUUCGACCUUAAAAGAAAAAAAAAAAUUUAUUCUUUCCAAGAUAGUGACUAUCUCUGAUGACAUGCUUACCUAAAUCCUUUUGGGUUUUCUGAGAAGUUGUUCCUUCAUUGCUUUUUUGACAUUAGUAACUAGUACUAUUUAUCUAGUACGGCUACAUAUAUAGAUAGAUAUCUCUUUCAGUAUUGGCCCUUUAUGAUAAGGUACUAUGGCUGAAAGAAAGAAGGGGCAUAAAUGCUUUUCUCUAACGCAAGAUUCAAGGUACCCCUCAUUUUUUUCCAUUAAUUGGUUGUCUAUGAGGCUACGGUUGUCUCCUGCAGAUGGGGAUGGUUUCCACUUUUUUACAGUCUUUAAGUCACUUCUCCUCCCUAUGUGGGCUGGAUGGGUUGUUUUGAAGGCAAGAAAUUAUAUUGUCUGCCUCUGAUUUUCCAUCUAAAACAGCCUACUUGGAAGAAGAAAUGUGAAUUUGAUAGGUUGGGAUGCACGAAAAGAUGGCACUUUCCUAUAGAAAGCUGGAAAGAGAAACCCCACAGCGUAAAGAGCUGUCAAACUACUGUUAGUCAAUAUAUACAUAUAAAAGGAAAACGACUUUCAACCUUAUAAAAGCCAUAAGUUCCACGUCCAAUUAUACUUUUCAUAGGGUACUAAAUGUGACUCGAGAAUCGGUCAUCAGCUUUUCAAGAAUUUCCAAUUCAAUAUAUAUAUAUAUAUAUAUAUAUUUAUAUAUCCAAUCCAAUGCAAGGAGCUGACAAAUUCAUAUCGUAAAUUAUUUGCAAACCACAAUUUUGAAGAGGUGUGAACUGGACUCUGAUGAGGUACUUGUGGAAGUGUGGUGUGGGGAGACACUUCAAGUAUUCAAGGACUAUUUUAGAAGGUAAUGUAUUAUUGGUUGCGUAGGAGCUCAAAAGAGGCCAUAACCGGAAUGCAAUUCUAUUAAUACGGAUACUGAUUGACAUGUCCUAUAGGGGUCUAAACCUUUACUACUUCUGGGAGGUACACAUGAAGAGGGGACCCUUGAUGACACAACUUGAUGCUGAUAUUUCAGGAAGAUAAGGGAGUGGAAAGGAAAAAUUCCAUCUUUUCUUGGAAGCAAAGAACGUGACAGAAUCGAAAAAUGGGCAAAAGAGAAGGAGAGGGCGCUGCCAGCCUAACGAGGGUUACAUUUCUAUCAAGGAGAGAGUGCUCACAUUUCCUAGUUCUCAUUGAACAGAAGCUCCCAACUUUUGGCUAUUGUGGUUUAUUACCCUUUUCCCACUAAAGCUCAAGCGAUCUUAUCUCCCUCUCCCUCAUACUGGUUGGUUAGAAUUAUUGGUUUACACCGAGAUGUGUACAUAGUGUGGACUGUGGAGUCCAUCUUUCAUUUUCACCAUUCCUGAAAGCAAAUCAAUUCGAACUCCCGUUUUCUGAAGUGGACUGCAGCAUGCAUUGCAGGGGACCAUCCUACAUUCCCAUCCCAGGCCCCCUUUUCCUCUUUAGAAAGUUACAACUCCUGCUGUGCUACUCUUACUUGAGGAAAAGCACACGGAUAAGCCGCCUGAAUCCUCCCUCAAGAGGCGAGCACUCAAGCACGAGCACGGCCAUUAAUUUAGUCGAAAAUUUUUCUAUUCUAACUUUCAUGAGCACGGUGAUUAAUUAAAUUAGUCAAAGGUGACGGUGAAGUUUUUUAUUCUAACUUUUAAAACUUUCAAUAAUUUGUGACCAAGAUCAGCUACAUCAUAUCGUCUGAUAAAUUUUUCUCAACAAAUUUUAUUUUGAUGCUGCAUUUAUACACAUAACAGAACCCUGAUUGAAGCUUCGGCGUGGCGUCCACCCACACUUCAUCAAUGCAAUUAUUUCUAAUGAAUUGGAGGCCUGAAUCCAUAAGGCCCCUGAUCCAAAAGUACAUGACUAGCAGACAAUUUAAUCUUGGAACAUCUACCGGGGGAACUACCAAAUAAUUCAGAGAAAAUUUCAGCCAUGGAAGCCCAGGAUUUGAAGAAUCAGGAAAGCCCCAUCGAAAAUCAUGAAUGAAACCACACAUGAAACUAUGUAUGUAUGGUGGGGUAAUGAGCCACAGUCACCUUCGUGUGUGCCCACGUGCACACACAAAUAGGUAGCCCCCUCCUGUGUUAAUUCAAUAUAUAUGUCUCAUUGGCGGUAUCUUCUUCUUUCUUGCAACCAUACGGAGCUAUGUAAUUGUAUAUACUUGUUGCAGCUAUGAAUGCAUGUGAACCAAAUUAUUGAGCCCUUCUAUUUUGGACCCACAGUUCUUUUAAGACAGAAGGAAACAAAAAAAAUUUUAUAAAAUUGAAAUGGGAUUCUUGAAGAGGGAUCAUGAGAUGAGAUGGCAACAAAGUGAAUGCAAGUUCUGUUUUGAAAACUCAGGAUUGAACUUUUCAAAUGCAAUAUUUUUCUUCAGAUAAAGUUAAAUAAAACACAAAAGGAAUCAUAUGAUUGAUAAGCUGUGGAUGAGUAAAGAACGUAAGGCAUGAAGGGGAAAAAAAAUGAAAAUGAUAGUGACAAUAAUGGUGGAGACCGUCGCAAUGAUGAUGGAGGUGAUUAAAUUCUUGCAUAUUUUAUCAUUUUGAUAUUCCAUUCUGGAUGACAAACUAACUAACAUGCGAAGCAUAUACAGCCAGUCUGCUGAGGAGAAGAAUUCUUAAUUACAUAAAGAUGCAGCAAUUGCUAGCCAUUGAAGUCACCAAGAAAAAGAGGUGCUCAUUUUCACAAUGUAAAUUUUCUAGCCUCCUCAUAUUUCAUGGUACCCGGACCAACUUAUUUCAAAGAAUGAAUGUGUCAAAUUAGUGAUAAAUCAAUGAAAUGUCUGCUUAAGAUUUUUUCUUUUCUUUUUUUUUUUUUUUUUUUUGGUGAAGAAGUUGAUCGUUGUCUUGACAAUCAUGGACAACUGAAAUUAAAUUGCACGUUAUUUUGUAAAUGUCUCAUUUUGCAUUUGGCAAAGAAAAGACGUCUUGGGGAUAAGGGUAGGUCAUACAUAGAGAAAAGUCAUGUACGGACACUAGGCAUCAAAAUUGUGAACAGGAAUGUUGGAUGGAUCGACCUUAAAGGUUGACUCUGGUAAUAGUAAUUUGUUCUGUGCCACCUAAAAAAUUAAUUAUCUAUUACUAUUAGAAUUCUUCCAUUGUUGGGUUGAAGAUUCAAAUCCUGGUCUCGUAAUUGAGAACGAUCUCUGUACUACUCAAUCCAUUCUUAUUUGAUACAAGAUUAAUUAGUUGAGUUAUUUUUUGCAUAUAAUUGAGGAUGUACUAGUAUUUUAUGACUAGAGAGGGCUCUUAGAAUUCUCUCAAGAAUGUCAGAUUCAGGAUUCGAAUCUUGAUCCAACAGUUGUCGUGAAAAAGAUGUCAACAUGGUUGGAAGGUCAAAAAAAGAAGUACAAAAUUAAUUAGUCAAGUAAUCCGGGAUCUGAGGGAAACAGGAAUUAUAGCUCGCCCUACUCUAUCCUGUGCCAUCACGUCUUGAAUCUUUUUACUUUUCAUUCCACUUUUUUAACUCCAACUAUUCAAGAAACUGGAAGAAUUUAUAUGCAAUGACGUCUUGAUGUAAUUGACUAAAUGCGCCGAAUUUGAGGCUGCCGGCGUUAAUAUUUAGGCCCUGCACAAUAAUGCCUCGUUGGCGUACAUAUCUUAGUCCUAGAAACAUUUCGGUAAUGGGAAACUAUUGCAGUGAAAAGGUUUCUUUCUGUCCUAAGCUGUGGGACUUUCCUUAGUUUCUCCAAAUAAAAAGCCAUAAACUGGACCCCUGCAUGCUAUUUGCUCUAAUGGCUGCUACAACCCAAGAGGUUUAUUACAAAUUUUGCUGCCAAAAAAAAAAAAGGCUGUAAUUUGCGUAGGAACAAAAUCCUGUCUGAUUCCAUAUUGAUUUGCUCAUGUAAACCGAAGAUUGCGACAAUCUUCUCUUCCAUUUUUUCAACUACGUUUUUCCAGGGUUUACCUGCACAAGUUGUAAUAUGAAAUUAGACAUUAUACAGUAGCAAUGACAUUAAAAACUACAGAGUUGUACCAUUAUUAGCAAAAAAUAAUGGAGUGAAUGAAUACUUCAUCUCACAAUUUCUAAUCAGAAUCAAGAUAACAGACAUGACUUAGGAGACCCUACCUUUCUUGUGCAUUAUUCCUUGCAAUUAAUGAAUUUUAGAUGCCAAAAACCAUCAAUCAAACAUGGAAUCCCCCAAGGACAUGCUCUUCUGUAGUUUGCUUGUAUCUCCUUUCCUCCCAGUACUAAUUUCUUUUUUAAAAAAAUGCUUUUAGAAAAUUAAUUUAAUCAAUUCUGAUUUACGAAAGUCCAAAUGGCGCAGUCUUCUGCAACUACUCAACUUGGCUUGCUGGCUUUACUUAUCCUCCUCCGUCAGAUAAUACUACUAUUAAGUCAGGUCUUCUUCCUCCCAAUUCAUAAUAAACCACAUACAAGAUUGAAGCAGCAAGUUUCUUUUUAAAUAUAGAGAAGGGCAUUCUAGAAUGAGACCUAAAAAAAUGAGUACCCCACUGUCUGAGUUGCCUCGAAACCACAGUACGGCUACCAAUCUAAAAUAGUGUAUUAUCUUAUUUCUGCAAUUGUUUAAGUGUUGAUAAUGCAAGUGAGUCAGUGUAUGUAAAUAAGGUGCAAUCCAAACACACUAGGUGUUUUCAGGGUUAAAAAAAAAAAAAAAUGGUGUUUCCAAUACUGUAAAAUUGUAUUGAAAAGUUUUCAGUACUAAGAAAUACAAAAUCACUACUAUUCCUUAAAGGGUAAAAUUUAUAAUCCCUAAUGAUGAAUUGCUCUUGUGGAGUAUUCAUUGAUUCUUUUGGCGUUACUGCUAAUUGGGCAUUAGAGUAUUGAUUGUCUUGAGUAAUUUAAAAGAGUCAAAGGUAGAGAAUCAACUGAUAAAUAGUUCUAGAAACCUCCUUUUAAGAGCUUUAUUAACAAUUUAAGAGCUACUUUGGCCGAUGAUAUUAACAAUUUAAGAGCUUUAUUUCUGAAAUGCUCCUUUUGUUUAGAUAGGAGAUUAGACUCCAGAUGUGAACUGAUUAGUGGUUAUGCCUUAGGCAUAUUUCAGGAUGAGGAAUAGAUCAAUCCUCAGUGUGUCUAACACUUGUGUAUAGUUGUUUCUUGAGCCUUUGCUCAUAUAAGUGUGUAUCCUUUUGUCUAUCAAUACAAAAAUUACCGUUGCUGAAAAAACAAAAAAAAUAGUUCUAGAAACCUCAACGUUAAACUUGAGGCAGAACCUCUGCCAAACUGUCAUUUGCUAUUUGAUCAUGGGUGUCAGAUAUUAGUACAUAGUAUUUUUUAGGGACUUUUUCUGUCUCAAAAGGAUAAACUCGUUGACAAUUAGUAAUUCUAGAAAAAAAAAAUUGGAUUUGACAUCAUGUCAUGGCAUAUUAAGAUUUUAUCAAACAUAGAAUUUUGAUUGGAUUCCAGCUUCAAAACAUGCAUUUGUAAUCCCAAUUCAAAAUCGACAAGAGACUACAGUUCGUUGCAUCAAAACUGUCAGCAGGCACAGUUACUGCAUAAUGGUGAUGCCCUGUUGAAUCCCCCUCUUGUGUUCUUCAUUACCAUCCUAAAGUAAGCCUGUUUAAGCAAAAUAAGAGCUACUCACAGUAAACUGCUGAUUGAUAUGGAGAUUAAAGGAAGGAUGCCAGACCAAGAAAGUGGCGAAGCCGGAACCUAUUGGAUCCUCAUGAAAAGUGAAAAUCCAGGGAAAACUAAUGCAGAAAUGAACCCCCAAAUAUUACUUGCAUUUAGCCAAUUCAUGUGAAACAAGUAAAUCUUGUCUCUCAUUUCAUUUCCUGUGCGAGUAAGUGUGAAGUACAUCCACCCUUGUAACUUACUCACCUAUUGGUAUCUUUAUUGUCUACAUGGCGAUACACAAAUCUAAGGCUGUAACUAAUAAAUGGGAGGUGAAAUUUCUCACCAAGAUGAUUAUAUCAAUUGAACUAAUUUGAUAAUCUCAAUAAGCGAGCAUCUGGCCUAUUUGAAAACCAGGUUGUGACAUGUUUUAUCACAUGGAUAUGCACAGUCGAUAGCCUUGAUGCCUGUCCGAUCAAAAUACCAAUCUCCAACAGCAAGUGCAAUGCCCUGCAUGAUUUAGAGCAUCAGUUGAACAAGACCCUUUUAAAAUUUUUACUAAACAAGAACGGUAAUGCCCACAACAGAUCUCAGUCAGAGGAAAAGUGAAAAGGUAAAAGAUACUGCAGACGUACGUGGAUAUGAAAAUCAUGGAGCAUGUAAUGUAUGCAAAGUAAUUAGCUAAGCAAGACAGAGAAGUCUAUGAGCCCAAUCUCCUACUUCCCAUGAACCAGCAAUAAAAUCAUCAAUAUGACUCCUGAUUUAACCGAGGAAACUCGUCACCCCAUGUUCAUAGAUACUGUAGCGUAUUCAAAAUUGCUGCCCUAGUGUUACAUUUGGAUAAUAAGUUUCAUCUCAUGGUUCCUGAUUUUCAGAUUCAACUGUAAGUAUCACAAUCGGAUUAGAAUUAAUCUUCUGGAGAGUCAUCACUAUGAAAUUAAGCCAUUCUUGCAAAUAUUUUCAUUGGACUACACAAAUGUGAUUCAAUUUCACCAAGUUAUCAUUCGCAUGUUCAUCUUUUCUCUCUGCUAUACUUAACCUUAAAGUCGGUUAAUACAGACAUUGAGUAUGACACGUGCUAUUGUUAUCUUAUCCAAGUCAUUCCAAAAUGCGACUUCGGUCUAAUGCAAGCAUUUUCAUCGCAGCAAAUGAGUCAAAAAAGUGGAUGCCAUAAUGAGACCUAAAAAGUUAGUAGCCAAUAGCAUACCUUGUUGCUGAUAGCAGGAGAGUCAUCUGCAAACCAUGUAUCCUGCCUCUCUGAUUGGCAGUGAGCAAAGCAGGAAUUUAUGAACAACCCAUUUUGUCCGGACAUUGCAAAGCUUCUCACGGAAUUUAGCAUACGAAUCCUAAAAGCUGCUAACAAAGAACAUUGAAUUAGUAUUCAACCCUGCAUCUCCAAAGCAUCUAAAGCAGCUUCGGUAACUCAGUUGACAGAGGUUACCUUGCAGGAAUCGGAUCUGUGAAGCAGAACAUUUUGCAUGGUUCAGUUUACAGUCAUGCCAAGUUCCAUGAGGAUCAGCUGCAGGAGGAGCUAAGCUAGCCUGGACCUGAAUAAAAAAAAAAUGAGAAUGCCAAAUAAUUAAUUUCUCAUUCCCAUCAUUCAGAAAAAUCUGCACCUAGCACAAGAAAUACUCAUGACAGAGGUUACAUUACCUGCCAUGAAUCAUAGGCAGCAUUAAGAAUAAAAAGAGGAGUUUUUACGUUGUCAAUCAGGUUCUGAGGGAAGAAGCACUGAAAAAGAAAAUGAAAAUCAACUGUGAACUUGGAAACAUGAAAAUUCUCUAGUAUAACAGCAUUGCCACAAUUGUGGCAGUAAAGAUGAAAAAGACUUACUGAAGUUGGAUCCCGAUAUGUAGUACACGUACUUGGCAGGUUCUUGGCAACACCCUGGCAAUAAACGGAAGACCAUUAGCUGAGUCAGUUUAACAAUGAAACCAAGAACAUAACUUCAGUGUGUGAUCUAAACAGGACUUGUUCCUGAUGUUUUAUGUUUGUUGGAGUUAUUUUCACAGAAACUUGCCACAAAGAUGCAGAGUCUGAAAAGUCGACAGCCUUCUUUUUUUGAUCACUCAACUUAUGCAUGCAAAAUUUUUUGACUCAGCUUAAUGUGUUUUACAACCAAUUUGAAUUUAACUUUUGACUUGUGCAAAAUAAGAUACAUAUAAGUCCCUCCAAACAAACAGUAAUGUUCCACGUUUCUACCAACCAUCCUCUUCGAAAGCUUUAACCAAAAUUAUCUCCUCAAGGAUGGUAGAAACAGAUAUGUAGCCCUAACAACUUCUAUUAAACAUUACAACAGGUAUUGCAAACAAGAAACUGUGAAAAUGUUCAAUAUUCUACCAGAAGCAUAAGAAGAAUGAAACUUUCUUAAGAUGCUAGUCUUAAAGGAAAUGAUCAAGAAAUGUUUCAUUUCAAAAAUACCUGCAAGUUAACCACGCCAGCAAAGAAGUUCCUCAUGCUGUGCCCACCAGAUACAUCAAUCCUACAAAAACACAAUAUCCAAUAAAGAAUUUAAGAAAACCUAAUAGCUGCAGAGAUGAGAAAAUGGAACUUCGACACAAGAAAAGAGUGAAUCAAGAAAUUUGACAUUACGAAUCCAUAAACAAUCCAGCAUCGCUCAGGCACUUCACUUUAGUACUUGAUGGAAACAACUCACGGAAUUCAUCACAGUGCAAUAUAGAAGCUAGACCACCAGCAGAGCAUCCUGAAAGAAGGGCCUGAAACAUAACUAAGAAUUAGAAAAUAUAGAAGACCAUAGGAUAUCAGAAAGGAAUGUGCAAUAAGAUAACAUUCCAAACCAAUACCCUGUCAGCAGAGUGCAUUCCCUUUGACAUCAAAUCUUCCAUUGCAGCAUGCCAAAUUCGUUGCCCUCUAAACUGCAGCUGUGCAACCUGAAUGAAGAUAAGAUUGUUACUUGUAUAAAUUACGAACUUCCACCCACUUGUCACAAAAACUGAAGAAUGAUUACACGAUUCCUGUCACAAGAAGAAUGUUUAAACCAUGUAGCAUGAAAAGCCCCAAAAGGGGUGUAAACUUCAUUUGGCUUAAAAUCAACUAUGCAAGCAAUUCUCCAAGUCAAACACACAAGGUGCCUUCAAUAGCAGUGGUUAACGAACUCCUCCCUCUGGUUAGUCAGCAAGCUCAUAGUAAUGAAAUACAGGGUGAACAUUGCUUGUAAAGGAAGUCCAAGGCAAACAUUUUAGGUACUUUAGGCAUUAGAAAAUGAUUAGCAGAAAGCAAGUCUUAGUGGGAAUACCAAGUACGUCUGUGCAAUUUCAAAACUUAGUUUUUUGUUCUAGUUCAUUGGUUUACUUGAGUAGUCCGCACAUGUAGCAAUAUCGAAGAAAAAAAAAUUGAAGACAAACAUGCGAUCACCCACCUUAUCUUCACCUUCCCCUGCGAAAGAAGCUCCAUCGCAAUAACGAACCUUUAUUCUGUUCCAAUUAAAAAAGUCUGCAAAUGAACCAAUUAGUAAGAACCAAGCAACAACAUUUAAUCCAUGGAAUGUAAAGCAAGGGCAAAGAAACAUAGUAGAGAAUACAAAGCAGUAAGUAUAUCUCGUGCAAAAUUUUGGAUGAAAACCUGGAUUUUCUUCUGGUUUAUUGCUGAGUAUUCCUGUAAAAGGUAUCUGCUUUUCCAUAUGUGUUGAAGAUCCACGUCUUGUUGUUUUCCUGUAAACACAUGAUCUAAUGGAGUUGCACCAUCCUCCACCCUGCCACAAAAUCUUGAAAAUUCAGAAUGUGGUCUAACAACAGUGUCAACAUGCCGGGAGUAUUGCAGCAUACAAGCAACUAAGCAUCCAAGAUCCCAGAUAACAUCUAAAGAAUAAUAACAAAGAAUUUGCUCCUCUUGUAUUUUUGAGUGAAAGAAGAGUGUACAUUUAUACACCCCUAGCUUGCUGCAGAACACUAAAUAAUUGUAACUGAAAAUGGGUAUCACAAUAUUUUGGAUAAUUCCUGUAACUGGGAAGAAGAUGGAGAGAGUAAAACAGUUGGAAAAAACACAAUUGAAGCAUUAGUCUAGUUUAGAAAACAGAAGAUGCCGCACAACCUGAUGGAGUCUAUUUUAGGCUGAUAAUUAUUUGUCAUUGAGACAAACAAAAUCAACAGAAAUAAACAUUUAUAGACCUGAAAUUUUAACAUUUUUAGGAAUCCAUUACUGUAUCUAAAUAAUAAGAUGUCUGACGAACCUCCAAUUGAAUAAGCCAACUGUUUGCCCCUGAUCCAAAUCCGCGAUGAAUGUGAUAACCGGGUAGCGUUCCAUCCAAGCACACUGCAAGAGUGAAAUACAAGAAAAUUCUUCCCAGUCACAUCGCUACUGCUACAAAUUACCUCUUCUCAAGAAGUGCCUCAACACAUUCUCCAAAACUGAACCUCAGUUUCAGUAAUAAAUUUACAAUAUAUUUCCAAUGGUAAAGAGUUUUAAUCUUCAAAUUUGUGUUUGGAUUGCUGAAUCAUCAUGAAUAAUAUUUCGUUUGUAUCAUAAACACAUUUUUUAAUCCACCUUGUUAUAUUCUCAAUUACUUUUUUAUCUCACAUAUAUCACAUCACAAAAAGUACUACAGUAAUUAUUUCAAAUAAUAUUCUGGCCAAACACACAUAAUCGCCCACUGUUUAUGAAAACAGCCCAAAAUCAAAUUUCAAGAAAUUACGAAACGUGUUCAAAAUGAAUACGUAUAGUCCAACAACAGAAAAAUUGAUGUGAAUAAUGACAUCUAUCUGCUCACCAGUCACCAGCCACCAGUCACCAUCAUCUCAUCUACUACCGAGACUCAUAUCUUGAAAUGCGUCAUGGUAAUAGUAAUAAAUAAACAAGAAGACAAAAACCUCUUCAUCAUGUCACUUUACUAACUUUCGAGCCAAAACAAGUGGAAAAUCAUAUCAACAAAGGAAAAACAGAUUUUGAGACCAAUAAUAACAAAAAUAACAAAUGAAAACAGAUUUUGAGACCAAUAAUCUGGAAAGAAAGAAUCACAUUACAAUAACCUGACUUAAGAUGGAUAAUCUAGCAGAUAAUAGCAAAGUCGGAGAUCUAGAAAACAUAUCUACUUACCCAAAAAGAAAAAUCCUAACUGGGAAAAGAAUAAUAAGAAUGCAUUAUUGCAUUAAUCAAUUUCAGCUUAUAGCAUAUAUGCUUGAGGAAAAAAACCAACAAUCAAUCCGUCACAAAUAUGAAUAAGGACAUAUUUAAAUGUAAAAACAGUAAAGUUUCGUGCUUUAUACUCAAUUAAGACUUCCAAACCAGAGAAGCAAGGAUAAAAACAUAAUCUAAGAAAGAAAAAAAAAACCAUAACAAGGAAACUUGUACCAGCCCCUUGAGCAGCAGCUCCUCGAAUAAGGGUAAGGCCAACCAUGAGAGGCUUAGGAGCAGCAUAACCAUGUCCAGACUCCAGGAAUGAUGAUAAAUUCUCAGUUCUGUUGUAAAACAGCUCAUCAAAUUCAAAACUUUCUACACCCCACCCGCUAAAACCAAGCCCAACAACAAAUAUCACCACACCCCACAAUCCCAUGAGCUGCUGAUUCCCCAUGGCUCUAACUCUCAAGCUCUAAAACUCUUUCUUUUUUCGUUUUCUGCACUACCCAAAUCUUGUAAAAUAAAUAAAUUUAAAGAAAUGGUUUUAGCAAACUUGUGUGCUUUUUUUUUUGCUACUUUGCUUUACAAUUUGGAGCUCUAAAUGUCGAAAUUUAUGUACCAAUCACAAUGACAAAUGUGUCAUGUAAUGGGAAAAGAUUUUGACAAUCUUUUUACAAGGAAAGAAUAAGAAGAUAAUUUAUAGUAAAAUUUUCCACCUUCCAGGACAGGGGAGGUGGGGACAAGGGACGGGAGGACAGAGAUUUGGUAUGUGCUAUGGGGGCUUUUUGGGUGUGGGGGGGAGUGUGUAUGCCUGUCACGGAUCUAAGGAAGAAUGACUAUGUAUAGGGGAGUGAGCAGUGGAGAUAUGUUUUGUGGGGCUAGAAAAAAAAUUUUAACUAUUUGUGCAUGAGAAUAAUUUUUUGAUGUUCUAAGAGUGUAAGGUGAAGACAAGAAUAUUUAGGGAAGGUUUUUUAAUUUCGUCUUUGCCCAUUUGAGUUCUUCCUAUAAAUUUAGUUUGUUAUUAUUAUUAAAUGUCUAUUGGAGAAAUAUGACUUUAUGGAAUUUCCUUAUUUGAAGUGAAAAGGAAUACCUGUACGUUAUUUUAUUACCACAACGUUUAGUAAGAAUGUCACAUGCAAUGGAAAAAGUGCUAAAUAUGCCAAUUUAAGUCCGUCUUUAAAUUCCGAAAUUUCAACCUUAACUAUUAAACCAAAAUUUUCUCGACUAAAUUAAAGAAUUUUUAUAUAUAACAGUCCCAAUGAACUAUAAUGAAACCUUUGAAGAACUCUAUUAUUUCCUUACUUUGGUUCUUUUUUUUUUGUUGCUAAAUUUAUACUCACGACUUUGACGUGAGGAAUAGGAAAGUUUAUUACUACAUAAUCUCUUUGGGUUGGGAGAAAAAUGUAGGACUUCUUAUUGUCGUUUGAUGGGGCGAAAGAGGCGGUGUAACAUACUAAUUUUGUUCUUCGACACUCCGCCGACGAGAAUUGAACCACCAUCGGACCAGACGAGUGCACUACACACCCGUCUAGAUUUAAAAAGCCACACUUGUAGUAAUUAGUGUGAGACAAGUUUUGAACCUUUAACUCCCAUCCCACCGAGCCUUAAAGGCUUGAUGGUGGCAUACUAAUUAAAUAGAGGAGUUGUGUAACAUGCUAAUUACUUGCCAAAAUAUUAAAGAAGUCAUGGGGCGUCAUUUUGUUUCACAUUCCGUGGCCAAUUAGUGCGUCUUUGAAUUGAAAAUUUAAGUUAAUUUAACCGUUAAAGAAUCUAUUUCACUUGAUACAUUUGUUAUUCUUAUUAUACCUAUCUAUCACUUUAAACUUUUUGUCCCGAAAUUAUCAUUUGUCCCAUCUAUCCCGCGCAUUGAUAUAUUGAUAACUCAAGUAGAUUCGCUUGAGUUAUAAAUGCAUUAUUACAUAUGACAGCUGUAUAAAUACGAAACAAAAGGACAUUUUAUGUUAAUUUUGGAAAAUUAUAGUGAGGUUUGUAAGGAGAUAUGACCCAUAUACAUGCCUCGUUUGUAAUGGAAAGUUCUUAAUUUCAUUUUUCCUCAUCAACAGUAUUAGGUCAUGACCUUAGGAUGUAGAAAUCUUGGAUUCAAAUCCUUGUAUAGAUCUUAGAUUCAAAUUCAUCUUCUCUUUUCUAGCUUCUUAAAUUUCAUUGAUCUUUUAUUAGAAAAAGAUUAGCUCAUGGCUCUUUCCAAAAAUGAGAAGCAUUUCAAAAGGAAUUAGGACCAAAUUGCAAAAUUUUGAAUAUAUAUUGAGGAGCAAAAUGCAUCAAUUUAUACUCGAGGAACAAUUCGUGCAACUUUUCUAUCUAAAAAGAUGCAACCAAAGGAUUAUUUUAAACUUCUAUAUCACAAAAUUACACUAGUGAACCCACUUAAAAAGACAAGUCCUUAGUCAUCCGUAUAUUGCUCAAAUACAUCAAAAGGUGCUGGAGAAGGAUUGGUUAAGUCGAAAGGUAAGAGAUUCUGCAUUAAAACCCUCUCGCCUAUCAUAUAAAAAUAUUAUUGGCUUUCAAUUUCGAUAGAUAAUUAGAUGCUACAUGGAAAAACAUUUCCAAAAAAUUUUUAAAUAUACUUUUCAACCAUCAUUUUAGUUUUUAGUAAUUAUUUUAUCUCACAAAUAUCAUAUACAUCAUAUAAAAAAGUGAUACAAUAAAUUAAAAAAAGUUAUCGAAAAUUAUUUUCAAUCUUAACGCACUCGUCAUUCUAGUGGAGAAUAUGAAGCAUGGAUGACAUCAUCGUCUUUCUUUUGCAAGAACCAGAAAAAUCAAUAUAAAAAAGGCAGAAAUUGAGCGGUGGAAGUGUAAGUGGGAUAAAGGGGAACGAAAUGCCGCUAGCUAGCUGUCCGAUCUGGAAAGGACCUCAUGAUUAUUAUCACCACAAAUUGCCGUCACACCACCAUUUUGAUUUUGAUAUUCACGUUAUCAUGAAUUUUUGUGAUUGAUAUGCUACUAGUACAUGUUAAGAGUUGGGGGGUCUAAGGGGUAUUUCGAAAUUAUCCACACUAAACCAUCCAGUGGGGCAGAGUUUCGUCCCAAAGAUACCCAACAAUAGUAAUACGUGAGGAUCGAAUUUGGGAUCUUACUGUAACUAUAGACGAUCAGUCCCAGCGGACCUACUCAUGGGGGCCUUCUAUUUAUAAUCCACUUGAUAAUUUAUUUUGGCUCAUUUGAUAGUAAUUUAUGGACAUCUUACGUACAAGAAAUUUAGUAGAUUUAAGUUUGAAUAAAUAUUAUAUACAUUGAGUGUAUGCAUUUUUACGAUUAAAUGCAUGAAACAUAUAUAAAAUUUUAUUAUCAAUAGUUAGAUAAGCGAUUUAUUUGGAAGGAAGGAAGAAAUUGGAUAAUUUGGAAGGUCGGAGUAUAAACGGAGAUCUCAAAUUUGAGCGUGUUACGAACUUCCGAUUCUUCAAAGUACAUUAGUACAUAAUCAAACAUGAUAUAUCCCCACUUUUUGGCUGGAUAACCUUUUAAUUCCCGCGACCAUAAAAUGUGAUGCGGUGUUGGUUUACAUUUUCCACAAAUCUUAAAGCCUGUCUGGACUGUUGUUUUUAGAAAUUUUUAUAGAAAAUGUACUGUAACAAUUGGAUAUAUGUAAGAUAAGAAAGUAAUACAAAAAUAUGUUCAUAAAAAUCGUAAUUUUUUUUUUCAGAAAAUGACGAUCGAAAAAUAUUAAAAAGCUGAAACAGCAGAAGCAUGUGUCGUGUUUUUGUGUUUCCCCGUGACUUGCGGUUUCGGUUGUAGUCAUUGUUGUCACAUGAAUUUUUCUUCGUCCUUUAAUUGCAAAGCAAACCAAACUUACGGGUGGCUUUAAGACUAGGAAUCCGUUUGGAUUGUUUACUUUUUUGAAAUUUUUAAAAAAAUAAUAAUAAUUGAAAUAAUUUGAUGUAUAUGAGAUAAAAAAAUAUUAAAAAAUAUAUUUACAAAAAAUAUAAAAAAUUUUUAAUAAAAAAUUUAAUGAGUUACGUGAAACUUAGUUCAACUUAUGAACAAAUGAGUUUUGCUUUUAACCAAAAAUAAGUAAAUAAAAACUUACAACCAGAUAAUUAACGCUCUUUUUCCUUUUAAGUUCUAUGAAAUAUUUGAUAGAUAUUUAUGAAAAAUUCUAGAAUAAUUAUAAGAGUCGAGUUGAAAUGAGGUGGGUAUUGGAUGAAUUGCAACAAAAUGUUCAAUUUUCGUCUAUUACGGUUGCAAAUCACGAUCAAAUUAGGAUGGAAAUUUGGAAUGAAUGUUUUCAUAUUGACGAUUAUCUGUAACAAAUUUAUUUUUCAUCCAUUUUUCAAUCUCAUAUAUAUAUUAUUAUAAAAAGUGCUACAAUAUUUAUUUCUAAAAAAUCCUCUAUGACAUAUUUAGUUGACAUUUAUAUUAAAGUGAGACGCAUGGGAGAUGAGUCGAUUUCGACGAAUUGUGGCCAAUUGAAUUGAGAUUUUUGAGAGUUGCGACAAGCUUUCCAAAAUACUAACCGUCGUGAAGUGUAUGGUUCCAAUGUUUUUGAAUCAAAAUUAUUGUUUCUUCUCCAAGAAAUACAUAUUAUGGGGGAAGGAGUGAGCAACAUAAAGUAUUCAGUAGACAAUUUUGUAUGGAUAAAGUAUUAUUCCAAAUAAUUAUUUGGAAUAAUUAGUAUAACACUUUUUAUGAUAUGAUGUAUGUGAGAUAAAAAGGUGUAUUAGAAAAUGUGUUUAUGAUGCAAGCGAAAUUUUUUUUUGGAAAAAUUGGCAAUCCAUACAAAAGAAAAUAAAAAAAAGAGCACAAAGAUCCCAUAAUUAUUGAAGUAAUAGAAACAAACUACAAUUGAACAAUAGUAUAAGCUAUUUCACAAAUUGCCUACAAUUCAAAUCAUGGAGUAAAUACUAACAUAAAGUUAAAAAAAAAAGUUGCAAAUAUAUCGAGACUUGAACUAAACCUCUCGAAUUUUGCAAAGUUUUUUUUUUUCCCCUUCUAAGGCCUUGUUUGGAUUGCGGUUUUCCGUCGGAAAAUUACGUCGUUUUCCGUGAUCACAUUUCCCUAUUACCUUUUUUCCUCACAUAUAUCAAAUCGCUACAGUAAUUUUUUCAUGAAAAAUCAUGGAAAAUGCAAUUCAAACACGACCUAAGUAUUGGAAUAAUAAAAUGACUCAAUUGGUCCAAUUGAUUGAUAACCUGGUCAACUCGAGAAUCUUCUAGCCUCGGGGAUUUAAUCAUUAGAUUUGAAGGAGAAAAUUGAAAAGCAACUUAGUUCAAUCCUCAUGUUUUCUUUCGUCAGCUGUGAUGAGCAUUGCCCUUGAAAAGUAAUUAAUUAAUGAACUUUGGGGAGGGGGCAACAUUUAUUAGAUACAGAGUGAAAUGAUUCGCAGUUUGUCCUCAGAUUUGGCCAACAUGACCUGAAUUAUUGUUAUUGCUGCUGCCCCCACACCUAUACGUUAAACGACUUAUCUGAUGACAGAUAAUUCAACUAGGUAAAUCAGACUUUUUCAUUUGCUUUUUUUUUUUAAUAAAAAAAAGAUAAUUUUAUUCCAGUAUCUACACUAAUGACAGCAAGUAGAUCAAAUAUGAUGCAGAUCCAUAUAUAUAUAUAUAUAUAUCAAAAUCAAAUUAUACAAAAUUUAGAUUUAACUUCCUGAUUUUAUUUUUGAGAUCUUCCAAAUCUUUAAUUUCAUCAAUUGAAAAAAGACGAAUAACCAAAAAAAAAAAAACUCUCACAAGAAUAUUCUAGGACAAAAUUAAACUCUAAGAAGAAUGUUUCAGUAGAAAAUCCUAAGAGAGAAUAAUCUCUCGUUAGAAAAUCUUAAAAGAGAAUUUACUUAAAGAAGGAAAUAAAACUAGGAAAAGAGCCUCCUCCUACAAGGCAAGAUCAAAUUGUCUAGUCUCUCUCCCAUGUAGAGUCAAGUGAGAUAUUAGCUGGAAGAGUAUUAAAAAGAAGAAGAAAGGUUGAGUUCUAGAGAGAAGGAAGAAAAUUUCCCACUUACUUUUUUAAAAGAGCUAAUUUCUCCCAUUUACUUUCAAUUGACUAUCAUAUUCCAAAAAUUUCUUUAGCUUAGACUUCUUAGCAUGCUUUGAUUUCUUACGUUUACUAUCAAUUGACCGUCAUAUUCCAAAAAUUUCUUUAACUAGACUUCUUGGUAUACUUUGAUUUCUUCCCUUUACUAUCAAUUGACGAUCAUAUUCCAAAAAUUUCUUUAACUACCACUUUUGGGUAAUAGACUCCGUCAUCACUUUUGCAUAUAUAUAAAUGGCAUAAUUUUUUUUAAGGUUUAAUUUUUCCUACACUGACAGUGUAUACACUAUCAGCGUUGAAUGAUUGAUAACUAUAUAAAAUUUGAAUUUAAAAUUCAACUUUUACACACAUGUUAUGAAUCCAAUGAUAAUAGUGUAUACACCGUCAGUGUAGAAAAGAUUUACUUUUUUUUAAAUCUCUCAAAUUAAAAUUUCCACCUGUACAUGAUAUGAAUCGAUGCUGGAUUUUCUGUGUAAUCUCAAAAUCAGUCUUGUACGUCUCAUAUUUUGUAAUGUGCACGCAUUUGCACAAAUAUCUUCAAUAUCUUCGCCCGCCCCUUGCGGAGAAAAGGGCAGGGCACUAUUCAUGACAAGCACAAAAGCAGGGCACCAUUGCAUUCAGGGACGUGCUUGGUCUAUCUAAAACAGUAGAUGUUACCCUUGAACUUUCUAGGACUCGGGGCAGGGACGGUUGCAGGUGCAACCGUCACUGCCAAUUUUAGCUCAUUUCAACUGCGCGUAACAUUGGUUCAACUGCGCGUAACUUUUUUUUCACAGGAUGUAUUUUCACAACAGAUAGUGGUGGGCCCCACACUUGGCGCGAAUUUCGAGUUACAUGGUGUUAUUUCAGCCGCACAAAAUUUUGAGGGCCAAUUUUCAGCCGCACAAAUUUUUAACCGUGCAGGGACGGUCAUGAUGACCGUCCCUGCCCCAAAUCCAACUUUCUAAGCCCUAUUUAAUUUGCCCCGUCUGAUUCUUGGUCUUUUCCCACAAACAAAAGAUGAAAUCCUUUGGUAAACUCGUCAAUCCUAAAGUAAAUUUCGGUUUUAUAGAAUAAAAUGGGAAUCAAUGGCCCCUUAGCCUGUUGGCCACUUAAAUGUCUUGGUGGGGCUAGAGGUCAAGUCAAGCAUUCCAUCAUUGCUUCCCAUGGCUUGCCAUUGAUAGGUGAUCUCUCCAAAUUCAAAUUAAACGGAUGUGUGAUACAGUCAUCUGAUUUAAUAGUAGUUCAGUUCUCGUCAAUUUUUUUUUUAGUCCAGUUGAAUCAUUCGUUAAAUAGAUUAGUGUAGAAAUAGAACAUAUAGUAAUAUAAAAAUUAUUGAUUAACAGAAAAAAAAAAGAAUAAAGUGGGUACAAGAUAACCCUCUUUUUCCUUUCCUUCCGAAGAGUGCAAGGACAAAGGAAAAGAGAAAGGACCAGGAAUGAUAGCUAGACAAAAAUUUUUUGAUAGUGUAAGUGGCAACCCAUCCUUUUUUUUUUUUUUUUGUUUUGUCAAUACAGGAAAUAUCCAACUUUACUGGACUAAUCUUCUUGUGCUUGUGCAUCCCGCCUUCCAAAAAUACACAAUAUGAUAUGAGAGGUAACUCGAACACUCUACCUCAAGACCUAAAGAGAUUAUCCCGAGACCAUCCGAGCCAAUUCCAAGGUACGGCAGCUUAUCCUCUCGCUUAGACAAAUUUAUGCCUUGGUAGAAAAGAAAAAGAGCCGAACCAAUUGGAAGGAGUAUUAAAUAGUAAUAAUAUAACAGAACUGAAAAUGUAUUUUUACCAAAUAUCUUUCUGCUCUUGAUAUGCUUAGUUUUAUCCUGCCGACAAACACAAUAGCUAGGCCAAUGCCACAUGAUUUAAGCAUCCAGAAACCUGUGGCAUGAGCUCAUUCUCGAGUUUAAAACUAUCAUGACUUCCAUAAAGAAGCUGGACCGAUCGAAAUAAACAAAAAGCACUUUCCUUUUCAUGGAUGUUUACUCUUUAAGGCUUUUGAGCUGUACCACUUUGUUCUUGUUUCCAUGGAGAGGCCCCCUCGAUAGCUACCGUAGUCCCAUUAGUCAAUAGCAAAAUGGAUUGCAUGAGAUAUUCGAAUACAUAAAAUUGGAUAGUGAAAUUAUUCCACGCUUGCAUCAUAAAUAUUUUUUCCAAUCCAACUUUUUAUAUUUCCAAUCACCUUUUUAUCUCACAUACAUCACAUCACAAGAAGUGCUAUAGUACUUAUUCUAAAUAAUAUUUCAAAUAAUAGUCUAUCCAAACAAAUUGUUUGAAUUGCUAUUUUUAAAAGUUUUUUUUUUCAAUUGUUCACUUAUUAACGGUACAGAAAAUUUAGAUGUUCUCAUAUUACCAACAAAGGAAAUUUUAAGUAAUCCCUUUGUUGGAAAGAAAUUUUUUUUUUUACAUUGUAAAUUCAUUUUCAAUUUUUUUUACCACCUUCAUAUCACAAGUAGUGCUCUAGUAUUAUUCUACAAAAAAAAGUUCUAAAUAAUCUUCUAUACAAACGCACUAUUCAUUAUUCAUAUUAUUUGCAAGAACAAAAUUAGAUAUUUAAGCAGAGUUUUGCGAAAUUAACUACACAUUUUUCUAAGUUUAUAGCAAAUAAUAUCAAACACCGUGACAAAUUAUAAUACUAUAUUCAUCCCGAAACUGAUAAAACCUAAUACAGUGUACCCAUAUUAUUUCGUUAGGUUUUGUUUUGCGUCAAACAAGUUGUUGGUGUUGGUAAUGAAGUGACACAAUUCAUGUCGUCAAAAUCACGAAAAGCAACCACUAAUGCACUACUGCCUAGUCAAAAUGUGAAAUUAUACUUGCACCCCCUUUUUUAUCUAAUAUCAAAGGGAAAUAAAGGUUAUCUUAGUUGCAUUUACAAAUAAUUGCCUAAAAAAGGAUAGGUUUAUGCUUCUAGCCAUCCUUUUUUUUUUUUAAUGAAAAAAGAAGAAAGAGAGCACAACACAAAAUAUAGAAUAUACUAAUAAAACGCCCUACACAUGUUGGUUCAGUUGGUAAAAAUAUGUCAGUUCCUCAUAAAAGAUCGUAUAUUCAAAUUUUGUUGCUGAUGUGAGAAUUGUAAUAUUGAUAAGUAAUCUAUAAGUAUUUUUAUAAGUGACUUAUAGUUUCAAGAAAUAUAAUCUAAGGGUAUGUUCUACUGUGGUGGUGGUGGUUGGAGUUCAAACCAUCUAAAUUUUCAAUUAAAACAAGUAGAAUAUACUAGUCUUAUAAAAGUAGAACUGUUAAAUAAACUAGCAACUUGUGAGCUCAGCUCGACUCGAAUUGUAUGAGUUUGAGUUUGGCUCGUUGGUUUAAUUAAACAAGCUGAGGUCAAACAUCAAAUUAGGCUGAUUUUCUAAACGAGUCAAGCUUGGUUCGACUCGCAAAUAGUUCAUUUAAGUUCGUCUAGACUCGUUUAUACAUUUAUUCAAGGUAGUAUUACUAAUUUUCUUAAUAAUUAUGUAGAUUUAUCUUGUCUUGAUUGUUUAGGAUUUUGUUUUGUUUAAAUAUUGGGAAUCUACUUAUAUUUGGUGAAAAUUUUCUCAUUCAAUAUGCAAACUAAAUUGAUUAUAUUUUUUGAAUUCCAAAGUUAUAUAAGAUAUUUCAACACAUUUAAGUUUUUUUUUUUGAGUUCAAGCCCGUUUGAGCUUGGCUCAUUUGUGUCAUAUAAGUUGAGCUCGGGAUAAUUAUAAUGAACUAUUCGAACACAAUUUUUGACUCGUUACACAAAUGAGCUGAUCUUGAAUGCCAAAAGUUCGCCUCAACUCGACUUGUCAACAGCUCUACUUAGAUCGGCUCUACGUGAAAGUGACUCAGAAAAUGAGUGUUGUGACUUGUGAAAAUAAAAGGAAAAAAAAGGAGAAGAGUGCUGUGAGUUGUGAGGAAUGAAUCGCUUGAGGACCCGGCCGAAGGAAUUCGUGGUCCCAUAGUCACAUGCAUUUUGAUUACUUUUUUUUUUGGGCGUCAUAUUAUGUGGGUCUGUCUCAGUCAUCGCAGUGGUUUACACUUCGGACUGUUGUCGUCCACCCGUCCUUAUUAAUUUUUUAAUGGGCCAGUCGUCUCCACUGUUUUAUUAAUCUGAAUGAAAGAAAUUAGUCAGCAUAAGACAUCGACGUCAUACGUAAAAUGGGAUCCAAUAAUGAGAUUCUGGAUCGUGUGAUUUUGUCAACGUCGGUGAAGUUAUUCUUUGACCAAUUAAAAAUUACAACAAAAUUAUUAAGGAUUAAUCAUCUAUCUAUUGUACACUGACAAUAUAUAUACUUUCACUAUUGAAUAUAUAACAAAUAAUUUAAAUUUAAAUUUAAAAUCUAAAUUUUGCAUAUGGAUCGUACAUUUAAAUUUAAAAUCAAUCAUUAAAAUUUAUUCAAUUAUUAAUUGGCCUUAUUUGAAUUAUAGCUUUUCUCCAAAAAAAUUUUGAUUUUUUAUUAAUUAUCUUUUUACCUCACAUAUAUCAGAUCGGUAUAAUAUAUUUUUUCUACACAAAAGGAAAAUAAAACUCAGUGAAUCAGCACAGCUUUUAACCAUUUUGCACUACAACAUUUGUUUUCCAACUCGCGGCCUCUAUAACCGGCAAAAUAUUAAUAUGUUCGGAAUGAGUUACCUUUUAAAAAAAAAAAAAUGAUGAAUUUAAAAAUUUAUCCCCUGCCAAGAAAGGCGUCACUUCUAGUUUCAUGCUAACAAGAAGGAUUAUCCGUGAAGAAACACCUAUACCAGUUCGUAUAGCCGAAAAAGGAUUUGCAAUUUUGAAGCGGAGGUCUCAAAAAGUAGGAGGCUGGAACCUAAAAAUAACAAGAUGAUGGUUCUGAGAAAACAUUCCUAAUUUUUGUUUUGUCAACCGAAACUAGUCUAUCUUAUGCUUACUCCUACUCUAGCCUAUAUCAAGGGGGAGGGAUUAACCGGACAAUGAGAAAAUCGACAGGGACUAAAUCACUAUUAGAUCAGACAGGUAUACUACACACCCGUAUGAAUUUAAACCAUUUAGAGUGGCAGUCACGUGUAAUGGCAAGCGGUGGGAGGCUAUGGUGAUGGCCAAUAAUUGAUUACAAAAAAGUUACAUCAAAGAGUACAGAUGAUGAUCAUUGGAGGAACUUAGUCACAUGGUAUAUGUAAUGUUACACUGCCUUUGCUACGUAAAAAUGAAUCAAAUAAAAGGCAAGAUAAUGAUAGGAAAUUAUUUUUAUUACAUCAUAAAUACGUCUUCAAUCAUAUUAUGUCACGUACAUUAUAUUAAUAAAAAUCGAAACGCUAUUGUUUUAAAGAAAAUUUGCUAAUAAUCUUAUAUCCAAACACUUGAGAGCAUAACAAUCUAAAAUCAGAUGAACAUGCAUGUUGCUUGAUACCCCAUAUGGAUAAGAAAUUCACCAAGAAAUAAUUAAAGGUCUCCCAACUCUCAUGUUAGAUUCCAAAAGGAAACCAAAAAAAAAAAAAUAUGAAUAAAUUAAUAUUAAAGCGAGCAAUACAUGUAUAAAGACUUGCCACAUUAAGGUCGAAUAGAACUGGCAUAGGGCAACGUAUUCAAUUUUGAGCUUCUUGUUUUCAAAUUUUUUUUUUGGUCAAUUGUCAUUUGUAUUCAUGAAUAUUUGAAAUCUUACGUCAGUAAGUACAUUAAUGGCAAUGGCCGAGCAAAGACCCUAAGGUAAUAUAUAGGAUGCAGUAAUAGUGAAUUAAAUUAAAUGAAAGUCUAUGUAAAACAUACAUUUCUUUACUAUAUAAAAUAUGUUUUUAAGUCUAGUUAUGCCUGGUGGAUGUGAUUAUAAUAGUAAUUAGUGGAUGAAAGCCCAACAGGUAUCAUAUCAUAGAGUUAGAUAUGAACAUAAUUCAAUCCAUUGACGCUUAGAUUUGGACGCCUGAGACUUUUGACAGAGACAAGAAAUUAAUAUGGGAGGGAUCAACUGUACGAGCUCAGACAGACAAAAUCAAGAAGCAUGCUUGGAUUAAGUAUUACUCCUCUGAAAUUUAUUAACAGCAAUGUUCCAUUAAUUCUCGGGUACUUGUCAGGUCCAUCUCCGUGGCUAAUUUAUGGCUUUUCUGUCGGUGGAAUCCGAAUGUCUCGCGUGAUUUACCCUUCACAGGAAUCACAACAGUGAACAAUUGUUUUUUUUUUUUUUAGUGUAAGCAAGAGGACUCGAACCCGAGGCCUCACGCUUACACUUCCUACUCCUCCCGUACCACCCAAUCCAUCCCUCCCCUCACAGCGAACAAUUGCUUGUUUGUUGCUGAUCAGGAAACUUAGACUUUAUUUGUUAAAGGGUUUAAAUUUUAACAUGUUCAUGGAAACUUAGACUUGUUUGAUAAUUUAACUUAGCACUUAAAUUUAAUGGAUUCAGAUUUUAACAUGUUCAGAUGAACAUGUGUUCAGAUACGUUUGAUAACAAAAUUAGAAUAUAUGAAUUUAUGAAGUGACACUGAAUUUUCUAAACAAAUUUAUUCCAAAAGAUAAGCGCUAAGCUAUUAUUCACUUAUUACUUAACGUGAUAUAUAUACUCAAAUGUAUCAUAUUUAAUACUCACCAAUUUAGUAAUAAAUUAAUGAAUUCAGAGUUCAUAUUUCAAUCUCAGUUUUAUCAAAUACACCCUUUAGUAUAUUACAUUGAGUGGCUUUGUUCUUCUGACGCAUUGCUAUGCACUUGCAUUUAUAGCAAAAGUUCAUGAAGCCCAUUGAUUAGUUGUUAAACAUAUGCACCUUUAAGUAUUGGGUCAAGCACCCAAGCACUUUGGAGCAAAUGAAUUUGGGUAUACCACCGAAUAUGGGACAAGGUUUGUUUCCAAUCAGCCCUUACUACUUCUCGUUGGGCCAACACAUAUAAAAAGAGAGUUUGCAGCUUUUCAAUCAUCACAGUUCAGGCUUCCAAAUCCUACAAGUCCGUGCUAAUUGAGCCACUCCUGAAUCUCAACUCUUUUUGGGUUUUAAUAUCCAAAUUCCAGACAAUGAAAUUGAGCCAUUGAGUUACAAAGUAUUUUCAAUUUUCCUUGAAGUUCAAAAUGAACGGCAAAGUUUUUCUUUUUUUUUUUUUCCCACUCUCAAUAAGAAACCAAUUCAAGGAUCAAGAACACUGGAACAAAAUUUGAUGUUUUAGAGGCCAAAAAUGUAAAAACUUGCAAGUGAUCAAACAAGAAUAAAACUUGCGGGAAAACCGCACAACUUUGCAAUUUGUAUGAUUUGCUCUUAAGUAGUACAAAGUUCCAUUAAUUAAAUUAAAUGGGAUAUCCUGGUCAAAUCCUCAAACAACCACUUUUCCAAAAAUCUAAUUAUGGCCCUAAAUAUAUGUCAACAAGCAUACAAUCAAAACAUACCCCAGAAAAGAAAAACCCAAAAAAAAAAGAAGAAAAAGAGAAAAAAAAAAUUUCAACAUCUUUAGACCUCCUUCAAAUUUUUAAGCAACUAUAUGUACUACGGCAUCUUCUGCCAUUGUCCCGUGCCACAUUUCACCAAAUUAUUUAGCUCUUGCCGUUGGCCUCUUCAGUACUUUUUUCAUCAUUGCCAACGAUUCCAUUUCCAUUUGUUGCUGUUGUUCUUGUCUUCUUGGCUUCAUUCUGAUCAGCCUGAUCAUCAGGUUCCUUGAACAAUGGCACACCGCUUGCAGACAAAGAUUGGGGCGCACACAUAGCGUUAGUGCUCCAGCAGAUACCAUCUGCACUGCUGGAGACAUUUUCCUGUUUGUACUUGUACCAUGAAGCCCAGUACAGAUAAUUGAAGAAAUUGAGGAGGCUCAGAAUGGCCAAGAACCAAAAGAAAUAAUCCAAAUGGUUCUCGUCCAAAAGUUUCCCAUCUAACCAUCCACGUUUGCUAUGUGUUGUCCUCCUCGUAACAGAGUUGAUGAUAUCCACGAAAAUACUGCUCAAGAAAUACCCGAAGGACUGUGUUAGCCAUGUAAAUGAUGUGGACAGCGAUCUCAUCCCCACUGGCGCCUCUUUGUAGAAAAAUUCCAGCAAUCCCACGAGAGUAAACAUGUCUGCAAUGCCGAAAAUCCCAUAUUGAAAUGACAGCCAAACCACAUGUACGGGCUUCCCGUAUGUCAGGUCGUGGUUUUUCCUCUUUACUUCAACAAAUCCAGCUACGGUCAUUGAGACUACUGAGAGAACUAGCCCGACCCCGACACGCUGAAGCUGCGUGACCCCGGAUGGAUGGUUGGUGAUCUUUCGGGCGAAUGGGACGAAGAAGAAUUCGUAGAUGGGGAUCAGGAUGCUUAUGAAAACCAGGGGAAUCACGGGAACUGAUGGUGCGGGUACUUCAAAGGAGCCGAGCAAACGGUUCAUGUAAUAGCCUUGUGUGACUGAGAAGGUUUGGAGUUGCGCCAUACAUGUGUUCAAGAUGAUUGUGCUGGCUAUGAUUGGCAACAUUCUUGUCAGAACCUUAACCUCUUCGACUUGGGUAACUGUGCAAACUGUCCAGGGCGCUGGCUUGGUAUUGCUGUCACGAAGUAUUGCCGCCUUGUCCAGACACCUGAUUCGAUCAAUAAAAUCAAGAAACCAUCAUAUGUUUAGAUAAACCUUAGAGGGAAUACAUACAUAUAUAUACCAGGCUUGCUAGAUUUAUCAUCAGGCAUUAAUCUGACCUGAAUUGUUCAGUGUGCUGAAUCUUUUGAUCUGUUGAAAUUGAUGAUUCUUUGUCCUCUGGCUCGUAAAGUUCUUCGGGGCUACUUGGAUGUUGCAAGCUUCGGUUUUUAAUUGCCACAACUAUAACCUGUAACGCCAAGAGAAGUCAAUUUUUCCAUUAAACAUGACAUAGCCCAGAAACCAAUUAAUUCCCUUUUGCGCUUCAAAUUGUGGCAUUUCUUUAAAAAUUAAAAUUUUAUCUUUUUCCGAUUUUCUUCAAGUGAAUGAAUGAGGAAUAACUUUUGAAAAGAAAAUUGUGGUCCUCAAUGAAAAGUGUAUCUUAAAAGGGCAAAGAAGAAAACAAUCAUUACGGUCAAGUAGCACGUAUAACAUUAAUAGUCAUACAUACCCAAUUGUGGAUUUUCAGUCAUGCUUGGCUAAUCUUAGAAAGAAAUAUGCGAAUUGGCUAUAGCAACUCCUCACUUUAAUUAGCUGUUAAUGCAAAAUAGCAGUAUAUUUUAGCCUUUAGGAAUAAGAUAUCCAUGUCUUCACAGUACCAUCCUUUAGAAUUUAGAAAUACUAGCAUUUUACAAAUACGUCAAUGCGAAUUACUAGCAUAUUUUAUCCUUUAGAAAUCCAUGUCAUGCACAGCUCAAAAGCUCAAAUGAUGAACAAAAUUUUAACAUUCAAUUACUAAUUGGUGCAAACAUGAAACAGACUGAAAAUUCAAGGAUUGCAUAUGCAAUUAAAGGUCAGACUGGAAACUGUAAUCAAGAAGUUAGACCCUUUUUUUUUUUUUUUUUCAUUCAAAAUGUGGGGCCGAAUUCAAGAAAUAGUACGAUCAGACUUGAAAAAUAUCUACUAUGAACUGAUUGAUUGCAUAGAAUUGUCUUGAUUCAAAGGACAAAGAAGGACCUGUAUAACUCUUAGGAGGGGGCUAUCUCCUGGAAGUUGAAGGCGGUAGAAAGGCUUGCCCAACACAAGAAAAAUAAAACCAACAAGGGUUGCAAGGAGGGAUAUCAGAAAUCCAGGCCACCAAUGCCUGUUAGUAGCCACCCAAACAAUGAUUGUGACUCCAAUUGUUGCUCCCAAGGUAGAGCUGAGUAAUAGAAAGUUGAAAUAAGUGGCAAGAGCUUUGGAUUCCUUUGGAUCUUUCUGAUUAAACUGGUCCGCACCUAGGGCAGGAAGAGCGCCCCUUACCCCACCUGUGCCCAUUGCUACCAAAGAAAGUGAUGCAUAGAACAUCACUGCUAUUCUACCUGCUAAACAACUUGACUUCCCACAAGGGCUUGGCUGCAAAUCCUUGUAACGAGCUUGAACCGUCAUCAGCAAUAAAGCCUGCAGAUAUUAGAAACGUAGAAGUUCAAGUACAUUGGACUUAACUGUCUCUUAAAUUCUUAAUUUUAAGGAAUCAUAAUUAGUCUCUGAGAGGAAUUUAGAGUUGAAUGGUUAUUGCUGAUCAUGUCAAUUAUCAAUAUGAAGCAAUCAAUGUCUUAUGAAGAGGUAUUAGAAUGGUAGAAACAUACCGCUAAUUCAAAUACUCCAAAAAUCAAACAAGUUUUGAAUCGGUUUAUGUACGUGUCCGAGAUAAAGCCACCAAAAAUGGAAAGCAAGUAAGUUGAACCCAUGAGGUUGGUGACAGUGUUGGCUGCUGCAGACACCUUGAAAUACAUUUGGAGUUGGAAGUACAAGACGAAGCUCACCAUGUUCGCAACAAAACCCAUGUUCUCCAAUGACACCAAGGCUACAUUAUUGUUAAAACGACGCUUAAAAAAUUAGUAAAAAAACAUAGGUCGAUCGAUAACACAAACUAAUUAAGGUUGUCCUAGCUGUAAUUGAUCGCCAUCCCAACUCCCAUGCGUACCAUAAACAAACGAGGCAGCUCUAAAUCCCCCUUUCCCUUUCCCUUUCAUGUUCGAUGAAUCUUGAUCAGACUUCAUAGCAUCCUCCUGUACAGAUCACAUGACACAACACAGAGAAAACUAUGCGAUUAAGAUGAUUAAUAUCCGAUCAUUUAACGAUGGCAUUCGUGUCCCUCAUUAGAGAUUGGAAGGAGAAGAAGACUCACCAUGGCUGCUAGGACUUGGUUGAGUUUUUUCACUUAGCAGUUAGAGAGAGACCAACUGCUGGUGGGAUUUGUGGUGAUGGUGUUGGCAGGAGGGAAAUGCAUGUGUUUUUGAACGUAUGCUAACUUAUAAUAAGGCUAAAGGGAGCUUUGUAUAUAACGUUCGAGUUGGACGUGCAUCAAAGUGAUUGCUAGCUAGCUCUUCCUUGUUUUCACAUUCUCUCCAGUCUUUUCUUUCUUUUUCUUUCUUUUUUAUUUCUCUCUCUCCAUGUUCACGAUUCUUUGUUCAUGAUUAAGAUAUGGCUGGCAGCUGAGCUAAGUCCGUUGGUUCACUUUCACAAGAGGCCUCAGUGGAAAAGGGAGAUAGAUAUGUGGGAUGUGGGCACUAGCCACCAAUUACAGUUGUUUGUUUGAUACCCCAUAUCAGGUAUCUUUUUUUUUUUUUAAAUGCUUUCAUUCAAAUAAAGGGAUUUCUUUUAAUUUAUUUUUCUCUGAAACAUUCUCUAUUUGGUCAAAUUUAGGUCCAUCUUCGUCUAAAUCAAUAGUAGCAUUCAACUGAACAGUGAAUAAAUCUAACAGUCUUCGAUUUGUUCAAGUUUUUUUUUUCUCAUUUUGCACUUGUCAAAUUAAUAUUGUCACCUCCAAAUUCAUAAAUGGUGAACAAUCUUAUGUAUAGUCAUAAUUGUAAGAAUGUCCUGAUAAAGAUCGCAAAAUUGUAUGGUCGGAUGAUCUCUCCAAGAUCUCUCAGUACAUAAACUGGAUCUGAUUUCGAUGAAGAAUUGAUGGCCUAACAUGAAGGAACCAAUCCCUUUCCAUACUCAUGUUUGUUCAGCAAUCCCUUUCUCUCCAUUUCUGCUUGGUUUGAUAUUUUGAAGUCAAAAGAUCUUGUCUUCGAUCACAAGAAAAUGACUUGUUUAAAUUUUGUGUAUAAACCGUAACAACUUCUCCCCGAAGUGUAAAAGUAUUUUACACAAGUUCUUUUUACGUUUCUUGCACUAAUUUCAAAAUUUAAGAAAAUCUCUUUGGAUUGGCCUAUUUUUCACAAACUAGAUUUUCAAAUAUAAUGUUACAGUAAUACAUAAACAAAACAAUUCUAAAAGUAUCUAAUCCAUACAAUAUAUUAAAAACAAUUCACAACUAUAUAUAAAAAAAAAAAAUUCUAUCACCCUUUUCUUCUUCCACCUAUCACCACCACCACUUGCCGCCACCGUCACUACCACCUCGUCCCUUCUCUUCUCUUCUCUCCUUCCCCUUCCCCUUCCUUUUCCUCCCCCUCCUCCUUCCCGCCCCUCCUUUCCUCACCUCACCUCAAUCUGGCUGCGAUCUAGUCAUGACUAGAUGCAGAUCUGGUUGGUUGGGACAAGAUUUGCAUCUAGUCACUACUAGAUAAGAUCAGAAUGAGGGAAGAGGAAGGAAGAGAGGUGGGAUUUGCGGGGAAGAGGAAGGGGGGAGGGAGAGAGAAGAGAGAGGAGAAGGGGUUAGUAGCUGUGAUAGGAGGUGGUGAUAUUAUUUUUUAUUUUUAAAAAAUACUCCAAAAGAAAUAUAAAUUCUAAAAGUACCCCAAAAUACAUCUCCACAACACCUCUAAAAACACUUUAAUAACAUACAAUAAAAGUUUUUCACAUGUAUUGUUACAGUAAAAUUUUUUAAAAAUGUUCUAAAAAACAACUAAUCCAUGCAUCCAUACGGGGCCUAUACAUAACAAAAAAAAAAAACACACACACACAAUUUCAUGCGCACAUAUAUACUUAUUUGCACAUAUGCACAGAUGAAACAAAAUGUAUACAUAUUUGCCCUUCAAUGACUUGUGUAGAAUCACAAUAAUAUUAACAUUUUCAGGUCCCUAUUGACUUCCACUCAUAGUCUCAUUCCUCUCCUGUGCAUGUUUGGAUUACAGUUUUCUAGAGAAAAUUUUUUACGUUUUUUGUAAAUAUAUUUUUCAAUCACAUUUUACCUCACAUUUCCCGAUCAAAUAAUUGUUACAAUAUAUGUUUCUAUAAAAACUCGUAAAAAUUUUUCCUUUUUCUUUCAAUGCUAUAGUACUAGGACUAGACAGAAAGAUUUUUGGCCUAGUGGAGUGAGAUGCGUGCACAUAAUUUAAAUCUCUAUUUAUGUAGGAACCAUACCUGUGUGCCAAAACGACACCUAUGUGCGGACAAGGUUAGGGAUGGAUGAAACAUGAGACCCGUUACUGUCAAUAAUUACUCAAACAUUUGAAUGAAGGUAAAGUGAGUAUGAUAUAUGACCAACAACUAUUGGGUGUUCUAGACCAUCCCAAAACCAUCUUUCAUUAUUUGAUAUUGGGACCUUUGAAAGAUCAACAAAACAAACAAGAAAAAAAAUAAGAAAAUUAAAAUAACAAAUCUUGUUUUGUUCUUCAUCCGCGUGAUCCCACCAAAGGAUAUAAGAUUACAUCCUUUUUCUUCGUAUAUUAAUCUAAACUAAUCCUAAAUGCUUGCAAGUGAGUGUUACAUCUUUGCCAUUGCAACAAAUUAAGCUAAUAUAUAAUCUCUAAAUUUUCUCAAGGUUUGAACAUUAGGCGACACAUGACUUGUAUCUCAAUAUUUUCAAUCCAUUGUGCUUUGAAUUUGAAAAGAGUAUUUUGAUCUCUAACACUCAAUUAUUAGAGAAUUUAGUCAGUUGAUCAUGAGAUAAAAUAAUUGAGGCCUAAUUAAAAAAAAAAAAAAUCUUGCACUCCUUGUAAAAUGAACAUUUUAUCUUCUACUACUAAACUUUGUUGGCCUUUUGCGGGAGUUUCUGGCUAUUACUGCAAAGCUACUUGGCAAACUUUGAUUGCUUCCGGGAUACCAUCAACUUUUGCAGCAGGUUGAAUCUUGAAUUUAUAUGCUCAACAUUACUUUUCUUCUUAGAUUUGAAUACCAAGUAUUAAUCAUAGGAUGGUGAUUAUGACAUUUUGUGGGUUUAGUGGGAAGGUUGAUGCCUAAUUUUGUAUGGUGGCUUUGUGAUCAACAAGCUAUCUUUUUGGUAACCAGAAUAAUUUUAAUAUCAGGACCCCCCUACUAAAGAUAUGUCCAAAAAAGACUUGGAAAGGUUUCUAAUUGAAGUCAAAAGGAGAACAAUAGCUGGACAUCGACCAAAUAAUUGAAGAACUAGACCCGCGAUGCAAGAUGCACACAUGCAAUUCAUUUAACCCGGUAAAACGACAUCUUGUAUACCUACGCACGGGUUCUCAACCUGUUGGGAUCCAAACGCGGAAUAUACGACUAGCAAAUUUCCUAACACAACUCUAUUAAUCCGUCAGUCUACGUUCGGCCUCUUGAAAAUUUUCUCCUGUUUCAUGCCAUGUAAGUAGCAAGUCUUGAAAUUCUUCAUCAGAUAUAGUAUUCCGGUCUUUGUGGCUUGCCCCAGUAGCCAAGUUAAACUUGAAUUGAUUGCCUUAUCCAGAUUGUGGAGGAAGGGAUCGUUGUAGUAGGGACAUUUAAGUGCAAUGGAUUUAGCACCUUUAGCGCCCACCUCUACAUGGGAUGUCUAUUGUCACAAAAGCUAUUCCCUAAAGAAGUUGUUUGGGGCCAAAACAUGAGCACAUACAGGAAAAAGCUAAUGAAAUGAAAGGAUGGAGAACUAAAGUUGCUCUUCUUCUCUCAUCACUCUGGACCACCUUCAACCUAAAAUGGAUGUGGUCUUAACCUUUCCUGUAUUAACAAAUCAAAUUAUUAUCCAUUCGUGCAACUAUGCAAGUUGAGCAGUCUCUUUCUUGGGCAAACAGGAAAAAAAGGGCUCUCCUGUAAUCACAGGUAUACAUGCACCUCCUUUUUGUUAGGAUGAUGCUGAUCGAUGUUCAUCUUCUUCUUAAACUAAUAAAUGCAGUAAUCCACAAAUCCCAUUCAAUGGAUCUUUGUGAUUUCGAAUCUAAGGAAGUUGAGAUAUUGAGGUCAAUAGCUAUUUGGUGCUUCAAUAAUUCAAACUCAUAUAUAUUUCUAGAACUUAAAUUACGACACAUUGCACACGUUGUAGUUUUUUAACCCUUCAUUAUGACAGUGUAAAACAAGAUUAUAAGGACGAAAUCAAUUAUAAGAUAAUAGCUAUGUGAGAUAAAAAGGUAAUUGGGAAUGCGUUAAUGGAAAACGCAAAAAUUUUCUAGGGAAAAAUGGCUUUCCAAACAAAGCUAAGUCGUGUCAAAACAUGCAUGAGUGAAAACUAUGUUGUAUACAAUUGAAAGCAAUGACAACAUAUAAAUGAGCAGAUGCAGCCAUAGCAUUGUGAGUUCCAUAUAUGCCAGAAUGAUGGAAUCUGCCUCUUGUGACUCAGUUAAGGACAAUCUCACUCUCAGCCCUUAUUGAUAUCGUCAUCACAUAGGUGCUGGAGUUCUUGGUCAUGCUCUAAUCUGCUUGAUUUUCACAUAGAAAAGCAUAUUUCAUAGGUUUAUUUACUUCAGUUAUAUCAUCAGACAUUUGGGGUGGAUGACCUGUCUUUUGUGCAAAUGGUCAGAUGGAACAAUGUACAUUCAGGCAGCUACUGCAAUUCUUGCAGGUACUAAGGUAGUUGGAUGUAGCUUUAGUGAUAAAUGUGCAAAACAAAAACGGUCUGCUAUAACAGAUAAUCCAACUCACUGACAUGUACACCUGCAAUUAUAUAUGAUAAAAAAGUUUUAGGCAUUUAUUUGCUUUGACAUCUGUACCUGGAUCUUGAAACUGCAAUUCUAUAUAAAAAGUGCUGUCAAAACAGAAUCAGAUGCCUCUUUUAUCGAGCAGCUUUUACACAUUGAAGUAAAGAAGAUCUUUAAAAUCAUCAUUGCCAAUUCAUGAUCUGGUGCAAUGACUAACAUGUUAUUUGUCUAUUCAACAUUGUACAUUUCUAAUUGGAUUGGCAUAUAAUUCGACAAAAUCUUACAGAUCAAAAUCUUUGUUAAUUUUUAGUGAAAAAUCAAGUUGUGCAGAAAUGUAAGACUUGAAUAUUCUGGUCAUCAACAAUGGUAGACUAUUAAAACGGAAAAGAUAAUUAAACUGUUGAUCCAGGAUUCCACCUUAAGAAAGAAAACCUGGAUAUCAUUAGGAUCUAGUACCUGAUGAACCUUUUCAUGCCUUUUACUUUUCAGAAAGCAAUCCACAACCAGCUUGCUCUUUGCUUCUUUUUCAAUUCUCUGAGUCAUUCUUUUUUUUAUUCCCCUCUUCGGAGUUCUGUCGGUUGGAGGAAGUUGGAUUAUCUAUUUCUCUGCAAACUUGUGCAUCUCAAAAAGAAAAAACCAAAAUGGGGAAAUAUGGUUCUGAUCAAGGAACUUUUACUGCGCCGGAAAGAAGUAUUUUGUGUCAGACCUUAAAAACCAAUUGUGACAAUCAAAGAGACAAAACUGAGCUACCCAGAAUCAACCUCAGACUUGAGCAAAUGUAAAAUGAGACAGUCUAUCUGCAGAAGGCACUUUCAAGUCAGAUUUGUUCUCUCUCACUGCCAUUCUAAACUAUGAACCUGGAAAAAGUACACACACAGACACAUAUAUUCCUGAAUUUGUUUUUAUGAAGAAUGCUGUCAACAAAACCGAGUACAAGAUAUAUAAAAAUCCAAGCAAAUUAAAACUUAGUUUUUAAGCCAUGCAGAAAAUCGAAAAAGAAAGAAAUGAAAAACCAAUGGAUAUGAGGUUGCAGAAUAAUGGUUGAUUACAGUUUUUAACAAUGAGGAGCACAUCAGGGGAUGGAAUAAGGAUUAGCUGCACCAUGGUAAAGAAAAAAGGAAUUUCGCUCGUUAGUUUUUUCCAUGGCAAAUCCUCUCAAGAAGUUGGACCCAUCAAUCUAGUGCAUAAACAUCUAGCACAACAAUGAUCUUAAUCCGGUAAAGAAUUCCAUAUCCUAUCAUGUGGUCCAACAAUAGUAGUUGUUUUUUUUAAGUAGAAGUACUUCUUCUUCACCCCACUAACAUGCGCAGGCAUCCCCACUCUAGUGAUGCAUCUUAUUAUAGCUUAGCACGUUUUAACUUUCUUUCUGUGUUUCCUCAUCCAGAAUCCACCAUGAUUUUAAGAGAUUGAAGGCCACAAGAUUUCGAAAUUUCAUUGCCCUCACUUUCCACUAACUUUAUCUUUAUCAACACAAUUGAUCAAAUAAUGGGCUUUCCUCCUGUAGCUGCACAAACUUUUGAAAUUAAUAUUGCUCCUUGCGGUAAUAAGAUUUCCUAGUGACAUGCAUAUAAUUGGUUCCUAAUCAUGAAUAAUUUCCAUAUAAACUUUUGCUUCUGUUCUUUUGCUCACUAACAAAUCUUGACAGGUGGGACGAGGACACUUGCAUCAAUAAUGGUCAUUGUUACAGUGAUCAAUUCUGAAUAGACAGUAAGAAAAUGCCAAGAAAAUUAGGCAACAUAUCACUGUAUUUAAGAACAUCAGGGUAGUCAGAUUCUCAAUAAUAGAAGGUCACAUGAAUGCAUUAAAAACAACAAGAUCAAUUUGGCAAUUAGCUAUGAAACUAAUAUCAGUCGACUAUGACUUGAUACAAUACAUUGACAGACCUAAUAAAACAGGUGCGGGAAGUGUGUGAAGAAAUUAAGGAUCAGGGCUCAGCACAGCACAUUUAAUUUUUUUUCCUCCCAAAUCAUAAAUGAACUCUGUAGCUCCAAGUAAUGGCAUACUUGUUGGAUUAAUCCCAUAUCGUUUCGACUUAGUUAUACGUGUGACCUCACCCUUGAGUUAGCGUUUGAGUUGGAAAGGCCCAAUAACACCUAAUACUCCUAUCAGAGUUCAAUUACAACAACUUCUUCUCCCGAUAAAGAGCCCAAUAAGUCCUUCCAAUUAAGAUCCAAGUGUAAAUAAUCCACAAUUCACAAAGGAAAAAUGUGCAAAAAUGAAGAAUGUAUAGAGAGGUAUAUGUUUUCAUACACAUACAAUUUAAUGACGACACUCAUAACGUUCGAUGCUGAUAGCCGAUAGGUGACAUGAAUUUCUACAAGAUGGCAUACUUUGGCAAAAUGAAAUAGACAUGACAAGAGGAGUCUCUGGCACUCCUAAGACCGAAAAGGAAGAAAAGAUUGGAAUAAAGGUGAUCAGAGAGCACAUGGAGAUUCCAAGCAUAUGAAAGCUGGUUCAUAUUUUGGGAGAAGAAAAAAGAACUAAUUCAAUUACAUGCGAGAGGAAAUGAGCACAGUUUAUAAAAGCUGAUUCAUCUCUUGCCCAUCCUUGUAAAGCAUUCUCUCUUUUAAGUACUGAUUCAGAACAUAUAGCUGAUGUAACCUUGUACUCGACCCAGUUCAGAAAAGUGCAACAAAGCCAUCAGAUAAACACAUGAAUUUCUUUUAUUCUUCAGAAAGAUGGGGCUACUGCCCUCACUGCUGUCAUUUUGCUUCUCACUCCUGUGAUUUUGCUUCUUACAUAUUUUGCCUUUUUCAGCUUUUGAUCACCUCUACUAUGUAUUAAUCUGUGUUGCCAAAGAGAACCGGAAUAAAGAAUCUCUCCCCUCCCAGUGCUUUACCAUGCUCUGAUAACAUUUGUUAGUAAAUUAGUUGAACGAACUUUCUGUCCCUUUCUCUUCGAACAUAUGUAUAGCAAUUGGAGUAGAUCUUAAUUUCAGUAUGAAAAAUGCCUUAACAGGUUCUCUUAUUUAGACCUAGGGGAGGUGAAAGAAGAGGGUGUUUUCUGUGGACUUGGAGGCCUCUUUGACCUUGAGUUCCAAGGGUAAAAUUAUCUGUCCCUCGACUAAAGAUUGGUUCUUUCGAACAUCAAUCAUCUAUAUGAACCUUCGACGAUUCUCAAAAAUCAAAGUAGAAGAAGAAGAAGAAAUUCGCACCUAUAAGUUAGCAGCUACCCGAGUAGAAUUUUUUUCUUUUCACCGCAGAUACAUAAAAUCCUAUUGGAUCAUUCCUGAUUAACUAAGUUUUCUUCAGUUGCUGAGUGGAGCUAAUCCUAUGGACAUCUUGGUCACUUGAUCAACAUAACUUCAAGUUUAUUUAGCAAAUCAACCAUGUUAGAAAUUGGGAAAAUUUGACCAGGCAACUGGAGGAGCUCACAAUUAUUUGAAACUUUCCAUUUGGCUACAAUAGAUCCUGUAAACUUGUAGUCAAUGUAGAAUGGCAUGAAUCGUCCCCAUUUAGGACAGGAAUAUGAAUUUUUUUGGAGUAUAUCCCAUUCGCAAACCACAGUAGCUUUCUGAACCUGUUCCCUUUAACUUGUUUUCAAAGAAUUGUUUGCAGCCUUAUUGUACCAGUGCUUUGAGAUCAGACUGAUUGCUGUACUGUGUAUUUACCAUGUCUAAGGAAUCUCUCUCAACUCAUGAUGCUCUUGGUAGGUUUAUAUGCUGUACAUAGUCUCGCCGAAAGAAAGUUAAAACCCCAGUAAAAGGUGCCUUCUCCUAUUGAAUCAUUUUUUUUCUUAAUAUUUUUUAUCCAUCGUUUUCGCCUGUCAGUUGCUAUGGUUUAAAAAAGGCCCAAGAGCCGAGCUGCAAGUCCAUGCAAAGACACUGAUCUACCAAGUCACGCAGCACAGCCAAACACAUUUGAUUUGCCUGCUAAUGUAUAUGUUGUCAUCCAAAAGAUUAACAUGGGAUGGGAGAUUAAAGACCCUCUUGAAUGUAUCCACAUUGUAUUCUACCAUAAGAACUGGAGACAUAAGCAGGGUUUAUUUUCUUCUCCUCCUCCUCCUCAAUUUUAUGAGUAUGCAAGUCUAGACCUCCAGGACAGUUGAGAAUAACAACCUAAAACUACUCCCUACUGCAGCUCUCUAUUGCAUAUCAAUAAUACCAUGCAAAACUAUGCAUUCUAUUGCAUUCUAAUGCUCAUUAAAUUAGAAAAACUUUGGAAUAGAUUGCCAACUGAACUCAACUCAAAGCAUUUUUUUCCAAGAAUCAGACCUAGACAAAAAUUUUUGCUAACAAAUGGUAUCAAGGUAAAAAGCAGAUAAAUUUCAAAGCCAAGACUUCUAGAGAAAUUCUCUUUUAACCUAUACCUAUUCCUUUUAAGGUAAGGUAAAGGGUUGAGUUAGACAGUAAUGUGGGGCAAAUUCCCACUUUUAUAAAAAAAGGGAGAAUUAUGAGAUUUAAGGGGCGAAGAAGGAGAAGGAGAUUAGAAUUUAGAAUCUUUAAAUCUUAAAAUUUUAAUCUUAAUCACUAGAUCAAAAUCUUGCUUCUUAAAACAAAUGUUGAUUAUUCAAACAAAACACGUAUGUGACAUGAAAACUGUCAUGAUACCGCUUGCCUGCAGAAUUGGGCUUGUUAUCCUUAGUUCGGCCUAUUAUUACCACUUAGAGUUCUCAUUCAGCCAAGAGACCAGACGCUACCAUACACUAAAAACAGGCCUCUGUCAGAUAUGGACCGGCCUAAUGGAAUAGAGUAUCACGAAAAAGGACAAACAGCCGAGUUAACGCUGCAUAUGAAUGAAUUAGGUAUUUUUGAAAAAUUUAAUUAUAGUGAUAGAUAUAAUUAACCUUUAUUGUAGAUAAUUAAGUGUUCUUAAGAUGUUUUGAGGGUGUUUUCAAUGAUUUAUUUUGGGAUUUUUUUUUUCAAAAACAACCAAAGGAAGUUUGUUUGUUGAUCAUCUUCCACAUUGCAUGAAUAAAAUUUCAUACUAUUUUACUUGACCGCCUGCUCAUGUGAAAUAUAAUUCAUCUUGAAAAAAAAAAAUCAAACUCUUAAUAAAAUAUUUUUCUACAUUUAAGACUUGGCCCCUACCUAGGCCUGUCAACGGUCCGGGUCUAGAUCCGGAUCCGGCCCGGAUUCGUGAAAUUAUUGCGGGUAUGAGUAGGGAUUUAAUUCUGUUACCCGGACCCGGAUUCGGAUCCGUUUUGUCAAACAAAAAAUGGGUCGGAUAUGGGAUAUAGUAUUCCGACCCGUAUUAGACCCGGAUUCGGAUAUAAAUUGAUUAAUAAUUUAAAAAAUAUAUAUUUAUCAAUAUAAUUUGAUUAGGGUGGUGUAUUUGAGUAAAGUCAAUUUGAUUUAUUUUCUUAUUUGAUUUUUUUUUGUAUUAGUUAGAAAUUAGUGUAUAAAUAUAUUUUUUUCUCAUUUUUAUUAGAAAUUAGAAAUUUUCAUAAUUUUUUCGAGUAGACCCGGACCCGGAUCCGAGACCCGUCGGAUCCGGAUCCGGAACAUAGAGUAGAAGAUCCGUCGGAUAAACGGGUCGAAUCCGGAUCCGAUUUGAUAUGCCGAAUCCGGGUCCGGAAUAAUGAAUUCCGACCCGGACCCGGCCCGUUGACAGGCCUACUCCUACCCAAGAAUCCGGACUCCAGCAUUGGUACUGCUUAUCCGGGGCUAUGUUUGGUUUUCUACAUUUUGCGCUCAUGUGAAAUCUUAAGAGCUCUCCUUUCCUUGUUUCCAAGAUGACACUACUAUUAUUCUCUUUGUCCAAAAUAAGGAUGGACACACAUAAAAUUUAGAGAUAAGGAGAUGUAAUAAUGAUAGAUCAUAAGCGGAUUAGUAGUACUUAAUUAAUAUCUUUUGAGUUUUUCUAACCUGUGUCCUACAAGCACCCGUUAAUACACAUAAUAUUCACCUAAGUUACCAUAUAUAUACACACAUACUAAUCAUUAUUAUCCUUUCUUAUAUUUAUAUAUAUUUUUUAUUUAAUUUUACCUACCAUUUCUUGUAUUUAUUUACUUCCCUUAAUUAAUAUUAUAUUUUCAAAUAUAUAAUACCUAAAAUAUAUUUUAACGGACACUCAAUAGAUAGACCGAUAUUUUUUGACUUUCAAACUCAUAUUUUCUAACUUUCCUAUUUUCCUAAACCUAAUACUAUCGAGUAAAUGUCUUAGGUAAGUUUAGUAAAUGCAUGUUUCUAGUACUCCAAUAAAUCACUUAAAAUGCUUCAAUAAAAAAAUAAUCACUUAAAAAAAAGUUAGAAAGGAGAAGUGGAACCCGGAGUACUAAUUACUAAUUAGAGACCAAUAAGUCAAGAUUAAUCAGAGCCGGUCAAUGACAGGUCGGGGAAAGAAUUCAAGUCGGUCAAAUUCAACUGACCCGUUGGCCACGUAUAAAAGGCUAAAGAGGCGGGAAGAGUUUCCUUAAAAACCCUACCUUUCAGGAGUCGCUCAACAGAGGAUUUCUCUCAAUUUUCAUCCCAAUUUCUUGCAAACAUGGGCAUAAAGGUUGGAUGUCGAUCUAAUUUCUGUCAACUUAUUCUGCGAAUUGAUUUCUUAAUUUUGCUUCAUAACUUUCUGUUUCCUAAUUUUUCCUUUGAAUUGUUUGCUUAGGGUUUAACGAAGCUUUUAGCGGAUAAUGCUCCGAAGGCGAUGAAAGAACAUAAAUUCGAAAGCUUCUUCGGCCGCAAAAUCGCCAUUGACGCCAGCAUGAGCAUUUAUCAGUUCCUUGUUUGUACACUAGCUACCCCCAUUUUUGUUGUUUCUUGGUCUGGAUAUAAAUGCAUUUGGCUAAGCUUAAAGCCUUAAACUUGCCUUGUAAUUAAUGAAACUGUAGAUUGUCGUUGGGCGAAGCGGCACUGAAAUGCUUACUAAUGAAGCUGGAGAAGUUACUAGGUAACUCACAUUUUACAUUUUUUUGGGACAAUAAUGUGCCGAAAACAGAAAAUUAGCAAAUUAGUGAAAUAUGCAGAGAGAGGUCUUUGGAAAUUUUUUUUGUCUGUCGUUCAUGCUAAAUAUUUGUUGAAUUUUACUCUUAAACAAAAGUUUACCAGUCUUUGGUAGUUAUAACUGUUUAUUGAUGUGGUUUUGCGUUCUGUGUUUUAAGUCAUUUGGUAGGAAUGUUCACGCGGACAAUUAGGCUUUUGGAAGCUGGAAUUAAGCCAGUGUAAUUUGUUAAUCUUCUCCUUACUGAUUUUUGUGUUUCUUUUGUUUUAUUUGGUCAGAAGUUUAUUACAUAUGCUAAAACUUGUUAUUGCCUUCAAAUUUUAGCUAUGUGUUCGAUGGUAAGCCACCAGAUUUGAAGAAACAAGAGCUUGCUAAACGGUAUUUUGUAUUAUACUGUUAUUCAUGUUGCUUGUGAAGUUUUUUUUUUGAAUGAAUGCUCCCUCCCGGAAAUCAAAAUUUGUGACUCUGAUAUGGAUAUGCAGUUUUUCUAAGAGGGCAGAUGCAACGGAGGAUCUAGAUGAGGCUGUGGAGGUUAACAUAACAGAACUAUAAUUUUGCCUCCAAUCACCCUGCCAAAGAAAAAAGAAAAAAAAUUCUUGACUUUUAUACUUUGCCCUUUUCAUAGCAUCAUUCUAGUAUCUUGUCGUUUUAAGAGCUGAAUUCUCCCCCACAAUUUCUUCUUGCAGACUGGCAACAAGGAAGACAUUGAGAAAUUCAGUAAGAGGACAGUAAAGGUGGGCUAUUAACAUUUUAUGGUUGUUAUAUGGUGUAGAACGGUGUUGUCAAUCUGUACUUAUUUGGUCUUUGAUCAUUCUGCUGUUUAUGAAAGUUUCCAACCCUUUUCUCUGGCAGCCUAUAGCAGAGAUAGUAAUAAACAAAAGAAAAAAAGGAAGAUUAAAUACAGAAAUCAUUCUUGAGUUUCACAAUUCAAUGCAUUUGUUAGAAAAUGCCAAGCUUUAGAUGAGGUUGUAGUCACUGUUGAAUCCAGGGAAUGAAAUACUGAUUUAUUGGGUUCAAUAGCCGAAGUUCAAUUUGCAUAGAUUAAUUGUUUUUGAAAAUCCCAAUGAGUAAUAAAUGCAUAAAGCCCUUCCACCAUACUGUUCACUGAUGAGAUUAGACAGGUUGUCACAGAGGAAAGUGUAUACACUUCUGAUAAUAUAAAUUGCGAGUGUACAACAGUAUUGUGUACCUACAGCAACUAUUGAAGUUAGAAGCUCCUGUACACAAUUCUCAGAGUUAAAUCGAUAUUCAGUAUCAAUAAGAGCUAACCAAUUCUUCAAUUAGGUGCUUAUGCAUCUAUUUUUAGGGUUAACAGAUGAUAUUUGUAAUUGCUGAUAUUCUUGUCCUUUCUUUUAAAACAAGAAGAUCUAAACUCCUUGAAGUAUAUAGUUAAGCAUGUUAUCAGUUUCAUGUUGAUUUUGGUUGUGUAGGUUACAAAACAACAUAAUGAGGACUGCAGGAAACUCCUUAGACUUAUGGGAGUACCUGUGAUUGAGGUGAGCCAGUGAAACAAAAUAUUUCUUCUCUAAAUUGAUGCCUGCCAGUUGCAUAUAUGUGCUGACUUUUCUCCUAAGAGCACGACAAGUUAUAUCUUUGACUAUAGUGCCUUCCACUCUGUUGUUAUGUCAGGCCACUUCAGAAGCAGAGGCACAAUGUGCUGCACUUUGCAAAUCAGGAAAGGCAAGUAUCUUGGUCUUAAUGGUGGUCUCACAGCUUGCACCAACAUAACAUCUUUGGGAGUUAGUUUUCUUUGAUUGUGUCCUUCCAAUAUAUCCAUUUGUAUAUUGCUUCCUUCCAAUAUAUCCAUGUGAACACCUUACAUGGAAAUGAUUAGAAGGAACAGGAAUUAAUGCUCUCUUUGUUAUGAGAUUGGAAAGAUCAUACAUCUGUGAAUGUCAGGUUUAUGCUGUGGCCUCUGAAGACAUGGAUUCCUUAACUUUUGGAGCUCCAAAGUUUCUUCGACAUCUAAUGGACCCUAGCUCCAAAAAAAUCCCUGUGAUGGAAUUUGAAAUUUCCAAGGUAUCAGAAUCCCGCUUUACAAAUUUUCAACAUUGAGACAUCAACUGAUGUACUUCUCUACAGGUUUUGGAGGAGUUGAACUUUACCAUGGAUCAAUUUAUAGACUUGUGCAUUCUUUGUGGAUGUGAUUAUUGUGACAGUAUUAGAGGUAAUGCACAUUUCACUGAUACCAUCAUUGUCAGGCUUCACACAUCUCAUUGAUACCAUCAUUGUCAAGCUUCUUAGAAUUUUUAAAUUAAAAUCUGGGUUUCUUCUGUUUGUUUUGAAAAACAUAUCAGAAAGGAAAGCUUAACAUACUUCAGACAAAGAAUUUUUGCUGGAAACAUGAAUUCAUGAAUGUGACUGGGAGGUUUUGACCUAAUGAAUGUUUUGACUUCACAACUUGCACCUCUAAUUCAUGUAUCUUGACAUGAAUGUGACUGGGAAGUUUUUGCUGGAAACAUAUGCAUGUAGGAAGAUGGAUAUUUUCUGGUUUGCGCACUCUAAUCUUUCUCUUGCUGUAGUAACAUCACUUUUAAAAUGCUUUUGUUGUUGCCAAACUAUGGAAAAUCCAUACUGUGGGAAAUGGGCAUAUCUUUCCUAGAAUUUGUCUUAGUUUAAAGGGAAAUGUGCACAAGAAUUCAACUGAGAAGUUUGUAGAUUUUUGUUUAGCUUUCUUUUUCUUCAUCUUCCUUUUCAAUAAUUUCACAUGGAUAUCUAAUAUAUGAGCAUGUUGUGUGCAUCCCUGGGCUAUCUAGGAACAAAAUUGCAUACUUAUAUUGGGCUGAUUUUCAAUGCAUCAGGUAUUGGUGGCCAGACAGCCUUAAAGCUCAUUCGCCAACAUGGCUCAAUAGAGAGCGUAAUCGAGAACAUAAACAGAGAAAGGUACAUAUUUAUAUUGUCACUUGAAACUUGUCAAAUUGUGGUUUCAGGAAAAACGGAAAGCCAGGAGAAUAUGUUAUCUAGAUUUUGGAUCUUAAGAUAUAGUUCUCAUUUCCUAGAUCUCAAAGUUUGAUGUUCUUCAUUUGCAUCAUGUUCCUUAGUUGACUGCCUUUCACUUCUUCCUGCAUUCACUUUACAAGCGGUUGCAUUUGACUUUGCAUAUGCAAUUGAAGUUCAAUUUCACCUGUUAUGUUUCAGAUACCAAAUCCCAGAUGAUUGGCCAUAUCAAGAAGCUAGGAAGCUCUUCAAAGAACCAGAAGUUGUCACAGAUGAAAACCAACUUGAUUUCAAGUGGAAUGCUCCAGAUGAAGAAGUGAGUUACUUCAAUUAACAAUUAUAGAUUGGUCAUUAUUGUCGUAUAUAUCUAUUUAUUGAUCAGCUUAGGGAUUAUCUUUGGUUUCAGGGACUUAUAAACUUUUUGGUAAAAGAAAAUGGGUUCAGCAUCGACAGAGUUACAAAGGUAUGCUUAUGAUGAGAAUUUGGUUGCUUAUGUUUGAAUUCAGUCUUCAGAAUUUGUGUACAUUACAAACUCAAAUGUUGAUUUAUUCAGUCAAUAGAAAAGAUCAAGGCAGCAAAGAACAAGUCUUCGCAGGGGAGGUAUGGAACUGACUGACUGAUUGGUAAUAUUGUUGCUUUAGUGAAAUCAUGACUUAUUAGUGUCUUUCUUGAGCAGAUUAGAAUCAUUCUUCAAACCAGUUGCUAACACAUCAGCGCCUCUUAAAAGAAAGGUAUUAUUCGGCAUUGAGACCAUUUGUCUGUUGCUUGUUGUCCAUGUAAGACCUUCAUUUGGCAGUCCCACAAUAUUUUUCGAUAAAGAAAAUCAUGCGCUGGCAAACUCAAUGUGAUGUUGUUCUUGUUUUGUCCUUUAUUCUUCUGCUCCUCGUGUGGCUGUAUGAGCAUGUUUAACUUUGGUCUCCUAAUACUUUUGCUUAAGAUACUUGGUAUUGAUGCUCGACAUCAGAGUGCUGCACUUACUGGAAUUAAUUUGGAGUAACAGUAAACAAAAUACCUCAAAACAGUUGUUAGGGAUCAUAAUUAAUAUACUAAUUGUACGUUUUAUAUCUUUUAUAUGUAUUACCUCAAGUUGGUCUGAUAUAACAUACCUAGAAACUAAAAGCCCAAGAAUUCAGUACUUUAUUCUGCAGACCACCUUUUGAGAUCAUAGUGAAUCAUUCUUUGAUUAUACUUGCCUCUCUUCAUUGCUUCUUCAAAAAAGCUGAAAAUUAGAUAUUUUGUUUGAGAGUUUUUCUUCGGAUUGUAAUGUCAUGAGUUUACUGUUGGUUACAGUAAUCUCUUAUGUACUGGUUCACAGGAAACCAAGUGCAUCCUUGGAUCUCCUAAGUCUCAAGUCAAUCUUAAGAUGAUUUUUGGGAAAGCAACUCUGAAAUACAGGCCCAGGGUCAUUGGCCGCUUUGGCCUGCCAACUCCGAAUAUUGGCUCAAAGCAGUCAUUGCUUUUAGCAGGAGUUGGCUUCUUCGGCACGUGAACCUGAAAAACCUUGGUGAACUUAGCUCUUGACUAUUCUCUAUCUUUAUUCUUAAUCUAUAAAUAAUUUCUGAAAUUAUGUUCAAGUAAAUCAUAUUUGUGGUCAAUAUACUAGUACUGAUUGCUAUAGAACAUAAUGAGUUAUAACUUGCAUAAUAGAUGAUCUGCUUGUUAGAUUUAAGAAUUUUAUGAGGAGAGAACUUAGAGUUGUAAGUUUGAGGCCAAGGUGGGCCAGAAUAGUGGGCAGUUGUAUUAUUCAGGAGCUGACAUUUAGGAAACAAAAAGGGAAUGAAUCAUCAAAAGAGAAAACUAUACAGGUACAAGACUCACAUUUUCUAGUUGAAAUUUGUGGUUGAGUAGAGGCUUGCGCUCAUUGGCCAGCUCUCUGCAUCACUUGUGGAGUUAAGGACAUAAAAGACAAACUAGCAAUUUGCAAUCUCAACUUUCUCUUGAAAGGCUAAAUGUCAACCUGGUAAUAGCCUUUAGUUCAUCUGCAAAUCAAAUUUCUUUUGCAGUUUCAGUUGGGAGAAGCCAGACACUUUAUGCUGGAUACCAGUCUCUUUUGUUGCCAAUUUUCCACUCUCAUUGACUGAUUGAUCCUCGUUCUUGAUAUUCUUGAAAUAAAACAAUCGCAGGCGGUAAAAUGACUUGAAGGAAGCCCAUUGUAGUGCACAGAUAGAUUUGAACAACUAUGGUUGCAAAUUCUUGAGCAUUUUAAUCAGGAUUUUGAUUCUGACAUUUGAGAGAGUUGUUGCUAGGCGGUACCUACCCAUCAAAUAGUAUUCCAUCCUUUAUUUAGUGCGGCCAAUUCUGGCCUUAUGGUUUUUGGAAACAGUGGCUCUGUCUUUGGAAUUUCUAUCAAGUGUUCUUGUAAGUUGUGGGACAUGUAUUUUUUGUAGCCAUGAAAUUGACAUAUGGGAAUCUGAAUGCUGAAAAUUUCUUUUCCUAUCCCUUCAGUUUGAUAAUUUCUGUGUUGACUUUACCAAAACAUACAUAAUACCGUCCUCAGUACGAAAUGAUCGCAAAUUUGUUUCACCUUAUGAAAAAUUUUCCUGUUUAUCUUUUCAAGACUAUUCAUUUGCUUUCAUUUCCCAACUUGAUCACAGGAAGCAGCGGAGAAAAUUGAAAAGGAGAAUACAAAUAAGAAGUCGAAGUCUGGUGGUGGAAAGAAGAAGAAAUAAGUCAUUUUUUUCCUUUGAAGUGCCAAAUUGGUUUGUGGAGCCAGUUCUAUGCUGGCAAGGUAAACUUGUUUACAACAAUGAACAUUAGUAAUUAUUUCUUUUUUGUUGCUUCUUAAAUUUGUCACAUCUUUGCAAUGAGCAACCUCUUGGUAGAAAUGUGAGUGUGCUACUGUAGAAACAUCUUAAAUCUAUUGUUUAACUAGAAUACGUAUACAUAUCUUUGCACGAUUUAUUCAGAAAAGUAAUUAGUAUACUUAAUAGCUUUAACUGGAGAGUUCAAAUUGUGGGUCUAUGGAAAUUGGAAUGUGUGUGAUUUCUUUUAAGAUGCUGUUUAAGUGACAAUAAACUUAACUGGAUAGAGUUUAGACAUGAUGACCGUGAAAAAUUAGGAUCUAAAUGGAUCCUGGUAUACAUUUCUUGGAUAGCUGGUGAAAUAGAAAUGAAAGAUCAACUAUCAAGUCCAAAAAUUCGUGUAAUGUCAUGCUUCUUGAUGAAGCUUUUUGCGUCAUGCCUUCUUGUCUGCACUUAAUUAUCAUAUCUGCUGUUGUGCUUUCCACUUACCAUGUGAAUUACACCAAUCUCUUCUUUCCUUCCAUGUACUCGAAAAUAAUAUCCUCUCCUGUUAAUUCCUCUCUGUGCAAAGCAUGCUUGGUUCAGAGCAUUCUUCAUCAUUGGCCGAUACUUGCAGUAGUCUUUGUGUUAUUGCAAUUUGUAGUUCAAGAUAUUCCAUUUUAGGCUCUCAUUUCUAUAGGAUUGGACUGAAAACUUAUUAUCAUGAUUUGGCCCACAAUUUUUCCUCUUUUUUUUUUUGUGUUUGUGUUUGUGCGUGUGUGUGUGUGUGUGUGGGGGGGGGGGGUUGUUUGGGUGGUGUUGGAAUUUUCCAUUUUACUGUGAUUUGGUUUCUGCAGGUGAGGAAUUUCCAGAUGCCGCAACAAACUUGGGAUUUCCAGAUGGUGUGACAAACUUGUGUUUCUUGUUGUGCUGAAAAUGUCCGUCAAUGAGAUGUGUAAUAUGACUGCAGGAUGAUGUGUCUCUGGAUUGGUAGACCAUUUUGUCAUCUUGGCUUUACUUCUAGUGUACAGUUGUUCACAAUGUCAGAGAAUUUCGUCCUCUAACUGCUAGUCCUUUUGAAUAUCUAUCGAGAAUUGAGUCUAAAAAUUUUCAUACCAGGAAGGCAGUUGCUGUAGCCAUGUUAAAGACAAAAUGAUUUCCUCGCCAAAAUAUGCAAGUCCUAAGUUACGAAUGGAGAAAUGGCAUGGUCCUUGCACGUGGCUUCUUCGCAAGGUCAAUACGCACAAGUCCAGGAGUCUUCCAAAUUUUUGUUAAUCAGUAAUCUAAUAACACUAAGAAUUUAAUGCAAGUCAGGCAUCGAUUUGUCUGCAAAAGAUUCUCUUCACUCGUACCAGGGGCGUACGUACUUUAGCUCCGUCUGUUGUUAUGCACACGGGCUCGAAGGGUUAAAAGUGGCUAAGGUGGAUAACAUAAGGAGAGCAUCGCCAUGGAUUAGGAGAGUUAGCAAUAAAUUCCAGGUACUUGCUUUUAAUUUCCUUGGAUUACGAUCACUUGAUAAUUGUCAUGAUGUGCGGCUCUAUCACACGGAAGACAAUCUGAAAGCAGUCACUCCUUGAGGUACAAAACCUUAUGAGCUCCUUCAACUCAAUUGUCAAUCGAACCACCAUGGGUACUUUGGUGGGGGGAAGUUUUAGAUGAAGUUGGUAAUUAGCGUACUCAACCUGGGGAAGGAGGUGAGAUGAUUGGUGUUCAUAUGUCGGGUUACACUUCAGCAUUUCAUGAGAAUGAUACGUACGUACUUGCGGUAAUUCUCUCUCUGGAUACAUAUUGGCUUCUGAUGCUGCUGCCAUUGAACACUGAUGUCUUAGGUCUAGAGUGUAGAUAAGCCAGCACUUCUUUGUUCUGAUCUAUUGCUAUCUGAUACUAUUUGAUAAAGAGGGUGCAAUUAUCGGCUUUUGCCCAUUAAAUAGAAUGAAAAUAUGAGUGCAGCAUCUUCUGUUCAUCUCCUAAAGUCCUAACCGCAAAACGAUCUUCUCAUGUUUUCCAAUAGCAGCUGCAGCCAGUUUGAGAAAGAUACUGAACAGGAGAAAAUAUCCAUGCCAAGGACCCAAUAUCCUUCCUGGUGGAUAUUCUAAGCGGACUCCCUACUAGACGUGUCCCCUGUGUCAAAGGGUCUGCCAAAGAUGGAAGGCCUUAACAGUUAACAUCACAUUUUCUUGAGUUGCAUAUGAAACACACUCUUCCAUCCAUCAUUACCCAGAACAGGUGAAGGGACGUAUGCUUGGUUAACAAAUGGCCGUGAGGAGUAACAAAAAAAUAACCCCAAAAUCCCCAUAUGUACACCCACUCUAUUUAUCAUCCGAUAUUGCACCCACUAUCUACCUUCAGCACCGUAGAUGCAUGGAUCUCCGAACACAAAAACAUUUCAUGAUACUCAAUCCUACCACCGAGGAAAUAGUUGAGAUACACACCCCACUUCGAACUCGAAUUUAUGCAGUCUUUUCCCACCCAUUCCUAUAUCAACCCUUUGUGCCAUAUGUGGUAAUAUUCAAGAAGAAGCCGUGCAAUUCAAAUUUCUCAAUCUGGGAUUAGAUUCUUGCUGAAGAAAGCUUCGAUCAACUCGUGUAAUUUCACACCAACCCCGGCUUAAAACUAUGCUGUGAGGUGAGUCCAACUCUAAUCUUCUUCUAUUUAAUCUCUUGGUCAAUGACUGCUGAGUUGAGGCACGCCACAUGUUUAGAUCCUAAUAUUACAAUUUACUAGUUGAUGUGCGCCUCGCGCUUCGCGCGAGGUUGCCCAGACAUUGUUUGUGGAAUAGAGUUAGUUUGUUAGCUUUGCUUGAACUCAUGAAUGAAGUGUAUUUAGACUGCGGAAGAUGCUUCAUUGAUAAAAGUAGUAUUUACAUGCCUAGCCUUGACAAAAGUGUUAUGUAUAUGGCUAGGAUAGUGUUGGCAAAAGAUUCUAUGUACAUUCUGGUUAUACAUAUAUAUAUAACCAUUACUUGGACAAAAGAUUCUAUGUACAUUGUGGUAAGACUUAAUCUUCCACAUUUACUUAGUUUUUGCUUGUUUUGUGGAGGUGUUGUUGGUUCGUGAUGUCUUUCGCUUUGGGCUUUGAUUCAUUGGCUGUGCUGUUUCUGCGGUCGGCUGGCUUGGCUCAUAUGAACUAAAGGGAGAAAAAGUUGUUGCACCAGAUGUGUCUCCAGAUUGAACCGGAUUUUUACAUGCUGAAGAGGCUGGUUUGUCUUCAAAUUGUGGAAGUUCUUCGUAUUCCAUAGUUGAUGCUUUAGAUGAUGAUCCUUCUUCUUCAGUCGGUGGAAGCAGGAUUGAUGUUUCGGUGGUAUCUGAGAAGCAAGCAAUUAUAGUAUAUUUUGCAACUAUGGUGUUUCCCAGUGCAUGAGUGAAUUUUCUCACUUGAAGACAAAAAAUGUGAUUUGCUAGUCUUCUGUUGAUGCUUGGAAUAUCUGGCUUUUCAUUCUGCUAUAAUAUAUCUUUGUAUUAGUAAGUGUUAUUUAUUUUAUUAGUGAAACAACUAUAGAUAUUGUUGUAUGUAAGUAAAGUCUUGCCUUUUGCUCCAUUGCAUGUCUUCUGGAUUGAUUUGUAAAAUAUGUUGAGCAGUCUGGUCUUCAAUUAUUGCAGUGAAUAUGCCAGAUACAUCAGACACCUGAAUCAGGAAUCUUAACCUGCAUUGUUAAUAGCACAGAAUUUGGUUAUAUAUUUGUAUUAGACAUUUGAUAUUAUAAUCAUUAGAUGAUCGGUUGUUACCUGGGUUGUGGCCUUGGAAAUGUUACAUUGCAGUGGCGACAGGUGAACUGGAAGUUUGCAAGCGCACCAGUUAAUUUUCUGCAAUUUUGUGCUGGGAAAGUGAGACUGUAUAGGCGUCGCUGUGGAUAUAUUAUUUUCAGAGUUGCUCGGAUCCAUACAGGCUUUGGCUGUUAAUUGAAUGGUAGUUGUGUAAUUUUUUUGUGAUCAGAAUUAUUUGUCAAUAUAAAGUUGAUAAUAGAAUAUAUAUAUAUAUGGAACUUUUUGUGUACCAGAUAUGGUGUGUUGAGGAUCUCAUUGACUUGUCGAAUCUUUUCUUCUGGAGGAGGCUUGAUUGUUUGGUGAAAUUCGUCAUAGAGAGUUCCAGGCAUUACUCCUUGAAUAUAUGUCAUAUUUGCAUAUAUCCUGUAAUAUAGAAAAUAAAAAAUGUAAUUAUACAAUUGCGAAAUAAAUAAAAAUUGCAUUGUUUAUAGAAUAAGUUAAAGGGAAAGAGAAAAUAUGAUGUACCAAUCUUUCAACAGCAAUGCUUGUGGAAUUUUUGGAUCAAAGAUAAUAGAAGUUUUUGACAAAAUUUGAGUAAAUUGACUGGAAUCGGGUCCGGUUCCUCUUCCUGGUCCUUUCUAUUAAAUAAGAAUUCCUGUACAAUCUAUUUUUGGUAAACCCCUAUAUAUACUUGAUUGAUUGACCUAAUAUACAGCUAUGGUAACUGAUUUUCUAUUCUAGGUAAGAAAUAUAUACAGAUUUUAGCCAUAAUGUCUGUCAUAAUCUGCCAUAAUCUUUCCCAUAACCUCUGCCAUAUAAUCUGCCAUAAUCUUUCCCAUAACCUCUGCCAUUGAUACCAUUGAUAUCCCCUCUCAAAUUGAUGCUGGCUGAUCAACAAGCAUCAAUUUGUCAACAAGAAAGUGAUGACGAUUUUUGGAGAGAGCUUUAGUAAACACAUUCGCAAUCUGGAGAUCAGUGGGGAUAUGCGGAAGAGAGAUGACCUGAGCAUCAUAUGAUUCACGAAUAGAGUGACAAUCCACUUCAAUGUGUUUGGUACGCUCGUGAAAUACUGGAUUAGCCGCAAUUUGAAUUGCACUAGUGUUGUCGGCAUGAAGCGGUGUAGACCCUUUUUGAGGAAACCCGAGCUCACCUAACAAUCCACGGAGCCAAACAAUUUCAGAGCAUGCAGAAGACAUAGCACGAUACUCAGACUCCGUAGAAGACUUAGACACCCUGUCUUGCUUCUUGCUUUUCCAGGAAACGAGAGAAGUACCAAGGAACAUGCACCAACCAGUAACUGAACGUCUAGUAUCAGAACAACCAGCCCAAUCAGCAUCACUAUAUGCAAUCAGGCGAAUAGGAGAGUUUGCUGGAAAGAAAAGACCACGAGAAGAAGUGCCUUUCAAAUAGCGAACAAUGUGGCGAACAGCUGCCAAAUGAAGGUGCCGAGGUGCUUGCAUAAACUGACUAACUUGUUGAACAGCAAAAGAGAUAUCAGGGCGAGUAAUAGUCAGGUAGUUUAGACUACCCACCAACUGUCGAUAUAAAGACGGAUCAGAGAUAAGAUCACCUUCAUCAUGACGAUACUUAACAUUCACUUCCAAAGGGGUAUCAAUGGAUCGACCAUCUUGAAGACCAGCCAAAGCAAUUAACUCCCGAAUGUAUUUGUGCUGGGUUAAGAAAAUACCGGUGGAACUAGAAUAUACCUCAAGACCUAAAAAAUACUGUAAAGAACCCAGGUCCUUCAUAUGGAAACAACGUUGAAGUUGGUCUUGAAGUUGAGAAAUCAAUGCAUAAUCAGUCCCGGUAAUAACAAUAUCAUCAACAUAUACAAGAAGUAUGACAAUGCCUUUAGAUGUCUUGCAAAGAAACAAAGAGGAAUCAUACUGGCUUUGGACAAAGGAGAAACCAAGAAGUGUGGAACGAAAUUUAUCAAACCAAGCACGUGGAGCUUGUUUCAAACCAUAGAGUGAUCGUUUCAACUUACAAACAUCACCUGAAGGUGUGGAGAAUAACCCUGGUGGUGGAGUCAUAUAAAUGUCUUCUUUCAGAUCUCCAUGUAAAAAGGCAUUCUUAACGUCCAUCUGUCGCAGUGACCAUCCCUUAGAAGCAGCAAUGGCAAGAACAAGUCGUACCGUAGUCAUCUUUGCUACAGGAGCAAAUGUCUCCUCAUAAUUGAUUCCAUAUUCCUGUCGAUUACCAAGGGCCACCAAUCUCGCUUUAUGUCUAUCAAGCGUUCCAUCGGACCGUAGUUUAAUGGAAUAGACCCAUUUACAGCCAAUGGGUUUUACACCAGUAGGACAAGGUACGAUGUCCCAAGUAUGAUUCUCCAAAAGAGCUUGAAGUUCUUCGUCCAUAGCUUUUACCCAACAUGCAUGUUUAGUUGCUUGAGAAUAAGAGGAAGGUACUGCAGUGUCAACUAAAGCGGCAGAGAAACCAUACCUAUCAGGAGGUUUGCUGAUACGGGAAGAUCGUCGCAGAGUCACAGAAUCAUCAGAAGUGGUAGGCAGUGGAGCAGGAUCGGGAAGGAUUUCUACUGAUGGAGGUCGUCGACGUUGAUAGACAAUGCCAGGUCUAAAUCGUUGAAUUGGUGGAGAGAUAUCAUCAAAGCUAGGAAGAACAACAUUGUUGGAAGGAAAAGUGUGCUGCGGAAAAUAGUACUCAUGCUCAAAGAAAAUGACAUGUCGAGAGACACGCAAACGAUUAGCAACAGCAUCAUAACAUAAGAAUCCUUUUUGAGUGGUGCUAUAUCCCAUAAAGGCACACCGAACUGACUGAGCUGCAAGCUUGUGGCGCUCAUGAGGUGGUAGGUGAACAAAACAAACACAACCAAAUGUGUGUAGCAUGUGAUAAUUAGGAUGUACACCAAAAAGACGAUAAUAAGGAGAAUCAAAACCCAAUUGUUGAGAAGGCAAUCGAUUAAUCAAAUACACAGCAGUUGACAAAGCUUCAACCCAAAAUCUAGGGGGUACAGAAGAUUGCAAGAGUAAUGUUCGAACCAUAUCCAACAAAUGGCGGUUUUUGCGUUCAGCCACCCCAUUUUGUUGAGGGGUAUAAGGACAUGAUCUCUGAGAUACAAUCCCUUUGCGUUGCAAGUAGGCUUGGAAGUCAUGUGACACAUAUUCCCCACCAUUAUCAGACUGUAAGAUCUUAAUACAAGUGAAAAACUAUGUCUCAAUGUAAGCCACAAAGGUUUGAAAAACAGUAAACACCUCAGCUUUAGUGCGCAGGAAAUAUAUCCAUGUGAACUGACUAUAGUCAUCAAUGAAUGUCACAAAGUAUUUAUACUGCGCAUGUGAAAUGACAGGAGUAAUACCCCAAACAUCACUAUGUAUUAUCUCAAAGCAUGCACUAGCACAACCAACAGAAGUAGGAAAAGGUAACAUCUUACUCUUCCCCAAUUUACACACAGAACAACCAAGAGAUGAUGCAUGAGCAAAACCUUGAUCUUUAGCACCAAGAAAACCACGCUUUAUUAAAUCAGAUAAAAUGACAUUAUUUGGAUGACCCAAUCGUCUAUGCCAAAUUUCAGCCUUAUUGUCAACAAUCAUAGAGGCUAAAGAUAAAGUUCUAGGAACAAUAAAUUGCAAUGGAAAUAAUCUUCCCACUCUAGACCCCUUCGCGAUUACCUUCCCCGACAUCUGGUCCUGCACAAGACAACCACCACGAGAGAAAUGUACAUCACAAUGAUUCUCCACUAGCUGUCCAACAGAGAUUAAAUUAGUAGACAACUUAGGAGCAACAAAUACAUGGCGAAAAGAAUGUCCAAUAUCACCAAUAGCUGUAAUUGGAAGAUUACUACCAUUAGCAAUCUGAAUAUUUUGGCAACCAGUAUAUGGCCGCAAAUUUUGUAAAAAAUCAGAUGAACCAGUCAUAUGAUUGGUCGCUCCUGAGUCGAUAAGCCAAGUAGAUGAAGCUGGCUUACCUUGACCUUGAAGUCCAAGGGCAGAAAAUGCAGUAAGAAUCAUCUGCUGGACCAUUUCUGGGGUCAGAACAGUCUGGCUGGUGGUAGAUGUAUGACCAAUAACAGGAGCAUCUGGAACAGUAGCUUGAAAAGCUUGGGCUCGCCUGUUUUCCGGACGUGUAGGACAUUCCUUGAGAAUAUGUCCACUUUGCUUACAGUAACUGCAGAAUUUCUUACCACAAUUGCGAGCAAUAUGGCCAAACUCCUUGCAGCUGUAGCACUGCAUUUGUCCCUUUCCUCUAUUCCUUCCUUGUGCAGCAUAAGCAACAUUGACAACCUCUGAUGUCCCACCAGCUGCACUUAGAAUUGACUGUGUAGCCAAUCUUUGUUCUUCUCGUAACAAUUCACCAACACACACAUCCAAAGAAGGAACUGGAUUUCGAUUCAGCAAUCCACCCCGAGCAGUCUCAAAUUCUGGCCUCAGUUUCAUCAAAAACUGAUCACGCAUGCUAACUUGAUGAACUUUUUGAAAGCUUGCUAAGGCCUCCUUAGGUAUCUCAAAGUAGAUGAUAUCAGAAUAUUCACCCCACAGAUUUAGAAAUGCAGAAUAAUAUUGCUCAAUAGAGAGAUUACCUUGACUGAACUUACUGAUAUCAAGUUCAAGCUGAAAUCGUCUUGCAGUGUUGUGUUGAUGAUAUAUGCGUUUCAGAAAAUUCCAUAUCUCCUUUGCAGUAUUAAAUGAACGUAAGCUGUUCACCAUAUGAGGUUCAAUGGAUGCUAAAAUCCAUGAAAUAAUUCGUGAAUCAUUUGAUUCCCAUUGACUUAUUUCUUUCUCAGUUCCAGAAGCAGUAGAAGACCCAUCAAUGUGACCCCAAAGCUCCUUCCCUUUCAGAAACAUUCUGAACUGAAAUUCCCAUGUUGCAUAAUUCUUCCCUGUAAGUCUGAUACCCAAAAUCUCUGCAGAUUGUCUUCCAAAAGAAUUCUCAGCAGCCAUUCUUAACAAAACUCAAAUGCAAAUCCGAAAUCACAGAUUGAUAAACUAAGAAAUAUCAAAACCAGAAUGUUGAUUAGAAAUCAACCCAAAAAGCUAUAGAAAAAAAAAAUACUCAAAAUAUCUUAUAGAUUCAAAAGGUAGGCUCUGAUACCAUGACAAAAUUUGAGUAAAUUGACUGGAAUCGGGUCCAGUUCCUCUUCCUGGUCCUUUCUAUUAAAUAAGAAUUCCGGUACAAUCUAUUUUUGGUAAACCCCUAUAUAUACUUGAUUGAUUGACCUAAUAUACAGCUAUGGUAACUGAUUUUCUAUUCUAGGUAAGAAAUAUAUACAGAUUUUAGCCAUAAUGUCUGUCAUAAUCUGCCAUAAUCUUUCCCAUAACCUCUGCCAUAUAAUCUGUCAUAAUCUUUCCCAUAACCUCUGCCACAAUCUCUACCAUUGAUACCAUUGAUAGUUUUUGCUUGUGUCUCCAAGGACAUGACUGUAAAAGGAGAAAUUUGCAAACUAAGUCUUUAAUUUUGUUCAAAGUAAAAGUAGGUCUGUAAUUGCUAAUAUGUGGUAGUUACCACGAUAUGAGCUAGUUUUGCCUCUAAGAAUGAUGAGGAUUGGAUUGCUGUUCAAAAUGCUUAGAAGAUAUGGAGCUUCUACGUCUAGAAAUUCUUGCCACAUGGUGAAGAUCAUUGGUUUUUGCCUGCGUAAGACAUGCAAGACAUAGCUAUGUGAUUAUAAGUUAGUGUAAUAGGUUCGUUGGUGUUGCCUAAGUUGGAUACUUACUCUUGAUUUAAGACAACAAAUUCUUGAAUUGCUGUAUUUCCUGUUCGUCGUGAUAUAAUUCGACGAGGGAGAGCCCCAACUGCUGCACAUAGUAUAGCUGUGAAAGUUGGAGUCAGUGUUAGCAAAUAAGAAGGUAUUAAUAAUGGAUUAUACUUGAUAGUGAAGAAUGGAAAGUACUUAUUGGAUCUCUUUCAUUGUCAAUAUGCAGAUGAAAAUCCGCAAAUGGAGUAAAAGAUUAGCACUCAUCAACUGCAUAUUGAUCUUGCUUGUCAACAGGCUGGAUAAAAGUGUUUCUGCUGAGAGUUAAUUGGUACUUUGAUGCAGCAACUCUGAAGUUAUCAUUUGUUAUUUCUUCGACCUUUGCAUUUGCUAUAUAGUAUGUAUUAUAAAGAUGCAAGAUUUCAUUGACUGCUUCUAUUUCUUUUGCGUAAGCAAUUGCUUGAAUUGUGUUUUUCUGCAAUAUUGGAAAAAGUUUUCUGUUAGUACAGAUAAAUUAAAUUAUAUGGGAUUGAUGAAUAAAUUUAUUAUAGUACUAUAAUUACCUCACUAUCCAUGAAGCCAUAUCGUUGGAAUGUUGUGUAGCCAUCUUUGCUCCUUCGAAUUGGUGUUUUUUCUAUUAAUAGCAGCUUUGUCACCCAAUCUGUUGAUGCGGAGGUUAUUUGACUGAUAGGGAUGCAAAGGCUUUCAAUUUCACUGCAAUGGGAAAAAAGGAAGUUGUAAAGUACAUGUAACUAUUUAUUAGGGUAAAUACUAAAGCUGAACAUGUAGCUUGCAAAAGUAUGGAAGCAAAUAAUAUAGUAUUACUAAUGCUUGUGUAUGUCAAAACAGGUAGAAAGUUAAUGUCAGGGAAGUGCUAUUGAUGAAAGUAUUUCUUCAUAAACAAUAUUUCUAGUAAUAUUUGUACUUGUUAGUGGCAAGUUCGGUGGGCUAAUGAGAAUCUUAAUAUUAUUAGCUGUUGUUGCUCUUGAUAAAGCAACAUAUAACUGGCCAUGAGAGAAGACUGGUUCUUUUAAAUAUAACCCAACAUAGUCAAGUGUCUGUCCUUGAGCUUUGUUGAUUGUGAUGGCGAAGCAUAAUCGGAGUGGAAACUGAGUUCUUUUAAAUGGGACAGAAGCAAACUGAUCAUCUGAGGCCUAUAGAGGAAUUCUGGGAAUGAAAACUGUUUUGCCUGCAAAAGAACCAAAUGUUAUUUCUGCUUGAAUUACAUUAUUGGUGAACUCUUUACAAAUCAAACGUGUUCCAUUAGAUAAGCCUUCAGUGGGAUUAAUAUUUCGCAAGAGCAUGACUGGAGCAUUUUUCUUCAGUAUGAGUUCAUGCAAGGGCAGCCCAUUUGGUUUAGCGAGUCCAACAAAUCUUGAUCCUGGAAAUCAGUUGAAGAUUCUAAGACUUCAUCAUAGCUAAAAUAAACUCUCUCAGUUCCAGGAAACUUUUGAAUCAUUUGGUGAUUGAUUUCAUGAACGAAAUCAUUUCUAGUCAGCAGAAUAGCUCUAUUUAGUAUCACAGAAGGAUCUGUAGCAGCAUGAUCAAUCUGCGGAAAGACAAAGCUUACUAAUGUGUUGAUUGAAGUAUCAUCAUUGACAAAUGGAAUGUUUAUUGAAUUUGAUAUUUGAAUUUUAUCUGCAUCAACUGUUUCUUCAAUUCCAUUGCCAACUCUGAGCAAGAAUUUGGAAAAAUCCGGAUCAUGUUUUGCUCUCAUAUUUUGCUGCAGAUGUAUCUUCUCAAAUCAUUCCAUAAUGGUGACAUUACAAGAGAUGCUUUAAUAAUUUCAUCUCUUGUACCAUGUGUAAUAACUGGUAGUGUCUGGCGAAAAUUACCACAAAAAACGACAACCUUUCCACCAAAUGGAGCAGGAUUAGUCAUGAUAUCUUGCAACAUUCUGCUAAACACUUCAAUUGAUUUUCUUUUCGCCAUUGUUGCUUCAUCCCAUAUAAUGAGUUUUGCAUCUCUAAUCAAUUGAGCAAGUGUACUUUGUUUACUAAUGUUGCAAACUAUGUUUUCAUCAUCUUGAAGAGGAAUUUUGAACCUUGAAUGAGCUGUACGGCCGCCUGGCAAAAUAGAUGCUGCUACACCUGAUGUAGCAGUAGCUAAAGCUAUCUGUUGCUGAGACCGAAUUGUUGCCAGAAGAGCUUUAUAUAAAAAGAUUUUUCCGGUACCACCAAGUCCAUCAAUGAAGAAACACUUUGACUGAUUAUUAUUAAUGCAAGAGAGGAUUCGAUGAUAGGCUGCCCGCUGUUCAACAUUUAGUGCUGAUAUUGAUGACAAAUCUUCUUCAGAGAUGAUUAUAUUUUUCUCUGCCUCAGCUUCUCUCAUUUCUUUAUCAUUCGUGCUGUUUUUUUGAUAAACUGAUGCUAAUCCAACUGUGCUAAUAGUUUUUCCUAUUGAUUGUAAAUGGCUUUCAAUUAGCUGGAGAGCUCUAUUGUCUACCAUUUGUUGAGACAAACUGUUAUCGAGUCGAAUGUCUUCUGAGAGAAAAUGCUUGAAUUUUUGCCAUAAUUCUGUUGGUUCUUUGGGAGCACAGAAUACCAGAAUUGUUGCAAAUAAUUGUCGAAGUGCUGAUGGCAUCUGGUAUACAAUUGCUUCAGACAUACAUUCUUCUGCAAUAUUGUCUCCAUGCGUUAAACCCUAUAGUUGUGCAGCUUGUCUAUAGGAGUUAGCAUGUUGGCCGUUGACUAUUUUCAAAUCUUCAAAAGAAGUGGGCAUUUUCUGGUGCUUUAAUAGAAGUCUUAGGUAGUACCGUUCACCUUCUGAUGGGUGGACACCAGCAAGUCUUCCAACAACAUUUCUUUUUUUUCUUAAAGACCAGAAUUUUGCCUGGCUAUACCAAACAAAAUAUUGUGGAAACUCAGUAUAUACACACUUUAAUGCCUGUGCAUCGGAAUUGUACCUGUUCAUAUAAAAAAAUUCUGUUAGCAUUGUUCUUUUGAUAAUAGGAUUAUUUGCUAUAUUCUUAACUGAUUGACUGUCCGAAAAAGUUAGUGGCUGUUGAUCUUUUAGAUGAACUGGAAGUGUUAUGACCGAAGGAUACAUCUCAUUCAAAUCGAAGCCAUAAAUCCUCCACAUUGCUUCAGGAGGUGAAAUCCAUCUUGCUGACUGAAAUGACCGAAUUUCGUCCAUCAUCUGUUCCUCUGCUAUAGGGCCAAGUUGGUACAAGAUUCUGUCGUGGCCCUUAUAUAUAUUUAACUGCAUGAAUAGUUGAGCAAAUUUCAACAUUCAUGUGACAGUUAAAUCUUGAUAAUAGAUAUGAAUUGUAAGGGACGAUCCAGCGAUUGUCGAGCAAGAAUCUGCGAAUCUUGACAGUCUUUUUAUCAUCUCGCCGCCGAUAAAUUGGAUAUGAAUUUUGGCCAUGCUUGGUUGAUUCUAUGAAUUCUUUUGGGUAGCCAUGCUUACAACCAGUUCCUUUUUGCAUACAUGGACUAUUUGGAUUCAUUUCUCCACAAGGUCCAUGUAUCAUGUGUUGUGCCACUAGGAAAUGCAAGUGUUGUUGAGUUCGUGGAUUUGGUAGCUCUGCACUGACAAUUCUAUCAUAUGCAUCAGGAUUAUAUAGCUUCGAACAUUGCUUCAAAAUAAUCAAAAAGUGUGCAUGUGGAAGGCCACGCUUUUGGAACUCUAUGACAUAUGUGUAUGCUGCAACCUUGCCAAAAAUCUCCUUUUUGGAUAAUUCAUCUUUUAGCAUCUGCAACUUAGCUCGAAAAACUCGUGAAGUUAAAUCUGACAUGUUUUCUACUUUUUCAGAAGGAAGCAAUUCAUUCUUUAUUUCUGCCCAAUUCUUGUUGCAGGUGAUUGUCAAGAAUAAAUCCGGCUUUCCAUAGCGCUCGCUGAACCAAAGUCAUUGCAUCUAAGAUUCGGCGUCGCAUGUCUCUUGGCCCACCAAUGAAACUACGGGGCAAAAUUAUUCGCUUGCCUAUAUUUGAGGUUGAAGCUUCUCCUCGUGACAAGCUAUCCAAUAGUCCUUGAUAGAUUUCAGUUCGAAGCCGAUUUUGAUUCUCAUCAUUUCGGAAGAAAUCUAAUCUAGAUGUUUCGAUUUUGAUAUACAUGUCGACUACAAACUGCUGAAGCAAUCUGCCAAUAUGUAGUAGCAUUGAUUUGUCCUCUGGCCUCAUCCGUAAUUUGUAACAAUAAUAUUCGCGGCAAGAGACAUUCUUCCUCUUCUUUUUGUUCUGGCUAGCUACUGUUUAAAGGAAUCAAGUUUGACAAAAAGUUAAAAGGAAUUAUAAAUAUGUCUUAUUUCGUAAACAGAUACUCUAGAAGAAAUGGAAAUUAAAUAAAUGGAUAGCAGGAUACCUGCAUUUUCUGCUUCAAUUACCGCUUCUGCAGUCAUAAACAUGUGAGCAGAUGUAAUUAUUUCUCCAUGGCAAGUUUGGCCGGCUGAACUUGAAAAAUAUGAUCGUUCUAAUUUUUCGAUACCAGGGUGCCAUCCUGGCUCACCAUUUGGAAAUAUUAAUGGAUAUUGCAUGGGAUCAUAACAUCCAUAAUAAUGCUUCACAACCUGAGAUGCUCCAUUAAUUGAGUACACCUGAAUAUGCCUUGAGGUAGUCUCUUGAGGUCCUGUCGAUUCAGUCCAAAUGCCGCCCACUUGUGAUAUAGUAGGCUUAUUAUAAAGUUUUUUAUCAACAGCAGGAUUUGACUCAAGGAAGAUGUUAUAUUCAUCCAGAUUAGGGAUGUCUUGCAAGCCACGGAAAAAGGAAGAAUAUGGAUUAAUUCUCAACAUGUCAGAUAGUUUUGAGAUCAAAGUUUCUCGAAAUUUACCUGAUAUAGAAAGACGAUUCUCAAUCUCAUGUUCCGUAUCAUAAAAAUAUAGUUGGACAUUUGUUGGCUUUUAUCCUUCUGGUGGAGUCAGAGGAUUAAUGAAGUGAUACAUUUGACCUUGCACUCUGAAAGUAUAUAUGCCAUUAUAGUUCUUGUUCUAACUGCUUAUCAGUAUGCAUUCCAAUUGAUGUGAAGGCAAACAUGUUAUUGUAACUGCGGACACAAUUUUUGAAUUCAAUAGCUUAUUCUGAAUCAUCAAGAUAUAAAAGCAUCAAUUCUCGCGGCAUUUCAGUCUCUAGAAGCCGUAUUUGACCUGAUGCGCAACAGAAAUUAGGAGGUUCUUGGUGAAACCUUUUUGCUCCACACUAGGUAUAGGGAGGUGCUGCUGGCAAUACUACUGGCUCUUUAGCAAUAUCUUGCAGUACAUCAGGCACAAUUUUUCUUCGCAAUACCUGGGAACUACUUCUUAUCCGAGAUGUACCAACAACGGAAACAUCAGUAUUGGUUGUUGAAUAUGACAACCAUAAACAUUCUCAUGAGCUGGGGUUGUAUUCUGCAAAGAAGUAGUACAACUUGUACACUGUAGUGGGAUAGCAGAAGAAGUGGAAGAUUCAACCAUACUUCCAAUUUGAGCGUUAUGAAUGCCAAUAGAGACAUUAUCAGCUGAAUAUGGUGCUUGAAUAUUACCAUCAGAAACAUUAAUCUGUUCUUCAGAUUGAAUGAUAUUAGAUGAUAAAAUAGUAUUUUUCGAUUCAUCACAACUUAAAUCAGUAGUUGAUGUUGUACUCUGAUGCUCCAGUGGUACACUUUCAUAUGUCGAUUCUGCAACUUCAGGUGGGAUUUGAAUUGCAUUAACUGCAAUAGUGCAUAGGCCACUACUGGAAUUACCAAGCUGCUUAGCUUUAGCAGCAGUAUAGCUUUGACGCCGCCGUCUAUUUCUUUCACGAUAUCGUUCUCCUAAGGUAUUAUACUUUUUUCUUGGUGGCAUUAUUAAUAAGUUACUCAAUUAUUAUAAUAGCAUAUAUCAUUACUAUAUAAAAAGUAUGAAUCUUGGUAGGCCUGUCAAUCGGGUCUAAUGAGCCGGGCUUUGAUGAGUUCAAGCUCAACUCAUUUAAUUUGAAUCAUUUUCGGGUUUCGGGCUAUGAGUUUCGGGUUCGUAAAUGUGAAGCUCAUACUCAACUCACAUAAUAUUCAGGUUGUGAGCCUUAAUCGGGUUUAGCCCAAACUCACUUAUUACUCCUUAAUUUUCUUAAUAUAAUUACUAUAACUAUUAAGUUGUAAAACUAAUUUAACAUUUACAAGACUAUAAUAUUAAAACUAAAUAUGAACAAAUAAUAGUUCUUAAAACGUAUAUAAACAAAAAAAAUUUCAACAAUAUUUAUAUUUAAUCCAUUCAAAAUGCAUGAAAAAUAGUAAUAAAACAUGCGAUCAUAAGCCAAUACAUCUUUAAAAGUUGAAACUUUUUUUAUAAUCUUGUGAUUUAAAUCCAAAUAUGCUUGAUGAUUUUUGUGUUUGUAGACCAAAAAAAAAUCAACCAAUAUUAUGCCAAUACAAAAAUUUACUCAACCAAUAAGAAAAAUUAGAGAUUUAGUUAUGCAUUACCAAUAUUGGCUCUCAAGAAAGCUCAUGAAAGAGUUUUUAGAUGUAUAUUUGUGUUUUGUAAUUUAUGUAUAUAUUUAGUAUUUAGUAAUAAUAUAUUUGGAUAUAUAAUUAUACAUAAUAUCAAAAUAUAAAUAUUAUAUAUAUAGGUAAUUAAAGGGUCGGGCUUAUAUCGAGUUUGAGCCUAAUAAGGCCCAAACUCGGCUCACAUUUAAUUUGGGCCUAAUUUUUAGGCUCAGACUCAGACCGGCUCACUAAAUGAUCGGGCUUUUUGUCGAGCCGAGCGAGCCGAGCUCGGGCUGGCCCAGUCCCAUUGACAGUCCUAAAUCUUGGUAUGAGGGAGUGUAAGUGUAAGCACUUUUUUAUCUUAGUUUUUGUUAUCCCUAAAUUACCCUCACGUCUUUUAAUUAGAAUUAUUUCAUUUUAAUGUAGCACUAAUUAAAAGAAAUAAAACACUCCAAUUGAUUACAUCUUAAUAGUAUUGGUAAUUAUAAUUAAAACUAUUUACCUACCCUUAGACUCUAUCUCCAAUUAUUAUACGCAUCAAAAUUUCUUAAUUGAAUUAUGAAAAAUUUCUCAUUAGUCAUUAGUUGAGAUUGUAAAAGAAAAAUCAAUGUCAAAAAAUAGACAUUCUCUAGAAAAUGGAGAAACAUAUAAGGAGGAGAAUCCUUAUCCAUCUGUACAUCUUUAUACAAACAUCACGAGCAAAUUUUACAAUUAUGCACUUUUUACCAAGAUUCAUUUUCUAUAGUAAUGAUGAAGAAUUUUUCAUCUUGCACCAAAAAAUGAUGACACCUUUAUAACUGAAAUAGUAGUAUUAAACUAGAAAAAAGAAAUAUAACAUAGCACCAUACAAACCACUAUUAUCAUUAAUAGCAACUGAUCAAAACAAGAAGAACUGAAAAAAAAUUGAAAACUAUUAAUAAAAUGACAUAAAGUAAAUAGCAAAUGAAUUAAAAAGCUAGAAUACAAUUCAAAUAAUACCAAAGAUAACAUCCAAAUCGUUGAUAUCCAAGGAAAGACAAACAUUGUUAUUGACAAUAAUAUAGUAAUACUUCAUUUGUAUUGGUUUGAGCAAACCAAGUCCAUCCAUCAAGUCAAAAGCCAUCUCUAAUGAUAAAAUAAGAAUUAUAAUAAGAGUAAACUUAAAAUGAGCAAUGAUAAAAUGGAAAUGAUAUCCAAAUUGUUAUUGGUUAUGCUCAAAAUACCCUUUUUUUUCUAAUGAUUACAUGUAUUUAUUGCAUUGCAAUAUUAGUGAAUAACGGAAGAGGUUAUGAAAUGCAAAACUUUAAAAUUAAGUAAAUUUCAUUUAUGGUGACAAUUGUAAUUAGAUAGAUUUAGUGCAUUCCAAUAAUUUAUAAUAAUGAUAGCGGUUAUGGAUUAAAAGUUGGCAAUUAAAAAAUAAAACAUUGCAAUAUACAAAAAUUAAUAUUGAAAUUGUUAAUUAGCCAUAAUUCUCAUUCCAAUUGCAUGAUUAUCAAAAAAACGAUUACUAAACCAAAAAUACUGUACUCAUAUGAAAAAAGUAGACUUGUUGCUUUUGCUCCGCAUUGGAUUGUGCUAAAAAUAUGCAUAAAAUAAAAGGAAAAUAGACAAACUCCAACUAUCUCUAUCUAUAAAAUUUUAAUUGUCAGAAUGUAUAAGCCAAAAAAACUUUACGUGGUGGAUCAUUUAUACUUCAUUAUUGAUAAAAAUAGAAUUAACAUAAUACAAAGAAUUCAAAUCACAUGUAUGUUUAUUUUUCUUACUUAAUUAUAUUCUUCAUUUAUAAAAAAUUGUAAUGAUUGUGGUUUAUGUGCAAUCAAAUCAUGAAUAUACAAUAAUUUUGGUAAAAUAUGAUAUUAUCAAUAUUUGAUAUGUUAGAGUUCAAACUAUAAAUCAAAAAGUGUUUGGUUCAUAAUUCCAAAUUCAAUCCUAAGGGAGUCAACUACAUUGGAAUGCUUUUUGUCUCUUUUCAUUUAAUAAAGUUUUUAAAAGUAACUAGCUUAAAAAAAUAAAUAACAUAAAAAUGCUAUAUUACGAUGUUGAUUAUCAAAAUUUUCAUAAAAAAAUUUAGUAUAAAAAAAUAAUAUAUUUUAAAACAUUACAAUCACGUGCAAAGUACGUGAACUAUUACUAGUAUAAAUAUAUAUGAGGACGCUAAGAACACAGAUGAUGAUAUGCACUAUGAACAUCAGACGAUGAUAAUCAAGAGAAGAAAUUAAGAACACAAAUUAGCAGUGCAGUUAAGUAAAUUAAACUAACCUUUGAACGACUGCCAUUUCUGAAUAGCUGUAGCCAUAGAACUGUUACAAUGACAGUAAAUACUGAUUAUAUUAACACAAUGCUGAAUACUUGAAAUAUCAGAAACGUUGACGAUAUAUUACAUACACAUUUAAAUAUGACAAAAGUUGCAGUGUAAAAAAUAAGGAAGCUAAACAUAAACAAAACCAUUAAAAAGAUCCAAAGUAAGAAAGAAGACAACACUUUCAUCAGUAAAAGAACAAAACAAGACAGAGUAAUUUGUCAACCAAAAUCAGAAGUUCGAAUACUAACCAAAAACAGACCAGCUUUUGUCACAAAGCAGAGGUGAAUGCAGUUUCAAUCACUGAAAGCACAGCAACAACAGUAAAGCUAAGCAACAAAUGUCCAACACCGAUCUAUUUUAUACCAGCAUUAUCAGUCCCACCCUUCUGACAACAUAGCACCACCGCUUGGUGCAAAGUGCAAUGCAAGAACCCAGCCUAAGAUUAGAAAGACAGAAUUGGUCUUAUAACAGAGCACCACCGCACCGCAUCAUUAAUAUAUGCAUACUUUUGAAUAAUCUUGUCCUGGACCAGCCUAGAAUGACUAAAUGAUUCUAUGCAAUUCCACAGAUGGCCAUACACGGAAGCUGCCAAUUGUCCAAAUAUAAUGAUCAUUUAGCAAAACUUAUCUAUAUGGAAAAGAUUCAGAUAUCUUGGAAGUUGGAAGUAGCAAUUGUGCAGAAAUAAUAUAUCCAUUGUAGUAGGAACACCGCACCGCACCGUACAACCCAUUAGCAUAAGGUUCACAUGAAAUGACCAAACAAUCCACACACUAAUGGGGUUGAUAGGGGACGAAAGUCACUGUUCAUCUCCUCAUUCGUCCCUUUAUACUAUUAGGAUAGGAUUAGGAUAGGAUGUGCACCAUGUUUUAUACAUUAAAAAUAAUUAAUUCGUUAAAAAACUGAGGGAAUAUCAAUACUGAUACAGUUGUACAACUGCUACUUGUAUUAUAUAGCAGACCAAUAGCGGCAAGGAUCAUAGGCUUGCGAUUGUUGAAGCAAGGGAAAGAACCUUCAUGGAUUCAACUGCUAAUUCCUUCAUAUUCCUUCCUCUUUUCCUUCUACCGCCUCUCUUCUGGCUCAUCCUAAAUUACAUCAAAAGUAGAAACCAAUCUCUUCCUCCCGGCCCAAAGCCAUGGCCGAUUGUUGGAAAUCUCCCACAAAUAGGAAGCAAGCCUCACGUUGCAUUAGCCCAACUAGCCCAAGAUUACGGCCCAUUGAUCUCCCUCCGGCUAGGGAGUCAACUUGUGGUUGUUGGGUCAACCCCGGCAGCGGCCACCGAAAUCCUCAAGACCCAUGAUCGGAUACUCUCCGGCCGGCACGUCCCACAUGUUUCAUACGCCAAGAGUCCCCUUAUGAACUAUGUUUCAGUCGGCUGGACUUAUGAGUGCACAGACCAAUGGAGGUUUUUACGUACACUUUGUAAAAGUGAAAUUCUGGGUGCAAAAGUGAUCGAAAACCAGUCCCAUUUGAGAGAGCAAAAGGCGAAUGAGUUGGUCCAGUUUUUGGUUUCGAAGGAAGGCCAGAGGAUCAAGAUUGCAGAAGUUGUAUUUGUUUCUGUAUUCAAUUUCUUGGGACAAAUUUUUUUCUCCAAGGACUUCAUAAGUUAUGAUGAGGUAGAAAAUGGUGGUGGAAUGAGCGAGCUUAUAAGGGAAGUCAUGGAGCUGUGGACAGCCCCAAAUAUAUCAGAUCUGUAUCCAGUUUUAGGUGGACUGGACCUCCAGAGAUUAAGCAAGAAGGCUAGUGUAUGUCACAACAAAAUCUGCAGUGCAUGGCAAGAGAUCAUUAGAGAGAGAAGAGGGAAGAAAUACCAAGAUUCAACGAGGCAGAAAGAUUUCUUGGAUGUGUUGCUUCAGAAUGAUUUCUCAGACGAUCAGAUUAAUUACUUGCACCUGGUAAGAACUCUCUUUCCUUCCUCUCUUUCUCUUUAUCUGGUCAACAACCUUAAAAAAUAGGGAUAAUUUCACAAACUUCCCCUGAGGUUUAUAAUAAUUGCAGUCACCUCCCCUUAAUUUUUAAAAAUUACAUCUACCUCCCCUACUUUAACUAUUUAGGUAACUUAUAUAGACCCAAUAUACUACAUUUCUCUUCAAAAAUCCUAAUAUACCCUUAUUGACAUAACAACAAAGAGAAAAGGUUAGUUUAAUCAUGUACAAUUUCUUUUUCUAAAACCACCGCAAAUUUGCCACCAUACCAAGCCAAUCGAGCAAACUAUUAUUUAUAACUCAGUCUUCAUUUCAAGUGAUUUUAACAACUCAGUCUUCAUUUCAAGUGAUUUUAACAAUAUUUGCAGCCUUAGAAUCAUUUUGCAUCCCAAAGGCUUUCACUAAAAACUACGAGAUCAAAUAUAACCCCACUUAAAAAAAUCUAAAAGCUUGCUUAUAACUUUUUCAACCUCCUAGCAAUAGCUAAUCUAGCCCAUCACCACCUAUAUGUAGGCCUGUCAACGGGUCGGGUCUAGACCCGGAUCCGGACCGGAUCCGUAAAAUUAUUGCGGGUAUGGGUAGGGAUUUAAUUUCGUUUUUCGGAUCCGGAUCCGGAUCCGUUUUGUCAAACAAAAAACGGGUCGGAUACGGAAUAUAGUAUUGCGGCCCGUAUCAGACCCGAUCCGGAUAUAAAUGAAUUAAUAAUUUAAAAAAUAUAUAUUUAUCAAUAUAAUUUGAUUAGGGUGAUGUAUUUGAAUAAAGUCAAUUUGAUUUCUUUUCUUAUUUGGUUUUUUCUUUGCAUUAGUUAGAAAUUAGUUUACAAAUAUAUAUUUUUUUCAUUUUUAUUAGAAAUUAUAAAUUUUGCUAAAUUUGUUUGGGUAGACCCGACCUGGAUCCGAAUCCGAAUCCGGAACAUAGAAUAAAAGACCCGUCGGGUAAACGGAUCGGAUCCGGGUCCGGAUCCGGAAUAAUGAAUUCCGACCUAGACCCAGCCCUACCUAUAUGGAUACUAGAAGCAAUCCCACCGUGACCCAAAGAGUAACCCAUUAUUACUCCAUAAUCUCCAUUAGAGACUAAUCCUAUUUCCAUUAAAAAAAAAAAACCAUUGUUCAUGGUAGCAAAUCAAAAACAAAAAGAUGAAUUUUUCAUUUUUGUUUUUCAGUUUUUCGGCAACAAUUGCAGUUAUGGAUAUCUAUUAAAUUUUUUUUAUGGAUAUCUAAUAAAUUUUUUUGAAUAAAUAGACACAACAAUAUACCAAUCAUCAAUCAUCCGAUCCCUCUUACUUUCAUCAAUUGGUUUCAAAUUUAUUCUUUAGAUUAUACGACAAAUGGGAAUGUUUUGCUGGUUGUAGUGGUAUGGUAUCUUUCUUUAUGAAUCAACUAAUUAAGUGAAAGACAUUCUAGUAAUUUUGUUGCACCAAGAGAGGUCAAUGUAAUUAUGUAAACCUAAGGAGAGCUGAGUGAAAUUGUCAAAAAUCUCAAGGGAGGUUUCUGAAAUUAUCCCUAAAAAAUAAGGUUCUAUGUUUCAUUUUCUUAUGUGUCAUUUUACAUAAAAUACUUGCACCUAAUCUGAGCACUUGUUAGUUUAAUUCCCACAUGGAUAUUUAUUUAUUUGCAAGUCAAUGCCGUCCUCUUUAACUUUUGCAAUUGUCUAACCGAGAUUGGAAUGUGUCUUAUGCAACGUGGAUGUCAAUAACAGUUGAAUACAGGAAAUUUGCACAUGCUACGUAUAUCUAGAUGCACUAGCGUAUAUAUUGCAAAUAUAUCAAAGAUUAAUUCAUCUUGUAGAUCAAGACAUCAAUCCAAACUCAAUUUGCACGGAUAUGUGUAAUGAAAUGCAGUUUCCUAUUGCUGGCCCACCCCAAACAAGCACGAAAAAAAAAAAGGAACCCUAUUACAACUCGUCAAGUUUAAUUUUUCGCUCAUGCCAUUCUAUUCAAAGUUCAGUGGAUAGUUAUUACUCCAACAUAAUUGAUUGUCUUAUAAGAUGGAUGGAAAAGAAAUUAUUUGAUUUUUUUCUUUUUAAGUCAUGACAUGCAUUAUUGAGAGAAACGAAUAAUAAUAUGUCAAUAAGAAUGGCAUAUGAAUGGGACAGAAGACUACUGCUUAUUAAAUCAGCCUUGGAGGAUUUAAUUUUAUAUCUGGUGGGACAGGAACUAUUUGCUGCAGGGUCAGAUACUAGCACCUCCACGGUUGAAUGGGCGAUGGCCGAAUUAUUAAGGAAUCCCAAAUUCUUAGACAUGAUUCGGCAAGAACUUGAUCAGAUAGAAUUCUCAGGGGAAAAUGUGAUAAAGGAAUCAGACUUAACCAGGCUUCCUUACCUACAAGCAUGCGUUAAAGAAAUCUUGAGAUUACACCCUCCCGCCCCAUUGCUUCUCCCCCGUCGUGCCACGGAAACAUGUCAAGUUAUGAACUACACUAUCCCAAUGGGGACUCAAGUUUUGGUGAACGUAUGGGCCAUUGGAAGAGAUCCCAACAUCUGGGAAGAUCCAUCAAGCUUCAAUCCAGAGAGGUUUCUCAGUUGUAACUUGGAUUUCAAAGGGAAUGACUUUGAAUUCUUGCCUUUUGGUGCUGGAAGGAGGAUGUGUCCUGGGUUGCCUAUGGCAGCUAGGCAAGUAUGCUUGACCUUGGCUUCUUUGAUUUACCAUUUUGAGUGGUCUCUCCCAGACAACAUGCUACCUCAACACAUGGACAUGAGUGAAAAAUUUGGAAUAACACUGCAAAAGGAGCAGCCUUUGGUCAUUAUGCUGAGCCGCAGAAAAUGAAAAUCCGUGAACAGAAUAAUUUACAGUAGCAUUCUCAUCAUUAUUUGCAAGAAAAUGGACUGUAAUUUGUGAACACAGUUUUGAGUUUGUCGAGUUUCAGUAAGUUCACUGUCCAUUGCAGAAUUACCAUCUCUAUGAUGUAAAAUUAAGUGUCACGUUAUUGCUGUGCCAGCCAGGAACAACAAUUUUAUGCGCCAAAGUAACAAGAAGAAUAACAACAAAGAAAAUUCACUGAUUCAGAAAUUUCUUCACAAAACGAAUACUAUCAUUAAGCACUGAGUGAAAUAUAUAUAUAUAUAUAUAUGGGCACGUAGAUGAGCAGAGAUGGGAAAAGAACCAUCAAGAACAACGUGGCUUCGUAAUUGCCAUCAUUCAAUGCACAUGACACACCAUUGUCAUCUAACUGCAUCAUUCUCAAUCCCAUAACCCGUGAAAAGAUUUGGUAUUCAACCUUUUUUUAUAUGCAAGCAGGUAUUAAGAACGCAAGAGUAAUUCUAACAUUUGAAUCAACCACGUUUGUAAUUCUAUUUUUUUUCAUUUUGACAUUCGCCUGAGCUCCUAGAAUUUAGAUUUCUCCCAAUCAAAAAAGUCAUGGCUUGGAUCAUCUAUCUAUUAGUCUCCGUAGGGUCCAAAUUCUGAAUUUUAAAGCACAAGGCAUGUAUCAACACCCACUGGCAACAUUUGUAUCUUUUUGAGACAUUUGAAUGAACAGAAUUGUUUUCAUCAUCCAAGCCAAGCAUAUACAGAAAAUUUCACAAAAUUUUAUUAAUGAUAAAACCCAAAAAAAACCUGGACAAAUUAGUGUAAAUGUGAACCGACCCCAAUAAAAUACUGUAGGAUGCAAAGAUUCACGUUUCUAUCCAAGUACAAGCAGAAUGGAACUGGUCAAUAUAAUAUCUACCGGACAACAUCAAGAAGGCAGGCAAACAGCAUUGUCUAAUCAGCUUCAGACACCAAAAAGCCUCAACUGUAAAGACAUCUCGUACAAGGUAGUUAUCAUCUGCUAUAACACUAGGUAGAGUUUGUUCGCCUUCAUGAUGAAUAGACCAGGGAAUGUUCUUUCACAGUGCUAGGUUACUGACUUCUCACAAUGAUGGCCCGACAACCCUUCCCAGCUUCUCUCUACCUAAAACUCCCCUUCCCAGAGAAACCAAACUUUGAUACCAACAUUUGGCAGUAGAACAUCAGAAAUUUUAUCAUGGGCAAGAAUUUAACCUUUACAUUGUCGACUUUUUAAGCCGCUUUUGCUGAGAAUCAGAGAUGUGGAACAUAAGCUGCAAUUACCAGUUGAUAGGUUAGUUAUACUCUUUGUAUGAAGCAUUUAAGUCAAGCUUAAUAACCAAAUAUUCAUAAGUUUCUUUACCUUGGUCCCAAUAUAGAAGCUAAUAAGCAUGCCACCAACUGUAGGUAAUCCUGCAUUAUCAGAACAUACAAAUUAAAGUUGGCAGUGUGAUGUCUCAAACAAGAUUAGACAGAAAAGCAUUAACCUUCUUUACGGAGAAACCCAGAUAUCAACCAAUUAAUGCCUGAUGGCCCAAUGACAAAUCCAACAAGAUUCGCCACCUGCAGAACACAAUUUAAAACUUCUGUUGCAGGCUUUUCACGUAGCAAAAGCUUAAAAUUCCGAAGGCAAAAUAUUAGAAGACAAUAGUACACAGCUAGGAGAGUAAAUCAAAGUCAUUUGACAUAAGGUGCUGGAUGAACCAAUCAUACAACAGUCUAACAGUAUUCAUCGUAACUCUCAUGAUGAAUAUUCAUUGGGAUUAGUCACAGAAGACUUGUUAUAAUCAGACCGGUAACUUGUAUUACAAACCUAAUGAAAGUCAAAUGUCUUAAUAUUUGGAAGUGAAGCAAGUAGUUUAGCAUGUGUUACAAAUCUAUUGUUGAGACAAAUGAGGUAAAAGUCAUACAUAAAUUACCAAGAAAAAAGAAAGAAGCCCAAAAGAGAUGGAAACUAUGCACAGGAGCAGAGGUUAGAGUAAGCAAUUGUACCAUUUCAGAGAUUUUGAGGGAAAAAUACUGCCCUACAAUAACAGUGUAAGAUAGUUUCAUCUACCAUCCUUCUCUCUCUUCUCACAGUAAUCCAAGUUUGAUAGCUAAAUAAUCAACAAUUUCAACACAAUUCACAUAAUGUAAAGCACCAUCAGCAUAAAUUUUGUUUAAUAACAUACUACUUUAGCUCAAGCACGAACGAGGAGAAAACAGACCAUGAGACAAGUGAUGGUAACAGCACCAGCAACUGCAUUAAGUUCGCGUAACAAGAAUUCCCCAAAAACACUCUGCACCUGGUGACAGAGAAUAUGAAACUUGAGACGACAAAUCACGAAAAAAAGUUGCUUCCUAAUUCCAUCACAGUCCUUUUUCUUAGUCUCAUAAUGCUUCCAGAAUGGAAAAGUAAAUGUGAUCUGACAUGAUAUCAUUUCUUGUGAAUGAGAUAAAGUAUUUAAUUACUCUAGAGGCUACUUUUUAGUUUGUUUAAUAUAACAUCUCCCUUUGCUGAAUAGUAUGUCUUACGGCAAUUAUGCUGAUACUUUCAAAUACUCUUGAUUUGCAAGGCUGGAAGCUAGUCCAGUCUUAUGUCACAAAGAUAAUAAGGAAGUUUAGAAUCAAAGACGGUAAUACUGUUCUCCUCAAUUCAAAUGGUUAUUGCACAAUUGAGUUUUGCAGAAAAUUCUCACACCUUAAAAGUGUUAGCUGCUGACUUAACAAGAAUCUCUGGUAUGAAGAAUAGACAAGUCAACCAUGCCCAGGAAAGAAGUUUCCUGGAUCCAAAGAUGAUUAUCAGUCACAGGGGAAAGGUCAAAAGACAAAUGAUAACUUGCAAAACAUUAAAGAAGUAAUACCACUCUAAAUCAUGCCAUAUGGCUACAAACGUGAAGACAACCCAAACAUUUAGCAGCUUUCUUUGAGCACCUCCAAGGGGAAUAUACAUAUACCUUUAAGCAUAAGCCAAGGACUAUAUCAGCCCAGAGAGACAGAGAGAGAGAGAGAGAGAGUACAAUAAAAAAAUAAACAGCAAAGCCAUCUACCUCACAAGCCAUUUGUUGUAGGAAGCAUGCCAAUUUUUCCAAAAAGUCUCAAGAUUGUAACAAUUAUUUAAGCACCUUGGCAUAUUCUCAGGGGCCUCAAUGCCACUGAUCUACAUGGAUAUCAUAGCAAAGUAGAAAACCAUGAGGCCAAGAAUAUAUCAUAAUUGAAAAUGCUAAAAGGUCUAGAUCUAUGUUCUUUAAAUAUCCCCAUACAAGAACAACAUGAGGCAUCAGCUAUGAAGAAACAUAUAUGCAGGCAUAUACGUAUUAGCUUCACAAACCUACCAGUGACCAGAAUCGAAAAUAUCGCCACAGGAGAAAGAAUUUCAGCCACAUGAAGUUAAGGACCUGCUAGUAGAAGUGCAGAUUGUCAGACAUGUUGCAGUUAGAAGAUAAAAGAUCUAAGCUUCUGAAAUAUCACUCAGCAGGAGGAUUAGACAAAUUUUGCAAAGAGGAAAUAUGAAAAACUUUCAGGAAGCAGCACUCUGUUUGGCUUCAAAGUAACAAAUCAAAGACUAAAGCACGCUCUAUAAGUCAUCCAUCAAUGUUAUAAUGGCUAUGCUAACCGUUGACUCUGAUUAGUUUCAGCAUUGUCACAUUGUAACCUAGAAAUCAAAAUCAUAUUGAGGCUUCCACCACUAGGUGAGUAAAGCAACCCACCGAGGGAAUAAUUAAAAAGUACAUAAACCGGACCAUGGAUUCAUUUCCUUCACCAUAUUAUAUAAAUUUAGCUAUCACAAAGAGCAACCAGAAACUACAUAAUCACUGAACCUUCUUUUAUCUCUUGCAUAACACAAUUACAGGAUGACUUAUUUGCCACAUUGCUAUUCCAGCUAGGGAGUAACAUUUGCGAUUCUUGCGCUACUUAAAGAACCUUGGCCCUUUGAAGGAUGACGCCAUAUCUGAGCUGGGCAUGUUAUGGAAAUUGGUAAUUGAAAUGACUGAAAUGUUGAACAAUAAUGCUCUGAUAUUACAAUAGCUCUUAAAGUAUCACCAAUUGUGAUCUUUUAAAACUUGCAUCCACUUAUUGAUGUAAUGGACAAUAUCCUGAUAUGUCAAACAUGUGGUUGAUAAACUUUGAAGAUAAGUUUGAUGUAUGUUUUUUAGGAGUUUACAGUAUAUUUGGAAGCAAAAGUACAAGUUGAUAAUACAAAUUGAUAUUGGUCUUUAUAGACCUUGCUUGGAAAUGAAUAAUAUAAUUAGGUCUGGUUCAAAUCCAAAAAAGCAUAAAAUCAUUCAUCACAGUUACCAUUUAAACAUUUGAAAACUUUGUUACUGAUUUCUUGUUGGCAUCCUUAGCAUUUCAUGUCCAUAGUUUCAAAAACCCCUUAAGCUUGUAUAUGAUUUCCAAUUUAUAUCCAGCAUGCACCCAAAAUACCCAUCAAACUUACUAACCUUUUGUCUUACAAUGAGGUCACUGUUUCUAGGAAAAGAAGUCCACAUAUUCUUUUGUAGUAUGAUAAUAGAACAACAUGGUAUCAGAUAACAAGUAGACAAUUCAUUAAUUCUCACAUCAUCAGAGCCAUAAUUACAAUAGAUAUCAGCACUUACCCCGUAACCAAUGAUAAAGUUGUCCAUAGGAGUUAACUGUUUCCACACACCACUAAGAAGCGAAAUCAAAAAAUUCAAUCAGACAUAUACCAUUGAAUAAAAUUGAAUAACAGAAGUAUCGCCAUCCUUAAUCGUGCAAACCACUAACCUGAUGGCAAAAGCAUUGUAGUAAAAGAAAUGUGUCAUUAGUUCCAUCAGGAAAAGGCUUAGAAUCCACCGGAAUCCAUACCAUACCACUUGUUUAGAUGAGUAAUUCUUUUGAGGAGUAUCCAACUGAAAUAACAAUAUAUCAUGUUAGGAUCCUGCAAAUCAUAAACUUCAUGUUGAUUUAUGAAUCCUCCAAAAGACAUAUUUCAUAUGAUUCGCAAGUUGAGGUACAUUCCAAUUACAAGUAGGGAAUUCCAAUAAAAAUCUGUGAAUGUCAGAUAAGAGUUAAAAAUGGAAUGUGGGCUUUUUUUACUUUCAAAUUAAUUUCUAGGAGUCUAGCCAUUACAGACUACUCAUUUCACAAUCUGCACUUGAAUGAUAUAUUGCCAUGACAGCAAAAGACAAUAACUAAUUAAGUUAGAAUGAGAUAAUGCAAUAUAUAGCAUGUUAAGGAGGAAUAGUAAUUAUAAUCCACCAAAAAUAAAUGCUUGCAACAAGCUAAGAGAAAUAGAAAAUUUAAAUGAAAACCACAUUAAAAUCACCAACCUGUGAAGCAAAUGCAUUAAAGCUAAUAAUUGGUCCAGCAAUAUAAAGAGGUGCAUACACCAGAUAACACAAGUACACAGCAAAAGAGAAUUUGUCAUUCUGUACACUUCUCUCCUGACAAAGAUGGAAAGAAAUUCAAAACAAUAUUCAUUUUUUAAAAAAUUUUGACCACAGCUGUAUCACAGAUGAGUGUAUAACAACUCAAGCAAAACAGUAGAAGACCUGUAAUGACAUAUAGCAUAUCUUUCCGGAUAUACAAGUACUGCAACGUUGGAUGUGCUUCUGUCAUGACCAGCAAAUCAAAAAUUAAAAAGGAACUCUUUUGAACCUUGACAACAGAUCUAACUAAAUGAGAACCUAAUACAAGAGGCAUUAUCACUUCAAUAUAGGUGAAAGACUUGACAAACUUUACUCGACUUUAGAUGUAAAGUUACAUAAAUGUUACCCCCACCCACUGCAUUGGAGAGGCGCCUGGGUAGUGGGCCUCCUAAAAACUACAAAAUGCCAAUCGCUACAUAGACAAUCUAGGCAAUGAAAUAGAGAAACAUCAUAUAUCCGUAACUCCAAAACAUGCACCUCUUGAUCAAAUCGAUUAUUUUGGUCCAUCCAGUGGUAGUCAUAACCAUAGCUUAUCAUGCGCAAUACAACUGGCAAGAGAAUGAACAAAGAAAUGUUAAAAAUUAAACUAAAGAAAGGAAUCAAUUUUCCAUUUACAAAUUUGUGGAAGCCAUAACUUGAAAGAAUUAAAAAUGUACAAUUUACAGCAAUCAUGAAAUAAACAUUUUCCUCUCUAGAAUCUAUCUCAAACUAAAAACUCUAUCAUUGAAAAAAAAAAAAAAAAACUCUUAGGCCCUUCAAAAUUUCAGAUAGCAGCUUGAAUAAAAGAAUGUAUUUGCAUGCAGACCCCCUCCCUGAAAAAAUCACUCUUCAGUCUUCAUAAAACACAUAAUUAGUUGUGUGCUUCUAUGAGAUUAAUGGUAGAAAAAUGCAUCACCAAGAAGACAGUGCUUAAACUGUGAUAGCAUUCUUAUCUUUACUAAAUGUUAUAAUAAGGACAAGAAGAUAAUCGAGUAGUCAAUAGAGCAGCCAAAAAACUAGAGUAUGGCUAUUUACGAAUUCAAUUGCUCAAUCUGUUGUCUACCUUUGAGGUUCAAUUUCAAAAUUAUUGACCUUAAAGAAGCAUCACAAACCUACUUUUUGAAGCUAAGAUAAUUGAGUUCUUCCUCCAAUGAUAGGUCAGUAAAACAUGUCAAAAGAGUGUGCCCAAAUUGAGCAUUGAUACCAACCAAUCCAGUCUGGUUUCAAUACAUUAAACUGAUAUAUGCAGGAUCAUGUUUCCUUGACACAUUAAUCAUUACUUGAUUUUGCUAACAAGGUAGAAAAAAAUAAGAAGAAAAUACUAGUAAUUGGUUUCCAGUUUCAAAUAGAAAAGGGAAAGCACAUACCAAAGUUAAAGCAGAUAUGCCAUCUAAAGGUACCACGAAAGUUGUCCAGGAAAGCCCAAUGUUGCCUAUUCAUGAGAACCACCGCCGUAAGACAGUUCAGUAGCUAAAUAUACCUUCACUGGAUUAAAAUGACUAUUUUAAAUCCUAUGGAACUUGAAAGUGAACAAUGCUACUCACCCAAAACUGGAGAAUUGAUAUCCUCCAUAUACACGAUUACAGACCAGAAAUGAUAAAUUGAAAGUCCAAAGCAAGUACGAGAAAUAUUUUGUCCUGCCAAAUAUCUGCAAAAGUGAAUAUCUGGUAAACAAGAACUGUAUCAGAAGACUCAUGUUAAGCUCAAUGCCUUUUUGAAGAGUGCACCAUCAAAGCAUGAAUACCAAUUAUGAAAAACUCUGUAUGUUAUAUCAUAAUAUGAAUAGUAAACAACAUCAACUAAAAUGAAAAUACUCUUUCAAAAGAAAGUAAGACAUUUUCGUGUGUUCCUUCAUAAAAGAAUUAUUGACAUAGAGAGCUAAAGUGAAGAAGUAAACAUCAUUUAUGCAAAAGUGACUUCCUACGUUCCUAAGAAAGAGAAUUAAAAGUGCAAACAUUUGAGUUACUUUAACUAGCAGAAAAUUCAAAAUUUCUACAGAAAAUAAAAUCCAUAAUGCAAUGUUUUAAAUCCCAGCAAAAUAAAGCACUGGUUCAAAAAUAAAUAUUUGAAAUGGCAUAGCUCCAGCAAUACAUAAUUAUCAUUAAAACUAAAAAUUAUGAGGAUGCACUAUCUUGGGAACUGUAAUUGCUGAAUAACGGAAACACAAAAACUGUAUACACCUUCAUAUGAAGAAGUUCAAUGGAAUACAACAUUUGACGACAUACCUUGACAAGCAAAAAAUUGGCUGAAGCAAUGGUGAGAAUAAAUAUGAUGCUACAUGGCAAAAGAAAUUCAAAAUGUCAGAAAGGAGAACCAAUAUUUCCACAGCAUGUAGCAUAGGUAUCAAUAUUGCCAUAAAUAAGGAACAUACCAAGCUCCGUGUAGAUAUGACAAGUAUGCCAAAGAAAUUAGGAGCCAAACAUAUGCCAUGCCUUUCGCCCUUAAACAACAGUAGGUUCUCAAUACAUUAGCUACAAGUGUAAAAAUUCCAAAAACUACAGUAAGAAUUUGUAGAUUCCCUCGAAAGUUCCUCCACUGGGCAUCAGAGGCAUCCUGAAGAGGAAAAAGAGCAAAGGUGAAGCCUACACCAGGCAAAGAAACUUUUAAUUUAACUGUUGAAGUGUAUUAACAGGGAGGCAAUGGAAUAAGCACAGAAAUAAAACAUAUGAAAUAGAUUUCUAGAAAAUUUUCCUACCUGCAGAAGAAUAAUGAUUUACUGACAACAACUUCAAAAGUCAAAUUAUGAUAACUUGAACUCUACAUUGCAACCUUACAACUCCUCAUUCACCAAACUUGAAUCAUCUAGGUCAUCAUCCAAGUCCAUUUCACUUUCAAGCUCUAAUUUAAGCUCAACAGGGGAAAAAAAGUGAGAUUGAUAUUUUGUCACAACUCAACACCAAAACCUCAGGACUCGAGCAUGACUUAGAUAAUUUAAAUAUAAGUCCUUGAGAACAACAUUUGUUUACACAAUUAAUUCAAUUACUCAACGCUCAAUACUAAAAUUUGAGUUCAAGCUUUGCUUAGGGCCCCAACAAAACAUUCAAAGAGAUCGUUUUCAUGCUGCAGCACAAACAAACGCAUAUAAUAAUCAGCCAGAGCUAGAAACCAUGCUUAAUGAGAUCAAAAUAGUCAAGAUAAGCUUAAUGCUUGGAUCAGCUCAGUACUAAGCGAACAACACAGACAUAUUUAAACAAAAAGAAACAAAAAAGGAAAACCUAGCUGAUCAUAGUUCAUGCAAAAUGCUUUUGAAUGCCACCACAGAAAACUCAAAAAGCACAAAAAUAGUAAGCUGUUGCGCUACAAAAGGUUUACUCCAACCCACAAAAAUCAAAAACUAAAAAUUGCAUACAUUUAGGCGAUUAGCGAUCCAGCCAGGACGUAAACCAUAAAGCUUGGUAUAGUAAUCUGCAAUUACAAAUCAACCAUAUCAGUAAAAGAAAAAUGUGUAAAUAGCGCAGGCGAUGAAUUAAUGUAAUUUUGCAAAUAAGCUCGACAUAAAUAGAGAAAUGGGGGAGGGCGGAGAGUACAGCACCAUGGGAGAGUUGGAGAGAGCGACGGAUGACAAAAGCGUAGAAGGCAACGGCAUAAACAAUCAGAAAUGCAAGCUCUCUUCGCCGCCAAUUGCUCUCCGUCAUCGUAUUUUUAUUGGAUCGGAAUUAAUUCCAGCGCCGGAAAAAUUCUAAGAUCCCCUCGGAAGAAUCUCAAACGCCGGAGAUUGUUUUUUGUUCAAGCUGUUUUCAAACGUCAAAACUCUGCAAAUUGCUGCAACGACGACGUUCUUAGUUCUUUACAAUGUUCAAAGUUCAGGUGUUGGAAUAAGUGUGGGAUAAUUUCAUAAACCUCCCUUGAGGUUUAGCAUAAUAUAACUCGUCUCCUUUGAGGUUUUCAAAAUCUCAUUUACCUCCCUUAAGUUAACAUAUCUUAUAACAUUUUAGUAACUUAUUUGGAGGAAAUGCAAGAAAGAUAAAACUUUUAUAUUAUCCAUGUAUUUUGUUGUCUCACCAUAAUCUCGACAUCGGAAAAUAUGGAUCAUUAUUAGAUAUUAAUUUAUUUUUUUAAUCUACAUAUUUUAGUUUCAAUUUUUAUUUUAUUUUAUCUUUUUGGUUAAAUAGUUAUUGACAGCAAGGGUAAUGUUAUUAAUUUGUUAUAUUUGAUAGGAAUAUUUAGUCUUGUCAAGUUGAUAAGAAUAAUAAGUAAAAUUUUAAAAAUUUUAGAAAUGCUGAAUGAUAUAUUGUAGAAAUCAAAGGGAAGGUUUCUGAAAUUAUCCUAAGGGCAGCUCCAAUGGGGGUGUAAUGGCACCCCUCCAUGACACGGCUCCAAUGGGGAGCCGUGUCAUGGAUAUUACACGCAUCACACAGGUGAUGCGUGUAAUCCAUUGAAUUUUCUUCCAAUGGCAACGGUAAAAUUUCAGCGAGGAUUUCCAACGGCAACAUUAUUUCCUAUGGCAACGGUAACAUUUCCAACGGCACUAUUUUUUUAGAAUUCUAUAUAAACACACAACACUUUUUACUAAAAUAUAUCCCAAUAUUCUACUCUAUUAUUUCUUUUAUUCUCUCACACACUUCUACUCUCUCACUCAUUUAAUUCAUUUUUUGUGAUUAUGGAUGAAAAUUGGAGUAGUUUUACAAAUAUGUUAAAUGCUCCAAAUAUAGAAAAUUCAUCAUUCUCACAAAAUCAAAACCCCCAAAAUUUUCCAAAUUACCCAUUUUCUGGUAUUCCUACAAAUGUGCAAAAUUAUGCAUUUCCCCCAAAUUUAUCCACUUCCAAUCAUCCAUCAAAUUUUCAAAAUCUGCCAAAUUUUUCAAUAUUACCUUCAAAGGAAUGCGGAAUUACGUGAUCGAGAAGUACAUCAUCAACUUCGAUCAGACUUGGUCGAGCAUAUUUGGGAACGAUUCGAAGGCAAUGACAAUGAAAACUAGUAUUCAUUUUGUUAUUAUUUGUAUUUUAUUUGAUUUAACUUAUGUAAUAUUAUGUUAUGGAGUUCAACUAAUUACAUUCCGAAUUAUUAAUUAAGUAUGGAUUAUUAUGAUAUCUUCGCAUUUGAAGUAUCAAAUAUUUGUUUAAUUUCCUACAUAAUUAUUUUUAAAAAAAUAACAAUAUAUUAUUUUUGAAACAUAGAAAAAGAUAUAUUAUUCAAACUUAAAAAUUAAUAAUAUCAUUUUUAGAAAAUAAAAAAAUUCAAAAUGUACAAAAUUUAACGAAAGUUAGUACUUUAUUUUUUAAAAAUAACAAAAUUAGUUUUAAAAAUUACUUUAUUUAUUUAUGGGAUAUGAGUUAUGCAUUAUUAAAAUAAAUAUUUGAUUAAUUGUGGACCCAUGCUAUUACACCUUGUGGAGUGUAAUCCAUUGUGAGUGAAAGUGUAAUAAAAGAGGAGAAAGUGGAAUGCUGACGUGGCAUGUGGAUUACACUCCACAAAGAGUUUGUUUGGAUAGAGAGAAUUUGGAUGAUUUAUUUGAGAUAUUUACUGUAGCACUUUUUGUGAUGUGAUGUGUGUGAGAUAAAAAGGUGGUUGGGAAGAUAAAAAGGUGAUUGGGAUUUGUGAGACAAAUUUUUUUUUUCCAAAUUCUCUCUAUCCAAACAAACUCAAAGUGUAAUAGCAUUGUGGAUGCUCUAAUAAGUACUUAUUUAAGUCCAAAUAUAUACGAUGUCGUUUUCUCCUUUAAAUAUUAAAUUAAUAUUUAAUAACGAAUUAGGAGAUUUGGCGCGUAGAAGUUGGCUUUCAAAGUAAGCUACCGGGUAGCGUUGUCCAAACCGCUUAGCCUGAAUUUAAAGCUAACCUAUACUGCAGAACUCUUCACCAUCUAUAUAUAGGGAAGAGAAGAAGAAUCCGGUGGAAGGGACCCAUUUCAUCACCAGAUUCUUGUCAACGUCUCUACCCUUUUUCCUACAACACAAAAGAAGAAAUGAAUAUCCCACCAGUUUCUUGAAUCCCUCAAGUAUCUCUCUCUCUCUCUUUUUUAUCACGUUGUUUGAUCAACUUUCUUGUCAAGAGCCUUUUCAUACGAGAAUCAAACAAGAUGUUCAAUUCUUCUCCAACAACAUAUUGUAAGUUCUCUCUCCCUCUUUUUAAAUUCUUGUUGUGUUUCUGUUCUUCUAUCGUGUAAUUGUAAGUUAAAAAGGGAUGUAUAAAUUUUUUUGUACUUUCUUGCAUUCGGCGUUGUUUACCCAAGAAUCUGCCAAGUAUCUUCUUCUUUUUUUACUUGUUCUGAUUCCGUCUUCGUUGUUCUUCAAUGCCUUUACAACAAAGACUAAUUACUUGGUGGUUUUUCGUUUCCUUUUCUUUUCUUUUUUUUUUCUCUUGAAUGAAUUCCGGAGGAUUGAAAAAUCCCUGCUUUACUUACUUCACUCCUAUCUUGACUAAUUACUUGGUUUGUUUUUCUCUAAUCAACAGCAUUCGGAUUCGGCCAAUCGGCAAGUGCUGCCAGCCCUUUUGGGUGUCAAUCAGGUUUUGGGGCAAACACGGACUUAAGCAAUUCGAACCCUUUUGCGCCAAGUGGUGCAACUCCUUUCGCUGCAUCAACAGGGGCAACCAUGUUUGCUGGAAAUUCGACGACAGGGGCAGGUGCAUUCAGCCAGCCUGCUAUUAGCAGCACCCCAUUUGGGUCUGCUUCAGUAUUUGGGCAAACCACAGGAUCAUAUGCUACUGCAACUGCUUGUGUUAGCGCAUCAACAGGGCUAGCUACGCCGUCCGCAAAUUCAGCAGGUAUUUUUAGUUUUAAUUGCAGCAGGAAAGAAAAGAAAAUAAAAAUCUGCUUUGUUUUUACAUCUUAUUAUUCUUGCUAAUGCGAUUUCUGUUCCUUUAGUUUAUCGCUUAAAGAAAGAUUAAUUAUUUGUUUUGUGUGUUUCUGUUCCUCUGAAGAACAGGAUUCGGCCAGUGGACCAACAGCAGCACUUAUGGGUCUCAAUCAGUAUUUAGGCAGGGUAGCAACUCAAGCAACAAUAACUUUUUUGGCACUGCUGCAACCCCUUUUGCUACAUCAACAGGGGGAAGCAUGUUUUCUGGGAAUUCAACCGGUGCAUUUGGAGCAUCAUCCUUUGCUUUUGGAAGUUCAGCAUCAUCCACAACUGCUCCUUUCUCAACCACCUUUGAAACUUCAGCCUUGCCUUCUACAGGUCAGUAUUUUUGUAAGAAUACAUGUUCUAUUACUGAAUUUUCAUUGUUAAUUGAAUAUGAACUAGUGGACUGUUUUAUGUUUGAAUGGUCACUGUUAAUUAUACUACGGACUUACAUGCUCUGGCAAAUAAUCCUUCAAUUCAUAUGCUAUUUUGGUUGAUGGAUUUAGUCUUCCAAUCAUUCCCCCCUUAAAUAUCAAAAUUGCCUCAGCUGUACAAAAAAUUUGCACUUGGAAUUUGUAUUGUUGUAUGCUUUCUUUUCUGUUUUUCAUUGUCUUAAAAAAGUAACUACCCGUUCUUCUAGCUUAAUGCUGCUGAUUAUGACUUUUGCUUUGCAUGUUUACUUAUUCAAUGAAAAAUGAAGUAAAAAUAUCUCUAAUUGGAUUUUGCUAAUGACAGUUUUUAGCCAGGCGCCUAGCAGUGCACCUGUAGUAUCUCAAUCAGCAUUUGGGGAAGUCAACAAGUUUGACGUUAACAAUUCUUUUUCCUCCAAACCAGUCACAGCAACUCCUUUUGGUAGCAUCAGUGGAGGAGCAAUAUUUGGUGGAAAUUCAACAUCCAAAUCACCAUUUGGAGUAACUUCAUCGCCUUCAACAUCCAAAUCACCAUUUGGUGAACCAUUACCAUUUUCUUUUGGAAUCUUGUCAACUACAACACGUACCGUUCCAUCUGAGGCUCUGGAAUAUCUUCCCAGCAUUUGAAAUAUUUUUGUGUUUAUAUCCAAAAAUGAACAUGAAUUCAAAGUUCUGUCAGCCCACAUUGAUUUCUGGUUCAGAGGGUCAUACCUUCUAGAUAGAGUUACAUGAUGUAUUUCAUCCACACUCCAGAGUUAAUAUAAUGUAUUUUAAGAAUUUGUUGAUAGGUCCAGCAAAUGGCAAGAGUCCCUGAACUUUUCAAAAUUCGGUUUUUCACUCUUUAGGUAUUUUGAAACUUUAACUAGAAAAGUUACAAAAGCAAAACUAUUUUAUGAUAUUGUAAGGCACAAGGAUCUCAAUUUGUCAUAUUGAAACUUCAAAACUGUUUUAUUUCUCUCAUCCAUUUUAACUCGAGUGAACUGUUCUCAGGCAGCUGGGAGAGAAAACAAACUACAAUCGACAAAAGAGAGUUACUUUUUUUUUUUGGUCAGCAACGAUACAUUUGUAUAAUCUACUCUAUCCUAAUCUAGGGGGGAGGGGGAACCUAAGGAGGCUGUUGUAGGGGCUAGUGGAUAUACAGAUCCAACUAGACCAAGGGAGUGCUAUGGCACAACCCUUAGAUUUUUUUUGCUGCAGGUGAGAUUCGAACCCUCACCUACAGCCCAAGGAGGGACCAGUGGUACGACAAAAGAAAGUUACUUCCCUAGCAUAAAGCCAAAAGGUAGAAGAAGAACUUUGUCCUGCCAUAGAAAACAAGAUCCACUUGGCAAAAGAAUGUUUCUUCCAUCACGUAAAGCCAAAGAGUGGAAUAAGUGUUCCAAUAUAUACAUUUGUUUGCUGCCAAUUGGCCCAGAUAGCUUUUAAAAUUUCGUUUCGACUCACACAGUUUUCAAAUGAAAUGAUUUUUCCAUGGGGGAAAGUUAGGUUUCUUAUUCAGCUGACCUUGGCAUAAAUGAUGCAAAACUUUAGCUUCAUGUUUAGGAUUAUUUGAUUCUUGUCUUUUUGUUUUUUUAAUUGGAGCUUCUAGCUUAAUGUACUUAAAAUGAAAGUAUGUGUCACACUAAUCAUCAAACUCGUUCUCUUUUCAUUGUUUGUUAACUAUUUGUUGAUUGCUUGCCAUUUUCAGGAGCACCUAUCUUCAACAACACUGGAAGUUUGAUUCAACCUUCUCAAUCUAAAUCAACUAACCAUGCCUUUUAUUCAUCAAGUCAAUCUGUUUUUGGGAGCAGCGGUGUGCUGGCAUCUGGCACAAGUACUUCGGUUUAUUCUGGCUUUCAACAUGGUGGCUCUUGCUCAAGGCCACCAUUUAGCUCUACUGGCCUUGCUUUUAGUUCAAAUGGUGCACCUAACAACUUUAACUCUGUAUCUCGGGGCGCAAUUGGAUCUUCCACCACUCCCAUAACUGGAGCCCCUAGCAACUUUAACACUGUAGCUUCAAACAACCCUGAACUGCAGAAUUCAAGGUUCACAUUUUGCCAGCCAAAUUCGCAAUUUAGUGAGCCAAAUUUACAAUUUGGUAGUAACAAUGGACCUACUGCUUGGGAAACAAAAAAGUUCUAUUCAGGUUAGUUCUAUUUCUGUUUUUCCUAUUAGUUAAAAAUUAAAACAUAAAAUAACAACUUUCAGUAAGAUAUAGCACAGAUACUUCAACACAUUGGAUAUGAUCCAUUCUAGAAUAAAUAAUAAGUUUCAGCUUUAACUUUUUCUACCAUGCAGCAUAUCAACCGGCAAGUACAAGCAUGAAAUCUGGACAAUCAGUUAUGGAUUGCCAACGUUAUGGUAGUAAAAUAGCAUCUUCUGUUGCAACUAAGGAAGUGGAUAUAGGUAGUACUGAACCUGCUGGAAAAUUGUUCUCCAUCUCUGCCAUGCCCUUUUACAAAGACAAGAGCCAUGAAGAGCUGAGGUUCGAGGACUCUAAUCAAUUGUUAAGGAGUAAAGGUAAGUAUAAGGUUAUAUAGUUGUUUUUGUCUGAUGAUCUCUACUUUUGUUCCCGAUAAAGACUUUAUGAACAUUCCUGCAGCUGCAUUUGUUCCACAACAUCUAUUACAACAUGUUUAGCAUCAGCUUUGCCUGCCUCUAAUUCUGUUACAUCUUCAGAUGCAGCUUCUGGAUUCAUCUUUCAGUCUAAUCAACCCUCAGCUGGCAAGACAAACGCUUUUUUAGGGCCUACUGCUGUCACUCCGCAUAGUCAACUAAAAACAUCAAGUGCAAUAUCAAUUGGAUCAGGACCUUGGACAGGCAAUUCAACUGGUUUUUCUUAUAUUGGUGACCAAUGUCGUGGAAGUAAAAUAGCAUCUUAUGUUGCAACUAGGGAAGUGGAUAUAGAUAGUAAAGAACCUCCUGGAAAAUUGUUUUCCAUCUCUGCCAUGCCCAUUUACAAAGUCAAGAGCCAUGAAGAGCUGAGGUUCAAGGACUCUCAUCAAUUCAUAGGGAGUAAAGGUAAGUAUAAGUUCGUACAGUUGUUGCAUUGGUCUGAUGAUCUCUACUUUUGUUCCCAAUAAAGACAUUAUCAUCUGUCCUACAGAUGGACUGCUUUCUCAGCAUCUAUUACAACAUCUUUAGCAUCAGCUUUGCCUGCCGCUAAUUUUUUUUACAUCUUCAGAUGCAGCUUCUGGAUUCAUCUUUCAGUCUAAUCAACCCUCAGCUGGCAAGACAAAUGCUUUUUCUGGACCUACUGUUGUCAGUCUCGAUAGUCAACCAGAAUCAUUAAGUGCAAUAUCAACUGGGACAGGACUUUUGACGAGCAAUUCAAGUGAUUUCAUUUGGCCAAAUGUAAAUUACUAUCAACUGGCUUGAAAAUAUCCCAUGUGUUCCUAUUUUCAUUUUAUUUUCCCAAAAAUCGUACCCAUAGUUUUCUCUUUGUUUAUGGUUGGUGAUUUUGUUCUACUGCUACUCUGUGAGUGGUUAGCACAAGUCUGACUUGAGUUGGUUCUGCUCUUAGGAGUUCAAGAGAUGCCUUGCCCUGAUAUGGAUUUAGAGGUCCAAGAUUUGUCUCAUUUGUCCUUAUUGGAAUAUCUGGAAAGAAAGAAAAGUAAUAGUUUGUUAAGAUGUUGAAUUUUGAGUGAUUAAGUUCAAGAGCUUCGGAUAAGUUACAAAAUGUGAAUAAGAAAAAAUUAACUCGUUUACUUGGUCUUUGGAUACCCAUCAAUUUAUCUUUGUUGCUGUUGCUUUAUAUGUCACUAAAGUUUAGUUUGAAAUGCUAAUUAAGCCUCUUUUUCAUAAUGAUAUACUGAAAGUGGAAAAGAGAUACAAGGGAGAACAGACGUAAACUAUGUAUUUUUCAUCAAGUUUGUGCUCCUAACUAUGUGCUAUGUUUGCAGCAUGAACCAAUUACAACUCCACAGAUAACUCAAAUUGUUGUAGCAACAGAUGGCGCUUCCACUAGCAUCUCACAACAGUCAAUUUCCAGUAAGAGCAAUGUUACAUCUAAAAUAAAUUGUUCUCUGUCAUCAGAGACAAAUUUUCCUUUGUUCCAUGUGACUGAUAAUUACUCUUUUCUGUGCUACUCAAUAAGCUAUGGAUGCAGGAACUUGUCGUCAGAGUGGUGGCAUGCAGCAGUACGUAUUACUGAACUAUUUUCAUGCUUCUAUUAGAUCGUUUUCCACAAUAGUCUGCUAAAACUCCAGCAAGUUCAGUAAGUUGAUCACUUAUUACUUUGCUUGUGAUUUUUCUCGUCAAAACAAGAAAACAGAGAACCAUUUCUUUUGUUCACCAAAGCAUUUUAUGUUAAGAUAAUCAUCACAGGAACCAUUCUGGUUUAAUUUGUUCUAUGUUUUCUUUCAACUGGCACACUGGACUUAAUAAACUGAUAAGCACACUUUGGAGAGCAAUAAAGUAUUUAAUCUCAGUUAGACUUAAUUAUGAACUAAUAAAUUUUUUUUAAAGUCACUUGCAGCCAUUCUUUUAUCCAUUGAUUUCCUAUCCUUUAACUUGUUCUUAGAAAUAGUGAAUGCUGAUAUUAUACUUCCACUCACGUGCAUUAAAUAUUGAUUUUCCACUGUAUAAAUCGGCUGACGUAUACGGUAUGAUUUCAGGUCUGAGUCUCAGAGCACCAUCGCUCUAGACCCAUCUGUUGUUGCAAGUCCUUUUGGAAUGGAGUCUAGAAUACAGAUGUCAAUGGGUGGUAGAGCAGCUACCACAACUGUUCAAUAUGGAAUUUCUUGCAUACCGGUUAGUCUUAUUUCUGACACCAGUAUGUGUACCUAACAGGGAAAAUUAAUCUUCAAAACUGCCCAUGAAUCUAAUUAUUUCACAUAUUUCUUCUCCUACAAGCUUAUAGAAAUAUGAUAAAAAAGAAGUCAAUCUGGAAGGACGUUUAUUUUGCUUCAUGUAACUUCUUUUUCUUUGUGCAAUACAGGUAUCUGACAAACCUGCUCCAGUGAAAAGAAAUUCAUUGUUGACCACUAGAUGUUUGUCUCUAAGCCAAAACUGGCCAUCAGUUGAGAAGUACCGGCCUAAAAAUGACAGCCAGAAGGUGAGAUUCAUGAUACUGGACGAGCGUGUACAAAUCAAUAUGGGCAAGCUAGACAAUUACAUGGUAAAGAUUAGAAUACAUAUUAGAGCUCUUUAAAUUCUAAAUUUUGCUCUAUGCAUCACAGGUUCCAUUUUAUGAAGAAAAAGUACCUGGGAUAUACAAAGUUGGCGCUUCCUUUAUUCCAAGGGAAAAUGCAAGAUCUUGGGUUCUAAACUCCAUGGUGGAGCGGCCUCUAAAAACAAAUUCACGGAAUUCCUCUUUACUGGAGGAGUCCGUAUCUGCAUCUGAGAGUGGUAUGCAUAAAAUUUUCAUUUUGUUCAUUUGAAAUGUGGUACAUCAUACUAAUUUGCAUAUCUGGGCUGGAAAAGAAGCUGUUAAAUUAUGGCCAUCAUGUUUGAUUAAUUAAAAAUUAGUAACUAGUGAUUUCUUCCCUUUGUUCUUUGGUUAGAGGAGAACCGUAUGCCUCUCUUGUUGUUUGGGAAGGAUGAAUAUACCGGUCCUGCAUGCAUCUACUUAGGUUUGAUGUAUAUUCCACUUCUUAACUUCCUACUUUUUGAUUAUGUAGGAAAUUUUGAGGCUGAUGUUGAAGCAAUACUGCCAAAACUCCAAUGCCCAGAUUAUUAUAUAAAGCCUCCGGUCGAGGAGCUAGCUGCAAAAGAAAGGGCUGAACCAGGAUUCUGUCGCCGCGUGAAGGAAUUUGUGGUUGGAAGAGAGGGUUAUGGAAGCAUCAGGUUUUUAGGGGAAACAGAUGUGAGAAAUCUUGACGUUGAAUCUGUUAUCCAGCUUAACCAUCGAGAGGUGAUUGUAUACAGGGACACGACCAAGAAACCUCAAGUUGGACAAGGCCUCAACAAGCCUGCAGAGGUAUCUCUUCUCAAUGUCAAAUGCAUCAACAAACGUACUGGGAAGCAAUACGUGGAAGGAACAAGGGUUGAUAAGUGGACAGAUAUGCUGAAAACGAAGGCAGAAGAGCAAGGUGCUGAGUUUCUAUCUUAUAAUCCAGUAACUGGUGAGUGGAAAUUCAGGGUCCAACACUUCUAAGGUCAAAAGAUGGUGACCAGCAGCUGAUCACAAAACGGGGAGUCAGAGACGAGUCAGAGACGUUUGAGCCCAUAGUAUAGGACGUAAUGCCUUGAAUAGCUUGGCAUUUACCAUUUUCUGUAAAUCCUUUUCUGUUUUUCCCAUCUUUGGUAACAUGAUAUCUGCUGAUAUAUUAUUGCUGGUCUUCAAUUCGUUAUAACUUGACUGAUGAGUUUGUUCUUCGUCGAAGCUUAGCACCAGACUGGUUUGUAGUUUUUAUGGGCUGCGGAUAUUGUAAAAAACAGUUGGGUGCCAAUCAAAAUUUCACUUACAAUUUGUAUAACACCUCAUGAAUGGAGAAGAAAAUAAAUAUCUAAAUGCUCAUUUUAAUCACCUGAUCCCAACAUCUGCUGACUCAUUUAAUCUCACAACUUAAAAUGGGCUAGGAGAUUCUUCUUCCUGAAAAUAUGAAUGUUUUUAUCUUUGAGAGAACACAUUCGUACCUUGCUUUUGAAUAGAGACCAUGUAUUGGGUAGGAAGUCCUAAUUAAGUCGUGGCUUUUUGCAAUCAAUGUACCAUUUGGUUUGCAGCCAAUGAUUCGUUUGCAGUCAAUAAAACGCAUAUAUAAAACUAUACGAAUAUUCUUAUAAUAUAUAAGAUUGAGUUUUGGUCAAAGAGUAGGUUGGAUUUCAACCGCAUAGGUAGGGGCUUUCUGAAAAUGUAAAAUAUUGUGUAUUAGUUUAAAAACUUUAGGUACAAGUUAAGAAAGCAUGUAUUUGGGUAUGUUUACUGAAAUGACCCAAUUUUAAUACAUUUAAAGUUGUCAUUGAUGAGUCAUCUGGGUAUUGAUGGAAUGUGUAAUUAGUGUGCAACCGUUUUUGCAUUAUGUACAACCCAUAUAUGCUUGUGUGUUGGUGUAAUUACCGGAAUAUUCCUUAACUACCAAUAAUUCCGCUUUUCAACCGCAAAUAACCAUUUGAGAUGUUGCUUUGUCUAAAACAUUUGAAUGGCAAUCGGAUUUAGGAAAUGAACCAAUGAUUUCUCUAUCAAUGGCAAAAACUCAUUUCUCUAUCAUUUAUAAUCUGCAUUUAUGAGUCACAAACGUUGGUCAUUUUAUCCCCUUUCAGUUUCAAGAGUUAAGUUUUUCCUUUUUGCCUUUGUCUACAACGAUUUGCCUCAUCGUUUUCUCUUCCAUCCAAGCUCAACUCUGAAAUUACCUAUUAUUUCGUCAUUAAUUACAUCCAAUUCAAUUGCCGAACCGUUGGUAUCUUAAUGUCUAAACGGUUGAUUAUCAGUUUCUCCCUGUUCGCAUUUUAGGAUUGAGAUAAUUCUAUCUGGCUUCAUACUAAUCAGCUCAUAAUGCUCUUCAGUCCCAACUACUCUUGGUGGUUCAACGUGAGGUUAGAUUUCACCGCCCCCAAUUUUUCAGUUUCUCCCUUAAUUUUAUCGGUGUGUUUUUAGUACCUACAAUUAGCGACUCUUAUCGCGUUGCCUAACCGCAAGAUAGCAUUUUUCGCGUAAUCUAACCCCAAUUGGUUUGGGUUGGUUAUAAUCUUAUAGGUUUGGAGCAACAACAAGAAAGAGUUCUCGGUGGGGAUUCUGGAAUAAGGUUAGCUUUCUGUGUUAUCAACGACCUUCAAUUUGACACAGUUUUAUUGUAAUGCUGUGUGAAUUGAUUGAUUAUAUCGUUUAUCUUUUCAUAUUCAGUUUUAUUUAUUCUCACAAUGUACUAUCAUUUGUUCAACAAAAAAACCUCCUUCCCCACAGGUACCAAACACCCGCGCGAUGCCCGGGCACUCCUCCCUCGUAUAUAUAUAUAUAUAUAAAAAAUUACAUCUAUUCUACUUCUAGAUUAUAAUCUAUAAACGUAGUCCAUUUGAACUAUGUAAAAGGUCUGAAUAUUAGACCUUCCAAGCCAAAUAAGCGCAUUAUUGGAUCCGUGAUCUUUUUUUUUUCAGAGAAGCCAAGCAUUUAAUUGCUCGUCUAGUAUUUAUAUAAAACUGACUCGUUUGAAGCUUAAAGGAUGGUGUAUAUUAUUUCUUGUGAAUGUGUGUGUGGCGCGUUGUAGCUGGUUAGGUAGGUACUUUUUCUUCUCAUCGUCAAAGAAUAAUGCUUAAUGAAGUCGGGAUGAUAAUAUGAUGGGGAUGAAGCACGACUUCCAAGGAUUGUAAAAGAGCACUAAGCAGCGCAUGGCACGCGUCAGAAUCAUACCAUCAUGUAUAAUUAUAGACGGCAAACCGUCAAGACAAGUGGGAUUAAGAGAAAUUCGCCUCACAUUGGUCACUCACAUAUUUUUUUUUCAAUUCAAUAUUGUUGUUCUGUUUCUUGUGAAUGUUGAACGUUAGCCCAUCAGCCCGUGGUAUAUUAUUACGGAGUAUUUGCCUAACACAGUAACACCCAUCAGGUAGCAUCUUCGUAGUUGCCUAACCAUUUUCUGUAAAUCCUGUUCUAUUUUUGUAACAUAAAUGGCAUGAUAUCUGCUUAUAUAUUGUUGGUCUUCAAUUCGUUAUAACUUGAUUGAUGAGUUUGUUCUUCGUCGAAGCUAAAGCACCAGACUGGUUUGUAGUUUUCAUGGGUUGCGGACAUUGUAAAAACAGUUGGUUGCCAAUCAAAAUUUCACUUACAAUUUGUAUAACACCUAAUGAAUGGAGAAGAAAAUAAAUAUCUAAAUGCUCAUUUUGAUUUUGAAAGAUUAACUGGCAAGCAAUACUGGGAUUCGAGUAAAAUGGUUCAACAAUUAAAAGAAGUAAUAACUAAGGAAUUCAAGUUGCUAAUUUUUUUGGGUAGGGUUCAGUUGAGUUGGGUGGUAAGGUUUAAAAGUAAAACUCUUGAGUUAAGUCCUUCUCACUUACCAUAUAUAUGUAUAUCUUACAUAUAUAAAGCGAGAAUCCGCUUGUGAACAGUGAAAAAUGGGCCGGUUAUGCCGUUAUUUGUGUGAGCUUGAGGGGCGUUUUGGUCUUUUGCUGAUGGGUGGCAGUGGCUCUGCUGGUAUUUUGCUUUUGUCCGCUGGCUCUCUUGCAUUGUAACCUUGCUCUGUCCGCGUGGCUCUUCAUUUUGGUAGUCAGCAAUGCUCUGUCCGCGUGGCUCUUCAUUUUGGUAGUCAGCAAUUACUAUUAAGUUAGUGGGCGGUUGGGCGGCAAAAGCUUUCUAGAGUCUUCAUUCUUUGCUUUAUGUAUAUUUCACCUCACACGCAUGUUUGGUUUCCUAAGCUCUUGUGUAAUUGCAGUUGCUUUGCCUCCGAUGGUGAGUAGGCAGUGGACGGUGUCUCCAGUGAUCUCUGGUUUUGCAAAGUUUUCUAGAGUCUUCACUCGUUGCUUUAUGUAUAUUUCGCCUCACACGUAUGUUUGGUUUCCUAAUCUCUUGUGUAAUUGCAGUUGCUUUGCCUCCACUGGUGAGUAGGCAGUGGACGGUGUCCCCAGUGAUCUUUGGUUUUGCAAGGUGAAAUCUUCAUUGUCUCACUUAGCUGAUUUUCUGAGCAAGCUGAUCUUCUAAAGUCUCCACUCUUUGCUUUAUUUGCGCCUUUUGAUGGUUUGCUGUAGAUUAAUGUUUUGACAAUGGGUCGGAAUAGAGUCUUGAGUGGUGUUUUGGUCGUCUGGCAUUGGAUGGUUGUGGUUUUGGUGGAAAUUCACUGCUGUCCGCAUGCUAUUAUUGGAUAGGAGCAAUUUUGGCGGGUGGGCAAUUUCGGCUUUGUUUCCUCUCUUCUUUUCUUGGCUUUCUUUACCAGGUGUCCAAGCAAUUUUGGCUUUCUUCAACAUUCCCCACGUGCUGUUCUCGGACGGCAACAAGUUUAGCAGUGAUUUGAGGUACAAUGGAACCACCACCGCUUGAAAGCUCUGCAAUCUCCAUUGCCCUUUCUCGUUCUUCUCUUGGCCUUCUCUGCCAGUUUUUUUCACUCAUCAUCUUCCUAUUUAAUUUUUCCCUACACCACGUCUUUCUCCAUGAUCUUAUCUAGAAAUCUACAGUAGAUUCCCUCUCAAUUUUUCCUACACGCACAACAAAAAUGUAAUCACCUUUUCCAAUUAAUCCCAUCUCCGUAAUUCCAUUUUUGAAUUGUUUUGCCUCUCUUUCUUCUUAUUUUUUUACUUUUAAGUGUUCUAGGUUUUAUCAUUGCAUGGGAUUUCAAUUUUCAUGUGAAUGGUUGGAUUUUUUCUUGAGUUGGGGUUGACUAAAUAUGUCAUUACAGGAAGUGGAGAAGUGGGCGACGAAGGAGGAGAGCUCCUUCCAUUGGCAUUAGAGGGAGAUUUAUAGUUGCAUAGGACAUUGGAAACCACAAGGCUCCGAUUGGAGUUCAAAGAUAAAUAGGCAUAUUGAGCCAGUCCCAAAAAUCAGAGGGUAAAAGAUAAAAAUAAACUUCUCUACUCUAAUUCUCACUUUUUUUAAUGCAUUUUGCAGAGUUCCCACGAAUCUUCCGUAACUUUCAAAUUUAAUUUUCCUAACCCAGAAAAACUACUCGGGAUGUAAUUUGAGAACUAAUCUUUCUGAAGUGGCGUUGGACGCUGAAGAGUGCUGCUGGAGGGGAAUAAACAACAUGGUCGAGAUUCGAAAGAACCGUAAAGAAGAAAGCUUGCGGAAGAAGCUCCGCGAAGGCCUGCAUAAUGCAUUUGCUGUUCAAUCGGAUACCUCUUCUGUCGACAAAAAUGUCUAAAUAAAUUAGAAUUUAUAUUUUGUUCCUUUGAAGUUGUUGCUGCAGAUGGCUUUAAGUAGGGUUGUGAUCAAAUUUAAAUUUGCGAUUGUGUUGUUUUUGGGCAGGAUUUUCACAAUUUUUUUUUACAGUUUCCUUGUGUUUGAAUAGAGCUAGGGCUUGCACUUCAGCGCUUUUCUUGAAGUAUGUCAAAAAAAAAAAAAACACACAUACACACACAAAAGUAAUAAAAAAUAUACCACAGCAGAAAAAAAAAAAAAAAAAAACAGUCCAGGCUAUCUGACGCAUAGCGUCAGGGCAGAAAAAACUAGUAUAUAUAAAGGAGUUCAAGUUGCUUAAACAGGAUAAUAUAAAGGAUAUGUUUCCAACUAUUACUGGAUAUCACAUUUUUUUCCACCCUUCUAAUGUUGCAAUUGCAUUAUGAACUCCUUGCGUGAUUUGUCUUUCUUCUUCAUCUUUUUUUCUAGCAGGAAAAUGGUGGAAUUUAGGAAGCGAAGAAGUGACGAGGGGAAUUUAAACUCAAGAGACUUUUAAAUUUUAGAGGCUUAAUAUUAACUAUUAGACUAAAACUUCCUUGACUACACAAUUCGUCUUCCAACUGUUUUGAAUUUUCAAUAUACUUAGAGAUAAUGGCAUUUUAAGAUAAAAGAAGCAAUGGCAUUUUAAGCAUGAUGCAGAGAUGGACAGUUAACAAAAGCAUAAAUAAUAAUUGACCUAAUCCUCCUGUGCCAUUACUCGCAGUCUGAAUUCCAUGGCCAUUCUAACAAUUGUGUAAGAAUAUAACUUUAGAUUUGUGAGUUUUCUUUUGUCAAAUUAAAGUUGUUAAAUGUAACACCAGUUGCUUAUAUCCGUCCAUUCUAACUAUACUGUGUAAUUGUGUAAACCAGUGCAUUGCCUUUGUUCCACUGUAUUGAUGGCCUGAUUUCUAAAACCUUAGUGUUUCUUUCUUUUUUUUUUCUAGCAGGGAAAUGAUGAAAUUUAAGAAGCGAAGAAGGACGAGAGGAAUUUGAAUUCAAGAGACUUUUGAGAUUUAAUAUUAACUAUUAAAAUAAAACUUCCUUGACUAUACCAUUCGUCUUCCAACUGUUUUGAAUUUUCAAUAUACUUAGAGCACCUAGCUGUCCAUUUAGAGAUAAAAAAAGCAAUGGCAUUGUAAGCAUGAUGCAGAGAUGGACAAUUAACAAAAACAUAAAUAAUAAUUGACCUAAUCCAGUGCCACGUUUGAGGAAAUUGCAGAGAAUUGAAAGUUAGAUGGGGUGCAGUGAUCAAAUCGAAACCUAUGGGGGGGGCAAAGCAAUAUUAGUGAGUGCACAGUUCAUAGAGAAAUUUCUCUAUUUUACAAGUAUAUUUUAAACUCAAGCGCAUGGUUUUCUAUUUUUCAAGUGAGUGCACAGUUGAUAGAGAGAUUUCUCUAUUUAAACUCCUCCGUAUCAAUCUAUUGUGUUUGGUUUUGGAGAAGGAUCACCAAUCAAUGUACCAUUGUAACCCUUUAUCUAUAUUUAUCACGUUACACAUUUGGUUUUGGAUCAUUGAAUUCAUGUGAAGUAUAAGAUCAGUACAUUUGGUUUGGGAAAUAAAAGAUUUCUUUCUUUUACAUUAUUGUUAUAUAUUGUUGGUUCUAGACCAAAUUAAUCAUAUAAGUAAUAGUAAUUUCUCUGGUAAAAUUUAACAAAGAAAUUAACAAAAUCUCAUACCUCAAUAUUGCAUUAAUAAAUGCAAAUAAUUUGUACCAUCAAAAGUUAUUUUGGCAUGGGUUGAUGCGCGGACUAGAUCUUAAAAUUAUUGGAUGAACAGCUUCUGAUCUUCAAUUCGACUACCUUGAAUUGAUAGUUACUAAAAAGUUCGAUAAGGCUGAAGCGCGCCCCUACGGUAUUUUUUAAUCCGACGCAGAAGGUCUAACGCGCCGUCUCCAGGAUACAACAGCCCAACUCUAUAGUUGUUGCUUCCCUUUGAUCUGCACAACCAAGAGAAGCAGAAGCUUCCCAAUAUCUUACUUUGCCCAAAGAAAAUAGAAUGAGCGAGAAUGAACUGAGUGUGAGGAAAAUAGUAUUUAGAAUGAUCUUUUGUUGAGAGAAGUGUGUAUCAAAUUCUCCAAAGAAUUUCACUAUUUAUAGGUUACAAAAACCUUUAGAAAAAGGAUUGAAAAUCCAAUGUAUAACGGUUUUUUUCAUAUUAAAUUAUACUCCCUCCGUCCCAUUGAUAGUGUCAUACUUUCCUUUUUGGGCUGUCCCAAAAUAUUUGUCAUGUUUGGCAUUUCAAACUAUUUUAAGCUAUGAAUUUCCAUUUCUGCCCUCCAUUAAUGGUGUGAUAAUACAUGUGCUAGUUGGCCCACAAAUUGAUGUGUGGUCCCAAAGGACAUCCAAAUAUUCCAACUUGUACCAUAUUUGACUUUCGGCUCCAGCAACAAAGUUCCGACUCCAGCCAAAUUCAUCAUGAAGAAUGUGCACAUGGCUCUUUUAAACUUCAAUUGAAAAUUGGUUUUGUUAUCAAGAGGAUCAUUUCGAUUUUUUGCAGGAAAUAGAAUAUCGAGAUGAUUUAAUUAGUGAUUUUCUUUUGAAAGCUUUCAAUUUUUAAAUUAUUUUCAUACGCACUAAUUUGUUAAGAAUGAUCAACUUUCACAAAAUAAAUUCAUAUUGAAAGCAAGAAAAAAGUGUAAAAAAUAGGUGAAUAAUUUUAGAUUGAUCCAAAAACUAAAUGAGCAAAAUAAUAAGGCAUGUUACUCUACUUGGAGAAAAAAAACUACACUUACUACCAAAUUUAAUUUAAACGUAGUCUAUAGAAGUGUCAGUUUCUCUCUUUUUUUUUAAUGUUUCAAAACUCAAAAAUGCAAAAACAGAUAUUCUACCACCAAAUAGCAAAAGAAUGCAAACCAAUAUGCACUAUUUUCACUUUAUAGAAUAAUGCUAUUGACAGUUUCAAAAACUCCAACAAAAGUAGUGUUUCAAUGUUUAUACAUGUACAUAGCUUCACUCAGCAUUGCACAUUUUCCCUUUUGUACAAAAAUCAGCACUACUACUACUAACGUCAAGCUAACUUUACUGAGCUAUUCUAAAAUCUUGUAAAGUGAAAUAAAAGCAGUCAAUGAAAAACCACUAGUACAUAAAAGUGCUUCUAUAUUCUUUGUCCAAUCAAAAGCUUGCACCACAAAAUCAAAAGGGUUGGAUUGCUUGACUUCAACCAUCUGGCAAAAGAUGAGAUAGGACACAAUUUAGUGAUAAACAACAAAUAAAGAUGCUCCAGAGCAAAGUGAACAAGAAUAGCUAGACAAAUGAACAUUGAGUACAUGUACAUUUUGCACAUUAGAACACCCAUACCAUUUUGUUCAAAACACAUGAUUAGUAAAGUUUAAGUACCUACAAAUAUGAAAAUAAGGAACACUAGUUAGUUUAAACAACCAUACACACAAGAAAUUAGAGAUAAAAAAUCUUAAAAAACAAAAAAGCUUUAUAAAAUCUUACCUGUCCAAUGAAGAUAAUCACGCUUGCAUAUGACUUAGAACUUGAUUCACAAGUUCUUUUUCACAUUCUAUUUGCAGUGGAAGACAAUUUUCUUUCAUUAAAUGGUGCUUCCCAAUGUGUGGCACUUUAUAGUUAUUUCCCCCAAGAUUUUUCAUCACCUCUACCAUACAUGAUUGCAAUGUUAAGAAAACAUUGUUUAGACUUUCACUUAAUAAUUGAUCAAAUGACUUUUCCACAGCAAGAAUUAGCUCAUCAAUUGACAAGGGUGCUUCUUGAUGUUGCAAGGAUUGUAUAGCUCUAAAAUAUCCCAAGUCAAGAACAUUCAUGUCCGGACUGUUAGGAGGCUGAAAUGAUAAGUGAAUAUCAAAUCCAUCUCUAGAAGCAGCUUCAAUAAAUACAGGAUCAGUGGGAUUAAUAUGUGGUUUUGCAUUAUCCUGUUGGAUCAAAAUUUCAGUAACACUACCACCAUCCCGUGGCCAUUUAGCAUGUAUUGCAGGCAAAACCUGUUCAAUUAAACAUCUCCUAUAUACUUCCUUGGUCACUGACAAUAUUGGCUUAGUUUCUAAUGUACCUGCCAUACGAUUUUUACUACUCCUCUUUGCUGGUUCUUUGAAUACAAAAGGAAAAAUCCCAAUUUUUCCAUCAAAUGUUGGGUUACCAGAGCAGUCAAAACGUGGUCGAGCAACAGCAGCUAGGAACAUAACUUUCACAAUGAACUUUUUGCUCUUACAUGUCCUAAGAUGUUCUUCUUCUUGAGGAUGAAGAUAAUAUUUUUCACAUUCUUUAGUCAUGUAAAACCACUUUUCAUCAAUAUGCACAACAUUGAACAUACUCAUAAAUGUUGGAUUGCUGUUGAGAUUUUCUGGUUCAAGCAUUGACAAGCAAAAGUUAAGCCUUACUUGCUUAUUCUGAUCUGUCAAUUGUGGUUUGAGUGCAUUUGAGUGUGGCCUUAUAGCACCUUCUUUAAUUCGUCGGUGAAGGGUUGAUUUGGACACUUUCAUUUCACUGGAAAGUGACCUGAUAUUUGUCCGGCGUCGGAGAGGAAUUGCCAUGAUCAAAGUAAAAUCAAUAUCCACUCGUUUUCUUCCGCAUCUUUUAGGAAACCUGUGUGAUACAUCAACUCUUCCAUCUGUAGAAGUAAUUGCUGCUAGCUUCCAAAUUCUCUGAACUGUCCUAACACUUGUUUUAAAUAGGCUUGCAAUGUUCCUGAUGGUUCCCCUUUUCAAUUUACCGCCAUUACUUUCCUGUAAUAAAGCUUCAAAAAUCAUUUGCCUUUCUUGAUUAGUUAAUCUCUUCGUAGAAUUAUUAGUUUCAACAUCAUUAAAAGUAUCCAUAUUUCUUUUAAGAGUCACCUUUGAAACAUGGUGUAAAAAAAAAACAAGAAACAGAGUGUUAAAACAAAACAAACGGACUGCAUAUAUAGAGGUACAAGUCAGUGUACAAUUCCAUUAAAUAUUUUAAAAUAGGCAUUUCAAGACUUAUUUUUGGAGUAAUCCGCCAAAAUCUAAAUUUUCAGUAAAUAAUUUGGCGGCAAAUCUUUAAGAAAUUAUAGACAAAAUAAUCAAUAAAUAAACAUUACAAAAGUUUAAAAGAUCCAGCCUUUCUUACAUGAGAAAAGAGAAAAAAACCAUUAAAAAGAAAGAAUAAAAGACAGUUAACUAACCUUUUAAUCUCAUUUGUUAUCAACUAUGGAUUAGCAAUCAACUUCAUAUCCUUCCAAUGCUUCUCUCUUGAACUGGAGCACCAAUAUUGUAAUCAAAGGUGAAAACUUUCAAGUGAAUAUGGAGUAUGAGAAGAGGGAAUUUGUAGUUAGUCCAGAGAAAUUAUCGUAGCUUAAAUUUGCAGCAAUUGAAGAAUGGCUAACGAUGGAGAAUCAGAGAAGAUUUUAGUAGUAGGCGGUGAUGAAUGUCUGCUAGAAGAAGGAAACAGUUUCUGUGGCAACAAUUGAUAAGGAAACGGUUUUUGUGGCUGAAACAAAGGAUUGUUUUUUGGUGGGUCCCAUUUUGACCCAUUUGCUUUGGAUGAAGAAGAUUUUGAUAAGGAAAUGAGUUUUUGUUUUUGGUAGCCGAAACAAUGGAAUGCUUUUGAUGGGUCCCUCUUUGACCCAUUUAUUUCUUGAGUCUGUCGGUGAAUGUGAAGGGCAAAUUUGGAACCCAUGAGUUUACAAACAAGUGGAUUUUACUGUGAAUAAAAAACGCUGCUUCCCAAGCGCGACAGAGUUUAUGGGACGGAGGGAGUAGUUAAUUGGUAGAAUUUGUAACCUAAAAAUUAAUUCACAUUUGAAUGGCUUAUAAUGACUCAAUAAUUUCUCAUUUGAACAAAUAAUUGAUUUGUAACUCUAAUUCAAAUAAUUCUAUAAUAACUCCAUUCAAAAUGCAUUGUAACUCCCACAAUUAUAAUUCUCAUAACUCCCAAAUAAAUUAUUAUAACUCCUUGUAAAGAUUUGGUCAAGGAAAAAACAUUAAGAUUUUAUUAAAAUACACCAAUAUUCCCCCACUUAUUUUAAUAAAAUUUGAGAAGAAUAAAGAUUUGGACAAAGUGAGAACAUCAUGCAUAAUGAAAGUGGCAUUGCCUUGAAACCUUCAUUUAGUGUUUCCAUAAUCCCCAUCUUAGAGUCAAAGUGGACUAUAGCCUUGAAACUAAAACUACUUUAAGAUAUGUAAGAUUAUGUCACACACAUGAUAUUCAAGAUAUUAAUUAACAGGCUUCUUAAGCCAGCACAUUACGGCUUUGUGCUUUAUCCCAGAUUCAUGAGUGCUUUAGAGAAUUAGCUAAAUUCUCAUAGGAAGCGACCUUUACUUCCACACUCAUAUAGGUGAGUCUAUCAAGAAUACCCCUAUGACUAAGGCAUUCCACCCAUAAAGGGCUAUAGAAUUCAUUAAAAGAUUUAUAUCAAAUCUUAACCUUUCCUUCGUCAUAGAAUCACGAGCAUGCUCUACACCAUAGGAAGGGAUUUAACAAUUUUAUAAUAUAUGAAUGCUUUUCACCCAAACUAUUCUAUGAUUCGUUUGUCUCUGACCUAGUUCUUGGGAUCUCCAGUCCCUAGGUAGUUGUAUCCUCAUAGAUGGUUCCAACUUAAAAUUUUAGCCUCAAGUCCUAUUCCUCUUGAUGUGUAUCAUACCUUUAACUCAAACUUGAGAUUUUACAUAAUAAAAUAGCACAGAUAUGAUGUCCCCGAAUUUAUUUUAAAAUAAUCUCUCUUAGUGGUUCAAAUACAUUGAACCAAUCUUUGGUGAGAAAAUUUCUCAUCCAUUUAUAUUUGCCAAAUAAUAUAGGCAUAUAUUUGCUCAUAUUCAAUUUUUCACACUCAAAUCAUUGUACAAGAGCACACAAAUAGAUAUUGCAUAUGUAUCAUUGUUGACAACUACAUGUAAUUCUCAUACUUCCGCACUCAAAUCAACAACAACGGAGAAGUCAACGCCGGCCAAAAGAUUAAACAAAAGCUGGAAAGGGGAGGGCAUAGUUUUCUUUUAUAUGUGGAAUGACCGCAAAUUUCCUUCGUUGACUCACUCUGCUUAGAAGUCUUUUCCUAGUAGGAAUCUUAGCCAUAGUUUUCUUUUAUAUGUGUAUGUAUGCAUCUUAUACUUAGAUGCAGCUACCAGAAUUCCACGUUCUUUCAUCCGCCAUGAAGCAAGAAAGCUCUCAAAAUAUCUCGCUCUAUAAUAAAUCUUUCUUGAGAUUUAUUAUCUUAUAAUAUCUAGAUUUAAUCAACAAUUAAAAGUGAUAUUAUGAGAGAGAAAAUAAUAUGACUCUACUAUUGCCCCUCAUCUACUAAAUUGUUUAAUUAAUCUAAUACCUGCCCAAAAUAUUAACGAAAAUACUAAAAUGUGCUAUUUAUCACCAGAGAUUAAAUCACAUAUAGCAUCAAAAAUAGUAUUUCAUUCUAUAUAUUUAAUGUAAGAUUUAAAUUGCUCUUUUUAGCUACAAACUCAUUGUCAAAUAUGAUCAACAACAAAUAAUCAAAAAAUCUAUGACCAAAAUAUUACAAAGAGUAAACUUUAAUAUCAUAAAAAUCUCAACAAAUACCCGUAAUAUGUUGACAAAAAAUAUUUAUGAUGUUAAAAUUUGUUCUUUGUAAUAUUUUGGCUGUAAUUUUUUUUGAUUAUUUGUUAUUGAUCAUGUUUGACAAUGGAUAUAUAAUUGAAAAGAGUAAUUUGAAUUUUGUAUUAAGUGAAAAAUAUAAAAUGAUAUAAUAUUUUUUGAUACUAUAUGUGAUUUCAUCCCUAAUAAUAAACAGGAAAUUUUAGUAGUUUUAUUUAAUAUGUGGAUUGGCAUUAAAUUAAUUAAAUAAAUAAAGUAGUAGAUGAGGGACAAUGAUGAAAUCAUAUUAUCUUCUCUCUUCCAAUAUUACAUUUUAAUUAUCGAUUGGAUCUAAAUAUUUCAAGAUAAUUAACUUUAGGAGAGGUUAGUAUAAUUUUUGAAACCUAGAGGGAGGUCAGUAAAAUAGUUAAAAACCUCAGAGGAGGUUUCGGAAAUUAUCCCUAACAAUAAAUCAAGCUAUUGCCGCCCGCUCAGGCUAUGAGUAAAACUAAAACUAAAACUAAAAACCGCAACCGCUUCAAUUUCAAGGUAUUGCCAUUGCCACCCGGCCUUCGUAUUCUUAGACCCCAUUUUGCAGAACCCCACAACUUUCAACACCCAUUCUCAAGUUUUAACCCCUUAAUCCCUUCAGACAGUGAUCGACGUGAAGCUUGUGGGUUUUGCAUUCGCAUUUGCAUUUGCAUGCCACUCUUGUUUUGUGCCAGUUUGAUCAAAUCUUCCAAAAAUAGCUGUAAGUUCUUCCUUUAGUAUUAAUAAAUAUCUACAAACAAAACGCAAAAUAAAAGAAUGCUAAACCCACAAAUCAACAACAACGGAGAAGUCAACGCCGGCCAAAAGAUUAAACAAAAGCUGGAAAGGGGAGGGCAUAGUUUUCUUUUAUAUGUGGAAUGACGGCAAAUUUCCUUCGUUCACUCACUCUGCUUAGAAAGCGAUAUUUGUAGUAUGAAUUGAAUGGCUAAAUAAAUGAUGGGAAAAGAUGCAAAACUUUGCUUUUUUUUAUCGAACUUCUCUUCUGCAUAUUUUUAUAUAAUAUUCUAUGCGUUUUAGCCCCUACAAAUGCUUGAUAAGAGGCAGAAAUAGGCCAAAUUAUGAGAGGCUCCUGGUUCCCCUCGUCAGCAAGCAACUUGCCUUCGUGACUUUCUGCAAGUGCCAGCCAGUCCUGUUUCCAUCCCGGUCCCGGUGCCACGUUUGAGUAAACUGCGGAGAAUUGAAUGCCAUAUUAGGGAGUGCACACACAGCUUAAAGGAUGGUAUAUUAUUUCUUGUGAAUGUGUGGCGCGUUGUAGGUGGUUAAUUAGGUACUCUUCCUUCUCAAAGAAUUAGGUACUUUAUGCUUUAUGAAACAAUUAUCAUUUCUUCUCAAAGAAUUUAUGAAACAAUUAUCAUCCCCAAGGAUUCUAAAACGAGGCUAAAGCAAUAUUAUUUGCCUAACACAGUAACACCCAUCAAGUACCUAAUAAUAUGAUAAUUUACAACUUUAAAAAAAAAAAAAAAAAAGUGGACUGUUACGGAAAGAGCUUACACAGUAACACCCAACGUGCUGCUUUUUUUUUUUUUCCCCAAAUAAAGGGUGCUAUAUUUUCAUGUUCUUGCCUACAAUAUGAUGGUGAUUUCAAACCUUGGGAAACGUAUAGAAUUAAUGAUUAAAAAUAUUUUUCUUUCAUUUGCUGAAACACAUGACUUGGAUUAGGGUACGAUUGAUUUCAGGAAUCAUAAGUUGUUUAUAUAAAUUUCUACAGAUCAUUUAUCAUUACAUCAGCAACUAUAUUUAAACACACAAUCUUUGUUUUACAAAGAAAUAGCUGAUCAUCCUUGCACGAGCCAACUUGUGUUGAUAGGUCGCGCGUUUUCAAAGUGCUGAAAGAUUGAUCCUCAACUAUUACUAUUAGAACACUACUUUUCCCCUUUCUCCUUGAUUUCAAACUUUUGGGCUACAGAGCGAAAGGGCCAGCGUCACACAAAUCACCAGAUCUCAAGUGCACUUAGAGGUGUCAAAAUGGGUGGGGUAAAAUGGGUAAUGGGUAUAAGUGAGUCAAUUUAUUUAUACCCAUUUAAUUAGAUGGGUAUAAAUCGGUAAGUCAAAAAAUGAAUUGGGUAACCCAAUUACCCAUUUAUAACCCAUUUAUUUUAACUUUUUGUAAACUCAUUUAAAUUCAUUUUUGCAAACUAAGUUAUCAAUUUAUAUCACUCUUUGUACCCAUCAUUAGUUUUAAAUAUUUAUUUAUAAUGUUCAAUAAACUUAAUUACCAAUUUUUUUUCAUUUAUACUCUAUGUCACAAAAUUACCUAUUAUUUAAUAAUUGAAUAAUAAGAAUAUAAAAAUUAAUAUAAAAACUUAAUCCAAAAAUUUUGAACCCCUAACAUUUUUUUUAUAUAUAAAUUUAAAAUUUCAUUUUAGAAAGAUAAGAAAAUAGGCUAAAAUUUAUCAUAAAUUAGUAAUGCUAAAAAAUGAGCAAGUUAACAAACUAAGAGAAAAUAAAAUAAUAAAAUAAAACCAACAAAUAAUAAUAAUAAUAAUAAUAAUAAUAAUAAUAAUGAAACAAAAGUAGUUACCAUCAUGACAAAAUGAAAAAUUUGAAAAAAAAAAAUGGGUGGGGGAAAAGAAGAGACUUGGGGGGAAGAGAAUUCUAAAUGGGUUAAUUGGGUUUGAUGGGUUACCCAAUAAUACCCAUUUAUUGGGUAUUAUUGGGUAAUCCAUUUAUACCCAUAUACAAAAAUUUAAGAUACCCAUAAAUGGGUAUUAUUGGGUAAUCCAUUUAUACCCAUAUACAAAAAUUUAAGAUACCCAUACCCAUCUAUUCAUGGACGGGUAUGGAUAAAUUUAAUUAAGUGGGUUGAUUUGCCACCUCUAAGUGCAGUGUAAGCGGAGUGGCAUCUUUCUUAAUUCUUAUUGUGAUACUAUGUGAGAUCGCAUCCGGGGUGGCAUCUUUCUUAAUUCAUUCUUAUCACAAUUCUUAUUGUGAUACUAUGGGUCACAUCAUGUAUCUCACUGUUCCCUUUCCUUCUUGCUUUAGUCAAAUUUCAAACGAGCGGUGCCACACUCCACAAUGCAAAUUUCCUUUAACAGGACAAAUUUCAUUUCAUAAUUUCCAUCCAUGAGGACUGUCAGUCAGAUCAACGGCUUGACUCAUUCCACAUUACCUCACGAGCGCAGUAUAAAUACAUCCAUGCCUGGCUAUUGGAAAAACCAAGGCAUCCCAAAUCAAGAUACAAGCUUGAUUUCUAAAACCCCAAUCCUCCAAAACCACAAGAAACUUCCUAAGCAGCCAUGGGAGGCAGCAAGUAAAAGAAGUCUUCUGGUUCCUCUUCUUCCUUUUCCUUUUUCAGCAUGUCCAAAACCAAGUCUAGGAGGGCAGAUGACAUGAAGGAUGACUACGUGAAGGCUUAUAAAGUGCGGCCUAGUGAUGAAGAUAGAGGUGGAUGGGCAGCUGAUCCUGGAAUUGAUUGGAAAGCAGGAAGAGAAAGGUGGAAAAGCCCCGAGGUUGCCAACUAACCAAAGUUCAAACGCUUUGAUGAUCAGCUGUACUUGACUACAUGCGUUAUGAGUUCCAUAAGACCCCAUCAUGCAUGUUGCUUUAUUUAAUAUUUUUGUUUGUAGGUUUUAGUUUUGUUCUCUAGCUUGUGAUCAACCUGCAAAUUACUUAACUAAUAAUGUGAAAAUCCAUUUGUUUGUAUUCAAGCUUUGAUCUCUUCUCUUUAUUAACUUCAGAUUGGCAAUAAUUAUUCUUUGUUGGACAUGAAGGAUGACGACGUGAAGGCUUAUAAAGCGCGGCCUGGUGAUGAAGAGGGAGGUGGAUGGGAAGCUGAUCAUGGAAUUGAUGGGAAAGCAGAAGCUUUCAUUGCUUCAAGAAGAGAAAGGUGGAAAAGCCCCGAGGUUGCCAACUAACCAAAGCUCAAAUGCUUUGACUAAAUGCGUUAUGAGUUCCAUAAGAUCCCAUCAUGUUGCUUUAUUUAAUAUUUUUGUUUGUAGGUUUUAGUUUUGUUCUCUAGCUUGUGAUCAACCUGCAAAUUAUUUAACGAAUAAUGUGAAAAUCCAUUUGCUUGUAUUCAAGCUUUGAUCUCUUCUCUUUAUCAACUUCAGAUUGGCAAUAAUUAUCCUUUGUUGGGCAUUUGAAGCUUAAUUUUAUCUAUCAAGUGUACUGGCAAAAUGCUUAACAAUGGCUGUUUCCCCAUAUAUCAUUCCAUCAACUUCAAGCGCAACGACCAUAUAAUCUUCUCUUCCGGCUAAGCCCAUAUUACUGCUGUUCUAUUUGAUUUGUCAAGUUAAUGUGUGGCGCGUUGUAGCUGGUUAAUUAGGUACCAACCAGGCUUCAAAGAAUGAGAUUGUAGUUUUAUGCUUUAGAAAUCGGAUGAUAAUGUUGGUGAUGAUUUGGAGAUAAUAGAACAAGAUGCUUUUUUUUCUUGCUUUUUUACUUUUAUCGUUCAGUAGUUUUAUAUUUCCCAAAUUAAUGAAAGAAUGUAGUUUUAUUUUUCUUACUUGUAAAAUGUCUCUUGUGUAUUUUGCUGUGUGCGAUGAGAUUGUGACGAACUUGUGAAAGUUUAACAUUUAAAAAAAAAAAAAAAAAAGAACAAUAAUGCAUGUAGCAGAAGAAAAAAAAUUACGUACGUGAACCUCAUUUUAGUUUCUCCUACCAGCUAACUGCGCUUAAUACGUAAUUAUAUCGUUUACAAAGUAAUGGGAAUAUUCUAAUGAACUUGUGCUUGAUUGAAAUCUUCCACGACUCCCUCUCUUUUUUUUUUUUUGUGGUUGAUUGAAAUACCACUACAAAGUGAUGUUCUUCUUGUGUUUCGUUUUCCCGUGGUGGAACUUAGCUAGGUUUAGUUGACUGGGAAUAAAAAAAAAUAUCGUAGAAGACGGGUGGAACUUUACUUUUCAUCCCCUAAUCCAAAUGCUCAGACGAUCUAUUGAUGGUUUGAUACCGUAGAAGACUACCACGCACUAAUAAAUGCUAUCCAUGACAACUAGGGAUAAAUUCAAAAACCUCUCCUGAGGUUUUUGGCUAUUUCACUCACCUCAUUACAAGUUUUAUAAAUUAUAUUAAUCUUCCUUGAGAUUUAUUAUCUUAUAACAUCUAGAUUUAAUCAAUAACUAAAAGUGAUAUUAUGAGAGAGAAAAUAAUAUGAUUCUACUAUUGCCCCUCGUCUACUAAAUUGUUUAAUUAAUCUAAUACCUGCCCAAAAUAUUAAAGAAAAUACUUAAAUUUGCUAUUUAUCGCCAGAGAUUAGAUCACAUAUAGCAUCAAAAAUAGUAUUUCAUUCUAUAUAUUUAAUGUAAGAUUUAAAUUGCUCUUUUUAGCUACAAACUCAUUGUCAAAUAUGAUCAACAACAAAUAAUCAAAAAAAUCUAUGACCAAACUAUUACAAAGAGUAAACUUUAAUAUCAUAAAAAUCUCAACAAAUACCCUUAAUAUGUUGACAAAAAAUAUUUAUGAUGUUAAAAUUUGUUCUUUGUAAUAUUUUGGUUGUAAUUUUUUUUGAUUAUUUGUUAUUGAUCAUGUUUGACAAUGAAUAUAUAAUUGAAAAGAGUAAUUUGAAUUUUGUAUUAAGUGAAAAAUAUAAAAUGAUAUAAUAGUUUUUGAUACUAUGUGAUUUCAUCCCUAAUAAUAAACAGGAAAUUUUAGUAGCUUUAUUUUAGAUGCGGAUUGGCAUUAAAUUAAUUAAAUAAAGUAGUGAAUUGGCAUGCCCAUGCAAAAUCGGAUGGAAAAGGUCUUAAUAACUCAAAAAAAGGAGGAAGACAAGAAGAAGAAGAAGAAGAAUAAGAAGAAGAAGAAUAAUAAGAAAAAGAAGAAUAAGAAGAAGAAGAAUAACAAUAAUGGGGAGGGAGCUGAGAGACAGGUAAUAGGAAUACGAGUUAGGUGCUCGUAGGCUGUCUUCGAUGAUAAAAAAGAGAGAAAAUGGACGGAGGGAACUUAAGGGGUGAGAAAGAAAAAAAGAAGAUAGGAUAAGGGUUUUAGGUUGAGGUUCUCGUGGAUUGUAAGAAAUCCUGACCUCUCAUUCUUGCUUGCUUGACAUGCUACAGAUUACAAAUUACAGACACGCAGUCACACACACCACAACACUGAUGGCUGCUGACCCAGUGACCACCACAACGGCCUUGAUUCAUUCUACAUUACCUCACGAGCCCAGAUGAAUACAACAUCCAACAUCCAUGCAUGGCUAUUGGAGGCAUCCCAAAUCAAGAUACAAGCUUGAUCAAAAUAUCAAUUCCCUCUAAAACCCCAAUCUUCCAAAACCACAAGAAACUUGUAUUGUUUGUUGGGCAUUUGAAGCUUAAUUUUAUCUAUCAAGUGUACUGGCAAAAUGCUUAGCAAUGGCUGUUUCCCUAUAUAUCAUUCCAUCAACUUCAAGCGCAACGACCAGUUCAUAGUUGGCUGAUAUUGAUCUUUACCAAUCCUUGGAAAUUUCGACUGAAGUAUGCAAAAAAUACUUGGAAGUUACCGCGUUUAUAUGCAUAAUUUUGAAACAACCGUGACCUUGAAUCUCUUAUUCACUUUAACUAUAAGGAGGUGAUUGUGUACAAGGAUGACAGCAAGAAACCACCAAUCGGUCAAGGGCUUAAUAAGCCAGCUGAGAUGACUCUUCUUAUUAGACAAAUAAUGAUAAACUAGGCCUAGUGCCCCGCGAGUUUCGCGGGUGUCCAUUGUUGAUUGUUUAAUGAUAAUGUAGGUUAUAAUUUUAGAGAAAAGUUUUUUUUUUAAUUUUGGUUUUUGGUUGUAUAUUUUUGAAUUUUUUAGUUUUUGAAAUAUUAUUGAAGUAAUAUUUUUGGAAUAUAGUUAAUGGAAGGUAAUGGAAAGUGGUAUAAUUAAUUUGUAUUUAUUAAAUAGCUAUGGAUUUUUUGUUGAUAAGUGUUUUAUGGUAGUUGCAUUUGUGUUAUGUUAUUUAAUUUAAAAAUGGAAGAACUUUAAGUUAAUAAUUCAGUUAUUAAUGAAUAUUAUUUAAGGAGUAUUUUUGAAAUAGAGAGAAAUUAUGUUAUAUUGUGAAAAAUAAUUGGUUGGAGUAAAAUAUAUUUUGAAAAAAGUGGAGAUAUAUAAAAUGGGUAAUAAAUAGGAUAUAAAAAUAUAUUUAUAUGUUUUUGUAGCGAAAAUAAGUCUGUGUUUGUAUUAUAGAAUUAAAGUUGUUUUUUUAGAGAAUAAAUAUUUUUGUUAAUAUAUAUAUUGUGGAAGAUAAAUUAUAUAUAAAGGGUAUAGAAUUAAUUAUAACUUUUUUUUAAUAUAAAGAAAUUAUUGGAUAUUUUUAGAAAAUGGUUGGUGAAAUGAAUCGAAGUUAAAGAUAGAUUGGUAUAGUUGAUUUAUAGUUAUUGGAUGUGUGUGAAGUUUUUGUUGAUAUAUAUAUUUUUGAGAAAAUGAAUUUUUUUUUAUAUAUAUAUUUUGGGUGAGAAAAUGUAUGUUAUGAUUGUUUGAUGUUGUUUAUAUUAUCUGUUUUUUUUUUGUUUAUAUAUGUGUGGUUAUUAUUGUAAAUAUUUAGAGUGGGCGGUAAUGGUAAAAUUUUGUGAAGUUGUGUAAUGAGAGGAAUUUCAUAGUUGGUGGUAAAUUUUUUAUUUCAUUACAUAAAUGAUGGAUAAUUUAGGGGAAUAUAACUGUUAUGUCUCAUAAGCUGUAAUGAACAUUUGUUGAUCAGUAUUGCUGGAUGAAGUCUCUGUCAAAGAGGUUGAUAGAAUAAUUGUUGUCGUUGAGCAGGGUAAACAAUAGUUAUUAAACCCGGCCCGGAGAGGAACCUGGUGAAAGAGGUGGGUCAACGGAUUACUGGUUCAACCAGUGGGUGAGUGGUUCAACCGAUGGGUCACUACAUAUAUUUAAAUAUUAUGUUUUAUAAUUUUUGAUAUGGUUAAAACUAAAAUAAACUAUGUUAUAGUAAAUACUCAGUUAGUGCAAUUUAUUAUAUAAUCAUUAAUUCUUAUAAGAAUUAACAAAACCUAAAUUUAAUUAGUAAUCCAUCAAACUUCAAGUAUAAAAUUUUAUCUAAGUGUAAUUAUCUAGUUUAUUUUUGAAUUUUAAGCACAAAAGGUUAUUAAGAAUAAUAUUUGUUUUUAAAAUGAAUUGUGUAAUAUGUUAUUUUUUAAAUCCAUUUCAUAAUUUAUAGAAUUUAGAGAAUAAUAAAAUUUUAUUAAAAGAUUCCAAACAAAUAUUGUUUUGAAGAAAUAAAAUAAGAAUAAAAAUCUAAUAUAUAAUAUAGAAUGAGUGAAUAAGCACCAAGUGAGCUGCUAGGCUAGUGGUGAGUGUGCGUAGCUUUUAUGCUCAAUGAUUAUCCCAAAACUGGGUUCUUUACAAACUGUCCGGUUUCGGUUGAACCGUCGGUCCGUUGAAAAGUCAACGGAUUUGGUGCACAAACGAUCCAAUUACAAACCAGCCCGGUUUCAUGGCCGGUUCAUCGGGUUGACCGGUUGAAUCAUCGGGCCGGGCCGGGUUUAAUCAACAUUGGAGCAUUUUCUAAUCAUUUUUAUCCCAAAACUGGGUUCUUUACAAACUGUCUGGUUCAACCCGGUUGAACCGCCGGUCCGUUGAAAAGUCAACGGAUUUGGUGCACAAACGAUCCAAUUACAAACCAGCUCGGUUUCAUGGCCAGUUCACCGGGUUGACCGGUUGAACCACUGGGCCGGGCCGGGUUUAAUAACUAUGGGGUAAACAACACGACAUUUCCUUCAUGCAAGAAAUAUUUAUGUGCAAAUGUCGGCCAACAUUCUGUUAUCUGCAUUCCUUGUAGCGAACACAAUUUUAAAGAGUCUAUUAGCUCAUUGCUAUGAAAAAUUAAUCAUGGUUGUUAGCUCAUUAAUAUUUAUGUAAUCAUGAAGUCAUUUAUUUAUUGAUUAAUGAAUAUGUUACUCAAAAUCAACAAAUAGUACAUGGGCUUCUGUGUUCUGGAGAAAAAACACAAUUUUAAAGAGUCUAUUAGAUCAUUGAUGUCAAAAAUUACUAACGCUUGUUAGCUCAUUAUAUUUAUCUAAUCAUGAAGUAAUUUAUUUAUUGAUUAAUGAAUAUCUUAUUCAAAGUCAACGAAUAGUACAUGAGCUUAUGUGUUACAGAAAUUUAAAUUACAAUAAGGUGACUCGAGGCAUUUUUUUUACAAAAUCAAUAUGUUUGUUAAUAUAUAUAUUUUGAGUAAUUAAUUUAUUGAUUAAUGAAUAUCAUAAUAAAUAUAAAAGAGAAGAGAGAAUUAUAGUUUAAAGAAAGAAAAUGGAGGAGAAAGAAAAGGACGAAAUUGGGGAGAAAAGCUAACAUUUGUGAGUAAAGUCAGGAAACAGCGGAAGAUCCAGGAGAAACAAAAGGACAAAAUUGGGGACAAAAUUACAGGCGAACCAAGGGAAAGGGCAGAAUGGGAACAAAGCAACAAAAAAAGCAACGAGGACAAGCGGAAGCAGAAGCAAGGGCGCUACAUGAAGCCCGCGAAAAGACUAAAAAGGACAAAAUGAGCUGCAAAACCACAGCGAAACCGGCACAAUCAACUGUUCAUCAGGCUUCGCGGCUUUAAGUAAUUUAGAUGAUAACUAGGCAUUGUGCCCCGCGAGUUUCGCGGGGUGCCCAUUAUUGAUUGUUUAAGGGUAAUGUAAGAUUUAUUUAAUAAUUAAUGUUUAGAGUGUUUUAUAUGAUAGUAGGGUUGGAAUAAUAAAUAGAGGAACAAUAUAUUGGAUUAAUAUAUUUAUAAAUAGAUAUAGUAAUAUUGUUGUGAUUUGUAUUUAAUUUUUUAAGAGUAACAGGAUGUAAAUAUUAUUUAAAUUAAUGGAAUGUAAAUCAUUUUUUAAGAGUUGAGAUAAAUUAAUAAUUCGAAAUAAUUUCAAUAUGUUUAUUUUUAUAUUGUUAAAUAUAAGUGGAAGUAGAAUAAAGAAAAUUUAGGGAACAUAUAAUUGUUAUGUGCAAGAAGCUGUAGUGGUCAUGUUUAAUUAUGAUUGUUGGAUAAAGUCUCUGCUAAAGAGCUGCAGAUGAUAAUUGUUUUCAUUGAGUAGGGUGAACAGGAUGACACUUCCUUCAUGUAAGAAGUGUUUUUGUGCGAAUAUUGGCCAACCUUCUGUUAUUUCUAUUCCUUCUAGCUGAAAGAUCCAUCGAGUUUUAGCAUGAUAACAAUUGAUGACUCCUAUGUUGUCUGUUUGUAUAUGCGAUGGUAUAUCACCAAUGAGUACCUGAGAUAGAAAAUAGGGAAAAAACGUAGUUGUAUUAUGAAAUGAGAGUAGCAAUGUAGUGCAUGAAUUAUAUUGAUUGGAAUGUAAUUUGUAUGAAAUUCAUCAAAGAUUCAAGAUCGUGUGUUAAAUAGUGGAAGAGUUUAGUAUUGAAAAACUAAAAGAAAAGAAAUAUAGUGAAGAAUACAAAUUCAUAAAUAUAAUGUAUACAAAUUAAUGAUUUUUAAAAAUUUGAAAUUAUAAAUUUAGAAUCAUAUAUUUGUAUUUAUUGAUCGAAUAAUUGUUUUUUGAAUCAAUAAAUAUUGGAUUGAUUUAAUUUUAAGUUUAUAUAUAUUAGAUACAUGUCAAGUACAUAUGAUUUUCAUUCAUUUGUAUUAAUACGAAAUAGCAUAAUCAAUUUAUAUAUAUUGACUGGAUACACAUAGAAUUUGUAUUCAUUUGUAUAUAUUAGGUGCACAUAGGAUUUUUAGCGAUUUGCAUAUUUUUUUCAUAUUUAAUAUUUUUGCUAAUAUAUACAUUUUGGAGAAAAUUAAUUAAAUUUAUAUAUAUUAGAUACAUGUUAAGUACGUACAUAUGAUUUUCAUUGAUUUGUAUUAAUACGAAAUAGUAUAAUUGAUUUAUAUAUACUGAUUGGAUACACAUAGAAUUUUUAUUCAUCUACAUAUAUUAGAUGUACGUAGGAUUUUUAGGAAUUUGCAUAUUUUUUCAUAUUUAAUAUUUUUUCUAAUAUAUAUAUUUUGGAGAAAAUUAAUAAAUAAGCGAAUAAAUAUAAAAAGAAGGCUAUUUUAUGUAUUAGAUGUGCAUAGCAUUUUUAGUGAUUUGCAUAAUUUUUUAACUGUUAAUAUUUUUGUCAAUAUACACACUUUCGACAAAAUUAAUAAAUAAGCGUGUUAAUAAAUAAGCGGAUAAAUAUAAAGAAGGAGGGAAAAUUAUAAAUAUAGAAAUAGUCUCGAAAUUAUAAUUAUUUGAUAUAAAUAACACUUAUUAUAUGUUAAUACAAGGUAGUAUUAUUAAUUUAUAUAUAUUAGAUAUAUGUUAAACACAUAUAAUUUUCAUUGAUCUGCAUUAAUAUAAAACAGCAUAAUCGAUUUAUAUCUAUUGAUUAGAUACAUAUAGAAUUUUUAUUCGUUAGUAUGUAUUAGAUAUAUAUAGGAUUUUUAGUGACCUGCAUAAUUUUUUGAUAGUUAAUAUUUUUUUCAAUACACACACUUUUGACAAAGUUAAUAAAUAAGUGAGUUAAUAAAUAAGCGGAUAAAUAUAAAGAAUGAUGGAAAAUUAUAAACAUAGAAAUAGUGUCGAAAUUAUAAUUAUUUCACAUAAAUAACACUUAUUAUAUGUUAAUACAAAGUAGUAUUAUUAAUUUAUAUAUAUUAGAUGCAUGCUAAACAUAUAUGAUUUUCAUUGAUAUGCAUUAAUACAAAACACCAUAAUCGAUUUAUAUAUAUUGAUUAAUAUGUUUGUGUAUAUAGCAACCUGCAUGUUUUUUUGAUAUUUAAUAUGUUUGUUAAUAUACACAUUUUAGAGAUGCACGUAGGAUUUUUAGCGAUUUGCAUAUUUUUUUCAUAUUUAAUAUUUUUGCUAAUAUAUACAUUUUGGAGAAAAUUAAUUAAAUUUAUAUACAUUAGAUACAUAUUAAGUACAUACGAUUUUCAUUGAUUUGUAUUAAUACGAAACAGUAUAAUUGAUUUAUAUAUACUGAUUGGAUACACAUAGAAUUUUUAUUCAUUUGUAUAUAUUAGAUGUACGUAGGAUUUUUAGGAAUUUGCAUUUUUUUCACAUUUAAUAUUUUUGCUAAUGUAUAUAUUUUGGAGAAAAUUAAUAAAUAAGCGAAUAAACAUAAAAAGAAGGCUAUUUUAUGUAUUAGAUGUGCAUAGCAUUUUUAGUGAUUUGCGUAUUUUUUUAAUAGUUAAUAUUUUUGUCAAUAUACACACUUUCGACAAAAUUAAUAAAUAAGCGAGUUAAUAAAUAAGCGGAUAAAUAUAAAGAAGGAGAGAAAAUUAUAAAUAUAGAAAUAGUCUCGAAAUUAUAAUUAUUUGAUAUAAAUAACACUUAUUAUAUGUUAAUACAAGGCAGUAUUAUUAAUUUAUAUAUAUUAUAUAUAGGUUAAACACAUAUAAUUUUCAUUGAUCUGCAUUAAUACAAAAUAACAUAAUCGAUUUUUAUAUAUUGAUUAGAUACAUAUAGAAUUUUUAUUCGUUAGUAUGUAUUAGAUAUACAUAGGAUUUUCAAUCAGAACGACUUUAAUUAUCCACUCACUUGAUUUAUUUGUCAAACUAUUCACAGGAGUGCAUUUGUCAUCCAUGCCUGCAAUAUAGAACAUCAAAAGUAUAUUAAUAUGGAUGGAAUGAUGCAAAUAUAUAAGAUGCUGAAUAUAAGCACUUUUAAUUGAAAACUUUUAAGUUCAGUACUUAAUCUUCAGCUGCAGCUGCUAAAAUUUCUUGAUACACUACAUUUCGAGUACAAUUACUGGACAAAGAAUCAGAAGCAAUGCGUAUGAGUAAAAUUUUAACAUCAUUAGCAAUUCUGGCCCUUGAUAAUGCAACAUAUAAUUGGCCAUGUGAAAAUACUGGUUCUUUCAAAUAUAAUCCUACAAAAUCAAGUGUUUGUCCUUGUGAUUUAUUAAUUGUCAUGGCAAAACAUAAUGAAAUUGGGAACUGAGUACGCUUGAAAGGUAUUGGAUAUGACUCAUUAUUAGAACUGUGCAAUGGAAUGCGAGGAAUGAAAACCUGUUUACCAGAAUGAAUUCCAACCGAAAUUUGUGCAUGUAUGAUGUUUUUGUUAAAAUUUAAGCAUAUCAUGGGGGUUCCAUUGCAUAGUCCUUGUGCUGGAUUCAGAUUUCUUAGGAGAAUAACUGGGCAAUUUGGUUUCAAAAUCAACAAAUGUGGAGGUAAUCCUGGGGGUGGAUAGUAUUUAAGAAGUCACCGUGAUCAGCUUGUUUUGUUGGAUCUAUUGUCUCAUCGAAGCUGAUAUAUUUGAUUUCUUCUCCAGGGAGCUUCUGAAUCAAAAUUUGAUUGAUUUCGUGCACAAUAUCAUUUGUUGUACUGAGAAUGGCUCUGUUAAUGAGAGUUGAAUUCUGAGGGCAAAAGCUAGAUAGAGAUGGAUAAACAGUGUCUAUCAGAGUGUGCAAGGAUUGCUGAUCAUCAUUAAUGAAAGAGACAAUCAUAGAAGAAGGCAAUUGUAUCUUGUCAUCUGCAAUGGUUGCUUGUGUGCCAUUUCCAAUAUUGAGCAGAAAAUCUGAGAAUGAUGGAUCGAGAAAUGCUCUCAUAUUUUCAGUCAAUCGAAUCUUUUGGAGGUGUGGCCAAAUAUAUGAGUUGAUGAGAGACGCAGAAAUGUAAUCUUCUCUUUGACCUUUGUGGACAAUUGGUAAAGUCUGUCAAAAAUUUCCACCGAAAACAAUGAGUUUUCCACCAAAUAUUUGAUCAGAAUUCAGCAAAUCUCUAAGUACUCUGUCAAAGGAUUCAAUUGCAUAUUUUUUUGCCAUUGUUGCUUUAUCCCAUAUUAUUAAUGAUAAUGUAGGUUAUAAUUUUAGAGAAAAGUUUUUUUUUUUUUAAUUUUGGUUUUUAGUUGUAUAUUUUUGAAUUUUUUAGUUUUUGAAAUAUUAUUGAAGUAAUAUUUUUGGAAUAGAGUAAAUGGAAGGUAAUGGAAAGUGGUACAAUUAAUUUGUAUUUAUUAGAUAGUUAUGAAUUUUUUGUUGAUAAGUAUUUUAUGGCGGUUGUAUUUGUGUUAUGCUAUUUAAUUUAAAAAUGGAAGAAGUUUAAGUUGAUAAUUGGGUUAUUAACGAAUAUUAUUGAAGGAAUAUUUUUGAAAUAGAGAGGAAUUAUGUUAUAUUUGAAAAAUAAUUGGUUGCAGUAAAAUAUAUUUUGGAAAAAGUGGAGAUAUGUAAAAUGGGUGAUAAAUAGGAUAUAAAAAUAUAUUUAUAUGUUUUUGUAGUCAAAAUAAUUUUGUGUUUGUAUUAUAGAAUUAAAGUUGUGUUUCUAGAGAAUAAAUAUUUUUGUUAAUAUAUAUAUUGUGGAAGAUAAAUCGUAUAUAAAGGGUAUAGAAUUAAUUAUAACUUUUUUUUGAAUGUAUGUGUAUUGUGUUAUUCAAUUUUGAAGUGGAAAAGAUUUAAGUUAAUUGUUUAGUAGUUAAUAUAUAUUAUAGAAAUAAGAUUUUUGGAAUAGAAAGAAGCUAUUGGAUAUUUUUAGAAAAUGGUUAGUCGAAUGAAUGGAAGUUAAAGAUAGAUUUGAAUAAUUGAUUUAUAUUUAUUGGAUGUGUAUGAAGUUUUUGUUGAUAUAUAUAUUUUGGAGAAAAUUAAUUUUUUUAUAUAUAUUUUUUUGGGUGAAAAAAUAUACUUUAUGAUUGUUUAAUGCUGUGUAUAUUAUAUAUAUUUUUGUUUAUAUAUGCGAAGGAUUUUUUUUACAAAAUCAAUAUGUUUGUUAAUAUAUAUAUUUUGAGUAAUUAAUUUAUUGAUUAAUGAAUAUAAUAAUAAAUAUAAAAGAGAAGAGAGAAUUAUAGUUUGAAGAAAGAAAUGCUAAUACAAAGUUAAGAUUGAAGGAAGUUAUAUGUGAAAUAAAGUUAAUAAAUAAAAACGAUAAGCUAACAUUUUCGUGAAUAAAGCUAGCGAUAACAAUUACAUACAGCAACGGAAAAUGAAGGAGAAAGAAAAGGACAAAGUUGGGGACAAAAGCUAACAUUUGUGAAUAAAGUCAGGCAUAACAACUGCAGCAGCGGAAGAUGGAGGAGAAACAAAAGGACAAAAUUGGGGACAAAAUUACAAACGAACCAAGGGAAGGGCAGAAUGGGAACAAAGCAACAAAAAAAGCAAUGAGGACAAGCGGAAGAAGAAGCAAGGGCGCUGCAUGAAGCCCACGAAAAGACCAAAAAGGACGAAAUUGGCUGCAAAAUCACAGUGAAACCGGCACAAUCAACUAUUCAUCAGGCUUCGCGGCUUUAAGUAGUUUAGAUGUAUAAAAAGCUAGGCAAAUUCUGCUAUUAAAGCAAGGAGUUAGCUACGUGAAAUGGUUCCUUUUGGUUGCUAAUGACUACGGGAGAGUAGCAGACAAAUACUGAAAUGAAAGGUACAAAACCAUUUAAUAAUUCAUACCAGCUUCACCAAUCUAAUUCUGGUACUGAGAAAAUUCGUAAAAGGGAAAUAAAUUGGUGAUUAGGUUUUAUUGUACUCUUGAAUCCCAACUAAUCUUGAUUCAUUCUUCACUCUUUCAAUUAUAACCAUUAAUUUGAGGGGAUCAUUAGCUUAAUUUCCAGUACAACUCUCUGCUUUGUCAAUUCGGAGAAUUUUAUUUGGUUUAGUGGUUAACUUGAUACUUGUCCAGUCACUCUCAUCUGCAAUCAAGAAAACUAGUUCAAAGAUUGUACUGACAAUUAUAACAUACUAGCUCAAAUGUGAAAAACGACUUGUAUAAUAUAACGUGCUUGACACUUUUUUUUUACCAUGCUAGUGGUCGCGUUCAAUUGUCCAUUAAAAUGUAAAAUAAUCCUAAAGAAAAAGAAUGAAUGGCCGAAAUGGUCACUUAACUAUAUAAAAUGACACCCUUUGAUCAUCAAACAUUUCUUAUGGCAAAAAAGGUCACUAAACUCGCAUAAGCGCACCAGCAGACUCAUUUUACCGAUUUUUACCAGCGAAUCAUCCGGUUACAAGGCUACGUAGAGUGGAGGAAUAUUUGUGAAAGGGUAAAAAUAUCCCAAAAAAAUAUGGUAAACCUGUUUCUUCCUUCCUCGCAAGUUGUACCAAAAAAAAUUUGCUAGAGUGAUGAUUCAGACGAGGUCCAUGAUGAAAGAGAAUAUGAAGAUGAAAGACAAUCCCAAAGCCAUUGGAGUGAUGAUUCAGACGAGGUCCAUGAUGAAAGAGAAUAUGAAGAUGAAAGACAAUCCCAAAGCCAUCAGCAUGGCAAGAGAAGUCGUCAAUAUGAGAGGGAAUUCAAUAGAGCUUGAUUUGAUGGAGAAAAAAAAUACACAACUAUCACUUAAGAAAAUGUUCAAGUAUGAGAGGGAAUACUGAUAGGUACUAUCACAGCACAAGAAACACAAGAAACUAUCACUUAAGAAUAUAUUCAAGUAACUUAUUGAAGAUGGAUUUUUUAUUUAUUUAGUUUUUGUUUGGGGAAGAUAGAGAUGGAUAUUUAAUCCAUGGAUUUUCCUCAUCAAGUUUCAAAGCCAAAGGGCACUAAUUUAGUCACAAAUUCCUGAAUAAAUGCACAGGGACUUGUAUUGCUCUUCAAACACUUGCUGAUCUAAUCAAUACCCAUUAGAACUUAUCUGACAGACAGUAACAUAAUUUGAUUUGGGGAUACAUGAACUAGGCCUUGUUUGGAUUGCAAUUUUUCUUCAAAAAACUUUUAUGUUUUUGCAAAUACAUUUCUUAGUAACCUCUUAUAUCUCAUAUAUAUUAAAUUAUUAUAAUACAUUUUUCUAUAAAAACUCUAGAAAAUAGCAAUCCGAACAAGGUGGAACUUCACUUUUCAUCCCCUAAUCCAAAUGCUCAGAGAAUGUAUUGAUGGUUUGAUACCGUAGAAGACUACUACGCACUAAUAAACGCUAUCCAUAACAACUAGGGAUAAAUUCAAAAACCUCUCCUGAGGUUUUUGGCUAUUUCACUCACCUCAUUACAAGUUUUAAAAAUUAUAUUAAUUUUCCUUGAGAUUUAUUAUCUUAUAACAUCUAGAUUUAAUCAACAAUUAAAAGUGAUAUUAUGAGAGAGAAAAUAAUAUGAUUCUACUAUUGUCCCUCAUCUACUAAAUUGUUUAAUUAAUCUAAUACCUGCCCAAAAUAUUAACGAAAAUACUAAAAUUUGCUAUUUAUCACCAGAGAUUAAAUCACAUAUAGCAUCAAAAAUAGUAUUUCAUUCUAUAUAUUUAAUGUAAGAUUUAAAUUGCUCUUUUUAGCUACAAACUCAUUGUCAAAUAUGAUCAACAACAAAUAAUCAAAAAAUCUAUGACCAAAAUAUUACAAAGAGUAAACUUUAAUAUCAUAAAAAUCUCAACAAAUACCCUUAAUAUGUUGAUAAAAAUAUUUAUGAUGUUAAAAUUUGUUCUUUGUAAUAUUUUGGCUGUAAUUUUUAUUAUUAUUAUUUGUUAUUGAUCAUGUUUGCUAAUGGAUAUAUAAUUGAAAAGAGUAAUUUGAAUAUUGUAUUAAGUGAAAAAUAUAAAAUGAUAUAAUAUUUUUUGAUACUAUAUGUGAUUUCAUCCCUAAUAAUAAACAGGAAAUUUUAGUAGCUUUAUUUUAUAUGCGGAUUGGCAUUAAAUUAAUUAAAUAAAGUAGUAGACGAGGGAUAAUGAUGGAAUCAUAUUAUCUUCUCUCUUUCAAUAUUACUUUUUAAUUAUCGAUUGGAUCUAAAUAUUACAAGAUAAUUAACUUUAGGAGAGGUUAGUAUAAUUUUUGAAACCUAGAGGGAGGUCAGUAAAAUAGUUAGAAACCUCAGAGGAGGUUUCUGAAAUUAUUCCUAACAAUAAAUCAAGCUAUUGCCGCCCACUCAGGCUCUGAGUAAAACUAAAACUCAAAAUAAAAACCGCAACCGCUUCAAUUUCAGGCUAUUGCCAUUGCCACCCGGCCUUCAGUUUUUCAGUCUUUCCUCUUUCUCAAAACUCUGCAGACGGCCUUCGUAUUCUUAGACCCCAUUUUGCAGAACCCCACAACUUUCAACGCCCAUUCUCAAGUUUUAACCCCUUAAUCCCUUCAGACAGUGAUCGACGUGAAGCUUGUGGGUUUUGCAUUCGCAUUUGCAUUUGCAUUUGCAUGCCACUCUUGUUUUGUGCCAGUUUGAUCAAAUCUUCAAAGAUGGUCAAAUCUUCGAAAAAUAGCCGUAAGUUCUUCCUUUUCCGAAGCCCAUUUUGUAUGUUUGUGUAAAUUCGCUUUUACUGAAUGCAGGGGUGCAUCCAUGGUGAGGUUUCUUGUAAAUAUUUGUACUUUCUCAUGUUUCUUGAUGUUUAUCGAUUAGUGGGCCUCAUGAUCACAGCCUAUUCUUUUUUUCUUGGUAAUACUAUAAACAUCAAGAUCUCCUGGAAUGAACAUUACCGCCAACUGAUAGUCUCCUCUGAACAGUAUUUGGUCAGUCAGGCAGCAGCAGCAGCAGCCCUUCAGGUUCAGGGUCUUCAUCGGUCCAUGGGCAAAUGAACUGCCCUUCGUCUUCAGGGUCUUCGUUGGUUUAUGGCCAAAUUAACAACUCAAGCAGUAGUACAUCUUCCCUCAAUAGCCCAGGAGGUUAUAAAAAUCCCUUUGCUUCAUAUGAUGUUUUAUAUAUUUGGACAGGCAUUGUGAUUGCAGAUUGUUGUUUUUUGAUGUUGGAUAUUCAUUGUCUUUCCUUUCCUAUUAUUUCUUAUUCUAAACUUAGAAGUCGUUACAAUGAUGCAACCUGUGACCAAGGAUGUGAUAUGUAGUUCUACCUAGUUGAAUUUGUAGAGUACGGCAUCUGCGCUGCUUUAUUUAGAAUUUCAGUUGGUUUCUUUUUCUAUCUUCUUGUAGGAUAUUUUGCCUCUAAUCAGAACCCUCAGCAACCAUGUCAACAGACGCAAGUUGGUCCCCUUCAUGUCACUUUUAGCUCGUCAGAUCAACCUGCUUUUGGGUUUUGGUUUGGUACUCGUGGCAGCUCCUGUGAAUCAGUAUCCAUUGGCUCUUCUGCGAGUGUGUCUAGUAGAUCACCUUUUGGCUCUCGGAAUGAAAAGUCUAUUCUCGGGAACUCAGGCUCUCAAUUUGGAGUAUUAGGCACUAUUAGCUUUGGUUUGUCAAACAGCACUACCUCUGGCUUUGGCCAGAUAUCAUCAUUUGGUUCUGUGCAUGUGAAUCCUGCUUCAAGCAACAGAGGACAUGGAUAUUCAAGUGCUCCUGCAUUUGGAGCAUCAGGCACCAGAAACGUUGGUCCAUCAAACACCAGAUCCUGUGGCCCUAGCCAGAAACCGUCAUUUGGCCAGUCAGUGUCAAGCUUUGGUGGGAGCAACUUGCCUGGGAAGACUCCAUUUGGUACUCAGAAUUCACAUUCUGGUAAGUAUAACCUAUGCUUCGCAUUAGUAGCAGUUGAAUCGUAAAAUGACUCUUUCAAGCUUAGCAUCAAAAGAGAAGAGAUGCAGAGGUUCUUGCCUUUUACUUUUGUACAAAUUUGUUAGUUGCUUCUGUAUCUUCAUUUAACUAACAUUGACUUCUCUGCUCUUCCAAAGGAACAAAUGACUCUAGACUGGCAACCCAAGCAGGUGGUCAGGUUAUCAAUGAGCUACAGUAUGUGCAUCCUAAAAACUCUCACUAUAACUGACCAUCUUUCUUUUGUUUUCUUUUAUCCAUUUUAUGUGAAAAUUUUCCAUAUGAGCAGACCUUCCCUGUAGUAAUUCAACUUUUUGAUAAACUGUUUAUGUGAAAGAUUUUGGCUACAUAAGUGCAGGUGAUUUUUUUUUUUUUUGGCAGAAUGUUUUCUCAAACCUUGAUAGAUAACUUUCCAUCAUAACGCCUAUGAUCAACUCAUUGAGAUGCAUGGACUGAAAAUUUUUUUGAAAAUUCUGGAUGAGUCCUUUUCAAUUUUACAUUGGCAAGAAGUUUCACCAUCCCUCUCUCUCUCUCUCCCUCUCGCCCUCCCUCCCUCACUCCCUCUCCCUCUCUUUGUCAUACAUGUACACAGGUGUAAGAAUAUGUUUUGUUUUAUUGUAUUCCCUUGUUUUGUGCUUUGUUCAGGAAGCUGUCUGAGCUUUUACUCUUUGGAAUGCUCUCCUAUGUGUUAGCUUGUUUUGUAUUGAUGGGUUUAAUUGCUAAUACUGUUUCUUCAGGACAGCCUCUCUCGCUGCUGAAGUCGUUCAGUCCACUGGCUCAAACUCUUUUAGGUCACAGCACGAACUGCAGAUUUUAGUUGAUGACCCUGGCUGUACACUAUCAGUCCAACUUGGGAAUCCUGGCAUACAUGUAAGUCUCAAAAUCUGAUAGCAAAUCUAGGGAGCAUGAUAGCAAAUCUAGGAAUCCUAUAUAACAAUUACACUUAUGACUGCAAACGAAUCGAAACUAUUGAAGAAGAGGGAAAUGGGGCAGGGACGGUUGCACCUGCAACCGUCCCUGAGCGGUUAAUGGCCAUGAUUUGGCCUCAAAAAUUUGUGCGGCUGAGAUUACAAGUUGUAACUCAAUUUCCACGCCAUGUGUGGGUCUCACAAAAAUUUACUCUAAAGUUACGCGAUGUGCAAAAAAAGUUACACGAUGUACAAAGAAAGUUACGCGCAGUUGAUAAUGACCAAAACCGCCUGGGACGGUUGCAGGUAACCGUCCGUGCCCCGAGUCCGUGUGAGGGAAUCUACAGUCGAAGAGGGGAAACAAACUAUUGAUGAUUGACAUAAAGGUGAAACAGUUAAAGAAUUUGAUAUAAGUAAUUGAUUACCACAGCAUCCGCUUCUGGUUGUGCCAAAAAAUGGCUAGUCGAGGUACGAAGAAGUAUGCUGAUUCCGAGACUCCUGUGAGACCUAUCACUCAAAGAAGGAGGCUGUUCAGCUGCACUGGUGGCCUUGUGAGUCGAUCUCGAGUUGGUCGAGUCGAACUCGAGUUUAAAAUAUUAAGCUCGUCGGCUCGCGAGCUCGAAUAUAUAUAUAUAUUUUAAUAGUAAAAUUACAUGUAUAUCCUUAAUAAUUUAUUAUUUAUUAAGAAAAAAAUAUUUUUUAUUUAUUUUUUUAAAAAUAAAAUAACUAUUUUUAUUUUUUUGAGCUCAAGUUCUAGCUCGAACUUCAAAAUUGUCAACUCAUCGAGAGAGCUGCAAACGAGCCGAGUCGAGUCGAGUUUUGGUCUAAUCGAGCCGAAUCUUAACUUAGUUUUAUCGAAAUCGAACUCAAGAUUGUCAACUCAUCGAAAGGGCUGCAAACGAGUCGAGUCGAGUCGAGUUUUGGCCAAAUCGAGCCGAAUCUUAACUUAGUUUUAUCAAAAUCGAACUCGAGACUUAGUUUUAUCGAAAUCGAACUCGAGCUCGAGUUCGAGUUCGAUAAAAUAAAACUAAGGCAAGAUUCGGUUUGAUUAGGUUAAAACUCGACUCAAUUCGACUCGUUUGUAACCCUAAUUACACUGCAAUGUUUGCAACAAAAAUAUGCAGAAUACGAUUAUUAAAGGAUAAGAAAAAUCCUUGAAACGCGAUCCUUCUCCAUUCGUCAGUAAAAUUAUCCGUUCUUCUUUCAACUUGUUGUAGAUGAAACUGUCUACUAUGGAACUGGAUUGUAAAAAGUGACAUGGAGUUUGAGUUCCUCAAACCUAUGACUACUAUUCAAGGAUGUUGUUGGUACACACUACCAAUUAGUCUGUCAUUUUCGCUAAAAAAAUGCAGCCUGCUGUGAAAUGAUAAUAAAUUUGUGAUUAGGCAGGAUGGAUUACUAUUUUGUAUCCGUUUGGAUUACUAUUUUUAGAAAUUUUUUGUAGAAAGAUGUACCGUAGUAACUUGACAUUUUCAAUAAGCUCUAAUUCUCUCGCAUGUAUAGGAUUAAUUGUUCCAAAGCAUUCUAGUGUAAAGAAUUCUUUAUAGCAUGAAUCAAUUGCAAACUUGAAUCGUAUUUUAUUUCUUUUCCUUUUCCUAAAAAAAACAUUUAUUUUCUUCUACAUGUGGGUGAUCAACCAGCAAUAAAAAUUUUGGAUUCAAUUUUCCCUUGUCAUUUCCAUUCCAAUUGCUUAAAUCUCAUUCUUCUUAAAAAAAAAAGGACAAUCGACCAAAAGGCCUAUGGAAAAAAGCUUUAGUUUUGGGCCAAUAUUGUAUUCCAUCUACUCUUCGUGAUGGCCAUAGUGCUUGACUCAUCAGGCAUUGCUUUUGAUUUCAAAACAGCCCAAGUUCAAACUAAGUCGGUCACAUUGGGCUUAGUGCCACACCCCUUUGAAAACUUAUUAACAUGGUUUCAACACUCGCAUUUUUUUUUUUCGAAAUGUUAUUUACACUCCCAUUUUUGUUAUUCACACUCCCUCGAUCAUUUUAAUGAUAUAGUUUUCAUUCAUUAUACUAUAUGAUAAAACAAAUGGUGGAAGUACAAAUAAUAAAAAAUAGUAUAUUGGGAUAUUUCCCUUUUGGAUAUUUGGAUAUUUCCCUUUUAUUUUUUAGAAAAAAUAUGGUUUCAACACAUUAAUAACGGAUGAAUGGAUGUAUGUCGCUUCUCUUGGGGGUUUCUAAUUUUUCAAGGGAUGAAUACAAAAAUUUAUUUAUUUUCACUUAAAAUCGAGUUUUGUAAUUUAUUUGUAGAUUCGAAGUAUUAGACUACUAAUAAACUUUGUAUCAUAUAAAUCUGUUGAAUUACGGCUUAAAAAAAGUAGUUUAUAGACUUAUUCUUUCGUUAUUCCCCCCCCCCCCUCCUCUCUUAAAGAUCCAUGAACUAUGCUGUAUAUGAAGCCACAUUUUAGCAGAUUCGUAAUGAAAUAAUAAUGAGUGUACAUUUGAACUUUUUUUCCCUUUUAGUUCCUAUUAAAAUUGUCAAUGCCAAAUAACAAAAUAUAUAAAACUGAAUAAUGAUGUCAUUUGGAUCCCAUUAUUAUUCUUGACAAACAAAUCUUCUUGUCAAUCCAAUCUUCUUGACAAACACAUCUUUUCAAAUCAAAUUCAUGUCAAUUCAAACACAUCUGAUGUUGAAAAUUCAUGAUAUUCCUAAUUUCAAGGUAUUUGUCUGUUUUCAUUAGAGAAGCCUGCAAUUAAUUUUUCCACAUCCUUGUGACAAUUCAACUGUCUCAUGAUUAGGCUUCAGACCUUACUCAUAGUGAAAGGCUACCUAUCUUUGCUAAAGGGACCUAAGUGAGCAAACAAAUCCUUCAAACUUUGCUAAAGAAUCAUCCUCACAUCUCUCCUCUCUCUUUUUUUUUUUUUUUGCCAAAUAGAGCAAUUGGGGUCUAUUCUUUGAUCAUAAUUCUUUGCUUUUCAUAUCCAUAAAAAAUUAUUUAAAUCUGCCAACAUUUCUUUUUAAAAAAAAAAAAAAUUACUUACAACUAUGACAUAAAUUGAUGUAAUACUUGUCACAGAUUUCAAUUUUCUUAGAAAAAGAAAAAGAAAAUCAUUUGUAAUCUUUCCACCACUUUCCCUUGGAGAGACAUAACUACAACCACCAACCCUCAACCCAAAAAAAAAACAAAACAAAACAAAAGAAGGGUUCUUUAAUACUAUUCUGAUUUCUGAUCUAUUGAAGUACAAUUUGUUACACAAGGCUGCUUGUCCAUAUACAAGCAGUGGAAAUGUGGAAAUUAAUGAAGUAACUUUUUCAAGCUUACGCAUAAAAUCUGUCUUCCCUUUAGGCCACUUUCUGGUCCCUCUGUGCUCUUGGUUGAUGGAACAAUUAAACAACUGCUGUGGACAAAGGGCUUAAACCUCCUAAUCUCAUUAUGUACCAAAGACUAAUCAUCAUUAUAUAAUGAAUCAAUGAUAAUGAUUUGUACCGAGGAAGUAGAUCAACACUUAAACAGGACUCAAUAAAAAAAUCAAUCUGAAAGCGGCCUUAAAGGUUAUACAUAUAUAAUUUCUUCCUCUUUUUCUUUUUCUUUUUUCUUUUCAAAACAGAUGCAAUGAUUUAUUGCCAAUAUAAAUUUGGUCACAAGUUAUCCAGCAUGAAGCAAGUAUAGUAAUUAAUUUGCCCAUUUCCACAAUGUAAAUUAGACAGUAUAGUCCCGAGAUUUAGUACAGAAAAUUUGAACAAGGAAGACAAAUUUUCGUUAACCUUCAAAAGGUAACUUAAUUGGAUUGCAAGAAUUACUGAUAUAUACGUGCUUAAUCUAGAAAUACUUGUACACCAGAUGGAAAUUAAGUUUAUUUAGUGCACAAAAUUAUAGUGCUAAUUAUAAGUUCAUACAUCACACUGGCUUCUUUAGUUACACUAAUCGUAAUUUGUGCUUGGUGCCAAAUUUUUCAUGCGAAGUAAUCAUGGCUUGAAUGCUAGCAGACUUGAUGAUAGAUAGAUAGAUAAGCCGUCAACGUAGGGUUGUUGCAUGUUUAUAUACUCUACGUACAAUGCAAGAAGUUCCAUUUCUUGAAGAAAUAUUGGAAUGUCCCUUUUGCAUAUAAUUAUGCAUGUCUUCCUCUUCCUUCCUUGGCAGAUUUUGGAAAUGCUUUGCUGGCCCCAACACACCAAACAAUGACCUAUCCGUUCCAUGCAAGGCACUUUGACUUGGCCAACGCGUUAGAGAUUAUUACUAUUUUCUUCACCUACAAAAAUCUUUAACUGCAUGCUUCUUGCCUUUGCUUUGCUUUGUUUUUUGAGUAGAGAAUGAUAAAUAAUAAUCAUAUUUUUGUGUGCAAAAAGACGGUUGGAUUUAUGGAGAAUGCGAUUUGUCUUUGCAGAGUUGUUCAGCCAUUUAGCUUGAUUAAUUCUUUAUAUGAUUCGACUAUAUAACCAGCUACUCAGUUACCUUGCAACUAGUAAUGGUGAUUCUGAGUUCAGUAAUGACAUUGAUUCAACUUUUUAUAUCCAAAACUGAUCGAACAUAAUAAGAUAGUACGUGCAACUGAAAUAUUUCCUUUUUUAAUCCUUUUAAUGUCUGGAUAAUGUUACCUCGGUGUGGGAGCCUUAUUUAGAGACCUCAUAUUUAGGUACAGAUCAUAGAUAUUUUGGACUUAAAAGAGUAGUAUAGUACUACAGAUGGGAGCCUCAUAUUUAGGUACAGAUCAUAGAUAUUUUGGACUUAAAGAGUAGUAUAGUACUGCAGAGAGAGUGAAUACCCCUUAAGAUUUUAGGGAUAGUUUCACAAACAUCCCUCGAGGUAUGUCUUAAUAUCACUUAAUAUUCUCGUGGUUUCAAAAAUGUCUUUUACCUCCCCUUGAUUAACAUGAUUCGCAACAUAAUUUGUCACUACUGCUCAUGCAUUAAAAAAUUCAUAGAUAAUGAGAGAUAAUAAUUUACUUCCAUUUGGACCCUCUUGUUAUCCUUUAUAUAAAUAUUAGAGGAGCAAUUAAGACUAAAACAAACCUAAUAAGCAAAAGACAAAUUGGUAGAGAUGUAAGUGCAAUAAAGAGAAGUCGCAAUUAUAAAUGGUACUUUUGCUAAUUGUCGUCUUCAAUUUUUGUACAUUUCAAAUUCUUUUUUUUUUUUUGUGCAAACUUUAGUUAAUCAAUUAAAGAUUUCUAGAAGGAUAAUAUCAUCAAUUUACUACCUAUGAUAGAGAAAUCUUGUCUUGUCAAUCUGACAAGGGAAGCAAGAGAGAUUUUUGAAACUAUAAGAAUACUAAUUGAUAUUAAGAUAAACCUCAGGUGAGAUUUGUGAAUUAUCCCAAGAUUUUAUUGAGGACCAUUGGAGGGCGUCUUCCAAUCCAAGGGUGGUCAAGAGAGAAAAUGGCCAAGCAGGGCAAUAACCACCAUCAAAAUUUUGUAAUUUCUUAUGCUAUAGAAAAUCAAUACUUCAAGAGGCGAAAUGAAAGGUGGGAUUAUAUAAUCUUGAACUUCUCUUUCAAAAUGAAAGUUUUCAUUUGGCUUUUUAGAACUUUUUAUGUCAGGGAAGUAGGCUCCUUUUACAAAUCUCUGCUACUCCAAUUCCCAAAGUGCUUUCACUGAGGUAUCAUCUUUGAAUUUUCUCUUUCCAUCAAUUUUUUUGGGGGGCCUCUUAGCAGUAUAAAGGAAGUUUCUUGUCCAUUAGUCCAAUAUUUUCAGCUAAUUGAGCCCCACCUCUUGGUCUAAUCCUUUCAUUUUUUUUUAUAUAUUUGUUUCUGAGGUCAUACUGCAAUUCUUAAAACCAAACUUGGACAAGUGUUAGAUAUUCGUUUCAAUCAUUGCAACCCUGUCUCAAAAUCAAAUAAUCAUCAACUUUGGCCUGUUCUUCCUCGUAAAUAAAAUAGAAGUAUUUUCCAUUUGGUAUAAUUAAGAACUGCACCAGUCCCAUUUUCGUUAAUGCCAUUCUUGGCCGGCCUUGAAUUCUUUAGGUGUAAUUUUCAAAAUUACACUGGGGAGGUGCUUGAUUAGUGGCUUUCACGAUAAGUUAACUUAUGAGUUUUAAUUUCAAUCAUACCCACAUAGUAUAAUAUUUGUUUUAAGGUCAAUUGGAACCAGUUAAUGAAUUUCAUAGAUUCCUUCUCGGGGGUUUCAUGAUUAACUAUUAAAAAGUAGAGUUUCACUUAUCUAUUAUUAGUUUUUUUUUAGAUUAAUCUUGAAUACAUUAAAAGUGUAUAUACUAAUACCCUUUGAUUGAUAAUAAUGCCACAUCUGCAAAAAACGAAGUUUAAAUUCAAACAAAAAAAAAAUUAAGCGACUUGCAUCUGAGGGUGCUAGUGCAUACAUUUUCAUUAUAUAAAAGAUUAAUCUUUAUUUUCUUUUGAUUGCUAAAAUCUAUUGCUGUAAAGUUAUCAAAUACUCAGUGGUGUUCUUAUCAAACCUGUUGUUAUUCCCCAAUUUACCAUUGUAACCGUACCUAAAGUAUAGUCAUAGUGAUUGUGGAAGUCGAACCAAAUAUUACUAUUGAAACUAAAUCCCAUUUCUUGUCUCAAAACCCAUCUACCAAACGCACCCUAAGUGCUACAGCUAAAUUUACUACUAUCAACGAAGAAAUCAGAAUUAAAUUACUAACCCUGAAUUCCAAGUAAAUCUCAAAAGCCGGCAACUAUUGAGACCAUCGAGGGAACUAAUAAUCUAACCCUCAACCCCCCUUGAUCGAUGUGGGAUUCUUGUGGUAAGGCCUGCUACUAAAUGUGUACUAACCCCCAAGGCACUCUGCUACAGCUAAAUUUACUACUGGAAGCUAAGUUUUAUGACAGAUCAUAAUAAGCAGUUGUAUCAUACCAGUUGAUCUCUCUCUAUCUCUCCCCUUUAUUUUUUUGGGGGUCAAAUGUAGAUAAUAGAUUAUCCUAAUGUUAACCUACUAGGCACUAGCUUUAGAUUAUGUACUUCUAGAACAGAUCGGAGAUGUAUUAGACUUUUCCAGCUGUGUUCUACCCCCAAAAAAGGGGGGAAUUUACAGCUCUGAACUCUGACAAUGUCGGUCAAAGAAGCUCAAAAUUUUAGCAAGAAUUGUCUGCAUAUGCAGGGACCCCAUCAAAUAAUAUCCCCAUCAAUGGCCCUAAUCUUCAUCCCUUAACUUUGGGUUGAAGGAGGCAAGUUUCGUGCUUUAACAUUCAUUCACACUUGACAAUUCACGUUAAAGAUUCCUCCAUAGUUUACUUUAGUCCCCUUCCAGUUCCCCUCAGUUACCUCUUCCCCCCAUCUUCUCAGUCUUCAACUUCAAGGCUUCGACUUCUUUACUUAUAAAUAAACUCCCACUUUUGUCUUUCCAUUUGUCCCAGUGUCCCCAACCCCAACUAACUUCUCACAUCUGUCUCUCUUUCUUUCUGUGCUUCACCUUUUUCCAGCUUUGAUUACUCCCUUUUGGUCUUUUCCAAUUAAUACACACACACAGAUACAUAAACCAUAAACAACUUUUGUUUCUGCACCAAUAUCAGCAUGGCUCCUAAGUUGGUAUUCUUGAUGCUUAUGGUCUUCUUGACUAUAAGCUUCAAUCAGGUGUUAGCUUCAGAUCCAGACAUGCUUCAAGAUGUUUGUGUUGCUGAUCUCACAGGUACCCCAAGCUGACUUCCUCUAUCUUCUUUUAGAUUAUGGACUGUAACAUUAAUAACGUUCAUUGCUUAGUUUUUCAAGUUCCUUUAACCUUAGUUGGUAAUUGGCUUCAAUUCUUGAUCCAAUACAAGCAUUUAGGUGUGUUGGUAGUUGUUAGUUCCUUGUCCUUUUCUUGCACAUUUUGACAUUGACUGCUCUUUACUUUUCUCUCUGUGUUGGUGCUGAUCACUCUGUUGGAAAUCAACACACCAACUAGGAAGAUAUUUAUCAGACAUGUACUGUGUAUAUGCAUUUUAGCUGCUGCCUUGUGCCAACUACUUUCGCAGCUAGUCAACUACUCUGUUUGGGGUCGGAUUUAAUGUCUGUCAGACUCAUACCUAAAAUUUUGGUCCAUGAGAAUUUAAAGUAGUGAUGAUUCAAUAUUGUUCAGUCUCAAACUGUACAUGAUAGGACCAAAGAUACAUUUAUGAUAAUUAAUGUUAUGCAGUUAUCUAUCUUGUAAAAGAGAAUUAAUCUCUGAAGCAUGAUAGCUGUAUUCUAGUAGUAAUUAUUAGACUGCGUGUGGAGGAAAAAGAAGAAAAACGCUCGCCUGCUCAAAUCUUGUUUGCUUGCCGUUGACAUGAAGAUCUACCCCUUGAACAAAUGCAGGGAGAUAGCAUCUUUGAUUAGGAUUUUUCUGAGCAGGGUUCAAUCUUACGUUUGUUUUACUACGUGCUAAUACAUUGCUCGAAAUUGUGACUAAGAUUUUACUCCUCCUGUUCUUGUUAUUCAUCAAAAACAGGUAAACCGAAGGUGAACGGAUUCAUUUGCAAGGAAAAUAUAACGGCUAAUGACUUCUUCACCACCAUCCUUGGCACCCCAGGAGCCACCAACAAUACCUUCGGGUCAGUGGUCACGGGAGCCAAUGUUGAGAAGGUCCCUGGUCUCAACACCCUAGGUGUGUCCCUGUCCAGGAUCGACUACGCCCCUGGUGGCCUGAAUCCACCCCACACCCACCCCCGUGCCACAGAAAUGGUGUUUGUAUUGGAAGGUGAACUAGAUGUUGGGUUCAUAACCACUGCCAAUGUCCUCGUUUCCAAGUCCAUCAAGAAAGGUGAAGUAUUCGUCUUCCCCAGAGGCCUAGUCCACUUCCAGAAGAAUAAUGGGAACGUGGCAGCAGCCGUUAUCUCGGCCUUCAACAGCCAAUUGCCUGGAACUCAAGGCAUUUCAGUAACAUUAUUUGCAUCUAAUCCACCAGUUCCGGAUAAUGUGUUGACCAUGGCAUUCCAAAUUGGUACCAAAGAAGUUGAGAAAAUCAAAUCAAGGCUCGCCCCCAAGAAGUAGAUGAUACACUGAUUUAAAAGCAAGACGUCGUAUUCAUGUUGUUCUUCAAAAUAAAAAAUAAAAUAAAAAAAAAAGAAGCGGAUUCGAAGUUAGUUUGUCAUUUCAUGUCAUUUCAAAUUUAGUUUGUCAAAGUUAAUGUUGUAAGUAAAAUGCAUGUGAAUUUUGUCUUUGCUUGACAACACAAUAAAAUGUGAUUGUUCCAUCCAAGUAAGGUUCUUGAUGGGGAGAUUGCCUUGCUGCCAUGUCCAUUUGAUAUUCAACUUUUAGUUGAUUGCCUACAUUUGUGCAUGUCCAACUAUAUAUGUAUUUACAGAGGUAAAGUCCUUGUUUUUUCGUUCAUACACGAAGAAGCCAAUUUACUUGAGAAACGCUAGAAGAGAAAAAUCUUCUUCUUACCUGCUGGUGAAGUGACUAUGUUCGACAAUUAUGGCUAUCCAACUCAAUUUCUCGAAUUAAAAUUAACAACAGUCCUGCAAUAUAAUGACAUACUUGUAAGAAUAACAAGGCCGCAAAGACAUACUUGUAACUUUUGCCCAGAAACAUGUUUUCCAGUUUUAUUAAACAAAGAUCAAAAUUGCUCCCAAGAUGGUUAGUUAGCAGCUUUGGAGCCACUCCUCUUUCCUUCAUAAAACCAGAUCAACCGAAUGACUUAGCUACCAAAUAUAGUAGCUAAUGAUAACUAGAGUUGAUUAUGCUUGAUGCAUUCAAUGUAAGUUAAGUGAUUGGAGUUGAUGCAUUCAUGAACUGCAAAGUAAGUAAGUGAAUGAUAGAUAUAAGGCUGCUACCAAGUAAAUGAUUGGAGGGUAGGUGAAUCUUAAAGGUCUGGGCUACCUAACAGUUUAAAAGUUGAGCUCAAGUUUGCGGUCCUCUCUCACUAGGGUAGAGUGGGAAACAAUUCUUGAUUUUGCUUAAUUAGUACACAAAAGUGAUACUAAUACCACUAAUAGCCACAUUAUGGCACAAUCUAUCUUCUGGCUUAGAUGUGGACACCAAUCCCCAGUUCCCCACACCCUCAUCUGCUGCAUUCAUGGGAGGAGCAAGUGAACCACUUGAUACUAUUUUUCCUGGCUUGUUUGGUGGGGGUCUUUGAAGAGCUAAAUUUUGAUUGCGAUGCACUUUAAAGGAGCUAGUUACUAAGGUUGAAAUUCUAAAAAUUACAAAUUCUAUAUUCAAAUUCCAGUUUCCUCCUCUCCACUGUUUAAAUCUUACUAUUCCUUUGCUCUAGAGUAAAAAAAGGGGAAAAAAUAGAGGAGGUGCUAAUGAACCACUGAUUAAUCAGUAAGCCUUAUCAGUUGGAUCAUUAUUUGCUUGUUAACAACUCUAGUAAAUCCAUACACUGAUUUAUUAGCAACAAUCCUAAUCAUCUGCUCGAACGUGUCAAUACAAUAAGCAAACCUGCAAUAAUUUUGCCCAUCUCUAUCAUCAAGCAGACAUUGAGGUCCCCGGGAUUAGUUUGCUCCACUUAGUUUAAUGGGUAAUAUUAGUUGUCAUCUAAGUGAUUGCAUUUCUCAAUCUCCUCCUAAAAAUAGCAAUCCCAACGAAUAGGAAUGAAACAUGGCGCCACUAAUUUUUUAAGCAGUCCAAACGGGUAAAAGCAUGGCACUACAAAUUUUUUAAGCAAAGCUGUCAUUGCCAUGAUUUUCUAUUCUGUAUCUUUUUACAGUCUACAUAAAAAAUACUUGCAAGGGCAGAACAAGCCAAAAAAUAACAUAGUGCCAAUUCCUAGUUCUAAGUUCCCAGCUCAGAUCCGUAUUCAACUAAUUCUACGCCUUCUAAAACAUCCGGCCACGUUAAUUAUUGGCUCGUUCACUUGUCAUAUGAAUGGCACUGCUCUGCUCUGACCAAGACCAGUUCAACGGCUAUAUCUCGCCCAGCAAAAUAGAAUAACGAAAGCUUGUACUAGUCUGGGAGACAUGGAAAAUAAGAGUGAGGAGAAGAGAGCAAAAGAAUAUGAGGAAGACUAAGGGAAGUUAAAAGUCGUCAAAAACGUUCAUAUGAUUCAAGUGAUCCUGAGCGCGUUGCAUGACACUACAAAAAUGAUAAUACAAGCAUCUUUAAGAAUGCAACAUACAACAAAUAGAAAGAAAAAAGAAAAAAGAAAAAUGACUAGUAACUCUUGUGUAGUUUCACAGUGACAAAUUGGCUUACAACCAACAAUCCCACUAGUGGGCAGAAUAGAUAGCAUUCCCAAAGUUAAUGCAGAAUGACCUGUCUUAAGUUCUGAACUUCAUCACUGUGGUUUGCUUGCCAUCUGGGAUGGCAAACAGUACUAGGGGCUUUGAAGGUCUUAUGAAGGGAACAUCGCAUCUGAAGUACCCUUUUCUCUCCAGCUGUAUUAUGUCACCACGCUUCAAGUUCCUCAUGUUGGGAUCACCAAGAGCAGCAGUCUCCAUCUUGGUACAUGGAUUAACAACAUCCACGAAAUUUUCAUCCUCCUCGAGCUGCAAUUGAAACAUAUGCAAACUUCAAUCAGCCCCAAUUAGGACAGAUACAUUUAAAUGACAAUUGAUUCAACCAGUAACAAAGGAUUACCUUCUUUUUAGUGAUCAAAUAAUCAAAAUCCACCAAAGAGAGUGUAACAAGCUCGUUAGUAUCAGGCAACCACGUGAGCUUCAACUUUGUUGUUUUGACAGAUCCUUCAAGAUGCAAAACACCAGUUAAUUGUGUUACAUUGCCCUCUUGGUCCUUCUCGAUUUCCUUUACUAUAGCAUUGCCCCAAUCCAUUAAAGUCACUUCCUCAUUAGCUGCGAUUGAUCGGGCAUCAUCCUGGUCUAUCCAUAUUCUCUUGGUGUACGUAGUUGCUUUCUCCCCAGCACCUUCAUACUUUUUAUGCUUAGGUAUGAUUCGCACAAAUGGAUCCUCAGGGCCAUCAGUUAGAGUCAACAAGACCCGUCGUUGGUCUAUAACAGCUGUAUGUCUGGGACAGACUGGAUCAAUAAUUUUCUUAUUAAUGGCCCAAAGCUUGUCCCAUUCCAUGAGAUUGAGAUUCUUGGAUGCCCCCUAAGAUGAUUACACCAAAAACAAGUUACAAGUCUAUUAGAUCAAGGAACUAACUAUUCUCUCCCCUGAUAUACCCUCUACCAUUCUGUUUUUGAAGCACAAAAAGAGUAGUAGAAAUGAAAAACUGAAGCAAGCAAGAUGGAAACUAAAGAAUGCACAACACCCCAAAAAAACGAAUUUCAAAGAGCAACUAAUAGGAGGAAAUAUUAGAAAUGCAUUGCAUUGCCAGCCUCAUUCCAUCAAGUUGGAUGUUGAACGAAACAGACAUACUUGGAUUGUGGUCUUGAAAAAAUAUCUUACCUGUUCCAGCAUGAACUGUAUCAGUGCCUCAAUCUUCAGCCCCCUGCGUACUAUUCCCUGUACAGUAGGAAAACGAGGAUCAUCCCAGCCAUCAACCUUUCCAUUUUGAACAAACCAUAGCAGUUUACGCUUGCUAAGAAGUGUAUAGACCAGAUUCACCCUGCUAAAUUCAUAUAUAUGAACUUUUUGAAAACCCAUAUCCGUCUGGAUCCAGUAGUAUUGAUCAUUACGGUCAUGAUACUCACUAGAUCGAAGUGCAUGGGUAAUACCUUCCACGGCAUCAACAAACGGACAUGCAAAAUCAUAAGUAGGAUAGAUUUUAUAUUUAGCACCAAUCUUGUGGUGAGGAGUCAAAUUGCAACGGUAGUAUACUGGGUCACAAAGGGACUUGUUUGGAUCCUGCAUAUUCAGCUUGCCUCUGAGGCAACACAUCAAACCCCUUUCUGAUCCAGCAACCAUUUCCUUCCAUAAGCUCAGAUUCUCCUCCACGCUAUUGCUUCUACACUUGGAUUCUAUCCCAUCCAUCCGUUCUUGCUGCAUUUUUUCCCGAGUUGUGUCAUCAACAUAGGCUUUACCCUCAUGAAUCAAUUUCUCGGCCAUUUCUAUCAUGUUGGGAAAGUAGUCUGAUGUGUAGGUUACAGCCUCAUAGGUAAUCCCCAAAGUUUCAAUAUCUUUGAGAAGAUUAUCUACGAAUUCACUGCUCUCCUUAUCAGGGUUCGUAUCAUCAAAGCGCACAAUCAGCUUACCGUCAUAUUUCUCAGCAAAAUACUUGUUUAACAGUGCUGCUUUAGAAUGACCAAUAUGUAGAUAACCACUAGGUUCUGGAGCAAAUCUCACCCGUACUUUUCCAACCUGUGCAUCUGGAAGAUGCACCUCAAAUACAGGUCGGUUCCCUCCCACACCCUUCUCACUUACAGUGCCAUUCACACUAUUGGAAGACGAAGUAGAAACCUGUUGAUCUCGGACUUUAGAAACUGCUUGAGUCCCUAAACCUUUUUUUCCAAUAUACAUUGCAGUCACUUCAUUCAGAGCUGCAUCAAAUUCGUCAUGUAUAGAGUUGAACCACCGUACUAGAUUUUGAUAUUUCUUGGAAUUGCGUAGACUUUGCCAUCUCUGCCCUGUUCCUGCAAAUGAACUAGUAUUGAGAACCCAUCCUGGUAUGCUAGUAGAAAAGGGUCUUUAUUUAGAACAAACUUCUAAAAGUGAGAAAUAAAGUUACAGGAGAAAAUGCAAAAUAGUGCUCCAACAAAAAAAAUCUACUUUACCAAAAACAGAUCAACCUUAAUCAUCCUCAUCCAAAUACAACUAAUAGGGGCUCAAAACCAGAUCAAUCUUUAUUGCUUACAUAUUAUUCUCCUGACUCACACUUCAGCAUCAAAUACAUAUUUGACCAAAAGAGGUUCACCAAGUCUAAAUUCUGGAGUGCCCUCCAAUGUCAGAAAAACUUUAACAUCUAGAUAUACCUUUUUUUCUAUUUUAAAUUAUAUGGAAAUUUUUAAUUUGGAUUACAUUCACAUAUGGCCACUGAUUUCAAAGACAUUGAAGCAAUAAAAGGAGAGCAGUCACGUGCUCAAUGUGAGGACUAAAAUAAUGUCUAUCCAAGGUUUCUACGAUGGGAACCUUAUAUACCAAAUGAGUCCACCAGACUGCUUUCCGUCAUGAACAAUAAGCAAAACCAGAUAAAUUUCAACCUGGCAAAGGCUCAAAGAGUCUAAGUUAGGCCACACUUUCUGCCCAAAAAAACAAAAGAAGGGCAAAUCCAGGUGCUAUGUAGCCACCAAUCCAUCAAAUAAUUCAUUUUAUAUGCUAAAAAUAUCAAAUCACUUCUGUACGUUUGAAGUAAAACAUAUGCUACUAUAGCUAGGAAAUAAAUUUAAGAUAAAAUCAACAGUUAACCAAAACUAAUAGGCAACUGCUGUUAUUUAUGCAAAGUUUGUACAUCGAACUCAACUGACACUAAAUCAAUGUAUAGGUUGAUAUCUACUUGUCCUUGAGGUAUUUAUGUAGCUAAUGUAUCAUAGCCAUAACACCUACAUCACUCGUAAUUUCAGUGCUCACGGAUGAUUUGGAUCCACCAAUUAGGAUACGUUCAAUAAGGAGAGGAGGAAAAGAGGACAAAUGUAAUCAACUGACUGAGCUCAUUACAACAAUUAUGAAAAGAAGAUUAUAUUACUUGUACGAGUCAGAGAAAAUUUCUCCACUUAAAAUUCAUCCAUCCAGUUUAUGCUCCAUCUCCUGAUAUGCUGGCUUAGAGCGGAAUAUUUGAUUAAAAAAGAAUGAGGCUUAAUAGUCACUAAAUACAGAUGCACAAUUAACUAGGCAAACUAAUAACAACUGGAGACACAAUAUUUUACCUGCAAGUGCUGACCAGAUUGCUAUAUCUGCAAUUGACAGACUAUGACCGACUAAAAAAGUAUGCUGCAGUAGAUAUCUGUCCACAUAGCCACAUGCCCCUUCAAAUUCAGAGCCAGAAGAGAAAACAGGGGCAUACUCAAGCCAUUCAUCAAUCUACAAGACAGAUAAAAGGACAAUUUAAACAACAAAGUAAAAUGGAAUUCUAUAUCUUCAUUUACCACAUUAGAACUAACAAGAACAAUUCAGUAGUCAAUAAACAAAAACUGCCACAAAUGUGUUUAUUGGACAUUCCAAACAGAGUAAUCAACACUCCUUUUUUUUUUGGGUGAAUAUAUAUAUAUAUAUAUAUCUUUGUAGCAUGAUGGUUGUUACUGGUAGUAUCCUCUCAAAAGACGUUAACUGUAUGCUAAUUAAGCGUCACAAUAAAUAGCUUAUGCCACACAGGCGGAUGAAAAAGUUGCAAUUAAACACAUUUAAGCUGCAGGCAAGCAAUAAAAAGGCACCUGGGUGGACUCAAAUGCAUCCCUAUUGUAAAAAUCUGGAAUCUUUGCAACCCGGCCGAUGUAUCGCAGAAGCACAUACAGUCCCCGCAGUUUUCCACUGCAUCCAAAAAAUUGAGUUACUACAAAGCUCAAUCACCUCAUUGAGCUAUAUAAAGACGAUUGCAUCAUCUGUUAAUAUUAUAAGAAAAAAAUGACAUCUCCAGAAUAACAGAAUAAUCGAAAUUUCAUCCCACCAAUAUGAUAGACAAAAAAUUCCUCAAGCUCACAGGGCAAAAGAAGGAACUUAAGAGUUGGAAAAAAAAAACUCACAAAUCCGACAGAAAGGGAAACAUUAAAACGGAGAAAUUACCCAUCCGAGAAGUGGAGGAUAGGGGUUGAGCCAGAAGGGAGGGAAGGAUCAGUAGGGAGAGAAAGACCGGCGAUUUUAGAAGCCACAAUGACGGCAAGUGGCGGAGCAUCCGCCGGAAAACACAGCAUCUGUAUCUCCAUUGGCGCCUAAUUUAGUAGGAAAAAACAAAAAAAAAAAUGAAAUGUAACGAGAGAGCAGAGGUGGAAGGGGUUUAGGGUUUUAUAUAGUUAGAGAGAAUCAACGGCGCCAAACCAAAAACUGGGGGCUACCAAAAGCUGGAGCGCAGGUAAGAUUCCCGUUGAGUUUAGCCAAUACUAUUCGACGACGACGAGACAACGAUUUGAGGUUUUCCCUUUGUUUUUUCAAAUUUAACUUAUUUGGGCCGGGAUCAGCACUGGUGCUGGGCCUUUGUGGUCAGAUCUUUUAUGUCCAAAGACGGGAUCUGUGUGAUCAGAUCUUUUAUGAGAGCUUCCCUAAACCCAAAUUCAAUUGGUAGAGAGUAGUGAUUUAUUUUAUUCUUCUUUUAGUGAUUUUUCUAUGCGUUUGGUUUUCUUGAGUGAAUUUGAUGAUCAACCAGUACGUUUUCUUCAUACUCUUGUAAUUGUUUGUUGUUUUAAAUUGGUGAUUAAUUUGUAUGACCAUCGAGGGACUUUUUUGAUAAUUCCUUUUAUUUCAACAGAUUUUUUUGAAAUUUUUGAUCAAUGGAAUAGGUUUGAAUAACAUUCAAUAGAAAAUUUGAAAUUUUUUCUUUCUUUUUCAAAAGCUUCUCCUUUCCUUUCUUUUACGAAUUCGAGGACAAAGGGUUAAAUCUCAGAGAGGAUUGUGGCAACAAGGACUCAAACAAUCGUGUGGCAGCAAGGUUUAGAGUCUUUCCUUAAAUCAAAUAAAAUCCCUUUCCUUCCCUUUUCCUUAGAAAAAGAAGAAUUUGAUGAGUAUUAACUUGCGUUUUCAGACUCAGACCAGGUAUCGAGUCAGCCGAGAUCAAGGGGCAGGGGUCAAUGGGUUCGAUCGGAUUCGAUGGGGUUGAACCGGAUGAUGUCAUAAAUAAAAAUUAUUUAAAAAUUAAAAUAUUGUAUAUAAAAUCCCUAAAAGUAUGUUAAUAUGAAUAAAGGUAUAUUCUUAUAUAUUUGAUGUUUCAAAUAUAUUUAACAAGAAAAUACAAAGAAAUUAGAACAAUCAAGUAGCAAUUUAUAUUAUUUAAUGAACUUUAACAAAUUUAGAAUUAAAAUUAUAGAUUUGAUUAAAAAAAUAACAUCAAAUUUUAGGACAACAUUUAUAAAGUAUGAAAUAUUUGAGGUAUAUUAUAAGUUUUAACAAUUUAGGGAUCAAAACAUAAUAUUGAAAAAGUUUAACCUUUUUUUAAAAAAUGCUCUGGUUGAACCGAUUUUUCCGGUUUUUUCCCUGUCAACCCUGGUUUUUGACUGGAUUUUUUGUCUUCUAGUUUUGAAGAACAACUCGGACCGAACACUUGGCCGGUUUCAGUCCGGUCCGAGUUAUAAAACACAGGUAUUAACUUGAUCUCUACAUGUGAAAGAAAAAGUUUACUUGUUAUUGUAAAAAUAGGAAGAAAGAAAAAAACGGAAAAAAGAUUUAUUAGUGCAAGUGUCAAGAAAAAGCAAAAAUGCCAGUCUUGAGAAUAAUAAGGAAAUAAAACGUUGGUGAAUAUCAUUGAUUUACCAAAUUACAAGUUAAGGGGUGUAUGUAAACACAAAAAUCCCGUUCUUCUUUACAAAAUUCAAUUGAGAUGCACUUCUCUAUCAUGCGCUUGGGCAUAAAGGAUUUGGACUGGCACCUCCUGUGUCCAAUAUUGGUUCCUAAUGCAUAAGCUUAUUAGCUUAAGAUGAUUUUUCAUAGGAAUCUUAUGAUACAUCUUUCUUCCAGUGGCCAUUUGUUGAAGUUGUUUUGUAACUUUUGUUGCACCUCUCCUGCUCGGAUGGAAUUUGUAGCUGUUUGUUUCAGAAGUAGACAGUUGACGGGCAGAAAACGGACUGCAUGAACUAUGCAGUUAAACACACAAUAUGCUUCUGCAGAAACACUUGUAAGUUGCUCAGAAGUACCAAAUGGUUAAAAACGAUCAAAUAAGUCCAUAACAUCAUAUAAUCAUAUUAAAUGUAAUAUGGCACUAGAGUUCUUUUCCUGGUUUCUCUGGUUCCCAACAGCAUAAUCCGUUGUACAGAGCAAAAGUUAGAUGGAUUAAAAGGGGGCCAAUCAUAAAAUCAUCAUCCAAUUGUUUCAAACGAGGCAGGGUACAAAAAUGGAAACCAGCUUUAUUCACAUCGCAGAAGUUAAAACAACAGAAAUGUCUAAAGGAAAUUAGCCAAGCAAAUCAAACACAGACUAACUCAGGACUAUGAAUUCUUGUCCUCUUUGACUAUACACAUUUCAUUGGGAUCUUGUUAGACCUACAAGAUCACGUGAACAGCUAUGCUGCAGGCUGAUUAGCAACUGCGAGUUCGACAGAUAUGAUAAAAGUCGAUCGCCCCGCCUCCCUUAGGUACUGAACAUCUCCAUUCAUAAGCUUCACCAGUUUUCUGCUGAUAAGAAGACUUAUUCCCUCAUCAGAUGCUUCUCCAUUGGUACCGAACAUUUGGUUCAGCAAUUCUUCUGGAACCCCACCUCCAGAAUGUGUCAUCCUGCACCCAAAAGAAAUCACAGUAGCUCAUGACUCUGUAUCCCGUAGAUGGCUUAAAAAUAAAGAUACUGCAGUCAUAAAUUGGCGUAUGGUCCCAAAACAAAUGUUUGUCGAAGUAUAUUUUCAAUGGAUUGAUCCUGAUCUGUGAUCUGAAAUCUUCAUUAUCUGCCAUGCAUAAUCUAAGUACCAUAUACCUAAACCAGUUUGUAGGGUACUAAAGUACCCGCUAUAUUUGCGAUGAGGAGGAUACCUCAUUUAAGUGUAUUCCCUUCUACAUAGGAUUAAACCCAAAUAUUUACUUCUAAUGAAUUCCUUCUCUUCAAAAAGAAAUAUUAAAAGGAAGAUCCACCAAGCAUUGGAAAUCUAUGCAGUAGUUCUGAGGACUUUACAAGGAAUAUUAAAAUAAAAAAGAAACUAACAUGUUAUGCCAUAAGUAAUCAGUCCAUUCUCAAAAUCUGGUUGUAGCGGUCAAUUGAGGUAAAAAAAUACACAAUAGAAGAAAUUAAGAAGAGACAAGGAUCUCAAUACUACAUUGGGAAGCUUAGCCACAAGCUACACAGGGAGGGGGUCCAUCAUAACAUUCAAACAUGCAAUUGAACAAGUCUUUUCUCAGAAAUGGCAGGCAGAAAAGAAAAAGAUAGAAAUGAUACACCUCCACUGUAUGUAUAAUCGCCAAUAAAAUGUGUACUCCACCUAUCAUCUUGAACACAAAACCUUUUUCAACAAUCAAGUAAUGUA